AUACAAUAUAGUUGAAAACAAUCCAUCUAAGAUAGUACAGACUCAAUCGGAUGAAUCAAAGGAGCCCUAGUGUUCAAGCUCCCGUCUUUGCGGUAAACUUAAGUGGUGGCUUCAAGAAAUGGAUAAUCAGUGUAACCAAUGACGGGAUCAGGUAUGUAGAAUGUCUCUUUGUUGUACUUGUUUAGAGGAGCAUAAUCUCUUUGGCAAAUCUGGAUUCGCCAAGAAAAUACGGCCAUAAGCAAUAAGAUCUGCACUGCCCUCGGCCACAGCACUGUUUCCAUCUUCCCCGUCAUAACCACCAGCAGCAAUGAAGGUACCAUGGAAAGACUUUCUCAUGGGAAGAAGACUGGUGGGUUUCAUCUUUUUCUCCCAUUGUCUUCAUCCUCGGCUCAACCAUGUGGCAGUACACAAUUCCAUAUUUGUUCAAGGCAUUGGCCAUAUAGAGGCCUAAUUCUUUUGGAUUUGAAUCCCCUGAGUCCAUAUAGUCAGCAAAUGGAGAUAAUCUAAUUCCAACUUUAUCUGCUCCUAUUUCGUUAGCGACAGCUUCAACAACUUCCAGAGGAAGGCGGCAACGAUUCUCUAGAGAUCCACCAUAUUGGUCUGUUCGAUCAUUCACAUGAUCUUUCAGAAACUGAUCAAGAAGGUAGCCAUGCGCCCCAUGAAUUUCAACUCCAUCGAAGCCUAUAUAGCAGAUUAACAAUUUCAACAUACUGACGGUAUUAGAUCCUAAAGCAUUGAAGCAAAUUGAGUUGUUGUAAAUUAUGUUUCAUAUGUAACGUAAAGACAAAUUACCAGCUUCAAUAGAAUUCCUUGCAGCAAGUCUAAAAUCAUUGACAAUUUGUGGAAUUUCAUCUGUCCUUAAUCGUCUUGGAGGCGUGAAUUCAGAAGCAUCGAUGCCAUUUAAUCGUAUCGGCUUGUCAGUAGAAGUUAUUGGAGCUUGCCCAUUUGGUUGAUAACCUGUAAGCAAGGAGAGAAAGAAUUAUAACCUGAAGUCUAACGACAGUAACUAACAUCCACAGCAGCACUCUUUUAAGUGGGAAUCCUUUGUUACAAAUUACUAUAACCACACGUGCUAUAUACUAGUUCUGAAUUCUGAGUUAUGUUAACAUCAAACUUCUUCCCAUCCAAUAAUAAUAAAGGAACUUUAACGAAAAACUCCCGGUAUUGUUCACUUUAAUGAAAAACUACAUUUUUACACUAAAAAGUUAAUCCUGGUAUUAUUCACUUUACCCUUUAUUUUUUCCUUAUCAUUAAAACUCAAAGUUUUCAAGCCAUUUUCAUUAGUUUUCCUUAAUAAUAAUACAAAUGCUUCCGAAACAGCAAGGUCAUAAGAGUGGUGUCUUCUUAUGGGUUAUGUUAAAAACACCAACUCGGAACUUAACAAGUCCAAGUUUUAUCGUCAUUUGAGCAACAAUGUUGUCAAUUAUAAUCACUCGCUCGUUCUGAUGCAUACACCAUUAUGUUAUACAUCAAACUUCUGAAUAGGUCUAAUUAUUCACUCAUGUUAACAAAGCAUUCUAUGGUAAAAGUGAGGUCAUAAAGGUGUAAGUCAGAAACGCACUGCUAUUAGAAACCCUUCCAACAUGCCAAAUCUGACAGAAGAAGACGCCACCUUUAGCAUGAACAGCAUCAACAAUGGGUUUCCAGGCUUCAACUUGCUCCAUUGUCCAUAUACCAGGUGUGUUCGGGUACCUUCGUAUAUUAAAGAACCAAAAAUUUCAUCAAACUUUGAAACGAAAUAAACGCCCUCAAAUGCUUGUUAGUCUAUGAAUCUACUGUUGUUGAAAUUACCCUUGAGCUGUGUCGGAAACUCCAGUGGCUUCAGCUAUGAGAAGACCCCCAUUCGAAGUUCUCUGAGAGUAAUAUAAGAUAGCAUGUGGUUGAGGAACAUUGUUGUAUGAUCUCUGUCUGGUCAAUGGUGCUAAAACAAUUCUGGAAAGGAAAAAGAAAUUGUAAAUUAUAAAUACAGAGUGAUCAAGACGGAAUGUGGGUGAGGAACAUUAUCGAAUGACCUGUAACUACUAAUUGUUGUAUGAUCUCUGUCCUAGUUACAAUGUAAAUAUACAAUAAGCGUAUUCUGCACGAGCUCCUAGGAAUUUGACAAUCAAACAAUCUUGAACACAAAGCAAGUAAUUCAUAGCGGUCGACAUCAAUACAAACCAACGAGCAGAAACUCGCAAACGAAACCCUGGUUAUCCAACCAAUCAACUAAACCAAUUCCUUGCUUUACAAGUAACGUGAACAAGCAAAUGUUACAUAAUAAACCAUCCAAUGAAAGUUGCUGCUUUUAUUUCUGAAAAUUCAGGAUUCUUGCAUAGGCAAAAAAACAUUUGACAAUCACAAAAACUGCCCAGUAACCUGCAAGUUGCCCAAAAAAUAAGCAGUAAUUUCAUUUUUCUUGUAAGAAAACCGGGAUUUUCUGCAACCCUGUUUCCAAAUGAACAAAACCCAACAGCCCAAAUCUCAACUGCUCCAGCAGAAUAAGUCAACAAAAUCAAUGCAGAAUGUAGAAGAAUAUAAACUGUAGAAAAGGUUGAGCCCGUGAGUUAAGUUACCUAUGAGAAAGAUUGAAGUUUCCAAGUUUGUAAGGAGCAAGGAGAGGGCUUGUGGGACCACCUACUUGAGCUUGAUUAGUGGUAGCCAUUUCAAUUCAACUGGUUUCAGAGCUUGAUCCUUAUUUUUUAUUUGAUUUGAUUUGAUAUGCUCUCAUAUUGGUGUAAGAAUCCUAUGUGAACUCAACUAGUUAUAGAUAAAGGAGAAAUAAUAUGUUGGUAAUACAAAUUAAUAAGAGUUUGGAUACGUGGAAAGCUACAUCAUAUAAUGAGGGGUAUACUUUCAUCGUGCAUUUGAAAAGAAAGCACUAAUCACAACCACCUCUACACUAUUGGGACUUGAAGCAACGGGAAAAUAACCGACCCUCCACGAUAGAUGGGAGUUGGCUGUCGUUGCUUCUAUAAGCGCAAGAGUUCCCUGCUCACAAGGAAGCACGUUCUGCAAUUAGGGUUCUAUCACCAUUGGAAUAUAAGGUCUUGAGUGAGUAGAAGAAUUCUUGAGUGUGUUAACAGUAAUCAUGGCUGCACCAGGUAAGUCUUUCUUGUCUAAUUUCAUAUCGUGACCUAGUAUGCAUGCGAAUAACUAAGGUUAUUCCAACAAUUGGGAUAUUUAUACCGUUCGGGGAGAGGAGGAAGAGGAACUAUAAAACAACACUAGCACUAGCUGGGGAGGCAGAGGCAGUGGUAGGCCGGGCGGCUCCUUUUGAAAUGUUUGAUGACGUUUGUAAUUACGUAAUCAUGUUUUUUUUUUUUUUUCUUUUCUAACGUAGGAAGUAUGGUAUUGGUAUCUGAUUGGACUAUCUCCAAAGAAAAUAUUAAAUUUUAGGCAUAAAAUUUCAAUUUAAAAGUUUAUGUGGCACUUUAAUCUUUUUUGAAAUUUUGUUAUUCACCGAUGUGUCAAAUUUAAAUUAUUAUUUAUCACAUUAAUUUACUUCUAAUAAUUGUAGUAAGUUUUUUAAAACAGAAAAUAAUAAUAAAAACGAGAAAAAGAAUUUAGUAAUCACUUAAAAUAGAUUUGAAGUUGUUGUCAGAUUUGAUAGCUACCACCUUUGUUAAUCCAUAUCAUAUCACAUAGGAAUUGGUAUUUCACUUGAAAAACACUAAUACAAUCUUUAUUAACUGUUAUUGCUAAUAUGGACUUUUCAUCUCUGAUACCACAUGAAAGGGUAGCACAUUUUUAGCAUUUUGAUCAAAUAAUCUAUCAAAGCAGAGCCGAUGGCCCAAAAAUAUAUCCUCAAAUUAAAAGGGUUAAAAUUUGUGCUCACUUUGCACUUGACAAAUCCCAAAAUAGAAAAAUUUCUUCCAACUGAAAGGAGAUGUCAAAUGUGAUGCGGAAUGCCAUGUGGGAUAGAAAAACAACACAAUUUCUUCCAACCGAAAUGUUAUUAGUUGACAUGGAUUGACUGCAUCGCCUUUGACUGUCUUUUUUGGUAGCAUAAGGCUUGAGGGUCAAAUGCUUUUAUUUUUAUUUUUUUUAACGAACGACAUUAUCUACACUAAGGGGGAGGAGAUGAGUUUAUCCUUAUAAUGGGUAGCAUUAAUAUGGUUCAAAUUAGUCUUUGGCAAGAAUCGAAUAUAAGAUUUCUCACUUACAAGUAAAAAAGAAUACCACUAGACCGUAUUACUAAGUGUCGCUUUUAAUUUUUUUUUUUAAUGCAUGAAUACCAUUGCCAACCAAUAAGAUGGAAAAAAAAAUCAUUUUUAAUAGUUAAUGCAGUGCCACUUAAUACAAGGAUCUCGUGGUAUUUCUCUUCAUUUGUAAGUGAGAGGUCUUAAGUUUGAUUCUUACCAAAUGCGAAGUUGAGCCAUAUUAUUGCUAGCCCAUUAUGAGGCUUAAGCCCACUUUCUCAUCUCCUUAGUGUAGAUAAUAUCGUUUGUUCAAAAAAAAAAAGACACAACCAUGUAGCCCAGUGUAUUAAGAGUGCUGAUAAACUUACUUCAUUGUCUUAUCUCUUACUCAUUUUUUAAUAUAAAAAAAAUUGGAUACUAAUCUAAUCUCUUGUAAAAUGACAUCUAAGGACCAAGCAAAAAUUAAAAAAAGAAAAUAGGACUCUCUUCUUUGUUCACCAUCUUUCUGCAACUACCUAAAUCCCUUCAAAUAAUUUUUUUUUUUUUUUUUUUUUUUUGUGUUCCACAAAAAAAAAAUUCUUUUUUGUUGCCCUAGCUUAAUUAUAUAUAAUAGUUGUUCAAAACACUUUACUAAUAUAAUAAUUAUUUAAAAUUUUGAAAAAUAAAAUGUGAGACCAGAAGAAGGAAUUGGGCUUGGAGAGAUGGAAUUGGGUGUCCCGAAUUUGAAAAUGGGGCAUGAGGAUGAAAUUUUGAGAAUGUUGCAUGCAGCUUGGUCGUGAGAAUUGGAAGGGGAGGAAAGGGGACUGCGUUGGGGGUCUGGAUAGAGGGAAGGAAGGAGAGUUGCAAUCAGCUGGAGAACUGGUAAGUGACCGAAUUAUGGGAUUCUUACUAGAAUUAAAAUCUGGAAGGGGAGGCUUUGAAAUUCGCGGUGGGUGGAGUCUACCUGGAAUUUCAACGCUCUAAUAUUUAUUUUUUUUCAAAAAUUAAAAAAUAACUUAGAUAUAUACAUUAGAGGUUAUUUUAAGAAUAAUAGUGGACAAAAUAGUAUUUUUAUUUUUUAACUUUUUUAGUGGAUGAAAUUAUAAUGUGAGUAAGAAAAUAAGACUUAGGGUGGAUCUUGCAACACUCUAUAUUAAUAAAGUAUAUAUUUAACAUAUUCAUUGUAAAGAAAAAAAAUUUAACAUCUCUAUUUGAUUGGCCACGUCAACCAGUAAAUUUAAUUUUGACAAUAAUUAUAUUACACGUUCAUUGAAGAUGCUGUUAUCAAAUCAUCAUACAAUGCGCUAGUUGAGAAUAGAUGGCUGCCAAUGUGGACGGCACCAACGACCAACGACCAUUUGACAAUAAUUUGGAUGCCUUACUUUUAUCCAAAUAAUUGCAUCCUAUUGUAAAAUCGACGGCGUGUUCAGUGAAAUAAAUAAACAAGACACAAAAUUUACGAGGUUCCUCUGCAGUCAGUGUGACUGGAGUACAUCCUCGGGACAGCAGUGGUGCUUUCAUUAUAAUCUGAAAUAAUAAGAGUACAAAGAUAACUCUCUCUAUUAUCUCCUCUCCUCUUCCUUUCUUUUCUCUCUUCCUCUUCCUCUCUUUUCUCUCUUCCUUUCUUCCUUCCUAUCUCUCCCGUGAGUCUCCCACAUUCAUCUCCCAAUCUUUUUUUUUUGUGUUCCAUAAGACUUGCUUUUAUAGAAGCAAAUCACAAGCAACAUAGUGAAAGGCUUACUAUAUGCAUGUGAGUAUUUACUAUACACAUUACUAUACACAUGUGGUACUUUACUAUACACAUUACUAUACACAUGUGGGCAAACAUACCCACUAUUUACAACACUCCCCCUUAGAUGCCCACAUAUCAAUAUCAGUUUUUGGAUGCUCCCCCUGACGAGUAUCUCCCCCUGAUUUCAACUUCUUUAGGCUAAUCAUUGAUCAUUAUGCUUCAGUCUCUUAGCAAAAAGAGUUGCCGAAAUAGUUACUUUACUUGUUGUUAACUUUCCACAGGCUUGUUCUUGAACUGGGCUGGAGGGCCUCAAAGGUCUGAAUUUACUUCUUUUAUCUGGAGCUAAAUUUAAUUCAAGGGUGAUGGACACUUGAUCUUGAAUCAAACUUGUGAUUUCUUCAAAGACCUUCGAGGCUUGAUCUUGAAUGAAGUUGUACCGUGAGGAGUUUCACGUGACAAGUGAUCUUCGACUUUGUCGGGGAUGAAUCAGCACGUGUUUGUUGCGCUUGUCUCCACAUGCUUCAAUAUAUCAUUUUCACUUGCCUUACUUGUUACCCUUGCAUAAGUGGUAUUUUACCUGGGUUUCCCCCUACAUGUGUGGCAUCUUCUCUUGUAGGAUUUGUCCCCUGAUGCAGGAGUGGAAUGCAAACCCUUGCAUUUGAAUGGUUCAUCACUUCUUGGUGACUGGAGACCCAGCUCCAACAACAGUUGAAGAUGACUACUCUUGCUCUCGUCCCUGAAGAUAUGAGAUAAUCUUGCUCUGGUGUGACUUGUUUGAAGAUGUAUUCUCGGAGAGGAAGAAAACUGAGUAUUUCGAGAUGCUGUGUUGAAGAUGCAUUCUCGGAGAUGAGGAAGAGUUGGACAUGCUUGCAGGUCUGCCUUGUUAUGGAGAACGGAGGUCGACAUAUAUAGAGAUUUCCCAAUAGCAAGUGGUGGUGCUGUGCCUUUACUCUUGUCAGCAACUGUGGUGUAAUUAGAACAAUAAGAUUUACGCGUUUUCAACUUUGUCAGAGAUCUUUGACAAAGUUGCAUGCAAUAUCCGAAAAAGCUGAGAUUGCGUCUGAAAAAUGCCAACGAACUUUAUUCAGGAAAUCUGGCUUUUGAAAUUCGAAGAACGGUGCCUCUUUGAUCUCUGAACAAGUGGCUAUGUUGCCUCUUUUUUUAUAGAGACAUCAGUUCAAGAGUAUGCUCAGAAAGUUGCUGCCUGUAGAAAUUUCGCCCAUCUUGCACUUCUGAAAUUUUAUUUGACCUCUUUUUUCCUUCAUCAUUUUUGAAAAUGACUUGCUCAUCUAACAUUUGCUUAAAUUUGAAUCUUAGGAGUGAUACAGACGAGCAGCGUCAGGAUAAAAUAUGGCGCCCGUCCUUCUUAUCUUCUAAUGGUUCUCUUACGGUUGGGGACUCUGUGAUGAAGAAUAACAUAACCGCUACUGUGGUAGUUAGGAAUCUUCUCACUCCAAAGGAUAACAGGAUCCUUUCAAAACGAUCUAAUGAGUCGACCGUUCAAGACUCAUUGGCUCUUAGUGUUCAGUGUGCUAGCUCUGUUUCCAAUAUGGGCCAACACCUACUUGCUCAAACUCACCAAGUUGAAUCAUUGAUGGCUGAGGUGGCAAGUCUUAAACAAGAGAUUAGAUGGCUCAAGCACGAGAAUAGACUGUUACACGUGCUUGCAAAUAAUAACUCGACGAGCAUGAAAAGAAAGCUCGAUCAGCUGCGAGAAUCCGAAAGUCGGAUUCAAAGUGAUUACCAGAGGUUCGUUGCUAGAUUCCGAAAGCAACUGAUGUCUUCCCCUUCUGGUGUUUUGCCAAGUACUGGGAUGCCACAUGAUCAAUCUCCAGUGCCUCCCCCUUCUGGGGUACUUUCGAGUACUGAAGCUUCACAUGAGCAAUCUUUGUGAAGGCUCAAUCCUGUUUGUUUGUUUUAACUCAUGUGUAUGUACAUAUCUGUAAUUUCUUGGAGAUAUUAAUAGAUAAGCUUUAUUUCAUUCAAUGUAUUGUGCCAAAUACAAUAAAGCAUAUACUUCACUAAGAUGUGGUACUUCUGGACCAAAUAUUAAUUUAUCUUUACCCUUAUGAAAAUAAAUGAUUAUUCUUAGUGUCUUCAUCAUUUGAGUAUUCAACUCAUAAUCUUCAAUCCAUACGGUUCUUUUAAUAUCAUAAACAUCAUGGAUAAGAUUCGUGUUGGUAGAUUGUUCGAUCUGCAACCCGUGACAAUAAUUCUCUCAACACUUUAUAAUCUUUCUUGACUCUUCAGGAGUCUCAAUUUAAUAUCAUCAAGUCUUCAAGAGUUCUAAUUUAAUGUCAUUGACUCUUGCAAGAGAUUUUCGUAUGUUGCAACAAUAUCAUAAUGAUAGUACUCACUAAGACAAUUUAUACCAUCCAUUGAUAUUGAGUACAUAUUUUAUGAUUUACCCUUCGGGGGCUUACUUCAAGCAAUUUGAAUCCUUCAGGGAUUUUCUACACUUCAUGACACAUUUUUCUUUGGAAUUUAUACAGAGCAAUUUGCUCCCAUGUAUACUUGAGGGAUUUACUUAUGGAGAUAUGAUGUGGGCGACUCACAACCCUUCGUAUAUAAUUCUCUAUUUAUAUGAACUCGUUUACAAGAGUAUAAUUUCAGGUUUCAAUUAGUAACCUUGUGUCAUAUCAUGUGAGUGUAUUACACUGUAUUACAAAUGCCCAUAUGUAACCUCCUUGGUUCAACAUCUUCUGGCUAUUUGUAUUGUAUUCAAAUAUAUAGGUCCAUUUUUCCACGUUCUUACAAAAUUGUAAUGGAAUUGCCUUUCUCCAUUUUUGGCCAAUAAUUUUCCUUUUGUCGACGAACAAAAGAACGUAAUUCAAUAUUAACACAGCUCAUUGAUGAAUUUAGUAGCUACUUGUAAAAACCAAAAUUACCAUUGGUUAUCAUCAAUCCGUGAUCCCAUAUUCUCAUGUGCAUGCACAUGCAUAAAAGCUUUUCAUUUCUUUGGAUAUCCAUUACCUCUUCAAGGGCAUGACACUAUCUAUUCCAGGAUAGUCAUAAUUUAGAGAAUGUGGAUCAUAACCUCCUCUUGAGCAUUAUUGAGCUUGGAUUUUAAUCUCCACUUCCGGGGAGUUGAGUCAUUGGAACCUAUACGUUUAUCAUGCUACAUGCAUGAGACAUCAAUAUUCCCAUGUCCGUGGAUUGUCCUAUCUGGGACGUGUAUCCAUGCGGCGACUGUCAUGCUUCUGGCAUGCAACAGUUAUGCUUCAGGAAUGUAAUAGUUCAGUAGUGCCAUAUUUCUUCUUUCGAAUAACUGAACCUUUUGAGUCUAAAGGUUUGUCACGCUUCAGGCGUGCAACAGAGAAAUUAUUUACUAGCUCACUAUAUUGUCCAACAGGGACAUUAAUUCUUGUAGGCACAUUUGCAACAAAUAUAUGUCAUUUCAUCACUUUCUUGCAUCAUUAAAUGCAUCUAGCAUUUGAUUGAUAUAUCGUUGCAUCAUUCAAUUAUUCUUACUUCAUUUUUAUGUUGAUUGCUUCGUGAAUCAAAAUAAGACAAAUUCUCUUCAUUCUUCUGGAACGGUCUUUUCUUAUCAUUCUUUUGAAAUGAUAUUUUCUCAUCGUUCUUCUGGAACAAUGUUAUUUUCUCCCCCUAACGGUGGGAAAUUGUCUUAUCAAAAUGACGAUCCGCAAACCACGCGGUAAACAUAUCCUCAAUCAAGGGUUCCAAAUAUUGAAUGAUAGAUGGUGUUCAACAUCAAUGCCUAAUCCGCGAUGAUGCCUCAUUUCAGUACGUUGUGGCAAUGCAAUAGGCACAUAGAUAACAUAACCAAAAACUCGUAAAAGUAUAAUGCUUGGCUGGUUCCCAAACACGAGUUGUACUGAGAAGUAUUGAUGAUUGGUAACAUGUCUCAACCGAAUUAAUAAUGCAUCAUGUAAAGUUUACAUGUCCCCAUGUAGAAAACUGGCAAUUUCGUUUUAAUGAGCAGAGCGCGGGUAAUCAAUUUCAUUCACUUAAUAAAUGCUUCUGCUAAACCAUUUUGAGUAUGGACAUAAGCCUUAUUUAAUAGUCUAUAGACUGAGACUCUUAUGGCUUUUAUUACAAUUAAGUUAAGGCACUGCAGCACUUCAAACUUACGGUACUCAUCUAGGAACUUCAUGUCCUGAUCUUGAGGAUCAAGGGACUUCAUACCUGAUCUUUUUGCGUGAUGGAACUUCAGGUCUAAUCAUUUUUAUAUGAUGAGGAUCAAGAAACUGCAGGUUCUCAUCUGAUCAAUGAACUUUAGGUCCUAUAUAUACUCAUUGUAACAAAAGAUAAGUACAAUAAAUAAAUUAAAGCAAUAGGCGGUAAUUCCAGCCAUAAUGAAUAAAUUGCAUUUAAGUAAAUAAAGUUUGUGACAAGGGCUUUAAUUCAGCACCAUCAAAACUUAAAGCAAUAGGCGAUAAAACCGUCCAUGAUAAAUAAAUUGCUUUAAAGUAAAUAAAGCUUGUGACAAGGGCUUUGAUUCAACACCAUUCACAUAAAUAUCAAAACUUUAAAGCAAAGGGUAAUAAUUCUACCCACUAUAAAUAAAUUGCUUUAAAUAAAUAGAAUUUGUGACAUGGGCUUUAAACAAACACCAUACACAUAAAUAUCAAAGUUUUAAAGCAAAAGGUAAUAAUUCUGCCCACUGUAAAUAAAUUGCUUUAAAUAUAUAGAACUUGUGACAUGGGCUUGAAACCAACACCAUGCACAUAUAUAUCAAAGCUUUAAAGCAAAGGGUAAUAAUUCUACCCACUGUAAAUAAAUUGCUUUAAAUAAAUAGAACUUGUGACAUAGGCUUUAAACCAACACCAUGCACAUAAAUAUCAAAGCUUUAAAGCAAAGGGUAAUAAUUCUACCCACUGUAAAUAAAUUGCUUUAAAUAAAUAGAACUUGUGAUAUGGGCUUUAAACCAACACCAUGCACAUAAAUAUGCCAAAACAGAAAAUGCAAUGAUUAAGUCCUCAUCAUUUGCUUUUUCUUUUUCUUGGUCUACCACUUCUUUUGUUUGAUUCCUUUUAUUUUUAUUUUUAUUUCACAGUUCUGAAGUCAUUUUGGUUACUCAGUAAAUAAUAGUAACAAUAAGUUCCAAUUGGUGUUCCUCCUCCGAUGAGUUUCGAAAAAGUCGAAACGGUUCCCAUAAGUUUUGGAGUCAAGAGUGUUUGCAACUUAUGAGAAGAUCCAACCGUUAGAUUUAGUUCACAUUUUAGUAUGAUAUGGAUAAGAGGAUACCGAACAACUUUCGUGAAGAAACAAUUUCAAUCUGAGCUACCGAAAUGGAGUUUUGGUACUCAUAAGGUGGAUGUCCAGUUUUCUGCGGAAAUUGGAAACUAGUUUGGUAUUUCAGACAUCUGUGAUGAUCGCACCGUUAAAGUGUUUUGAAAAUUUGAUAUGUUCUAAAUACUGAGCAGACGAACAACUUUCAAGAAGAAAGUAUUUCAAUCCGAGGACCGCAAGUUGGAGUUCCAAGGUUGUUUACAUGGCUGUCAAAUUCUUUACGAAUUUUGAGUCUGAACUCUUUUGCUUCUGCAAAGGAUGAUAUACAGUUAUACAACAAUAUAUAUAGUUGCUUCAAGAAAAUCAAUUGUACUGAGAUUUGAAGAUGAAAUGAAAUUUUUUUUGUUAUCUGUGAUAUUCCAGCUGAAGGAGGUGAACAUGAUUUGUGACGCUGUGCUUUCCACUGACAUAAGAGCUUCUCGUGCUGAUAACGUGUUGUAAAAUCGACGGCGUGUGCAGUUGAAUAAAUAAACAAGACACAAAAUUUACAAGGUUCCUCUACAGUCAAUGUGCCUGGAGUACAUCCUCGGGGCAGCAGUGGUGCUUUCAUUAUAAUCUGAAAUAAUAAGAGUACAAAGAUAACUCUCUCUAUUAUCUCCUCUCAUCUUCCUCUCUUUUCUCUCUUCCUCUUCCUCUCUUUUCUCUCUUCCUUUCUUCCUUCCUAUCUCUCCCGUGAGUCUCCCACAUUCAUCUCCCAAUCUUUUUUUUUUUGUGUUCCAUAAGACUUGCUUUUAUAGAAGCAAAUCACAAGCAACAUAGUGAAAGGCUUACUAUAUGCAUGUGAGUAUUUACUAUACACAUUACUAUACACAUGUGGGAAAACAUACCCAUUAUUUACAUCACAUCCAUGCUUUUUGGUUCAAUUAUUUUCUUUUUCUGUUUCAUCCUUUCAUUUGAUUCAUCAUGCUCAACGGGACCGUCAUUGUUACCAAGGGCCAUCAUCACUUUUGGUAGGAUUUUCAUUUGAAACUUGCUUCACCUUGUUACUCUUUUUCAAUUAUUCCAAUUAAAGAGGUAGAUGAUGCUUUAUUGCAGUGAUGGAAAACAAUUAUGCUUAUGUACUCUUGUGCAGUUUCGAUCCUCAUAGAUUCGCUUCCUCCUAAACCCAAAACCACUUAGACUUUCUUAACUUUUGGAAUCUACUACAUAUGUUACCUUCCAUUUUUUUGCCAUAAAAACAUCUUACCACUCACGUGGAGGGAUAUUUUUCGUCAAUCCACUUCCUAAAGCUCGCUACAAUGAAUUUGCACAAAUUCAAAAUGCAUUUUUUUAGCAACGUUGGAGUCAGGUAAUGAAGAGACGGGUUUGAUUUUGAGAAGGGUUGUUGAAAAAUUGAAGUGAAAAAUGAUUAGUGGCAUUUACAUUUGUUGUUUGGUAGAUGGUGGCUGCAUGUGUUUUUUCUGGGUUUUUGGUUCUUUAUUACUUAGACUUACUAAAAAUUCAAAUUAUUUAUUGUUUUGUUGUAGGCAUAAUUUACUGACCAAUUAUGGAGGCCAGAAAGAGAGAGAAGGUGAGGCAUGGAGAGAGAAGAGAGGGAUGUGUAAUUGUGAGAUGGAGAGAAGGUUCUAUUCCACCCCAUUGUGCCUUUAUUUAUAGUAGUAGGGAAGGUUAAUUCCUUACACUUUUAGGAUUACAACUCUAAUAGGAUAUUAACUACUAAGGGAAUAUUCAAAGAUGGCCCUAGAUACACUAUGAUUUAUACAAUCGCAUUCCUAAUCUAAUAGGACUACAACACUCCCCCUUGAGUGUGUAAAUACUCAACUAAAUGGCGCAUUAGGUCUUCAACGAUGAAGUAAGUACAAUUGAUGAAGUUGUCAGCACAAUGAGCGAAUGAGAGUCUCAUAUCAAUGAAAGAAUGCAUAAAAAGUAAAACUCACAAAACCUCGCUAUGGUAAAACCUAAGGUGGGAGAAAAACCCAUAGACUAAGGAGAAAAGUGAGAAGUUGCAUUAAAUCAAAACUAUACGUCUUCUGGACGCAAGUAGAAGAGCUCACAAAGGUAUGAUCAGCCCAGGAUGGGUGCCUCGUCAAAACCUAGUUAGGUAGCAAAAACCCAGUAGGAAAAAUGCUCCUAAUCGUAGGAAAAAAAAAUACAUUAAGAUCAAGUGAGUAUACUUCUGGAUACUCCCUCAGAGUUUGACAGAACUUCCAAAUGAGAACUACAGGCAUUGCAUAUGAAUAGUUAGGCAGACCAGUUCCUUAGACAAGCUUAUGGAAGGUUGACUUCGGUAGUGACGUCAUGUAGAGGUCGGCAAGGUUGUCUAGGAUUGGCUUGCAUGACUUCAAUCACCUGAUGCUUUGCUGAUGUAGAUGUAGAUGCAAUAGGUCUUGGCGUUGACUUUGUUGAUGUAUCAUGUCUUGGUCGGGUUGAUACAUGCGGCAUAGUCUUCAUGGAUCAUCAUCGGGACUCAACGAUGGAUGAUAACAGCAAGUACUUUGAAUAUGCUCAACAAGAACUCCUAACCAUGUCUUACGUGUGGCAUAGUGAAGUGAGAUAUAUGAUGCUUUAUUGCAGUGACGGAAAACAAUUAUUCUUAUGUAGCUUUGUUCAAUUUCGAUCCUUGCAAAUUAGCUUCCUCCUAAACCCAAAACUACUUAGACUUUCUUAACUUUUGGAAUCUACUACAUAUGUUAGCUUCCAUCUUUUUGCAGUAAAAACAUGCUGCCACUCACGUGGAGGGAUAUUUUUCGUCAAUCCACUUCCUAGAGCUCACUGAAUUAAUUUGCAAAAAGUCAAUAUGCAUUUUCCUGCAGCGUUGGAGUCAAGUCAUGAAGAGACGAGUUUGAUUUUGACAAGGGUUGUUGAAGAAUUGAAGUAAAAAAUGAUUGCUGGCAUCUACAUUUGUAGUUUGGUGGAUGGUGGCUGCAUGUUUUUUUUUGGGUUUUUGGUUCUUUAUUACUUAGACUUACUAAAAAUUCAAAUUAUUUAUUGUUUAACAUCGUAAUAUGUGUUUUGUGUCGGGUUUGUUGUGAUGACUGUAUUGGACAAUUGCUAAAGACAAAUCUUAGUCUAUUAGGUCCUUAUGCAUAGACACUGUUCUAAAAAUUCAUGUCUAGCAUAGCGCAGUCUAGGCGCUAGGCAACUGACCACUAUCCCGAUUAGUUGAAAUAGGGCACCUACACCUGCUUAGGCACCCGCCCAGACUAGCCUAGGUACCUUCCUAGGUCGCAACUCUCAUUUAGACAGAAAAUGGAUAGAAUUCAUUUUGCAUUUUAUUUGUUUCAAUAUAUUAUAAGAGACUUGUUAGAUAAUUAAAUGGAUAUACUUUAUAUGCUUGUUCCUCAUGUUUUUAUUAUAUUCUAAUACUUUAUAAUCUAUGUCAUUCUAUUUUACAAUUUAUGUAUUUAAGUGAAAUUAUCUAUUUUUUAAGUAUAAAUAGACACCUAUUUAUAUGAUGUAUAAUAAAUUUCAUUGUGACGAGAACACAAGUGGUACACCACGUGUUUUAAUAGAAGUGGUGGGAAAUUUUAUUUUUUUUAAUUAUUAACUUUUUAGCACACAUAUCCUACCAUUUGUAUAAUGACACGUGGUGCCCCAUCCCCUAUACCGGUCACACUGAAAAAUCUCUCCACUCUGGGAGGUUAAAGUGAAAGCAUGCCUUAAAUAACCAAAAAGAGAUUAAUGCAAUUUCAACAUUGAUUGUAAUAGAGGAGCAGUUAGCAUCAUACUAAUAUUGGAGUAGAGAGACUUGUAACAGAGAAAGCUCAACCAAAUAUCUUACAGAAUGAAAUUGAAGAAGAAGAACCAGAGAGCCUGAUGGGUACAACUUGGGAGAACUUAGAAGCCUAUAUGGGAACUCAUCUAGUGAUGAAGAACCGGAUUCAAUGAGAAGGAAUAGGAGGUAGAAGAAACAACCCAAGUUUAAACAUCAUAGAAAAGAAACUGAUGUCAGUACCAUAGAGUUUGAUUUGGGGAUGUCUUUUCUUAUUAGACUAAACAUAUAAACCAAGAUCAUGUAACAUGAAUCACAGCCACCCAAACACAAACUGUAGUUCAUGACUAUUGUACAGAGUAGAAAUCUUACCUGCAGAUGCACCAGAAGAAGAAGCCACUAUAUAUAGGUCUUAGUCCGAGACAGAGCGUAAUAUCUGUGAGAGGAUAGACCACUAUAUAUAUAGAACAUAAUCCUAGCCAAAACCAAUAAGGAUUUUCCUAUUAAAAUCCAUACAGCAAACUGAAAUUGUUUACAAUAGGUGAAUCAGUUCCUUGUUCUAUUUGAAUCCUAGAACAACAUGGAUUAAUAAUCAGUACUCAUUAAGACUUUCUAUCAAACUUGAGACGAAUCACCAAUUCUCUAGACUCAUGCUCAUAUUCUUGCAUUCCCAAGUUCCAAGGAAUUCAAAGAAGUUGUGAAUAGACACUUUUAUAAUAUGCAGGUCUUACGAGUUAACCACAAAUGGUUGGUACAAGGUUAAGGCUCAAAUUCAUGCCCUUGGCAAGUGAUGCUUCUAAUGACCAAUCUGAUAGACAUUCUCCUUUAUAUGUAAAACAUUUGUUCCAAAUCACACUUGUGGAAAAGAUGAAAACAAUACGAGUGUGACCAGUACUUGGUUGGCUGAGAGAUAUGCUGAUGAUAUGAAGAUCAAUCCCUUUUUUUUUUUAAUAAAGGACGGCAUAUAUAUAUGAAAAUCAAUCCUAAAAUGGAUGUUAAGACAAUGAAAGCUACAAUGAGGGAUUAUCCAUUCUAAUCCCUCUCCAAAUGAUAGGAUUGUGAGUGAUAAGUUUAUUUCAUUCCAAUCCCCUUUGAAUUUUAAGAGUUGCCUAUUCCAAUCUAAACCUAGAGACGAAACGCGGCCAUAUAUUACAAAGACAAAGAUUCUAAAACGGCCUUCGCUCAGAGAAGAAAAAAAAGCCAUGCAGUGAGAACAUCUAAGGGAAACGAGUUGAUCCUCAAUAAACGCCUCAAUAGAAUGACGUAUCUUUGUUAAAGCAUCUGCCACAAAAUUAGCUUAAUCUAAAACAUGAUAGAAGCUGAUAUGAUCAAGCAUCCCAUGUUUGCUGAAAAGAUGAAAGAAGGAUCUUUCCAAGUUUAGGAAGGUGGGAGUUGCCAAAGAGAAACCGAUUUGAGCCGCAUCUGCUCCAAAUAUCUCAGGCAAACGGUCAGCUGACAAAAUGCGGUCAAUGGCUUCAACAUCUUGAGAAUAAAAGGCACAACUAGGAUCAAUUGGUUGUACUUUAUAUAGGGAUAAGAAUUGAGUUUCCUCUUUCACAAAUGUUACUUAUUCAUUACGGCCAUUAUACUGUCAGUAUAACUUUUCCGGCUUCUAAGUUCGGAACCCUCCCAAACAUUGGACACUACAAUACUAGAUAAUGCAAUAAGAUACAACAGUACAAUACAAUAUAGUUGAAAACAAUCCAUCUAAGAUAGUACAGACUCAAUCGGACGAAUCAGGAGCCCUAGUGUUCAAGCUUCCACCUUUGCGGUAAACUUAAGUGGUGGCUUCAAGAAAUGGAUAAUCAGUGUAACCAAUGACGGGAUCAGGUAUGUAGAAUGUCUCUCUGUUGUACUUGUUUAGAGGAGCAUUAAGUUCAAAUCUCUUUGGCAAAUCUGGAUUCGCCAAGAAAAUACGGCCAUAAGCAAUAAGAUCUGCACUGCCCUUGGCCACAGCACUGUUUCCAUCUUCCCUAUCAUAACCACCAGCAGCAAUGAAGGUACCAUGGAAAGACUUUCUCAUGGGAAGAAGACUCUGGUGGGUUUCAUCUUUUUCCCCCAUUGUCUUCAUCCUCGGCUCAACCAUGUGGCAGUACACGAUUCCAUAUUUGUUCAAGGCAUUGGCCAUAUAGAGGCCUAAUUCUUUUGGAUUUGAAUCCCCUGAGUCCAUAUAGUCAGCAAAUGGAGAUAAUCUAAUUCCAACUUUAUCUGCUCCUAUUUCGUUAGCGACAGCUUCAACAACUUCCAGAGGAAGGCGGCAACGAUUCUCUAGAGAUCCACCAUAUUGGUCUGUUCGAUCAUUCACAUGAUCUUUCAGAAACUGAUCAAGAAGGUAGCCAUGCGCCCCAUGAAUUUCAACUCCAUCGAAGCCUAUAUAGCAGAUUAACAAUUUCAACAUACUGACGGUAUUAGAACCUUAAGCAUUGUAGCUGAAUUACCAAACAAAUAAUAUAAAGACAAACUACCGGCUUCAAUAGAAUUCCUUGCAUAAGCUUUGAAGCAAAUUGAGUUGUUGUAAAUUUUCUUUCAUUUUAACGUAAAGACAAAUUACCAGCUUCAAUAGAAUUCCUUGCAGCAAGUCUAAAAUCAUUGACAAUUUGUGGAAUUUCAUCUGUCCUUAAUCGUCUUGGAGGCGUGAAUUCAGAGGCAUCGAUGCCAUUUAAUCGUAUCGGCUUGUCAGUAGAAGAUAUUGGAGCUUGCCCAUUUGGUUGAUAACCUGUAAGCAAGGAGAGAAAGAAUUACAACCUGAAGUCUAACGACAGUAACUAACAUCCACAGCAGCACUCUUUUAAGUGGGAAUCCUUUGUUACAAAUUACUAUAACCACACGUGCUAUAUACUAGUUCUGAAUUCUGAGUUAUGUUAACAUCAAACUUAUUCCCAUCCAAUAAUAAUAAUAACAAUGCUUCCGAAACAGCAAAGUCAUAACAAGUCCAACUCGGAACUUAACAAGUCCAAGUUUUAUCGUCAUUUUGAGCAACAAUGUUGUCAUUUAUAAUCACUCGCUCGUUCUGAUGCAUAUACCAUUAUGUUAUACAUCAAACUUCUUAAUCGGUCUAAUUAUUCACUCAUGUUAACAAAGCAUUCUAUGGUAAAAGUGAGGUCAUAAAGGUGUAAGUCAGAAACGCACCGCUAUUAGAAACCCUUCCAACAUGCCAAAUCUGACAGAAGAAGAGGCCACCUUUAGCAUGAACAGCAUCAACAAUGGGUUUCCAGGCUUCAACUUGCUCCUUUGUCCAUAUACCAGGUGUGUUCGGGUACCUUCGUAUAUUAAAGAACCAAAAAUUUCAUCAAACUUUGAAACGAAAGAAGCACCCUCAAAUGCUUGUUAGUCUAUGAAUCUACUGUUGUUGAAAUUACCCUUGAGCUGUGUUGGAAACUCCAGUGGCUUCAGCUAUGAGAAGACCCCCGUUCGAAGUUCUCUGAGAGUAAUAUAAGAUAGCAUGUGGUUGAGGAACAUUGUUGUAUGAUCUCUGUCUGGUCAAUGGUGCUAAAACAAUUCUGGAAAGGAAAAAGCAAUUGUAAAUUAUAAAUACAGAGUGAUCAAGAUGGAAUGUGGCUGAGGAACAUUAUCGAAUGAUCUGUAUCUAGUCAUCAACGGUGAAAAUACAAUUCUAAACAGGAAAAACAUAUAAUAAACCAUAAAUACAACCUUCAGACUUUGUAGGAAGCAUUAGUUUGCUAAGGCUCCUUCAUAACAAAUUCGUUUUUAGUUUUCUUGUUUUAGUUAAAAAGGAGAAACGAGGGAGGAAGAAGGAAUUUGGGGCGAAAAUGUAUGAAAUAAAAAGUCGAAUUGUAGAUUAUCUGAAUUUGCUAAGGCUCCUUCAUAACAAAUUCGCUUUUAGUUUUCUUGUUUUACUUAAAAAGGAGAAACGAGGGAGGAAUAAGGAAUUUGGGACGAAAAUGUGUGAAAUAAAAACUCUAAUUGUAGACUAUCUGAAUUUGCUUUAUGUUCUUCAUUUUCGGUAUCAUUCCAUGCACAUUUGGUCCCUCAUCCAUCCCUUCCCCUUCCCCUUCCUCCUCCUCCUCCUCUUCUAUCAUGCAUUUUCUCUUUUACUUAAAAUUAAAAACUAAAAAUCAAAUACGAAAUCGUUACCAAACACAACCUAAACAAAGCAAUGUCUUACGAAGUGACCAUGGCCGAAAGGACACAUACUUUUAACAAUCUAUUGCAUCUAUUUUCAACAAUUAAUCAAUGAAAUAACUCAAGUGUACUGUUGUUUUGAUUUAAUUUGUAACAUCUGUACUAUUUUAUAGACAAAGAUACAGUUACUCUUUUUUUUUUUUUAGGUAAACUGGAAUUACACCAGGGCAAAGCCAGAGUACAACAGGAAAACCCACACAGAGGACUAACAUAGCUAAAACCAUUGAAACGACAAACAACAGAAUGAUCCAGGGCCAAGGACCAACACUAGUUCCGACAUUAUGUCACCCUUAAUCAUUCCAACAUAGACUCAACUUAGUGUGGGCAAGGUAGACCAUCCUUGUUCAACUUCUUGUCUCCUUCCCAACAUCUGUACUAUUUUAUACCAACAUGAUUCUCUCCAGAUUCUUUUGGUGAGAAUCUUGUCUGUUCAUCAUAAAUCGUGCGAUCAGUUUUUGUCAACUACUGUUCGUGUUUUAUUUUAAAUAAAAAUAUUUAAAAUAAUUUUUGACCGCACGAUGUACGAUGAACAGACAGGAUAACGGAUUUCCAAGAUUCUCACAAAGAGAAUCCGACGAGUAUCCGGAAUCUAUUUUAUAGACAAAGAUACAGUUACAAACAGUCCUUGUCUCCUUCCCCAAAUCAUUCUUCGUUUUUGUAUAGCUAUAUUUGACACACACACAUAAUAAACCACACAGUACGCUAAACUUGAAUAUAGACAAGCAGUAAUUUCAUCUUCUAUUUUUCUUGUUAGCCAAUAGCCAUCUGCAGACCUAGCUACUCUCUGAAUCCAAGUUCGGAUCUCCUCUCAUAGUUUUUACAACAUUAUAUUAAAAUAACGCCCGAAUAAAAUAAAUUAAACAAUUACACGACAGAGAAAUUUAAGAAGUAAACAAAUAGGAACAAUGUAUGAAAGUUUUAAGUACCUAUGAGAAAGAUUGAAGUUUCCCAAUUUGUAGGGAGUGAGGAGAGGAAUUGUGGGAGGUUGAGCAGCAGCAGACAUCUCAGAAUUCGAGUCGGUCGUCUACCACCUGAUCUUGCACUUGGCGUUUUAUACUGGAUUCUGGGAUGAAGGAAGGAAGGAAUGAAUGAAAACAGGACCCAAUUGGGUCUUUUAUACGUUCGGUAGGAGCUUAAAAGUCCGCCCUGCAGCUUUCCUCCACAAAAGUCAGAGAAGGCCGGGUCCCACAUCUCCCCUCCCUUGUGUGGUGGUGGCGGCGGCGGACGUCGGUGGGUGGAUGAUGGAUCUCUCCAAAGCAUUAAUUAAAUCGAUUAGGUGAAGAGAGGUAGGAAGGUUUGAUGAGGUCUGUAAUUACGUUUACGUGGGUUGAAAAUAAACCAGUUUUAUGAGGUCUGUAAUUACGUUUGCGUGGGUUGAAAGUUCACCAGUUUUCCCCAUGAAAAAGGACGUCUACGCACGUUCAUUUCGAUUUUGCUUUUUCAUCCUGCAUUAUUAGGCCAUGGUUAGAAAAAAUAUAUUAUAAUUUUGUAAAAAAAUUAAUUUUAAAUUAAUAGUGUCAGAUCAUAUUUAUAUACUAUCGCUAACCAAAUGAGCUAAACAUAGCCUCAUCAAUUUCCGAUGGAUAGCUAGACUAAAAUUCUAUGGAGCUCAUCAAGCCAUCAUUUGGCUAAAGGGGCAUUGGGCUGGCCAAAUGUAGCCCCCCUUCUUAGCCCUUUUUGGAGCCCAGCUCCUCUACUGCACUAUUUGAGUCAAAUUCAAUAACUAUGUUUGAAAACAUUUAAUGGAAGUUUAAUUAAAUUAAUCAAUAAAUUUAAUAUAUAAACUUAAAACUAAGUAAUUAUUGAGAGGGUUAUGUUUAGCCACUUCAGUGACGGUAUAAGUAUGAUGCGAUAUUGUUCAGUCAUUUCGGUUAAUGAUGGCCUACGGUUAGAAUUUUGAGGAUAUGUGAGACUAAAUGCAUGUUAGUUACAAAAUUAUGUUUGUUUAGAUCACUUGAAAUAUUUGACAACUUAAUAAAGAAAAACCAACUUAAAAUCCAUGAAUUAGAAAACUCAUUUUCUUUUUUGGUUUUAUUAAGUUGUCAAAUAUUUAAGCUUUUGAAUACAAACUAAUAUAAUCUUGUGGCUAAUAUACAUUUGGUCCUCACAAAUCUUUAAAAUGAAGACCUUACUUGAUCAAUGAAUUUAUGACAAAUUAAAUAGUCUAAAAAUAAAAGGCUCGAAUUAGGGCUAGGUUCAGUUCAAAUCAGUUCAAUUUUUUUUUCAGUUUGGGUUUUUUUUGGUUCCAAUUCGGUUUUUUUCGUGAUUUUUUUUAAAUCUUUUUUUUUUUGUCAAAAAUAUAAAGAAGAGUAAUUUUACUUUUUUUUUUUUCCGAUGAACUAAGAAAUUAAAGAAGGAACUUGAAUUAAAACUAGGGCAACUCGCAAUGAUGGCUGCAUCAACAAAUCAUCCAUAUCUACAAUACGAACAGAAACCUUUGUAAAUCAUAAAGUCCUUAAUGCUGAAUCCUUUAAGAACCAAGACUUGAAAACCCUAAAUCUGCAAUACAAACCCACAAGUAACAAACAAACCCACAACACAAAAAUCGACCAAAUCUGCAAUACAAACCAAACUCCCUCCAUGGCGCCAUGUCGCUGCCUCCGUUUUCCGGCCAAACCAAGGCGAUUUAACAUAAAAAAAAAAGGUACCAUUCUCUUCGUCUCAUCUAGAAGUAUGAUUUUUGUUUUUGAAUCACUUGAUUUCGUUGAGUAUUCAAGAAGUUAUGAACGUUUAAAGUUUACUCAGUUUCUGGCGAGUUUUCAAGUUUUCUAUCUUAUUCUACACUUUCCUAUCUUCAUUUUGAUAUUUUAUGGGUCGAAUUUGGUUAAGAAACGAUUGAGUUAUAAAGCUUUGAAAAUUGCCCAAGAACUCCGGGACACUUAACGGAGUUUUUAACGGAAUGACCAAAAUGAUGGAUGGUGGACAAUCUCAAGGACCACUUUUAUCGAUUUGAAAUGUUAGGGACCAAGGUGAUGAGUUAUGCAAAUCUCAGGGACUAUUUUGACUAUUUAGCCUUUUUUUUUUCAUAAACGAAAAUAAUUUUUUUUAAUGAAGAUAGAAAAGUGUAGAAUAAGAUUAUACCUAUUUGGAAGCCCAAUGGCUGCCGGAGAUAGCCGGAAAAUAGCCUCAAAGUUGACUGGUCCGAGGGAAAAUUGGAAAACUCGCCGGAAACUGGGUAAACUUUAAACGUUCAACUUCUUCAAUACUCAACUAAAUCAAGUGAUUCAAAAACAAAAAUCAUACUUCUCGAUGAGACGAAGAGAAUGGUACCUUUUAAGACGGUUAAAUCGCGGUGGUUUGGCCAUAAAAAGGCUCAAAAGUGUCUAACUCGAGACCAAGACAGCCACUUUGGAACCGUUUUCCGGGCAAACCACGGUGAUUUAGCCGUCAAAAUAGGUACCAUUCUCUUAUUAUCGUUGAGAAGUAUGAUUUUAGUUUUGAAUAACUUGAUUUCGUUGAGUAUUGAAGAAGUUAUGAACAUUUAAAGUUUACUCAGUUUUUGGCGAGUUUUCCAGUUUUCCUUCGGACCAGUCAACUUUGAGGCUAUUUUCUUGCUAUCUCCGGCAGCCAUUGGGCCUCCAAAUAGGUAUAAUCUUAUUCUACACUUUCCUAUCUUCAUUUUGAUAUAUUAUGGGUCGAAUUUGGUUAAGAAACGUUUGAGUUAUGAAGCUUUAAAAAUUGUCCAAAUUUCCAGCCAAGAACUCCAGGACACUUAACGGAGUUUUUAACUAAAUGACCAAAAUGAUGGAUGGUGGACAAUCUCAAGGACUAAUUUUAUCGAUUUGAAAUGUUAGGGACCAAAGUGAUGAGUUAUGCAAAUCUUAGGGACCAUUUUGGCUAUUUAGCCCAAAAAAAAUUGCAAACUUUAAAUGAUAAUAGAACAAAGUAAUACUAAUUUAUAAUAAAGAAGUCAGGUUGUUAAUAGAUGAAUUUGAUUGAAUUUUUAUUGUGUUAGGAAGUGUUAGGAGGAGGAUACAAUUAUCUUACUAGACUACGACACUUGUACAUCAUUAGCAUCGCAAGUACUCAUUUUCCAAAUGUGCAUUACAUUUGAUUUUAAAAAUUUGGUAUUCCUACCAUUAUCCUGAAAACAUAUAUAUUCACAUAUAAACUUUGUUCUUAUUGUGAGGAAACUCCAAAUGUUGAAGCCAUAUUCUUUAAUUGGUCUAUGAUUGAGGAGUGACCGUUGAAAUGUGUAGACUUCAAAAGGAUGUCUAACCUAAUAAUAGUGGUAAUUGUGGUUGAAUCUGAAAUAUUUGACUGCAAAUUCACCGGUUCUUUAGACCUUUCUGAUUCUCUUCGUUAUCUUUACUGGCAUGAUAUCCACUGAAAUCUUUACCGUAAAAUUUUACUCUAGAAAAUCUGGUUGAGCUUCAUAUGCCCGUAUGCAAUUUUAACAUUGAUUGUAUCAACAAGAAAGAUGUAAGACAAUGAAAGCUACAAUGAGGGAUUAUCCAUUCUAUAUAUGAAAAUCAAUCUUAAAAUGGAUGUUAAAAAAUUGAAAGCUACAAUGAGGGAUUAUCCAUUCUAGUCCUUCUCCAAAUGAUAGGAUUGUGAGGGAUAAGUUUGUUUCAUUCCAAUCCCCUUUGAAUUUUAAGAGUUACCUAUUACUUUAGUCUAAAGUAGGGGGAGGUGGCAUUGUGCAAUUUUGGGGUACAUUUCAGUUUACUUACGAAAUUGCCAUUGAGUCUCUCUGUUCCCUCAUUUAACGUUAUUUGCAAAAUUGCCAUUGGGCUUCAGAAAGGGUUUUGGGUCUUUGGGCUGGAAUUUCCGUCCAGAUUGGAAUUUUCGAUUAUUCGAUCCACGCGUUGAUCAUCGCUGGAUCGCCAGCUGUGUGGUAUUUGGUGAGGGGAUGGGUUACGUGUCCAUCAUUGUCGGAAGGUUUCCUUCGACUGCAACUUCUCGACUUUUCGUUCUGUUUCAACUUCUCUCUCACAAGCCUCUGCUUCAGUCGCUCUUGAUCUUCGCCUUUUCUAAGGCGUUUGAGGGACAAAAACCGAAAGCCAAACCACCACCACAAACGAAGUCACAAAUAGGGAUGGGCAACGGUUAUGGCGGACGGGUAACCGCGAUUAUUUACCCAUAACCAUUUAUACUUAUAUCCGCAUAAUUGUUUACCCGUUGGGUAAUUGCCCAAACAGUUAUACCCAUACUCAUAACCAUUUAUAAACGGUUAACCAUACCCAUAACAGCAUACCCAUUUAACCAUAACCGUUUAAUACCAGUUUACUCAUUUACUCUUUUUAACCUGUUUAAUUUUUAUUUAUUUUUUAUCAUUACCUCUUUUUUCACCCUUCUACAUGUUUUUUAACAACUUGAAAAUUAAAAAAAAAAUGUCAUAAUUUUUUUUUGGCAAUUAAACACCGUUAUAAGCACAUUCAUCUUACAUUUCCGUAUUAAAAUUUUUUAAAUCCUUAUCUCAUUCUAAUAAUUGAAAUAAUUUCCGGCAAAGACACAACGGUGUGCACUCGUACGUGGAUUAUUUAUAUGCUCAGCAAGCACCCUUAUAUGCAAGAAAAGGUUGUAACGGAAGUUUGAGAAGCAGCAAAUCUGAAAGAUGACUCAAGCAUUGUUGAACUUGCAGACAAUCUUAAUGAAGAUGCCCUUAAUAAAAUGCAGUAUGUCUUAGUAGCUUUGACUGAGACACAAAGGCUCUACCCUGUAAUUCCACUGGAAAUUUGACUAACAUCUUAACUAAAUCUAAUGCAUGCAUACUGCAAGGGAAAUGAUUUCAGUGCGCUCCCAUUUAUUUUUCUCACUUAAAUUUCUUUUGAUUUAUUCAAUUUAAGAAUAGAAAUACUCCAUGGAUCAUCGUUUAUUACUUUUUAAUUAAUUAAAACACUGCUAUAUAAACCACAUUAUAGUCAAUAGUAUUGAUCUAAGUUUUGUUUGAUAGAGAACAUGAUUUGUGUUAAUUUUAUAUAUAUAAAAUAAAUAGAUAAACGGUUACUCAUUUAUAACCAUGAUUAAUACUCAUAAUCAACUAUUUAUAUUUUACGGAUGAACGAUUAUACCUAUAACCGUUUAUUUAUUUAAACGGUUACCCAAAUGAUCGUGUAACCGCGGAUCAUCCCUAGUUACGAACGCCACUCUCACUCACCCUCCACCGUUACACACGCACCCAAUCAUAAUUCUGAAAUCCAAACACAACCCAGAUGUUAAUCCUUCAGAGAAUGGCAAUGGCCACUUCUUCUUCCUUCCUCUUAAUCCCUCUCCUCAAUACUCUUCUUUGCUUUCCCCAGUUAAACACCAAGCUCCGAGUUCAGGUCUCUGUCCUUGUACGGCGGUAGAACUGGAGACUCCACCUCCUCGGCGAUGGCCACAGAGGCUCAGGUCUCGACCCAAGACGACAAAUUGAAGGAUGCCCAGAUGGAGGUAGCUGAUAAACCUGAGACAGUCGUGCUUCCAACCAACGAGUCCUCCGAAAGCCUCAUCAUAAUUCGACACACGGUAUUUAUUGAAAUUUCAUUGCUUUGGAUUGGAUUUAUGAUUGUUUUAUGUUAAAUUGAAGUAGGGUGCUUUCCUGUUGAAUUUUUUGAAUUUUUAGAUUCUUAGGAGCUUCCCCUUUUUGAAAGUUUGAUGCUUUUAAUUAACUAUUUUCAAUUCUGCGUUACUAAUUGUCACCUGAUUCUAUUGUGAAGAAUGAGGAAGUGAGGAUGAAGAAAAUAAGAACCUAACUUUUCGGUAAUUUGAAAUUUGAUCGAAUAGGACAUGGAAAAAUGGGUGUACAUCAGUAGAUAAGCUGGGAAAAUUUUCAAGACUUGGAUUGUCUGCCCUCUAAUUUUGGUGCCCUCCCAGUGCCCUCUUGUUUUUGUGGUCAUGGUUAAGCCACAUCAACAUUUUAUAGUACUAUUUCUUUUUGUUUUAUUAUUUUUAUAAAAAAAUGAUAUAAAAUAUUGACGUGGCUUAACCGUGACCACACAAAACAGGAGGGCACCGAAAUGGGAGGGCAGACAAUCCAAGUCCAAAUUUUCAUCCUGUUUUUGGGAAUGUGAGAAGAUACAUGGGUUUCUGUAUUUUGAUAAAGUGUUGAGGUCGAGCUAUGUUCAUUUUUUUCUAAAUUUCCAUGUAGUUUGGUAUUAAUGGCGUCUUUUCCGCUGUUAUGGUGAUGAACUAUUUAUGUGUUUGACUGCAGUGUGCACACGUGAUGGCCCUGGCUGUUCAAAAGCUCUUCCCGGAUGCAAAAGUGACAAUUGGUCAGUGGAUAGAAAAUGGGUUCUAUUAUGAUUUUGAUAUGGAGCCUUUGACAGACAAAGAGUUGAAGAGAAUCAAGAAGGAGAUGGUAAGUGGAAUUUCUUUAUAAGUUAUCAUGUUUGUAUCAAAGUUUUGGAACCAUGAAACUAUUGAAAACUAUUCAUGAUCAUUUCUUUUGUGAUUUGUAGGAUCUCAUCAUUGGUAGAAACUUACCACUCAUAAGAGAAGAAGUUUCAAGAUAUGCUCACAAAAGAAUAACUGCGCUCAACGAAGCAUACAAAUUGGAAAUUUUGGAUAGUAUUAAAGAAGAUCCCAUUACCAUAUAUCAUAUUGGUAAGGGUUUCACUAUUUUCAGGCUCAAUAUAGUUUGGAAGGUGAUGAUUUAAUGUGCAGGAACUGUGCGUAAAUGAUAUUUUUAUUAGCUACACAAGUGAAAUGUACAGUGUUUGUGUCGAGUCUUAAGAUGGAAAUUUAAGGGAAUAAAAAAGAGAGGGCGGGGGUGUGCUCAGGGAAAACAAUGUUGUUGGUGCUCUUUAAAAAUGAGUUAUUGAUAUGCAAAUUGAAAAGGAGACUAAUUUGAAGGUGGGAGGAACCUUUUGGUCAAGCUAACCAAUUAUACUUAUGUUUAUACAUAUGCAUGCUUGUACUGGGAUUUGAUUGUGUUUUGAACUAGCAUCCUGUCAUAUUAGACUGUCUUUAUGUCAUAAUUCCUCAUAGUAUGCCGAAUUCUUCUUAUGUGAUGAAUGGUAGGAAGCAUGUGCAGGGCCCCAUGUUGAAAAAACUGGAAAUAUUAACGGAAAAGCUGUCGAACUUGAGUCUAUUGCUGGUGCUUGCUGGAGAGGAGAUGAAAAAAACCAAUGCUGCAGAGGAUCUAUGGCACUGCAUGGGAGAGUGAAGAUCAAUUGAAGGCAUAUCUUCAUUUCAAAGAGGAAGCUAAACGUCGAGAUCACAGGGGCUUUGAUCAAGUUCUUGACCUGUUUUCUAUACAGGUACUCAGAAUUGCCCUGAAUCUCUUUCUGCUGCUUACGCAGAUUUAUCAGUUAGCAAUCCCAUUAUUUGUAAUUAUGAGGAUUCUUGCAUUAACUCUGCCUGUGUAAGUUUAUCUUACAUUGCCGGUCCCAAGUCCGGGUAAAGGAGGAGGGGGAGGGCGUCAGGUAGUCGACAGCCGGCACUCCACAGUUACGUCGAAUCCUUAUGAAAAUGAAUCCAGAACGAAAUCGCGCUAAAGCUAGGGCGUCACCCGUAAGUGGCGCGCUGUGUGGCCCGAGCACAGUGAUAAGUGAGCAAGGGUCGCUGUAUCUCCAUCGGCACCCGGAUGCAGUGUUAAAUGAGCAAGGGGGCCAUAGAAACUUCUUUUCGAACGACUCCACUCAAAGUUGUUUGGGAGCAUAUACUCCUAUCAACUUUACACAGGACACACAAAAGAAGUACUUUGAUCCUAUUGGACGGGGGAGGGUGAAGAAGCUAGGACAAAAGGGUAGAGUUCAAGAGAGUAGAAUGCGUUUAGGAACGUGGAAUAUAGAAACCUUAACGGGAAAAUCUAUAGAAGUAGUGGAAGUUAUGGUGAGGAGAAGGAUAAAUAUUAUGUGCCUACAAGAAACUAAGUGGGUUGGUCUUAAGGCAAAGGAUCUAGAAAACUUAGGGUUUAAACUUUGGUAUUCGGGCACAAGUAGAACGAGAAACGGUGUUGGCAUCAUCUGUGGACAAGACCUUGACACAAGAUGUUGUAGAUGUCAAGAGGGUAGGAGAUAGAAUCAUGGCAAUCAAGAUUGUAAUAGGACAAGAACUCAUCAAUGUCAUUAGUGCGUACGCACCUCAAGUAGGGUUGGAUACGAGUUCGAAGGAGAAAUUUUGGGAAUACCUUGGAGACUUGGUGCUGGGAAUACCUUGGAGACUUGGUGCAAGGAAUUGCCCAGACGGAGAAGUUAUUUAUAGAGGAGAUUUAAAUGGACACGUGGGCAGGGAGACAGGCAACUAUAGAGGUUUUCAUGGUGGCCAUGGUUUUGGGGAGAGAAACGAGGAUGGGGAAGCUAUCUUGGAUUUUGCAAUGGCAUAUGAUCUCUUCUUAGCCAACACAUUCUUUAAGAAGAGAGAAGAACAUGUGAUCACCUACAAGAGUGGGUUGUCAAAAACACAAAUAGAUUUUCUUCUAAUGAGGAUAUGAGAUCGUAUAACUUGUAAGGAUUGCAAAGUUAUACCGGGAGAGAGCUUGGCUAAUUAACAUCGCUUGUUGGUGAUGGAUGUACAUAUCAAAAGAGUGAGAAAAAAGAACAAGACUUGGAAGUGCCCAAGGCCUAGAUGGUGGAAUCUAAAAGGAGAAAAACAAGCCAUUUUCAAAGAGAAAGUAAUCACCCAGUGUGGGUGGGAUAGAGAGGGGGAAGCUAGCUAAAUGUGGGAUUCCAUGGCUAGUUGUAUCCGAAAAGUAGCAAAAGAGGUAUUAGGAGAGUCCAAGGGCUUUGCCCCACACCAAAAGGAAUCUUGGUGGUGGAAUGAGGAGGUACAAACAAAGGUGAAGGCUAAGAAGGAAUGUUGUAAAGCCUUAUACAAGGACAGGACCGAUGAAAAUAGUGAAAGGUAUAGAAGAGCGAAGCAAGAGGCUAAGAAAGCUGUGAGAGAAGCUAAGUUAGCGGCUUAUGACGACAUGUAUAAGCGACUAGAUACCAAAGAAGGAGAGUUGGAUAUCUAUAAACUAGCUAGAGCAAGGGAAAAGAAGAUAAGGGACCUAAACCAAGUGAGGUGCAUCAAGGAUGAGGAUGGAAAGGUUCUUGCUACAGAGAAUGCGGUCAAAGACAGAUGGAGAGGUUAUUUUCAUAAUCUUUUCAAUGAAGGACAUGAAAGGAGUACUUCUUUAGGGGAGUUGAGUAAUUCAGAAGAGUGUAGAAACUACUCAUUUUAUCGUCGAAUCAGGAAGGAAAAAGUGGUUGUAGCUUUGAAGAAAAUGAAGCAUAGAAAAACAGUGGGCCCAGAUGAUAUAUCGAUCGAAGUGUGGAAAGUCUUGGGAGAGACAAGUAUAGCAUGGCUCACUGACCUUUUCAAUAGGAUUUUGAAAACGAAGAAGAUGCCAACUGAGUGGUGAAAGAGCACUUUGGUGCCUAUAUACAAGAAUAAGGGCGACGUACAAAAUUGCAUGAAUUAUAGGGGUAUUAAGCUAAUGAGCCAUACAAUGAAGCUCUGGGAGAGAGUCAUUGAGCAUAGAUUGAGGUAAGAGACACGGGUUUCGGACAACCAAUUCGGGUUCAUGCCAGGGCGCUCAACCAUGGAGGCAAUCUAUCUCUUACGAAGAUUGAUGGAAAGAUAUAGAGAUGGGAAAAAGGAUUUACACAUGGUCUUUAUAGAUUUGGAAAAAGCUUAUGAUAGGGUCCCAAGAGACAUUCUUUGGAGGAUUUUAGAGAAGGAAGAAGUACGAGCAGCAUAUAUCCAAGCUAUAAAGGAUAUGUAUGAAGGAGCAAAGACUGCCGUAAGAACUCAUGAAUGACAAACCGAAAGCUUCUCCAUAACUGUAGGAUUACAUCAAGGCUCAUCCUUAAGUCCUUACCUUUUUGCGUUGGUAAUGGAUGAGUUAACAGGACAUAUUCAAGAUGAUAUUCCUUGGUGUAUGCUUUCCGCAGAUGAUAUAGUGUUGAUAGAUGAAACUCAGGAAGGGGUAAAUGCGAAGCUUAACCUUUGGAGAGAAAUGUUGGAAUCUAAAGGUCUUCGCCUAAGCCGAUCAAAGAAAGAAUAUAUGGAGUGCAAGUUCAGUGCAAAUGGAGGCCAAAAUGAGUUAGGGGUGAGGAUCGGAGAUCAGGAAAUACCAAAGAGCGAUCGUUUUCGCUACUUAGGAUCUAUCUUGCAAAAGAACGGAGAAUUAGAUGGAGAUCUCAACCAUAGAAUACAAGCUGGAUGGAUGAAGUGGAAGAGUGCAUCCGGCGUGUUGUGUGACCGUCGUAUGCCACUGAAGCUCAAGGAAAAAUUUUAUAGGACAACAAUAAGGUCGGCGAUGCUGUAUGGCACAGAAUGUUGGGCGGUGAAGCAUCAACACGUACACAAAAUGGGUGUAGCGGAGAUGAGGAUGCUUCGUUGGAUGUGUGGGCACACGAGAAAUGAUAAGAUUAGGAAUGAGGAUAUCCGAGGUAAAGUAGGAGUAGCCGAAAUUGUACGAAAAUUGAGAGAAAAUUGGUUACAGUGGUUUGGACAUGUGCAAAGAAGGCCUACUGACGCUCCGGUUAGAAUAUGCGACUACAGGACAGAGGUUUAGGGCCGAAGGGGUAGAGGAAGACCUAGGAAAACUUUGGAAGAGACUCUAAGAAAAGACUUAGAGUAUUUGGAUCUAACGGAGGACAUGACACAGGACUGAGCACAAUGGCAUUCUAAGAUUCAUAUAGCCGACCCCACUCAGUGAAGAAGGCUUUGGUGUAUUUAACACAAUACGUUGAAAUGAAGCAAAACUUAUUUAUUGAUAUCUCCGAUAAGUUACAAAUAUGUACAUAUACAUGAGUCAAAAUAAACAAACAAGAGGGAGCCUUCACAAAGGUUGCUUAGGAGAAGUCUCAGCAGUUGGUAGAGCCCCAGAAAGAGAAGGCACCGGAGGGGUAUCAUUCGAAGCCUCAGUACUGGACAGAACCCUAGAAGGAGGAGGCAUCGAAGGUUGAUCAUUUGGAGCUUCAGUACGCGGUACAGCCCCAGAAGACGAAGGCAAUAAAUGCCUUUGGAACAAACCCACAAACCGCUGAUGAUCAAGUAAAACCUGACCAUCAGAUUCCUUCAUCUGGUCAAGCUUCCUCUUCAUGUUUGUAGCAUAGUCAUGUGCGAGCCGGUGCAACUGUUUAUUCUCAUGCUUGAGCCCUCUAAUCUCUUAUUUGAAACUCAUCACUUCAGCCGCCAAUGAUUCAACUUGGCAGGUUCGAGCAAAUAGGCGCUGGGCCAUAUUAGACACAGAACCUGCACACUGAACACUUAGAGCCAGAUAAUCCUUAACAGCCAACUCAUCAGACCGUUUGCAAAGUAAUCUGUUAUAUUUGGGAGUGAGAAAGUUCCUGGCCACCACCGCAGCAGUCAUAUCAUUCUUCAUCACGGAAUCCCCAACGGUAAGCGGACCAGUAGGGGAUAAGAAAGAUGGACGCCAUAUGUUGUCUGGAGAAGGCGUGGCUGCCUCUUCAACGAGGUUCAAGUCAAAACGACGGUCGGAGGGGCCAGAAAUUUUCAAAGGUGUUGAAGAGAGAAGUGGUCGGACAAAUCAAGAUCUUAGAAGUGCAAGAAUGGAGCUUCUACUGGUGAAGAUUCAAGUGUGCUUUGGAACUUAAUGUCAGCCUCUAUAAAAAUCUGCACUCGACGGAGCUUCAGAAAUCGAAGAGGCGCCUGCCCAGAAAUCGAAGAGGCAUUUGCUUUCUCAAAAGUUGGGCUGCUCAAAGACCACGAGGGUCGAUCUCAGAAAUCGAAGAGGCGUUUGCUUUCUCAAAAGCUGGGCUGCUCAAAGACCACGAAGGCCGAUCUCAGAAAUCGAAGAGGCACUUGCUUUCUCAAAAGCUGGGUUGCUUAGAGACCACGAAGGCCGAUCUCAGAAAUCGAAGAGGCACCUGCUUUUUUCAGCCUUGUCAGCACCUGUCACAUGCACACUCAGCUUUGCUGAAAUUACGGGCAUUCUGUUGAAUAUUUCUGGUGAAGUAGAAAGCACGUGAAUCUUAUUGUUCAAUCAUCCACUUUCCACACGCACCAUCAGCUCAUGGGUACCAUAGAUAACUUUGCCAAAGAUCUCUGACAAAGUUUAGACACGUGAAGCUUGCAGCUCCCACUACAUCGCUAUGAUCAAGAAGGGUAAAAGAAUAGCAAAGAAACAGCACUAACAAAGUUUAGAUACAUAAAUUUUGAAGGUCUAGCUACCAUAUUAUUACCUACAAGGGUAAAGGAACAGCACCGCUGCUGGAUAAUCGGAAAGUCCUUGUAUGUCAACCUAUGUGCUCUGUGGCAAGGUAGACUAGCAAACAUGCCCAAACUUUACUUACAUUCGAGAAAACACUCCCAACAAGAUUGCUUGCUCCAAAAUCGAAGAGGCACCGUCCUCUGAAUCUCGAGAGCCAGACUCCCAACAUGAUUACUUUCUCAAAAUUGAAGAGACACCGCUCUCCGAAUCUCGAGAGCUAGACUCCCAGCAGGAUUGCUCUCUCAAAAAUCGAAGAGGCACCGUUUUCCGAAUCUCGAGAGCCAGAUCUCCGACAAGAUUACUUGUACGAAAACCGAAAAGGCACCGCUUUCUCAACUUCAAGAGCCAGAUCUCCUUGGAUAAAGCUUGUCUGUAAUCUUCACACGCAACAUCAGCUUUCCAGAUACCACAGACCACUUUUUCAAAGUGCUCUGACACACGUGAAGCUAGCAACUCCCACUACCGUGCUAUGACCAAGCAGGGUAAAGGAAUAGUAUUACUACUUGUUGUUAGGGAAACUCCUAUAUAUGUCGACCUCCAUCCUCAACGGACAGGCAGACCUGCAAAAAUGCUCAACACUUCCUCAUAUCCGAGAGGGCACUCCCAACGAAGCCUCUCGAAAUACUCAGCUUUCUUUCCCCCCGAUAAUACCUCUGCAAACAAGCUACACCAGAGCAAGAAUAUCUCAUAUCAUCAGGGUUAAAAGCAAGAGUAUCCCAUAUCAUGCUUUUUCCCUGUCUUUUCCUUUGGCCUUGUUCUUACCUGCAAGACAAGGAGAAAGAGAGCAAUCAGUCAGCACUUGGAAUCAAGCUUCCAGUCAGGAACUGACUGCCUGGAACCCCUUACCUGAUUACUUACCUGGCAUUGCUCUCGAGUACCCAUCUUCAAAAUCUUAUGCUUCCAGAGAAGAUACCACAUCUGCCUGAGGAACAGAUAGGGAAAGUGAGAAGGAUACAAGGAAGCAUGUGGAGACAAACGUAACAGAACACGUGCCGAUACAUCCACUACUUUGUCAACAGCAAAAGUAUCUCAUAUCAGCAGGGUCGAACGUACUCUAGAUUUGAUGGACGUGUUUUGACCCUCAAAUUCUUCAGUCGGCCUUAUACUCUGGAAGAAACCAGAAAAUCCUCCAGCCCAGUUCAAGAAUAAGCCUGUGUAAAGUUACUUAUUCAAAAGCAAAAGUAUCUCAUAUCAUCUAUUCUCCUUUUCUUCUCUUUAUCCUUCAUGCUGCCUGCAAGAUAGGGAGAAUGAGAACAAUCAGCCGGAACUCGAAAUCAAACUUCUGAUCUGGGACUAAUUGCUUGGAGCUCUGAUUGCUUACCUUGUCUGUCACCUUUUUCAGCAUAUCCCCUAGCUCGGUGACUUGGGGGACUCCUACUACAUGGUUUGUAUCGCGCUUGACCAAGCCUGAAACUACAAGUAAGCUUCAAGUGAAUUUGAUACAUUACCUUGUGCAUCUCCACCAGUUAAAGAUACCACCCCUUGAUGGAGGAAGCGUACUUCCAGAGAAGAUGCCACAUCUACCUAUGAGACAGUUAAGGCAAGUGAAGACGAGAGCAUGCACCUAUGUGAUUUGUACUAAAUCAUUCACUUGUACUCACUAAAGGAGAGCUUGAACCUAUGUACUUGCGUAAACUCUUCACAAUUAAUGAGAACUCCUCUACUCCGUGGACGUAGCCAAUCUGGGCGAACCACGUACAUCUUGUGUUUGCUUUCUUGUCUCUAUCCAUUUACAUACUUAUCCACAUUAAUGACCAGAGCAAUCUAGCGAAGAUCACAAACUUAAUACUCUCUGUUGUACCAAAGUCCUCACUGAUUUUGUGCAUCAACAAUCCUUAAGUCUUUACAUUUUUGCGUUGGUAAUGGAUGAGUUAAUAGGACAUAUUCAAGAUGAUAUUCCUUGGUGUAUGCUUUUCGCAGAUGAUAUAGUGUUGAUAGAUGAAACUCAUACGGGGUAAAUGCGAAACUUAACUUUUGGAGAGAAGUGUUGGAAUCUAAAGGUCUUCGCCUAAGCCGAUCAAAGACAGAAUAUAUGAAGUGCAUGUUCAUUACAAAUGGAGGCCAAAAUGAGUUAUGGGUGAGGAUCGGAGAUCAGGAAAUACCAAAGAGCGACCGUUUUCGCUACCUAGGAUCUAUAUUGCAAAAGAAUGGAGAAUUAGAUGGAGAUCUCAACCAUAGAAUACAAGCUGGAUGGAUGAAGUGGAAUAGUGCUUCUGGCGUGUUGUGUAACCGUCGUAGGCCACUAAAGCUCAAGGAAAAAUUUUAUAGGACGGUAAUAAGGCCGACGAUGCUGUAUGGCACAGAAUGUUGGGCAGUGAAGCAUCAACACGUACACAAAAUGGGUUUAGACAUGUACAAAGAAGGCCUACUGACGCUCCGGUUCGAAGAUGGGACUACGAGAUAGAGGUUCAGGGCCGAAGGGGUAGAGGUAAACCUAGGAAAACUUUGGAAGAGACCCUAAGAAAAGACUUAGAGUACUUUGAUCUAACGGAGGAUAUGACACAAAAUUGCGCACAAUGGCGUUCUAGGAUUCAUAUAGCCGACCUCACUUAGUGGGAAAAGGCUUUGUUGUUGUUGUUGUAUGAGGAUUCUUGCAUUGAACAUUUUCAUUGUUGAAUUUUCACAGAAUGAUGCUGGUGGUGGUUUAGUGUUCUGGCAUCCAAAGGGUGCUAUUGUGAGGCAUGUAAUGGAAGAUUUGUGGAAAAAGAUUCACAUAGAACGUGGUUACAAUCUGCUUAUACUCCACAUGUUGCAAAGGCGAACCUUUGGCAGAUAAGUGGUCAUCUGGAUUACUACAAGGAGAAUAUGUAUGAUCAAAUGAAUGUUGAGGAUGAACUUUAUCAGCUUCGACCGAUGAACUGCCCCUAUCAUAUCUUGGUUUACAGAAAGAAGCCUUACUCAUAUCAUGAAUUUCCUAUUCAAGUUGUUGAGUUGGGAACCGUUUAUAGAUACGAAUUAUCUGGAAGCUUGCAUGGUCUUUUUCGUGUAAGAGGUUUUACUCAGGUACAGUGUUAGUAUUUGCAAACUAUUAGUCUAUAAUCCUUGGUGUAUGAAGUGUUUUUUUUUUUUUUAACCUCAGGACUUGUUGCAGGAUGAUGCCCACAUAUUUUUUCAAGAAGAUCAGAUCAAAGAUGAAAUUAAGGGUGUCCUAGAUCUUACCGAAUAACUUUUGUUGCAAUUCGGCUUCAGCAAAUAUGAGGUCAAUCUCUCUUCGAGGCCAGAGAAAGCUGUUGGAGAUGGUGAUAUAUGGGUGAAAGGCAACAUCUGCCCUUACUCCUUAGAGAUGCUUUGGAUGAUAAAGGUUGGAGCUAUCAAAUUGAUGAAGGUGGUGGUGCCUUUUAUGGUCCAAAGAUUGAUCUUAAGAUUGAGGAUGCCCUUGGAAGGAGGUGGCAGUGCUCAACUAUACAAGUUAAUCCUGAACUCAUGACGGGAUAAUUCUAAUGUACGCUUUGUUUUUUAAUUGGUAGUCUCUAUGUCUAUCUCCGUAUCACUUUGUAAAAUGUUCAUUGGAGAUUUGAGCAUCUUUUUUUAAUUGAGCGAAUUACAUGGAUUUGUUUGCUAGAGUAAAGCCACUUAUUAUUGUUAUUUUAAAUUGUUUGAUCUUUUGUACUUCCCAAAUUGUACAAGUUGAUUUUCCAUUAUGGCUUUCGCCAAUACAAGCUCAUGUUUUACCAGUUACUGACUCUCAGGUUUGUAAAGCAGUUGCACGUUUAAUGUUUCAAUUAACUCAAGGACCCUCAACACACCUGCACGACGGUUACCUGGGCUAUGACCCCUGACUCUCCUCCCAGUGAUUCGACUCCUUUGUCGACUCCGAGUCGCUCAAGGACUCCACCACCGAUUCCCCAAUCUUCCACGGCUCCACCAUAGACGACGCUUUCGAACGGCCAGGGCUUUGAUGGAGGGUUUGGCGGGUCCGACGAUCCCAUUUUGCCGGUUCCGUCUGAGAUACUGCCUGAGGAGGGCUUCGCUCUCAGAAAAUGGAGGAGGUAGGAUCUCGAAUUCUAAUUGUUUUCAAUUGAACCGAUAGUUCUGUAUAGCAAUUAAAUUUUGACUCUUUUGUGCAAUUUAGUUGAAAGUUGUUGGUUUUGAUUUGGCUUGAUCUUUCUGUUGAUGAGAAAUUAGGUGGAAAUUGUUGUUUUGAUUUCGAUAGUUUUCAAGAAUUGCAUGCUUAGUGAUCAGCAAUCGUCUGGCUUUAUCGGGUAAGGAGAUAAAGCAAUUAAAUUUCAAAAUUUGGAUUUACAGUUCGUAUUUUGAGCCUGAAUUCAUGAAAACAAACAUAACCCAUUAUUUAUUAGCGAUUAAUGAUCUGAUUAAUUUAGUUUUUAAUCAUAAUCAAUAGCAUGUAGCUUUAAUGGAAGUGGGGUUUGGGAAAUUGGCUAGCACCCAUUUUGCUUUUUGUUUGUCUGCUUUCCAUUUCUCCUCUCUCUUGCCAUCUUCUUUGUAUUUUGGCUACUUCUCUCUCCCGCACUCCCUUUUUAACUCUUGGUUCUGUGGUUCUCCGGCUGCCGUUAGGUUUUUGUGGUCGAACAACGAUGGAAUCCGAGGAUGAUGACUACUACAGCAACGACAAUGACUCCUAGAAAUUUUUAUUUUGAAUUCGGAAUUGGUUUGAUUGAAGCCCCCUAAUUGAUUGUAUUUAGGUUGGAUUUUUAUGCAUCAGGAAUUUCAAUUGAAGCCUCCUAAUUGGAUAAUGUUUUUCCCAUGUUAGGCUUCUCUGAUUGAGGUGAUACAGAUACCAAAUUGGAGCGGUGCUGUUAGUGGAGGAAUCUGGUAGAAACGAUGAGUUUGUAGAUUGAAUUUGUAUAUGAUGAUAAUAAAAAAUGAUAUGUUGUUUUCGUAAUUCUUUUUGCUUUCAAAGUUUAUUGCUUGGUUGUGUUCGUAACCUCUGGGUUCUUACGGUUCUUUGUCUCUCUUACUUCAGAUUCUUUGUGUUUUUUAUCAUUCGUUUGUGAAGAAAUGGGUCGUACGUAGUGGUAAGGCUCUGAGGAAGGCACUUGCCACCAAGGUGCGUUUCGUUUGGGUUUCUGAUGUCUAGAAAAUUAGAAUUGAUAAUUGCAAGCAAUUUUUUCCGAGAAACAAUCAGAUUAUUGAAUCUAAGUUGCUAAUUGUUUUAAUUUUGUAUAUGCUGCAAUUAAAUCAGCACCCGCAACUGAAGGUGUCAAGAAGCCUGACUGCUACCGCCUUGGAAUCGUCAUUUUUCGGUAAGUUUUCAACACAAUAUAGUUCAAAUCCUCUGAAUCAUGUUCUUGAAUUUUACUAUAUGUAUCGUGUUCUUUGCAUUUCGUUAUCUGAAAUUUGUUCUUUGAAUUUGGUUACCAGAAUCGUGCCUAAUGUUUGAUGUGGCCAGUGGCUUUGUAUGGUUGGCUGGUGUGAUUUGGGAGUGUUUUUAGUUAAUGGCAGACAUAGGACAAAGGUGUGGGGCAGCGAAGUCAAGUGGGAUUAGGAAUUUAGGAUAGUAGACUGUUUGCUAAUUUAUGGGAUUAGAAGUCUUCCUUUAUUUUUUCUCUUCAUGUAACAACAACAACAACAACAAAGCCUUUUCCCACUAAGUGGGGUCGGCUAUAUGAAUCCUAGAACGCCAUUACGCUCGGUUUUGCACAUGUCCAAACCCAUUUUGUGUACGUGUUGAUGCUUCACCACCCAACAUUCUGUGCCAUACAUCAUCGCCGGCCUUAUUGCCGUCCUAUAAAAUUUUCCCUUGAACUUCAGUGGCCUACGACGGUCACACAACACGCCGGAUGCACUCUUCCACUUCAUCCAUCCAGCUUGUCUUCUAUGGUUGAGAUCUCCAUCUAAUUCUCCGUUCUUUUGCAAGAUAGAUCCUAGGUAGCGAAAACGGUCGCUCUUUGGUAUUACAUGAUUUUCGAUCCUCGCCCCUAACUCAUUUUGGCCUCCAUUUGCACUGAGCUUGCACUCCAUAUAUUCUAUCUUUGAUCGACUUAGGCGAAGACCUUUAGAUUCCAACACUUGUCUCCAAAGGUUAAGCUUCGCAUUGACCCCUCAUGAGUUUCAUCUAUCAACACUAUAUCAUUUGCGAGAAGCAUACACCAAGGAAUAUCAUCUUGAAUAUGUCCGGUUAACUCAUCCAUUACCAACGUAAAAGGGUAAGGACUUAAGGAUUGUUGAUGCACAAAAUCAGUGAGGACUUUGGUACAACAGAAAGUAUUAAGUUAUUGCUCUGGUCAUUAGUGUGGAUAAGUAUGUAAAAGGAUAGAGAUAGGAAAGCAAACAUAAAAUGUACGUAGUUCACCCAGAAAGUAACUUUCCACAGGCUUAUUCUUGAACUGGGCUGGAGGGAUUUCUGGUUUCCUCCAGAGUAUAAGGCCGAUUGAAGAAUUUGAGGGUCAAAACAAGUCCAUCAAAUCUAGAGUACGUUCGACCCUGCUGAUAUGAGAUACUUUUGCUGUUGACAAAGUAGUGGAUGUAUCGGCACGCGUUCUGUUACGCUUGUCUCCAUAUGCUUCCUUGUAUCCUUCUCACUGUCCUUAUCGGUUCCUCAGGCAGAUGUGGUAUCUUCUCUGGAAGCAUAAGAUGUUGAAGAUGAGUACUCGAGAGCAGUGCCAGGUAAGUAAUCAGGUAAGGGUUCCAGGCAGUCAGUUCCUGACUGGAAGCUUGAUUCCAAGUGCUGACUGAUUGCUCUCUUUCUCCUUGUCUUUUGCAGGUAAGAACAAGGCCAAAGGAAAAGACAGGGAAAAAACAUGAUAUGGGAUACUCUUGCUUUUAACCCUGAUGAUAUGAGAUAUUCUUGCUUUGGUGUAGCUUGUUUGCAGAGGUAUUAUCGGAGGGAAAGAAAGCUGAGUAUUUCGAGAGACUUCUUUGGGAGUGCCCUCUCAGAUAUGAGGAAGGGUUGAGCAUUUUUGCAGGUCUGCCUGUCCGUUGAAGAUGAAGGUCGACAUAUAUAGGAGUCUCCCUAACAACAAGUAGUAAUGCUAUUCCUUUACCUUGCUUGGUCAUAGCACGGUAGUGGGAGCUGCCAGCUUCAUGUGUGUCAGAGCACUUUGAAAAAGUGGUAUGUGGUAUCUGGAAAGCUGAUGUUGCGUGUGAAGAUUAGACACAAGCUUUAUCCAAGGAGAUCUGGCUCUCGAAGUUGAGAAAGCGGUGCCUCUUCGGUUUUCAAACAAGCAAUCCUGCGGGGAUCUGGCUCUCAAUAUUCGGAGAACGGUGCCUCUUCGAUUUUUGAGAGAGCAAUCCUGCUGGGAGUCUGGCUCUCGAGAUUCGGAGAGCGAUGUCUCUUCGAUUUUGAGAAAUUAAUCAUGUUGGGAGUCUGGCUCUCAAGAUUCGGAGAACAGUGCCUCUUCAAUUUUAGAGCAAGCAAUCUUGUUGGGAGUGUUUUCUCGAAUGUGAGUAAAGGCAGGGCAUGUUUGCUAGUCUACCUUGCCACGGAGCACAGAGGUUGACACACAGGGACUUUCUAAUUAUCCAGCAGUGGUGCUGUUCCUUUACCCUUGUGGAUAAUAAUAUGAUAGCUAGACAUUCAAAAUUUAUGUGUCUAAACUUUGUUAGUGCUGUUUCUUUGCUAUUCUUUUACCCUUCUUGAUCAUAGCGAUGUAGUGGGAGCUGCAAGCUUCACGUGUUUAAACUUUGUCAAAGAUCUUUGACAAAGUUAUCUGUGGUACCCCUGAGCUGAUGGUGCGUGUGAAAAGUGGAUGAUUGAAUAGUAAGAUUCAUGUGCUUUUUACUUCACCAGAAAUCUUCAACAGAAUGCCCGUAAUUUCAGCAAAGCUGAGUGUGCAUGUGACAGGUGCUGACAAGGCUGAAAAAAGUAGGUGCCUCUUCGAUUUCUAAGAUCGACCCUCGUGGUCUCUAAGCAACCUAGCUUUUGAGAAAGCAAGCCUCUUCGAUUUCUAAGAUCGGUCUUCGCGGUCUUUUAGCAGCUCAGCUUUUAAGAAAGCAAACGCCUCUUCGAUUUCUGAGAUCGGCCCUCAUGGUCUCUGAGCAGCCUAGCUUUUGAGAAAGCAAACGCCUCUUCGAUUUCUGGGCAGACGCCUCUUCGAUUUUUUAAGCUCCGUCGAGUGCAGAUUUUUAUAGCGGCUGGCAUUAAGUUUCAAAGCACACUUGAAUCUUCACCAGGAGAAGCUCCCUUCUUGCACUUCUAAAAUCUUGAUUUGUCCGACCUCUUCUCUCUUCAACACCUUUGAAAAUGUCUGGCCCAUCCGACCGUCGUUUUGACUUGAACCUUGUUGAAGAGGCAGCCACGCCUUCUCUAGACAACAUAUGGCGCCCAUCCUUCUUAUCCCCUACUGGUCAUCUUACCGUUGGGGAUUCCGUGAUGAAGAAUGAUAUGACCGCUACGGUGGUGACCAUGAACCUUCUCACUCCCAAAGAUAACAGACUAUUUUCCAAACGGUCUAAUGAAUUGGCUGUUAAGGAUUCUCUGGCUCUGAGUAUUCAGUGUGCAGGUUCUGUGUCUAAUAUGGCCCAACGCCUAUUUGCUCUAACCCGCCAAGUUGAAUCAUUGGCAGCUGAAAUGAUGAGUCUCAAACAAGAAAUUAGAGGGCUCAAGCAUGAGAAUAAACAGUUGCACCGGCUCGCACAUAACUAUGCUAUAAACAUGAAGUGGAAGCUUAACCAGAUGAAGGAAUCUGAUGGUCAGGUUUUACUUGAUCAUCAGCGGUUUGUGGGUUUGUUCCAAAGGCAUUUAUUGCCUUCGUCUUCUGGGGCUGUACCGCAUAAUGAAGCUCCAAAUGAUCAACCUCCGAUGCCUCCUCCUUCUAGGGUUCUGUCCAAUACUGAGGCUCCUAAUGAUCCCCCUCCGAUGCCUUCUCUUUCUAGAGCUCUACCAACUGCUGAGACUUCUCCUAAGCAACCUUUAUGAAGGCUCCCUCUUGUUUGUUUAUUUUGACUCAUGUAUAUGUACAUAUUUGUAACUUAUCGGAGAUAUCAAUAACUAAGCUUUGCUUCAUUUCCAACGUAUUGUGUUAAAUACACCAAAGCCUUCUUCAUUGAGUGGAGUCCGCUAUAUGAAUCUUAGAACGCCAUUGUGCUCGGUCCUGUGUCAUGUCCUCCGUUAGAUCCAAAUACUCUAAGUCUUUUCUUAGAGACUCUUCCAAAGUUUUCCUAGGUCUUCCUCUACCCCUUCGGCCCUGAACCUCUGUCCCGUAGUAACAUCUUCUAACCGGAGCGUCAGUAGGCCUUUUUUGCACAUGUCCAAACCACCGUAACCGAUUUUCUCUCAACUUUCCUACAAUUUCGGCUACUCCUACUUUACCUCGGAUAUCCUCAUUCCUAAUCUUAUCCUUUCUCGUGUGCCCACACAUCCAACGAAGCAUCCUCAUCUCCGCUACACCCAUUUUGUGUACGUGUUAAUGCUUCACCGCCCAACAUUCUGUGCCAUACAGCAUCGCCGACCUUAUUGUCGUCCUAUAAAAUUUUCCCUUGAGCUUCAGUGGCAUACGGCGGUCACACAACACGCCGGAUGCACUCUUCCACUUCAUCCAUCUAGCUUGUAUUCUAUGGUUGAGAUCUCCAUCUAAUUCUCCGUUCUUUUGCAAGAUAGAUUCUAAGUAGCGAAAACGAUCGCUCUUUGGUAUUUCCUGAUCUCCGAUCCUCACCCCUAACUCAUUUUGGCCUCCAUUUGCACUAAACUUGCACUUCAUAUAUUCUGUCUUUGAUCGGCUUAGGCGAAGACCUUUAGAUUCCAACAGUUGUCUCCAAAGGUUAAGCUUCGCAUUUACCCCUUCCUGAGUUUCAUCUAUCAAUACUAUAUCGUCUGCGAAAAGCAUACACCAAGGAAUAUCAUCUUGAAUAUGUCAUGUUAACUCAUCCAUUACCAACGCAAAAAGGUAAGGACUUAAGGAUGAGCCUUGAUGUAAUCCUACAAUUAUGGAGAAGCUUUCGGUUUGUCAUUCAUGAGUUCUUACGGCAGUCUUUGCUCCUUCAUACAUAUCCUUUAUAGCUUGGAUAUAUGCUACUCGUACUCCUUCAUUCUCUAAAAUCCUCAAAAGAAUGUCUCUUGGGACCCUAUCAUAAGCUUUUUCCAAAUCUAUAAAGACCAUGUGUAAAUCCUUUUUCCCAUCUCUAUAUCUUUCCAUCAAUCUUCGUAAGAGAUAGAUUGCCUCCAUGGUUGAGCGCCCUGGCAUGAACCCGAAUUGGUUGUCCGAAACCCGUGUCACUUACCUCAAUCUAUGCUCAAUGACUCUCUCCCAAAGCUUCAUUGUAUGACUCAUUAGCUUAAUACCCCUAUAGUUCAUGCAAUUUUGUACGUUGCCCUUAUUCUUGUAGAUAGGCACCAAAGUGCUCUUUCGCCACUCAUUUGGCAUCUUCUUCGUUUUCAAAAUCCUAUUGAAAAGGUCAGUGAGCCAUGCUAUACCUGUCUCUCCCAAGACUUUCCACACUUCGAUCGGUAUAUUGUCUAGGCCCACUGCUUUAUAAUGCUUCAUCUUCUUCAAAGCUACAACCACUUCUUCUUUCCUGAUUCGACGAUAAAAUGAGUAGUUUCUACACUCUUCUGAGUUACUCAACUCCCCUAAAGAAGUACUCCUUUCAUGUCCUUCAUUAAAAAGAUUAUGAAAAUAACCUCUCCAUCUGUCUUUGACCGCGUUCUCUGUAGCAAGAACCUUUCCAUCCUCAUCCUUGAUGCACCUCACUUGGUUUAGGUCCCUUGUCUUCUUUUCCCUUGCUCUAGCUAGUUUAUAGAUAUCUAACUCUCCUUCUUUGGUAUCUAGUCGCUUAUACAUAUCGUCAUAAGCCGCUAACUUAGCUUCUCUCACAACUUUCUUCGCCUCUUGCUUCGCUCUUCUAUACCUUUCACCAUUUUCAUCGGUCAUGUCCUUGUAUAAGGCUUUACAACAUUCCUUCUUAGCCUUCACCUUUGUUUGUACCUCCUCAUUCCACCACCAAGAUUCCUUUUGGUAUGGAGCAAAGCCCUUAGACUCUCCUAAUACCUCUUUUGCUACUUUUCGGAUACAACUAGCCAUGGAAUCCCACCUUUGGCUAGCUUCCCCCUCUCUAUCCCACCCAUACUGGGUGAUUACUUUCUCUUUGAAAAUGACUUGUUUUUCUCCUUUUAGAUUCCACCAUCUAGUCCUUGGGCACUUCCAAGUCUUGUUCUUUUUUUCUCACUCUUUUGAUAUGUACAUCCAUCACCAACAAGCGAUGUUAAUUAGCCAAGCUCUCUCCCGGUAUAACUUUGCAAUCCUUACAAGUUAUACGAUCCCCUUUCCUCAUUAGAAGAAAAUCUAUUUGUGUUUUUGACGACCCACUCUUGUAAGUGAUCACAUGUUCUUCUCUCUUCUUAAAGAAGGUGUUGGCUAAGAAGAGAUCAUAUGCCAUUGCAAAAUCCAAGAUAGCUUCCCCAUCCUCGUUUCUCUCCCCAAAACCAUGGCCACCAUGAAAACCUCCAUAGUUGCCUGUCUCCCUGCCCACGUGUCCAUUUAAAUCUCCUUCUAUAAAUAACUUCUCCGUCUGGGCAAUUCCUUGCACCAAGUCUCCAAGGUCUUCCCAAAAUUUCUCCUUCGAACUCGUAUCAAACCCUACUUGAGGUGCAUACGCACUAAUCACAUUGAUGAGUUCUUGUCCUAUUACAAUCUUGAUUGCCAUGAUUCUAUCUCCUACCCUCUUGACAUUUACAACAUCUUGUGUCAAGGUCUUGUCCACGAUGAUGCCAACACCGUUUCUCGUUCUAUUUGUGCCCGAAUACCAAAGUUUAAACCCUGAGUUUUCUAGAUCCUUUGCCUUAAGACCAACCCACUUAGUUUCUUGUAGGAACAUAAUAUUUAUCCUUCUCUUCACCAUAACUUCCACUACUUCCUUAGAUUUUCCGGUUAAGGUUCCUAUAUUCCACGUUCCUAAAUGCAUUCUGCUAUCUUGAACUCUACCUUUCUGUCCUAGCUUCUUCACCCUCCCCCGUCCAAUAGAAUCAAAGUACUUCUUUUGUGUGUCCUGUGUAAAGUUGAUAGGAGCAUAUGCUCCCAAACAACUUUGAGUGGAGUCGUUCGAAAAGAAGUUUAUAUGGCCCCCUUGCUCAUUUAACACUGCAUCUAGGUGCUGAUGGAGAUACGGCAACCCUUGCUCACUUAUCACUAUGCUCGGGCCACACAACGCGCCAUUUACGGGUGACGCCCUAGCUUUAGCGCGAUUUCGUGCGAUGAAAAAAAAAAGGUGAGUAAUUUUAACUCUAGUUUGAGGUAAUAACAUGUGAAUUUUUCGUAUUACUGGUUUUUCCCUUUCUAUUAAAAACAACCUUUGAUUUCUUUGAUAGUGCGUUUUUCUAUCUGUGCUAUUGUUGAACUCCCCCAGUUAUCAGUUUUGACUCAAAAAAAAUAUUCGAUGAUAACAUGCAUUGAAUAUUGGCUAAAAUUAUAUUGAAAUUUGCUGGCCGAAGCAGAUAUCGUUAAAAGAGCUCUAAGUCACCCUCUGAAAUUAAUUGCCAAAAGUGAUGUUGUAAAUGGAAGAGUUGUUAGUGAGAAGGCAUUUUUUUUCGUUUCACUUUAUAGACUAUGCUCACUAUCUGUUUAAUAUGUUUCAUCGUAUUAAUUAAAGUCUCAUUUCUCAGGUGCUUUCAAGUGACAACCCCAACUAUGGAUGCAUGCUGCCACUGGAAACUAUGAAAAUUUCAUGGUUGCUGGGAUCACUGAUCCAACUAAAGUGGGUUUCUUUAUCAAGUACUUCAUGAAUAGAAUAUUUUGGAGAUCCUAUCGCUGGGACAGAUUGAAGAAGAUGAAGAUCACAAGGGUGGGAUACUGGGGAGGGUGGUAGGGUUAUGAGGAGUGGGCUCUGGUUGGUUUCGAUUUGACCAAUGUCAUGGUUCGAUGGAAUCGAGGUGAUGGGGAUGAUUCAUGAGGUCACAACCACAAGAUGUAGGGCCUACGCGUGGGGUUUAGGGGUUUCACAUAGAGGCUUACAGAGGGAGGGGGUGCACACGUGAAUUGCAGAGGGAGAGGGAGAAAGAGGGGGAGUAGGGUUGCUAUAUUCAAGUUCUCUUUUUUAUUUUUACUUGAAUUUGAUUUGAUUCUUUUUUUUUUUUGCGACAGGUUGAGAAUGCGAAAGCUCAGCUGGAGGUGGAGGUGAGAAUUUUAAUUUAAUUCAUGGUAUAUCUUUUUUUUUUUGUGGGAUUGUGCUGUUUUUGGGAAAACAAUAUUAAAUUGAAGUUUAGAUAUUUCUGUAAUUGGGAUUUAGAGUAAGAGAUGAAGAACUAUAUGUGAUUGCAAAUUUAAAAGUUUAGAACUUUUUUGGUUUGGAAGCUAAUUUUAAAUUCAGCUAGCUGAUUAAUUAAUAGAGAAAUUAUAACGAAUGUGUGAUACGUUUUUCAAUGCGUAUGAGCAGACAUGGGUACUGCUUCAGCGGCAGCAGCUGCUAUAUGAUGGUAGAUGAGGAAUUCUGAGAUGCUGAGUGCUCUUAGUGUCAGAGAUGAAGACUUGAUAAUGAUCGUUCCAAUUCUGCCUCAAGGUAUACUUGAUAAUGUUGUCCUUUAUGUGCAAUUCACUGUAUGAUGCUCGUUCCUUUAAUGAGCCUGUCAAUAUAUUUCAAUGCACCCACCAAUUGGUUUUAUCAUCAUACAUCAUUCGUGAGAAAUGGGAUGGUGAGUUUCUCAAUACAGUUUUAAUUUUUGUGCGAAUAAUGUUUGUAAAAAGUCUGUUUUUAUUUAGUUCAUUGCAGAUUCUUAUUCUUUUAUUUAGUUCACGAUUCAUGCUUUUAAAGAUAAGAAGUGCAAGGCUCUCUCGGAUGUUAGUUUUGGGUGGCAAUUGAAAGAUACGAGGACAAACAAAAAUACCUACCAAUUGAAAGGAUAAAUUCAAUUGAAAAUAUUUGGUUCAUCAAUUAUUAUAGUUUGAGCUUUCUGCAUUAAAUGUCCAGUUUUCGGGAAGAGUGAUUCAUGUAAUUGGGUUUUAUUAAAAUUUUCAUGAUUUUAUACAGUUUUUCGUUUAAAUUUGUGGAUUCAUAAACACUUUUAUGAGUGUUAAUUUCUGUUCGUAUGUCUAAAAUUUGUUUGGAAUUUGGCUGUUUCUUCAAUUUCAUCACCACCUAUUCUCACAACUUCAUUUAAAGUGUUUUGCAUGUAUAAGAUUCAUAUUCAUGGAGGUCAUUUCAAACGGAUUUCAAGCUGAGCUGCAGAAAUUUGAUUCAAAUUGGUGGAUUUGGGUAAGAAACUAAGAAACCAUUAUCUUUUGUUUCGGUUUUAAGAACUGAAUUUAAUGGUUAAGUUUAUGUUUCAAGAUUAUCUUCCUUUCUCCUAAAUACUGAGUUUUAUGAGAUUACAUUUGGCAAGUCUGAAAACGGAUUAGAAAUACAGAGUUUUAUGAGAUCUAUUUGGCAAGAUUAUCUUCCUUUGUCCUAAAUACUGAGUUUUAUGAGAUCUAUUUGGCAAGUCUGAAAGUGGAUUGCGUAUGUUUAUAUCUCCCUUUCUUCUAAAUACUGAGUUUUAUGAGAUCACACCAUCUUAUGUUUAUUGUAUAAUCUUAUGCAGUCAGAAGAAUUAUCAUCUUUUUCCUUUUAGAUUUCAACAUAUUUGGAAAUACUUCAAAUUUUUUGUAGUGUAGUUUGUACUUGUAGUUUACAUGAUUACGUAAGUUCUAUUUCUUUAGUAAAUUUUUAUGCAGGAAAGAAAGUCAUUUCUCAGUUUAUAGUUAACAUGAUUACAUAAGUUAUGCUUAUCUUAUCAACCUCAUUCACUCGUAUGUUGCUCUGUUCAUUCAUGAUUGUGUUAAAUUUAUUCAGGUUAAAAGUGUCUUAUUCAUGCAGUUACGCAUGAAACAGUUGUUCCCGCGGCAACACGUGGGCUUAUUUUCUAGUUCCAAUGUAAACCUAGAGACGAAACGAGGUCAUAUAUUACAAAGACAUAUUCUAAAACAGCCUUAGCUCAGAGAAUAAAAAAAGGAAAACUAAUGAAAAUGGCUUGAAAACUUUGAGUUUUAACGAUAUGGACAAAAUAAAGGGUAAAGUGAACAGUAUCAGGUUUGACUUUUUAGUGUAAAAAUGUGAUUUUUCGUUAAAGUAAACAGUACAGCAGACUUUUCGUUAAAACUCCCAAUAAAAAAAACCAUGCAGUGAAAACAUCUAAGGGAAACGAGUUGAUCCUCAAUAAACGCCUCAAUAGAAUGACAUCUUUGUUAAAGCAUCUGUUAUAAAAUUAGCUUCAUCUAAAACAUGAUAGAAGCUGAUAUGAUCAAGCAUACCAUGUUUGCCAACAUAAAAGAAGGAUCUUUCCAAGUUUAGGAAGGUGGGAGUUGCCAAAGAGAAACCGAUUUGAGCCGCAUUUUCUUCAAAUAUCUCAGGCAAACGGUCGGCUGACAAAAUGCAGUCAAUGGCUUCAACAUCUUGAGAAUAAAAGGCACAACUAGGAUCAAUUGGUUGUACUUCAUAUAGGGAUAAGACUUGAGUCUCGUCUUUCACAUAUGUUUACUUGUUCAUUCCGGCCAUUAUAUGGUACAACACUGAACAUAGAGUACAACUUUUCCGGCCUCUAAGUCCGGAACCCUCCCAAACAUUGGACACUACAAUACCAAAAUAAAGCAAUAAAAUACAACAGUACAAUACAAUAUAGUUAAAAGCAAUCCAUCUUAGUACAGACUCAAUCGGAUGAAUCAACGGAGCCCUAGUGUUCAAGCUUCCAUCCUUGCGGUAAACUUAAGUGGUGGCUUCAAGAAAUGGAUAAUCAGUGUAACCAAUGACGGGAUCAGUGUGUAAAAUGUCUCUCUGUUGUACUUGUUUAGAGGAGCAUUAAGUUCAAAUCUCUUUGGCAAAUCCGGAUUCGCCAAGAAAAUACGGCCAUAAGCAAUAAGAUCUGCACGGCCCUCGCCCACAGCUCUGUUUCCAUCUUCCCUGUGAUAACUGUAAAUCAUUGUGUAUGUUGAUGAAGAAAGAAUAUGCAGGAAGAAAGACAGAGAGAAAUGUAGAAGAAUAAGAGAGUAAGAGAGUUUAGAGAGUAGAGAGAGAAUCAAGAAUUGUAUUUUCUUUCUAGUUAGUUACAACUGACUAUUACAACAUGUAUUUAUUUGUAUUGGUAGCUUACACUCUAAGCCACACAAUAACCACCUUAACUAACUCUUAUAUCACAGCUAUAGAAUCUUAGUACACCUAUCAUCCCCCCUCAAGCUCAGGGGCAGAGAAAUUGAGCCUGAGAUUGGCACAAUGAGUCUGAAAGAGUGGUGUAGAAAGACCCUUGGUGAGGAUAUCUGCAAACUGCUCAGUAGACGAUACAAACUGAACAUGUAGUUGCUGUUUUGCAACCCUUUCUCGAACAAAAUGGACAUCAACCUCAAUAUGUUUCGUACGUUGAUGUUGAAUUGGAUUGCAAGUCAGUGCAAUUGCAGACAGGUUGUCACAGAAAAGUAAUGGGGGCUCGGCCAAAGGAAUCUGCAAGAACGACAACAGAGAUUUAAUCCAAUCCAAUUCAGCCGCUGUAGUAGAGAGAGCUCGAUAUUCAGCCUCAGUUGAUGAGCGAGAGACAGUGUGUUGUUUCUUAUACAUCCAUGAAAUGGGAUUAGACCCCAAGAACACCACCAUUCCAGUUGUGGACCGUCUAUCGUUCGGAUCACCCGCCCAGUCUGCAUCACUAUAGGCAGUAAGAUCAAGGGAACCUCGAAUAUACUGAAUACCACAGCCUCGAGUAGCCUUUAAGUACCUAAGAAUCCGUUUGACAGCCAUAAAGUGGGAGUCCAUUGGUCGCUGCAUAAACUGGCAGACCUGAUGCACUGCGAAAACAAUGUCAGGCCGCGUAAAAGUCAAGUACUGGAGAGCACCAACCAAGCUCCUGUACAUUGUAGGAUUAUUAUAAGGCUUGCCAUCAUUGCUGAGAAGACGGUUGUAAGGCAAACAUGGAGUAUCACACGGUUUGGACAAUAGCAUAUCAGAUUUAGUAAGCAGAUCCGUAACAUACUUGUCUUGAGAGAGAAACAAACCAUUCUUGUUCUGUACAAUUUGAAUGCCUAGAAAAUAAUGAAGAGGUCCCAAGUCUUUCAUAUCAAACUCAUGAGUAAGAGCUUGAAUAACCUCAGUGAUAGCUUGUGGAUGGCUGCCUGUGAUGAUAAUAUCAUCAACAUACAACAACAGAAUCACCACAUAUGUGUCAACAGUUUUUACAAAUAAAGAUGAAUCUGCAAAUGUAGACUUGAACCCUAAGGAAGGUAGAAAAGUAGUGAACCUUUCAUUCCACCUGUGGUGCCUGUUUCAACCCAUAAAGCGAUUUAUGUAAUCGACAAACAUAAUCUUCAUGUUUAAGAUCAACAAACCCAGGUGGCUGUGUCAUGUAGACCUCUUUCUUGUAAAUAUGCCAUGGAGGAAGGCAUUUUUCACAUCUAAUUGUCUCAAUGUCCAACCAAAGUUUGCUGAUAAAGCUAGAACGAUUCUCACUGUUGUAGGUUUAACAACAGGGCUAAAAGUCUCUCCAUAAUCGAUUCCUUCUUCUUGAUUAAAGCCUUUUGCCACCAGCCGUGCCUUAUACCUCCCAAUUGAGCCAUCAGCAUUCUUUUUUAUCUUAUAUACCCAUUUACACCCGAUUAAAUUCUUGUGACGGGGCAAUGGAACCAAUGACCAUGUUCCCUGAUUAUGCAAAGCCAAUAUCUCAUCUUGCAUAGCAUUAAACCAAACUGGGGAUUUCAACGCAGACUUAUAUGUUGCAGGUUCCACUUAUGUCAAAUCAACCCCCCCAUGUUCAUGAACCUGAGCAAGUAAAGCAAGCUUCUUAAUAAUACCACUUUUGGAUCGUGUCUGCAUAGGAUGGAAGUUCACUGGGGGAACAGAGAGAACCACUUGGAGCUGCUCAGGUUGGAAUUCAGGUACCACAGGAGGUGCAGGGGAGAAGGGUUGUGUAGUUGGAGAAGUAAUGGAAUGAGUAGCAGUUGAAUUUCCUGCACUGUCAGGUGAACCUGUAAUUGGAACCGUAGUGGAGGCUGCUGAAAGUUGCUGGAGUACCAGAUUUGGCAUGCCACUAGAGAUAGAAUCUGAGCUUAAUGAUGCAGGACACUCAGUGUAGGGAUUAAGUGACUCGUGUAACACAAGUACAUUACUAUGAUUAGGAACUGGAAUUGGUGUUUGAGAAUGUGAUGGAGGUGGUGAAAUAGUGGUACAGUGAGAUUUAGAGACCAAAGAACGAUAAGGAAACUCUGUCUCAUCAAAUAAAACAUGUCUAGAAAUAUACAUUUUGUUUUUAGAAGCAUCAUAACAAAGAUAGCCUUUAUAGUUAGAUGCAUAUCCCAAAAAGAUACAUUUUGCAGUGCGGGGAUCUAACUUGGUAUGAGUAUAAGGCCUUAACCAAGGAUAACAAGAACAGCCAAAUAUUUUCAAAUGUGUUAUUACUGGUAUGGAAUUGUGCAGCAAUUGAAACGGAGAUAAAUUUCCCAAGGAAGAAGAUGGCAUUCUAUUAAUGAGGUACACUGAGGUUUUGCAGGCAAAAGACCAAAACACUGAGGGUAAGGAAGCAGACUGUAGCAAAGCAAUGGAAAUUUCAAUAAUAUGCCUGUGUUUUUGUUUAGCUAUUCCAUUCUGUUCGGGUGUGUAAGGACAGGAAAGUUGGUGCUUAAUUCUUUUAUCAGACAAAAAUUGUUGAAAUGCUUUGUUUAUGUAUUCACCACCACCAUCACUGUGAAGAGUUUUAAUGGCUACUUGAAACUGAUUUAAGAUGAAAUUGUAUAAAGAAACAAAUAUACCCGAAACAUCACUUUUAUUGCACAUGGGAAAAAUCCAGCAAUAUUUUGUACAAUGGUCAAUGAAAGUGACAUAAUAUCUAAAUCCAUCUAGAGACACACAAGGAGCAGGACCCCACACAUCACUGUGAACAAGAUCAAAAGGUUUUACAGAUUUAUCUACGGAGGAAGGAAAUGGGAGUUUACUGAAUUUGCCCUCUAAACAUGGGUGACACAGUGAAGGUGUUUGAUCAGCAACACAAAGAACAUGUGAGGAUUCUAAAAUGCGGGAAACAAUUGAAUUAGAGGGAUGACCUAAUCUCUUAUGCCAAAUACUGGUAGUAACUUGUUGUCCCAGAAAAGCUGCAAGGUUCCUUUUGUGGAUGACUGCAGGAGAACUUGGUGAGAUGAUCGGAUACAAACCAUUGUUACACAGCCCUUUGUAAAGCACCCUCCCUGUGGCUUUGUCGUGAGAGAUAGCUAAACCUUCACCAUUUGCAGUCUGAAUAGUCUCAUUAGACGGAUAUGGAGUGGACAAGGAAAGAUUUCCCAAGUCUGAAGUCAUAUGAUUAUUUGCACCUGAAUCAGUAAGCGAAAUUUGCUGCUGUGGAGGAGGAGAUGGCACUGAGAAAGAAGGAUUAGGACCAUUGAGUGUUGCAGCAUGCAUAGCACUCAUUUGAGGAUUGGCAUUCUUUUGAAAACAUGUUUCUGCAGUAUGAUUGGAGUUCCCACAAAUAAAGCAGCCUGAGGGACCACUUGUAUUUCGAAAUCUACAGGUAUCAGCCAUAUGGUUGUGCUUCCCACAAAUUUGGCAACCUUGUGAAACAUUCAUGUUUCGAAAACGACAUGUAGAAGCCAAAUGAUUUGACUUCCCACAUAUUUGACAAAGUUAAGGCUGAAACCCAUAAAUCUGUGUUCUUGGCGGAGAAGCACCAAGAAUGCCAGGUGCAGGAUUUGAAGAGAAGUUCUUUUUAUUACCAUAUCUCGGAUUGAAUUAGAACCAAAACGAUUUCUGCCUUUACCAUUGUGAUUAAAAGACCUGUAUGCAUUUGUAUUGGAACUAGGAUAAUUUCCACCAGAACCUGAAAAAGACUGAUUCUUGGACACCAAGUCAUUGUUCUGUGCCAUUAGUGCAGACAAAACAGGUGAUGCAGAAAUGGUUUCAAUCAAUGCUUCUUCAGCCAACAAUUGAGAACGAAGAUCUUUCAACGAUAUCACAGUUUCACGACCCCGAAUCACAGAUCUUAUAGUAUUAAAUUCAGCAGGCAGACCAUUCAAUGUAAGAAUCACCAUAUCAUCAUCAUCAAAGAAAACACCAGCAGCAAAUAGUAAAUCCCGUGCUUCUUUAAUCUUCUGCAAAUACACAGUGAUAGAAUCAUUACCCUUCUUUAUAUUUUGCAGUUCAGAUUUGAGUUGAAAGAUACUGGUUCUUGUGAUAGUUGAGAACUGUUCUUUAAGCCUAGUCCACAAUUCUUUGGAACUGGUACUACCAAUCGCACAAGAAAUCCCAGCAGGGGACAAGGUUGCAGUGAUCAACUGCAUUAAUGCUUUAUCAUGCAUCUUCCAUACUCUGUAAUCAUCCGAUUGAACUUGGGUAGUAGAACCCCCAGAUAAUUCUUGGCAAAAUUGGUCAGGACAAGGAAUCGAGCCAUCAACAAACCCAAUUAUACUAUGGCCUUCAAGCAGGAGCUCCAUCUGAAAAUGCCAAGCCAAAUAAUUUGUUUCAUCCAACUUCACAUUAACUGAACUUGAAACCGACGAGAUCAAAGAAGCAAUCGGAGACUGAAGAAUAUGUAACUGAGUAGCAGUCACCAUUGUUACCAAUUAGGAGAAAAAUCCCAAGAAAUCUUGACAGAGGAAUAACCACAAACACUUGGUGGGUGUACUUUGAUCGAGAACGAAUCAAAGGAAGAAGAAGACUAAACCAGCCCAAAUUUUAACACAAGAAAUCACAGCAAGGAGAAGUAAUAGGGUAGAAGCGGAAGCAACCAUAACCAAGAUCGAAAUCCGUCAAGCUUUCAUGCUUGUUCCGGCGAUGAUACCAUGUAAACCAUUGUGUAUGUUGAUGAAGAAAGAAUAUGCAGGAAGAAAGGCAGAGAGAAAUGUAGAAGAAUAAGAGAGUAAGAAAGUUUAGAGAGUAGAGAGAGAAUCAAGAAUUGUAUUUUCUUUCUAGUUAGUUACAACUGACUAUUACAACAUGUAUUUAUUUGUAUUGGCAGCUUACACUCUAAGCCACACAAUAACCACCUUAACUAACUCUUAUAUCACAGCUAUAGAAUCUUAGUACACCUAUCAAUAACCACCACCAGCAAUGAAGGUACCAUGGAAAGCCUUUCUCAUGGGAAGAAGACUCUGGUGGGUUUCAGCUUUUUCUCCUAAUGUCUUCAUCCUCGGCUCAACCAUGUGGCAGUACACGAUUCCAUAUUUGUUCAAGGCAUUGGCCAUAUAGAGGCCUAAUUCUUUUGGAUUUGAAUCCCCUGAGUCCAUAUAGUCAGCAAAUGGAGAUAAUCUAAUUCCAACUUUAUCUGCUCCUAUUUCGUUAGCGACAGCUUCAACAACUUCCAGAGGAAGGCGGCAACGAUUCUCUAGAGAUCCACCAUAUUGGUCUGUUCGAUCAUUCACAUGAUCUUUCAGAAACUGAUCAAGAAGGUAGCCAUGCGCCCCAUGAAUUUCAACUCCAUCGAAGCCUAUAUAGCAGAUUAACAAUUUCAACAUACUGACGGUAUUAGAACCCUAAGCAUUGUCGCUGAAUUACCAAACAAAUAAUAUAAAGACAAACUACCGGCUUCAAUAGAAUUCCUUGCAUAAGCUUUGAAGCAAAUUGAGUUGUUGUAAAUUAUGUUUCAUAUGUAACGUAAAGACAAAUUACCAGCUUCAAUAGAAUUCCUUGCAGUAAGUCUAAAAUCAUUGACAAUUUGCGGAAUUUCAUCCGUCCUUAAUCGUCUUGGAGGCGUGAAUUCAGAAGCAUCGAUGCCAUUUAAUCGUAUCGGCUUGUCAGUAGAAGAUAUGGGAGCUUGCCCAUUUGGUUGAUAACCUGUAAGCAAGGAGAGAGAAUUACAACCUGAAGUCUAACGACAGUAACUAACAUCCACAGCAGCACUCUUUUAAGUGGGAAUCCUUUGUUACAAAUUACUAUAACCACACGUGCUAUAUACUAGUUCUGAAUUCUGAGUUAUGUUAACAUCAAGCUUCUUCCCAUCCAAUAAUAAUAAUAACAAUGCUUCCGAAGCAGCAAAGUCAUAACAAGUCCAACUCGGAACUUAACAAGUCCAAGUUUUAUCGUCAUUUUGAGCAACAAUGUUGUCAAUUAUAAUCACUAGCUCGUUCUGAUGCAUACACCAUUAUGUUAUACAUCAAACUUCUUAAUCGGUCUAAUUAUUCACUCAUGUUAACAAAGCAUACUAUGGUAAAAGUGUUGUGCCUUGGCCCGUUUAUCAGUGCGGAAACGAGAUUCAGAUUACAACCUCACCAUAAUCACACUCAGUUGAACAGAAUAAAAUACAAGAAAUAAAGACACCGAGAAAUUUACGAGGUUCGGCAAAAAUCCUGCCUACGUCCCCGGAGAGAUAUUGCUCUUCACUAUGAGAAUAACAGUACAAGUACACAUGAGUUAAAUCAACAUAACCCAAUCCCGAAUCCCUUGCACACCCACUCAUAGAAUUUUCCCAAGAGCCUCACUCUAUCCCAAGAGUUCUUUCACCAGAGACCUUUCACUCUAGCUCUCUUGAUUUCUCUCUCACCCGUGUUCAACCCUUCCCAUGGGAGAGCUGAAUGCUCUCCCCUUUUGGAUGCUCACUCCAUCCUCACAAUCGGCAAGCUCUCUUCAUUUUGUGUGUGAAAAAUGCCUUCACUUAUAGACAUGCACCAUCAAUUAUGUCAACCACAAAACAUGCUUCCACAAAACAUGCUUCCUCAAAACAUGCUUCCACAAAACAUGCUUCCACAAAACAUGCUUCCAAAGUCCACAAAGUUGAGAGGAAAUGGUUGCCAACUCAUAAUUAUAUGAGCCAAACACAACAAUCUCCACCUUGGCGAAUAUACUGUGCAAAAAUCCUUGCACCCAUCACCAAUGUCCAUUGGCCUUACGUACCAGCAUACACAUUCUGAAUCAACCUUGUUGGUCCUGUUCCUGAUUCAGUCACUGCCAAUGCAUGUGCAGCUGCUGCAAGCUAAAAAUCACCAUUUAGCUUCAGACAGGAUCUCGACACAUCCUCGUCUCCUCCAGCAGGUUUUCCUUCUCUUCAUUGUCUGCAACUAGGAAACUCGUCAGCGCGCCCGUUUCCAGUAACAACCCAUCGAGCCAGACAAAAUUCCCACACUUCCUCCUACCUCAUGAUCAUCUCAUCACCUGUGAAUCCCAUAGCUCCACCUGCUGCAAAACCCCUGCAACACUUGAGACUAAACAUCACCAGGAGAAGUGUUGCUUCGAGUACCUAGAGGACAUACUCAAAGUCUUCCGCCACAAACUUGCUACAACCCGGCCUUGCACCGUAGCACUGUGGACCCUUGCCUCCGGAACCGGAUCUGAACCUGCUGUCUCUCUCUGAUCCUCUUUCCAAUUUUCUUCCACGAUUCCAACCUUGAAUAACUUAAGCAGUCUUGUGCCCACCAUCAUCCAUGGUCUCCUUUGUGUAUCAUUCCACACCAAAGAAGCUUGCACCUGCUCCAAACUUACUGUAUCUUUCCAUGCAGUAAAGUUUCACAAGGUUCUAAGACAAAUCUGAAAGUGAGGUAAGAAGAAAGAGGCCUUUGUUUUCUUCCUCAACAUCAACUUUCGCAGUUGAUCCAAGCAUCCCUGAACACGGCUUCCAUUACUCUCCUUUGCCAAGAGUAAAACCGCCUCUUCCUUUAAACUGCUCAACUGAAAAUUCCAUGGUGAACAACAAAUCUGGACCUCCAACGAACCAAAGACUCCAACGAUGCUCUGAUACCAAUUGUUAUGCCUUGGCCCGUUUAUCAGUGCGGAAACGAGAUUCAAAUUACAACCUCACCAUAAUCACACUCAGUUGAACAGAAUAAAAUACAAGAAAUAAAGACACCGAGAAAUUUACGAGGUUCGGCAAAAAUCCUGCCUACGUCCCCGGAGAGAUAUUGCUCUUCACUAUGAGAAUAACAGUACAAGUACACAUGAGUUAAAUCAACAUAACCCAAUCCCGAAUCCCUUGCACACCCACUCAUAGAAUUUUCCCAAGAGCCUCACUCUACCCCAAGAGUUCUUUCACUAGAGACCUUUCACUCUAGCUCUCUUGAUUUCUCUCUCACCCGUGUUCAACCCUUCCCAUGGGAGAGCCGAAUGCUCUCCCCUUUUGGAUGCUCACUCCAUCCUCACAAUCGGCAAGCUCUCUUCAUUUUGUGUGUGAAAAAUGCCUUCACUUAUAGACAUGCACCAUCAAUUAUGUCAACCACAAAACAUGCUUCCACAAAACAUGCUUCCUCAAAACAUGCUUCCACAAAACAUGCUUCCACAAAACAUGCUUCCUCAAAACAUGCUUCCACAAAACAUGCUUCCACAAAACAUGCUUCCAAAGUCCACAAAGUUGAGAGGAAAUGGUUGCCAACUCAUAAUUAUAUGAGCCAAACACAACAAAAAGGGAGGUCAUAAAGGUGUAAGUCAGAAACGCACCGCUAUUAGAAACCCUUCCAGCAUGCCAAAUCUGACAGAAGAAGACGCCACCUUUAGCAUGAACAGCAUUAACAAUGGGUUUCCAGGCUUCAACUUGCUCCUUUGUCCAUAUACCAGGUGUGUUUGGGUACCUUCGUAUAUUAAAGAACCAAAAAUUUCAUCAAACUUUGAAACGAAAGAAGCACCCUCAAAUGCUUGUUAGUCUAUGAAUCUACUGUUGUUGAAAUUACCCUUGAGCUGUGUUGGAAACUCCAGCGGCUUCAGCUAUGAGAAGACCCCCGUUCGAAGUUCUCUGAGAGUAAUAUAAGAUAGCAUGUGGUUGAGGAACAUUGUUGUAUGAUCUCUGUCUGGUCAAUGGUGCUAAAACAAUUCUGGAAAGGAAAAAGCAAUUGUAAAUUAUAAAUACAGAGUGAUCAAGACGGAAUGUGGCUGAGGAACAUUAUCGAAUGAUCUGUUUCUAGUCAUCAACGGUGAAAAUACAAUUCUAAAGAGGAAAAACAUAUAACAAACCAUAAAUACAACCUUCAGACUUUGUAGGAAGCAUUAGUUUGCUAAGGCUCUUUGAUAACAAAUUCGCUUUUAGUUUUCUUGUUUUAGUUAAAAAGGAGAAACGAGGGAGGAAGAAGGAAUUUGGGACGAAAAUGUAUGAAAUAAAAACUCGAAUUGUAGAUUAUCUGAAUUUGCUAAGGCUCCUUCAUAACAAAUUCGCUUUUAGUUUUCUUGUUUUACUUAAAAAGGAGAAACGAGGGAGGAAUAAGGAAUUUGGGACGAAAAUGUGUGAAAUAAAAACUCUAAUUGUAGACAAUCUGAAUUUGCUUUAUGUUCUUCAUUUUCGGUAUCAUUCCAUGAACAUUUGGUCCCUCAUCCAUCCCUUCCCCUUCCCCUUCCUCCUCCUCCUCCUCUUCUAUCAUGCAUUUUCUCUUUUACUUAAAAUUAAAAACUAAAAAUCAAAUACGAAAUCGUUACCAAACACAACCUAAACAAAGCAAUGUCUUACGAAGUGACCAUGGCCGAAAGGGCACAUACUUUUAACAAUCUAUUGCAUCUAUUUUCAACAAUUAAUCAAUGAAAUAACUCAAGUGUACUGUUGUUUUGAUUUAAUUUGUAACAUCUGUACUAUUUUAUAGACAAAGAUACAGUUACUCUUUUUUUUUUUUUAGGUAAACUAGAAUUACACCAGGGCAAAGCCAGAGUACAACAGGAAAGCCCACACAGAGGACUAACAUAGCUAAAACCAUUGAGACGACAAACAACAAAAUGAUCCAGGGCCAAGGACCAACACUAGUCCCGACAUUAUGUCACCCUUAAUCAUUCCAACAUAGACUCAACUUAGUGUGGGCAAGGUAGACCAUCCUUGUUCAACUUCUUGUCUCCUUCCCAACAUCUGUACUAUUUUAUACCAACAUGAUUCUCUCUGGAUUCUUUUGGUGAGAAUCUUGUCCGUUCAUCGUACAUCGUGCGAUCAGUUUUUGUCAAAUAAUUUUGUGUUUAAUUUUAAAUAAAAAUAUUUAAAAUAAUUUUUUACUGCACGAUAUACGAUGAACGGACAAAAUAACGGAUUUUCAGGAUUCUCACAAAGAGAAUUCGACGAGUAUCCGGAUUCUAUUUUAUAGACAAAGAUACAGUUACAAACACUCCUUGUCUCCUUCCCCAAAUCAUUCUUCGUUUUUGUAAAAUAGGAACAAUGUAUGAAAGUUUUAAUUACCUAUGAGAAAGAUUGAAGUUUCCAAUUUGUAGGGAGUGAGGAGAGGAACUGUGGGAGGUUGAGCAGCAGCAGACAUCUCAGAAUUCGAGUCGGUCGUCUACCACCUGAUCUUGCACUUGGCCUUUUAUACUGGAUUCUGGGAUGAAGGAAGGAAGGAAUGAAUGAAAACAGGACCCAAUUGGGUCUUUAUACGUUCGGUAGGAGCUUAAAAGUCCGCCCUGCAGCUUUCCUCCACAAAAGUCAGAGAAGGCCGGGUCCCACAUCUCCCCUCCCUUGUGUGGUGGUGGCGGCGGCGGACGUCGGUGGGUGGACGAUGGAUCUCUCCAAAGCAUUAAUUAAACCGAUUAGGUGAAGACAGGUAGGAAGGUUUGAUGAGGUCUGUAAUUACGUUUACGUGGGUUGAAAAUUCACCAGUUUUAUGAGGUCUGUAAUUACGUUUGCGUGGGUUGAAAGUUCACCAGUUUUCCCCAUGAAAAAGGACGUCUACGCACGUUCAUUUCGAUUUUGCUUUUUCAUCCUGCAUUAUUAGGCCAUGGUUAGAAAAAUAUAUUAUUUAGGUCCUUAAGGCCACCUCCAAUCAGAAGGGUUAAAACAUAAUCUCAUAUAGAAUUAUAAUUUUGUAAAAAAAUUAAUUUUAAAUUAAUAGUGUCAGAUCAUAUUCAUAUACUAUCUAUAACCAAAUGAGCUAAACAUAGCCUCAUCAAUUUCCGAUGGAUAGCUAGACUAAAAUUCUAUGGAGCUCAUCAAGCCAUCAUUUGGCUAAAGGGGCAUUGGGUUGGCCAAAUGUAGCCCCCCUUCUUAGCCCUUUUUGGAGCUCAGCUCCUCUACUGCACUAUUUGAGUCAAAUUCAACAACUAUGUUUGAAAACAUUUAAUGGAAGUUUAAUUAAAUUAAUCGAUAAAUUUAAUAUAUAAACUUAAAACUAAGUAAUUAUUGAGAAGGUUAUGUUUAGCCACUUCAGUGACGGUAUAUAAGUAUGACGCGAUAUUGUUCAGUCAUUUCGGUUGAAGAUGGCCUAAGGUAAGAAUUUUGAGGAUAUGUGAGACUAAUGUAUGUUAGUUACAAAAUUAUGUUUGUAUAGAUCACUUGAAAUAUUUGACAACUUAAUAAAGAAAAACCAACUUAAAAUCCAUGAACCAUUAGAAAACUCAUUUUCUUUUUUGGUUUUAUUAAGUUGUCAAAUAUUUAAGCUUUUGAAUACAAACUAAUAUAAUCUUGUGGCUAAUAUACAUUUGGUCCUCACAAAUCUUUAAAAUGAAGACCUUACUUGAUCAAUGAAUUUAUGACAAAUUAAAUAGUCUAAAAAUAAAAGGCUCGAAUUAGGGCUAGGUUCGGUUCAAAUCGGUUCAAUUUUUUUUUUCGGUUUUGGUUUUUUUUUGGUUCCGGUUCGGUUUUUUCCGUGAUUUUUUUAAAUCUUUUUUAUUUUUGUCAAAAAUAUAAAGAAGAGUAAUUUUACUUUUUGUUUCCGAUGAACUAAGAAAUUAAAGAAGGAACUUGAAUUAAAACUAGGGCAACUCGCAAUGAUGGCUGCAUCAAACAAAUCAUCCAUAUCUACAAUAUGAACAGAAACCUUUGUAAAUCAUAAAGUCCUUAAUGCUAAAUCCUUUAAGAACCAAGACUUGAAAACCCUAAAUCUGCAAUACAAACCCACAAGUAAGAAACAAACCCACAACACAAAAAUCGAACAAAUCUGCAAUACAAACCAAACUCCCUCCAUGGCGCCAUGUCACUGCCUCCGUUUUCCGGCCAAACCAAGGCGAUUUAGCCCAAAAAAAAGGUACAUCUUCGUCUCAUCUAGAAGUAUGAUUUUUGUUUUUGAAUCACUUGAUUUCGUUGAGUAUUCAAGAAGUUAUGAACGUUUAAAGUUUACCCAGUUUCUGGCGAGUUUCCAAGUUUUCCCUCGUACCAAUCAACUUUGAGGCUAUUUUCCCGCCAUCUCCAGCAACCAUUGGGCUUCCAAAUAGGUUUAAUCUUAUUAUAUAUUUUCCUAUCUUCAUUUUGAUAUUUUAUGGGUCGAAUUUGGUUAAGAAACGAUUAAGUUACAAAGCUUUGAAAAUUGCCCAAGAACUCCGGGACACUUAACGGAGUUUUUAACGGAAGGACCAAAAUGAUGGAUGGUGGACAAUCUCAAGGACCACUUUUAUCGAUUUGAAAUGUUAGGGACCAAAGUGAAGAGUUAUGCAAAUCUCAGGGACUAUUUUGACUAUUUAGCCUUUUUUUUUCCUAAACGAAAAAUAUUUUUUUUAAAUGAAGAUAGAAAAGUGUAGAAUAAGAUUAUACCUAUUUGGAAGCCCCAAUGGCUGCCGGAGAUAGCCGGAAAAUAGCCUCAAAGUUGACUGGUCUGAGGGAAAAUUGGAAAACUCGCCGGAAACUGGGUAAACUUUAAACGUUCAUAACUUCUUUAAUACUAAACUAAAUCAAGUGAUUCAAAAACAAAAAUCAUACUUCUCGAUGAGACGAAGAGAAUGGUACCUUUUUAGACAGUUUAAAUUGCGGUGGUUUGGCCAUAAAAGGCUAAAUAGUGUCUAACUCGAGACUAAGACAGCAUUUAUAGAACCGUUUUCUGCCAAACCACAGUGAAUUUACCCUUCAAAUAGGUACCAUUCUCUUAUUAUCGUCGAGAAGUAUGAUUUAGUUUUGAAUAACUUGAUUCGUUUAGUAUUGAAGAAGUUAUGAAUUUAAAGUUACUCAGUUUCUGGUGAGUUUUCCAGUUUUCCUUCGGACCAGUCAACUUGAGGCUAUUUUCCGGGCUAUCUCGGCAGCCAUUGGGCUCAAUAGGUAUAAUCUUAUUCUACACUUCUAUCCAAUUAUUAAGGCUAAAUAGUCAAAGCUUUGGAAAACCCACACAGAAAAAGUUCGCAACACUAACUUAACCAAAUUCGCCAAUAUCAAAGCCCCUGGAAGGGAGCCUCCCUCCAUGGUGGAAUGUCACUGCCUCCUUUUACCGAUUUGCGAAGCCCAAAAAGGGAGUUAUGCAAAUAGAAGAGAUUUUGUUUUUUUUCUUUUUUUUUCCCUAAACGAAAAUAAUUUUUUUUAGGUUUUACCCAAUAAGAUGGGAAGCCCUGGCUGCCGCGAAUAGACGAAAAUAGCCUUCAAAGUUGACUGGUCUGAUGGGGAAAAUUGGAAAACUUGACUACUGGGUUAAACUUUUAAACGUUUCAUAAGAUUAAUAAUAAAACUAAUUUUGGUGAUUCAAAACAAAAAUCAGGGACUUCUCAUGAGACGAAUAUAAAGAAUUGGUCACCCUUUUUAGACAGUUAAAAUUGCCCAUAAAGGCUAAUAAGUGUUCUAACUCGAGACUAAGACAGCCAUUUUAGAACCGUUUUGGGCCAAACCACAGUGAUAGCCUUCAAAAUAGGUACCAUUCUCUUAUUAUCGUCGAGAAGUAUGAUUUAGUUUUGAUAAACUUGAUUUCGUGAGUAUUGAGAAGUUAUGAACAUUUUAAAGUUACUCAGUUUCUGGUGAGUUUUCAGUUUUCCUUCGGACCAGUCAACUUUGAGCUAUUUUUCGGGCUAUCCCGGCAGCAUUGGGCUUCCAAAUAGGUAUAAUUCUUAUUCUACACUUUCCUAUCUUCAUUUGUUUAUUAAUUUGGUUUAAGAAAAGAGUUAUGUUAUGAAGCUUCUAAAGAACUCCGGGUCCAAAAACUUCUAAAGGCCAAACUCCGGGACACUUCUCAGGGAGUUUUUCGAUUUGAAAAGACCGACCAAAUCUUAAGGACAUUUUUGGCUAUUUAGCCAAUCUUAAUGUACUCCCCAAAUAUGAAUGCAAGUUAGGACCAAGAAGUUGGGUUUUUAGCCAAAAAUUACAAACUUUAAAUGAUUAAUAGAACCAAAGUCAAUACUAAUUAUAGCCAUAGAAGUAUUGGGUUGACCGUUUAGAAACGUGAGAUUUCAAAAGGAUGUUACUAAUAAUAUGGUAAUUGUGGUGAUUGAAAUAUUUACUGCAAAUUCACCUUUUCAAGAUUCUGAUUCUCUUGAUUUAAAAAAUUGAUAUCCACUUCCUGAAAAAUCUUUACAAAACUUGUCUUCUGGUUGAGCUUCAAAUGCCCGUAUGCUAUUCUUUUGAUUGUAUAUUACAAAAGAUGUUAAACAUGAAACUUCAAAAGGGGAUUUAAUCCAUUCUAUAUUUGAAAAUUUCCUAAAAUGGAUGUUAAAACUGAAAUUCAAAUGUUUUUAUCCAUUUCUGUCCUUACUUCCAAAAUGACUGGGAUCGUGACCGAUAAUUUUACAAUUCCAAUCCCCUUUGAAUUUUAAGAGUUAUGCUAUUACUUUAGUCUAACUAGGGUUAUGUGGCAUUAUGCAAUUUUGGACAUUUCAGUUCUACUUACGAUAAUUCAUUGAGUUUUCUGUUUCCUUCAUUUAAUUUAUUUGCAAAUUUGCCAUUGGGCUUAGAAAGGUUUUUGUCUUUACGGUUAUUUCCGUUCAUUGGAAUUUUUUCGAUUAUUCGAUCCACGCGUUGAUCAUCGCUGGAUCGCCGGCUGUGUGGGAUCUGGUGAGGGGAUGGGUUACGUGUCCAUCAUUGUCGAAAGGUUUGCUUCGACUGCAACCUCUCGACUUUUCGUUUCGUUUCAACUUCUAUCUCACAAGCCUCUGCUUCAGUCGCUCUUGAUCUUCGCCUUUUCUAAGGCGUUCGAGGGACAAAAACCGAAAGCCAAACCUCCACCACAAACGAAGUCACAAAUAGGGAUGGGCAACGGCGGACGGGUAACCGCGGUUAUUUACCCAUAACCAUUUAUACUUAUACCCGCAUAAUUGUUUACCCAUUGGGUAAUUGCCCAAGCAGUUAUACUCAUACUCAUAACCAUUUAUAAACGGUUAACCAUAUCCAUAACAGCAUACCCAUUUAACCAUAAUCGUUUAAUACCAGUUUACUCAUUUACUCUUUUUAACCCGUUUAUUUUUUAUUUAUUUUUUACCAUUACCUCUUUUUUCACCCUUAUACAUGGUUUUUAACAACUUGAAAAUUAAAAAAAAAAUGUCAUAAUUUUUUUUGGCAAUUAAACACCGUUAUAAGCACAUUCAUCAUACAUUUCUGUAUUUUAAUUUUUUAAAUCCUUAUCUCAUUCCAAUAAUUGAAAUAAUUUCCGGCAAAGACACAACGGCGUGCACUCGUACGUGGGUUAUUUAUAUGCUCAGCAAGCACCCUUAUAUGCAAGAAAAGGUUGUAACAGAAGUUUGAGAAGCAGCAAAUCUGAAAGAUGACUCAAGCAUUGUUGAACUUGCAGACAAUCUUAAUGAAGAUGCCCUUAAUAAAAUGCAGUAUGUCUUAGUAGCUUUGACUGAGACACAGAGGCUCUACCCUGUAAUUCCACCGUAAAUUUGACUAACAUCUUAACUAAAUCUAAUGCAUGCAUACCGCAAGGGAAAUGAUUUCAGUGCGCUCCCGUUUAGUUUUCUCACUUAAAUUUCUUUUGAUUUAUUCAAUUUAAGAAUAGAAAUACUCCAUGGAUCAUCGUUGAUUACUUUUUAAUUAAUUAAAACACUACUAUAUAAACCACAUUAUAGUCAAUAGUAUUGAUCUAAGUUUUGUCUGAUAGAGAACAUGAUUUGUAUUAAUUUUACAUAUAUAAAAUAAAUAGGUAAACAGUUAUUCGUUUAUAAUCGUGAUUAAUACUCAUAACCAACCAUUUAAAUUUUACAGAUGAACGAUUAUACCUAUAACCAUUUAUUUAUUUAAACAGUUACCCAAAUGAGCAUGUAACCGCGGGCCAUCCCUAGUCACGAACGCCACUCUCACUCACCCUCCACCGUUACACACGAACCCAAUCAUAAUUCUGAAAUCCAAACACAACCCAGAUGUUAAUCCUUCAGAGAAUGGCAAUGGCCACUUCUUCUUCCUUCCUCUUAAUCCCUCUCCUCAAUAAUCUUCUUUGCUUUCCCCAGUUAAACACCAAGCUCCGAGUUCAGGUCUCUGUCCUUCUACGGCGGUAGAACUGGAGUCUCCACCUCCUCGGCGAUGGCCACGGAGGCUCAGGUCUCGACCCAAGACGACAAAUUGAAGGAUGCCCAGAUGGAGGUAGCUGAUAAGCCUGAGACAGUCGUGCUUCCAACCAACGAGUCCUCCGAAAGCCUCAUCAUAAUUCGACACACGGUAUUUAUUGAAAUUUCAUUGCUUUGGAUUGGAUUUAUGAUUGUUUUAUGUUAAAUUGAAGUAGGGUGCUUUCCUGUUGAAUUUUUUGAAUUUUUAGAUUCUUAGGAGCUUCCCUUUUUGAAAGUUUGAUGCUUUUAAUUAACUAUUUUCAAUUCUGCGUUACUAAUGGUCACCUGAUUCUAUUGUGAAGAAUGAGAAAGUGAGGAUGAAGAAAAUAAGAACCUAACUUUUCGGUAAUUUGAAAUUUGAUCGCAUAGGACAUGGAAAAAUGGGUGUACAGCGGUAGAUAAGUUGGGAAAAAUUUCAUCCUGUUUUUGGGAAUGUGAGAAGAUACAUGGGUUUCUGUAUUUUGAUAAAGUGUUGAGGUCGAGCCAUGUUCAUUUUUUUCUGAAUUUUCUUGUAGUUUGGUAUUAAUGGCGCCUUUUCCGCUGUUAUGGUGAUGAACCAUUUAUAUGUGUUUGACUGCAGUGUGCACACGUGAUGGCCAUGGCUGUUCAAAAGCUCUUCCCGGAUGCAAAAGUGACAAUUGGUCCAUGGAUAGAAAAUGGGUUCUAUUAUGAUUUUGAUAUGGAGCCUUUGACGGACAAAGAGUUGAAGAGAAUCAAGAAGGAGAUGGUAAGUGGAAUUUCUGUAUAAGUUAUCAUGUUUGUAUCAAAGUUUUGGAACCAUGAAACUAUUGAAAACUAUUCAUGCACAUUUCUUUUGUGAUUUGUAGGAUAGCAUCAUUGGUAGAAACUUACUAUUAGUAAAGAGUCCUCCACGUCUAUACCCUUGUCAUAAUCUCCAUAAUUAUCUUAUGUAUAUUAUCACGUUAUCUUAGAGAUUUGUAAUCCCGUUAGGAUUUGUAUUGGGAGCUACACAAUCCCUUUAGGACUCUUUGUAAACUGGUAUAUUUAUACCUGAUUAUGAGCAAUGGAAAGUUAAGUCUUCCACCAAUAUUACUGCUUCGUGUUUACUGUGCUCUUUCUCUGAAUAUAUAUAUUUCUACAUGGUAUCAUCCCUUUCUCCGGCUUAACCACCCUUCUCGAUCCGCUUCCCAUCAUGUCCUCUACCUCCCCACUUCCUGGCCCUGCUAUUGCCCAGUUUCUCAAACUCAAUGACUCCAAUUACCUCACAUGGCUUCGUCAGAUCAAGCCCUUUCUUGUUGGUCAUGAUCUGUGGAAGGUCGUUAAUGGCUUCUACCCACCCCCUCCGGCCACCUUCACCGUCACUGCCACCCCUUCCUCUGCCGCUACUAACUCCGACAGUUCUUUCGUGACUACUACCUUUACUCUUCCCAACCCCACUUUCGCUCAUUUGUACCAACACGAUCAGUUGGUCGUAAGCUACAUAGCCGCCACCUUAACAGAACCUGUCCUUGCUCUCACUGUGGGCCAUGACUCCGCCCAAGCCGUUUGGGCAUGUCUUCAACGGCGCUUCGCCUACGACCCUGUCCUCAACUCCGUCGCCUUGCGUUACCAACUGCUUGAUAUUUCCAACAGAUCUUGCUCUAUUGCUGACUAUCUUCAACAUGCUAAAUCUCUUGCUGACAAACUCGCUACUAUCGGCCGUCCUGUUGAUCUUGAAGACUUCAUCACCGUUGUUCUCCGUGGUCUUGGAUCUGACUACCUUACCCUUACCACUGCUAUCAUCAACGUCACCAUUCUUCUAACCUUUGAGGAGUUGACCUCCAAGAUUGAAGCUUUUGAUCUCCAGAACCUUCGCACCUCCACCACGUCUGCCGCUUUGUAAAUUGCCCUCAUCACUACCCACCAACCCCGUGCUUCUUCUCAGUCCUCAGGCAGUCACGAUGGAAAUUAGAACGGUCGUUUCCAACGGAACAAUGGUCCGCAGUGUAAUACCUCCGGCUGGCAUCCUAGCAAGAAUACCAAUUCCCGCAACCAACAACAACAAUGGAAUGGGCCUCCUCCAUUCAAUUAUCAACAACCUUGGCAUGGACCCUCUGCUCCCAUUUAUUGGCCAGGCCCACGUGGUUUUUCUGGGCCAGGCCCACUUGUUCCACCUCGCAACAUAGUGCUACACACUGUCCACACCGCUAUGGCGGCCCCGAACCUUUCCCCCCCUUUGAGGGCUCUCAGGUGAUUUCUUAUUAGGAUCCCAACAUUUGGUUUCCCGAUACUGGCGCUACCUACCACAUGACGGGCGAUCCCAAUGCCCUCCCCCACCCACAACCUUAUCGUGGUCCUAAUUCCGUUCAAUUGGGUAAUGGUGAUUCUCUAAACAUUACAUCCACUGGUACAAUUCCUAUCUCUCUUAACUCUAUUCCGUUUAGUCUUUGUAAUGUCUUUCUUGUUUCGGCCUUACGUAAAAACCUCUUGUCUGUUACAUACUUUACACAUGAUAACAAUGUCGUUAUUUGUUUCUUUCCAUCCUUUUAUCGUAUCUAUGAUUUACACUCUGGUGUUUUAUUGUUUCAAGUCCCAUGUAGAGAUGGCCUUUAUCCAUUAUCCUUCUCCUCACCACAGGCCCUUGCCGCUUCAUCCUUUACCCUUUGGCAUCAACGUCUCGGUCACCCUUCAUCUUCGGUUUUGUCCCGUCUUAGCUCUAGUUUCGGUUCUACGUCAUUUUCUUCAAAGCAUUUUUGUAAAAGUUGUGCUUUAGGCAAGUCCACACAACUUCCUUUUUCAAUUAAAUAAUGCAAGGGCUACUACUCCAUUUUAUAUUAUACAUUCUGAUGUUUGGAUGUCCACUUCUACCUCUGUUUCUGGCUUUCGUUAUUACGUAUUAUUCACUGACGAUUAUUCUUGUUAUUCUUGGAUUUACCCCAUGAAAAAGAAGUAUGAGGUCUUUACACAUUUUCAAACCUUUGUUGCAAUGACUCAUAACCUAUUUAACGCAUUUAUUUAAUAUUUUCAAAGUGAUGGCGGCACCGAAUAUGUUAAUCACUCAUUUUCUGCAUUUUGUCGUCAAUUAGGUAUCCAACACCGUCUUUCGUAUCCACACACACCCCAACAAAAUGGACUUGCUGAACGUAAGCACCGUCAUAUUGCUGAUAUGACUCGCACACUGCUUACUACAGCUCAUACCCCACUCACCUUGUGGGUGGAAGCUACGCUUGAUGCGAAAAUUAACUUAACACACAAAUUAAACCCUCUUGUUGUCAAUUGUAGUAAAGAAUGUAAGUAGGGAUCGUUCUAGGCCGGAGAUUAGAAGGGAUUGCUAAAACACUUGAAACUGACUUAAAUAUGUGAAAACAAACUUAAAAGCAUGAAAUUAAACUUACAAGACUCAAAACAAAGCCACAAGACUCAAAACAGAUUAUAGAGACUCAAAACUGCCUAAAAACAACUCUAAGGCAGUUUCUGCCACUAACACAAAGUUUGGACGAAAAUUGAUUUUAUUUUAACUUAAAACACUUAAAAACACAAUCUAAAACAAGUACUGACUAAUAGACACUCUAAAGUAAAGGGGGAUUUGGUUUUGGAUGAAUUUAAGUAAAAACAAGUAAUUAAAGACUUAAAACAGAUUUUGGACGAAUUUGGUGAUUGGAAUGGAUGAUGGGCUAGCUAGAAGGUCUUUCUCCACACAUGACACACUUGCAUAUAAAACGAUUUCCAGUUGCUUUUCAAUAAACCAUGAACCUCAACACCCCAGAUUAAUUAGGUACGCUUAAAUUAAUCCUCAGAUUUUCCUAAUUUCAUUGAAUUGGAUGAUUGCAUACAACAACCCAAAGCAUUCCCCACAAGUUCCCUACAUGAAUUGCAUAAUAGAGAUACAAGUAAGAAUCAUUAAGUUCUAGGAAAAUCAUAAGCAUUGACGAAACACUUGUAACUAUGAAUUGCAUGAAACUUAUGCCAAGAAUUUACUUAACACGGUUGUGACGAACAACCUUUAGUACUUGUAAAUAUAAGUUCAUAACGAUUAGGUGAAACUCCCUUAAUCCUAGCAUCAUAUUUAUGCAUGAAAAUUAAGCGUGCACUCUCAACCAACAUACACAAAUCAGUUUUAAUUCAAAUGGAUAAGUAAAUUGAAUUCACAACUUAUGAAUCACAACUGAAAGUAACCAAAUCAUAUUGCAAGCAUGAACAUGGUUUCGAAUUCCCCCCUAGCUAAGGAGGUUUAGUUUCUCAUACUUACAAAGUAAAGAUAAACAAAUUUAGACAUUGAGAACAAAAGAAAGAAAACACCUAAAAACGCUCCAACAAUCCAACUUGAAUGGCAAGCACGUCGAAGGGUCUUCCUUCUUCUCUUUGUUGCAGCACAAGGUGUGGUUUGAUGGAUGAGUGGUAAAUUAUAGUAGUGGAUGGAUAUGCACGGCUGAGAGAUGAAAGUGUAUGGAUUGGUGAGAUGUAGUAUGGCUAAAUGAAUGGAUGGAGGUCACGACAAGGAAAUUGUGUUUGCGAAUGAAGUUGUGAGAUGUGAAAUGUAGUGUCUUUGUAUGAUGGCCCCCAAAUUAUGGUGAAGGGUGGAUGUAUUUAUAGGCUAGGGAGAGGAGUGUAUGGAGUUGUAAUGAGUGGAUGUAAUGGGUGUAGUGGGUGAGUGUUGUGAUAAUGAGUCGAUGUAAUGGGUGUAGUGGGUGGAUGUUUGGUAAUGAGUAGAUGUAAUGGGUGUAGUGGAUGAGUUUUUAGUAAUGAGUAGUGUUUGGUAAUGAGUGAAUGUAAUGGGUGUAGUUGAUGAGUGUUUGGUAAUGAGUGGAUGUAAUGGGUGUAAUGGGUGAGUGUUGUGGUAAUGAAUGGAUGUAAUGGGUGUAGUGGGUAGAUGUUUGGUAAUGAGUGGAUGUAAUGGGUGUAGUGGAUAAGUGUUUGGUAAUGAGUGGAUGUAAUGAGUGUAGUGGGUGGAUGUUUAGUAAUGAGUGGAUGUAAUGGGUGUAGUGGAUGAGUGUUUGGUAAUGAGUGGAUGUAAUGGGUGUAGUGGAUGGAUGUUUGGAGUUGUAGGUCAACACACUUGCACACACACAUGCUGAUUUCUAGCCUUCAAAUCUUCAAAAAUGUCCAUCCUCAUGUCCUCAUGCUUGCACUAUCCAAUCUUGGCUAAAAAAUGCUCUAAAAUGCUCCAAAAUGCACUUUCUUGCCAACUUUGUUAUUAUGACCUACAAACACAUGAAAAUAGCUUAAAAUUCAUAAUUAACUAAGAAAUAACAACACAAAUGCACAAGAACAAGCUAACUAAGUCGCAUAAAUAUGCUCCUAUCAGCGCUCACUUCUGUCCACCUCAUCAAUCUUCUCCCCACCUCUACCCUCAAUUGGUCAACUCCCUAUACACUUCUAUUUGGUUAGACACCCACUUACUCUCACCUACGUACCUUUGGAUGUAUGUGCUUUCCAUACCUUCGGGAUUAUGUUCACGAUAAACUAAGCCACGUUCUAUUGAGUGUGUUUUUGUGGGUUACAGUGCCUCUCAUAAAGGUUACAGGUGCCUUGAUCAGACCACUGGACGUAUUUAUAUCUCUCACCAUGUGGUGUUCAAUGAGGCUACUUUUCCUUUUGCAACCUCUCUCGGCCAGCCACCAACCACAUAUGUGGAGCUGGAAAUUCAUCCUACUGCCAUCCCACAAUUUGCUUGCUCAUUGCCCAUCCCUACCUCUCUUGGUCUCGUGGGCUCCUCCUCUAAUGAUGGCCAGUCAAUGCCACAUGACAAUGACCUACCUACUUCUGCUGCUUCUCCACCGCAGCCUGCCGCUACCCAGUCACGGUCACCACCACUUAUGCUUCCAUCUCAUCCCAUGGUCACCCGAACUAAAGACGGCACGCGUAAACCCAAGUCCUGGACUGAUGGCUCUAUCCGGUAUCCUCUCCAUCAUGCUCUUUCAGUUUUGCUUACCACUGACGAACCCACAUGCUUUACACAGGCUGUUCGCAAACCCGAAUGGCGGGCUGCCAUGACCGAGGAAAUUAAUGCCCUUUUUUUAAAUAAUACUUGGGUUCUUGUUCCGCCAUCACCCACCCAAAACAAAGUCGGCUGCAAGUGGGUUUAUCGCAUAAAAUGGAAAUCUGAUGGAAGCAUCGAUAGAUACAAAGCACGUCUGGUGGCAAAGAGCUUUCACCAACAACCAGGAAUUGACUACGAUGAAACUUUCAGCCCUGUGGUCAAACUUGCAACUAUACGUACAGUUCUCAGCCUUGCUAUUUCAAAUCAUUGGUCCGUUCGUCAGCUCGACGUGAAAAAUGCUUUUCUGCAUGGUCAUUUGAAGGAGGAAGUCUACAUGUCACAACCCCCUGGUUUUGUUGAUCCCCAACAUCCCAAUCAUGUUUGUUGUCUCACCAAGGCACUUUAUGGUCUUAAGCAGGCUCCUCGGGCCUAGUUUCACCGCUUUAGCUCAGUCAUCAAGAGAUGAAGCUCCCAAAAGAAUAACCGCUCUCAGUGAACCAUACAAAUUGGAAAUUUUGGAUAGUAUUAAAGAAGAUCCCAUUACCAUAUAUCAUAUUGGUAAGGGUUUCACUAUUUUCAAGCUCAAUAUAGUGUAUGGAAGGUGAUGAUUUAAUGUGUAGGAACUGUGCGUAAAUGAUAUUUUUAUUAGCUACACAAGUGAAAUGUACAGUGUUUGUGUUGAGUCUUAAGAUGGAAAUUUAAAGGAAUAAAAAAGAGAGGGCGGGGUGUGCUCAGGGAAAACAAUGUUGUUGGUGCUCUUUAAAAAUGAGUUAUUGAUAUGCAGAUUGAAAAUAAGACUAAUUUGGAGGUGGGAGGAACCUUUUGGUCAAGCUAACCAAAUUAUACUUAUGUUUAUACAUAUGCAUGCUUGUACUAGGAUUUGAUUGUGUUUUGAACUAGCAUCCUGUCAUAUUAGACUGUCUUGAUGUCAUAAUUCCUCAUAGUAUGCCGAAUUCUUCAUAGGUGAUGAAUGGUGGAACCUAUGUGCGGGGCCCCAUGUUGAAAAAAUUGGGAAUAUUAACAGAAAACUUGUCGAACUUGAGUCUAUGUUGGUGCCUACUGGAGAGGACAUGAAAUGAAACCAAUGCUGCAGUGGAUCUAUGACACUGCAUGGGAGAGUGAAGAUCAAUUGAAGGCAUAACUUCAAUUGAAAGAGGAAGCUAAACGUAGAGAUCACAGGCGCCUUGGUCAAGUCAAAUCAAAGAUGAAAUUAAGGGUGUCAUAGAUCUUACAGAAGAACUUUCGUUGCAAUUCGGCUUCAGCAAAUAUGAGGUCAAUCUCUUUACAAGGCUAGAGAAAGCUGUUGGAGAUGAUAUAUGGGUGAAAGCAACAUAUGCCCUUAAAGAUGCUUUGGAUGAUAAAGGCUGGAGCUAUCAAAUUGAUGAAGGCGAUGGUGCCUUUUAUGGUCCAAAAAUUGAUCUUAAGAUUAAGGAUGCCCUUGGAAGGAAGUGGCAGUGCUCAACUAUGUAGGUUAAUCCAGUGCUCAACUAUGCAGGUUAAUCCUGAACUCAUGACGGGAUAAUUCUAAGGAAAACUAAUGAAAAGGGUUUGAAAACUUUGAGUUUUAACGAUAAAGACAAAAUAAAGGGUAAAGUAAAUAGUACCAAGUUUGACUUUUUAGUAUAAAAAUGUGGUUUUUCAUUAAAAUGAACAGUACCACAGACUUUUCGUUAAAAUUCCCAUAAUUCUAAUAUAUGCUUUGUUUUUUAAUUGGUAAUCUCUCAGUCUAUCUCUGUAUCACUUUGUAAAAUGUUCAUUGGAGAUUUGAGCAUCUUUUUUGAAUUGAGCGAAUUACAUGGAUUUGUUUGAUAGACUAAAGCCACUUAUUACUGUUAUUUUAAAUUUUUGAUCUUUUGUAUUUCCCAAAUUGUACAGGUUUGUAAAGCAGUUGCACGUUUAAUGUUUCAAUUAACUCAAGAACCCUCAACACACCUGCACGACGGUUACCUAGGCUACGACCCCUGGCUUUCCUCCCAGCGAUUCGACUCCGAGUCCCUCAAGGACCUCGCCAUGGAUUCCCCAAUCUUCCACGGCUCCGCCGUAGAUGACGCUUUCGCCACUCAGCCGGCGUCGGAGGCCUUCUCUCCUCCGUCGAUCUACGCCGAAUCGAACGGCCAGGGCUUUGAUGGAGGGUUUGGCAGGUCCGUGUUAGAUACCAAUUCCAGCCACUAGUUCAUCCUUAACUGGAAGCAAGAAUUGUAGGAAAUGGCGAGAGGGAAAAGAUGGAGUAUUUUUUGCAAAAUGAUUUUUUAUAUUUGAUUUCAUCUAUCCCCGUUCAACAAGAAAGGGAGAGCUUUAAUAGCACUAGCAACCUCCCCAAUGAAAGAUUGUGACAUGGCAUACAUAGCCUAAACUCUUAAACAACAGCACAAAGGAAAGGCAAAUUACACAACGACCCUAAAACAUUACAUUUCGACCCAAAACUUUGUUGCUUGUGAUCAAGGCAAUCACAGUACAUAACAAUGCUUCGUCUUUGAAAAAUAACCUUGUCCACAAGGUUUACACUGGAAAAUCGGGGUGUCGGGUCUUAAAUGCAUCGAAAUCUUCCCAUGAAGCUUUAGCUGCUUCCUGUCCAUUCCAUUGCACUAAUAGCUGCACCAUAGUUGCAUUUCCCUUCUUAUACAUCCUCCUAGCCAAGAUUGCCUGUGGUAAGUUCUGCAUCAACCCAUCAUCUGCAGCAAUGGGCAGAUUCACAUGUGAAACUACUUUUUCCCCCAAUUGCUUUUUGAGGCAGCUUACAUGGAACACAGGAUGUAUCUUUGAUCCUUCAGGUAAUUUUAGUUUAUAAGCCACCAUACCAAUAUUUUCCAACACUUCAUAAGGACCAUAGAACCUAGGCUGCAGUUUAUGGUAACUGUGCUGCCAAUGCUUGCAACUGAUAAGGAACUAGCUUCAAGUAUACCUUAUCCCCCACAUUGAAAUGCCUUUUAGUUCUUCUUUUAUCAACUUGAACUUUCAUCUUGUUUUGUGCUAAUUCCAAAUUGUGUUUGAGAACAGUAAGCAUGUUAUCCCUUUCGAGAAGACUUUGUGCCACAUAGUCCAUUUUUGCAGUUCCCACUUCAUAUGGAGCUAUAUGAGGUGGAGCAUGACCAUACACCAAUUCAAAAGGUGUAAAACCUGCAGAGGUGUGAUGUGAUGUAUUGAAGCACCACUCAGCCCAUGGCAACCAAUUCACCCAUUUUUUAGGCUGCCCUCCAAUAAAACAUCUUAAGUAGGUCUCCAAACACCUAUUCAUAACCUCAGUUUGUCCAUCACUCUAGGGGUGAUAACCUGAACUCAUGCACAGUUUUGAGCCUUGCAACUUAAAAAACUCCCUCCAAAAUGCACUGAUAAACAUAGGAUCUCUAUCACUCACAAUGGAACUUGGCAUACCAUGCAAUUUGAAGACAAACUCAAUGAAUAUUUGAGCCACACUCACUGCAAUAUAUGGAUGGGAAAGAGCAAUGAAAUGUGCAUACUUAGAAAGUUUGUCCACCAUCACCAUGAUCACAGUUUUGCCCCUACAAUUUGGCAAACCAAGUAUGAAAUCCAUGCUAAUGUCCGACCAAUUCUUCUGUGGAAUUGGUAGUGCUUGUAACAAUCCAGGUGGAGCUAUUGUUUCCACUUUGUUUUGUUGACAAAUGCUACAUUCAACCACAAAAUUUCAAAUAUCCUUCUUCAUUCCCUGCCAAUAGAACCUCUUUUUGAUCCUGUGAUAUGUUUUAACCACCCCUUGGUGACCUCAUCCAGAAGUAGAGUGAUACUCUUCAAUGAUUUUGUGUCUCCAAGGUGAUGUGGGACUCAAAACUACCCUCUUUUUAUAGCAUAAGAACCCAUUAUCAACAGUAUACUUGGAAACUGCAGCUUUAUCAGUAACUGUCUUAGAACUAUCAAGCACAAAUUUAAUCCUUUCCAAAACCCACUUAUCACUUUCAAAACUCCUCCUUAAAUCAUCCAUCCAGCCAAAAUAAGGGUAGAUGAUGGCAGUGAGUUCCAUGUCAAGGUGAACAGGUUUCUCUACCAACUCAGAAUUGACAUUUGGUACCUUAGAGAGUGCAUCAGCCACUGUGUUUUCAACUCCACUCCUAUACUGGAUCUCAUAAUCAAAACCCAAGAGUUUUGAAACCCAUUUUUGUUGAAAAUGAGUAUUAGCUCUCUGACUUAAGAAGUACUUGAGACUAUUGUGAUCAGUCUUAAUUAUGAAGUGUUUACCUUGCAAAUAGUUAUGCCAUUUUUUUACAGCAUGAACUAUUGCAAUCAGUUCUCUUUCAUAAGUAGAAAGAGCUUGAUUCUUAGGUCCUAAUGCCUGACUGGUGAAUGCAAUUAGUCUAAGGUUUUGCUGCAUAACUGCUCCAAUUCCAUUGUCUGAAGCAUCACAUUCCAAGACAAAGGGUUGAUUGAAAUUUGGCAAUGCCAAUACUUGUGGUGAGGACAUAAUCUUUUUGAGUUUUUUAAAUGCUUCCAAAGCUUCCACUCCUCAAUAGAAUCCAUCCUUCUUAGUGAGAUUAUACAAAGGCUGGCAUAUUUUCCCAUAUCCAGGCACAAAUUUUCUGUAGUACCCAGUGAGGCCUAGAAAUCCUCUCAAUUCCUUCACAUUCCUUGGUACAAGCCAGUCAGUGAUUGCUUGGAGUUUGCUAGGAUCUGCCAUAACACCAUCCUUUGACACAAUAUGGCCAAGGUACUCUACUUUACUUUGACCAAAGGAACAUUUAGAUUUUUUCAAAAACAACCGAUUGUCUUGCAAUAUCUGAAAAACUUGUUGUAGAUGUGUCAAGUGAUCUUCCCAAGACUUGCUAUAUAUUAAAAUGUCAUCAAAGAAUACCAGUACAAACUUCCUGAGAAGUGGUUUGAAAAGAUCAUUCAUCAAGUUCUGAAAAGUUGCAGGUGCAUUGAUAAGCCCAAAGGGUAUCACUAAAAACUCAUGAUGUCCUCUAUGGGUCCUAAAUGCAGUCUUAGCAAUGUCUUCUUUGUGCAUCAAUAUCUGGUGAUAACCUGACCUUAAGUCAAAUUUUGAGAAGAAAACAGCACCAUGUAGUUCAUCCAGCAAGUCAUCAAUUAGAGGGGUUGGAUACUUAUCCUUGAUGGUCAAAGCAUUAAGCUCCCUAUAAUCGACACACAUCUUCCAUGUACCCUCUUUCUUCUUCACUAGUAACACUGGAAAUGAGAAAGAACUAUGACUUGGUCUUAUAAACCCAGCUUCCAAAAGUUCUUGAACUGCUUUCUCAAUUUCUGUUUUCUGCAAGGGACCAUAGUGAUAGGGUCUGAUAUUUUGUGGUUUUGCUCUUAGAACCAAUGGUAUAUGAUGAUCAUGGACUAUGGAGGGUGGGGGUUUAGAUAGUAGAACAAAAAUAGACUCAAACUGUCCCAACAGAGUCUGUAAUUCCUGUAGUUGUGACUGAGUGAGAUCACUAGCUUCAAGUUUUUCCCCUUCCAUAGAGUAUAAGAACAACCCCAAGUUGGAAUUAUAAAUGUCCUUGUCAAGGUGCUGCAAAAAGACUUCCUGAAUAACUGGCAAUGUCAUAGGGCUAUGAUGCAACUUGUAUUGCUGAUUAUUUUUAACAAACUCUAUAGUCAGCAACUGGAAAUCCCAGAGCAUAGGACUAAUGGAAGAAAGCCAUUGAACCCCAAGCACAAUGUCAUAACCCCCUAAAGGUAAAGUGUAGAGAUCCACUGCACAUUUAUACCCUCCUGUAGUGAGAGAGGUUGACUUACAACACCCUGAACUCCUCACCUUCCCUCCAUCAGCUAUCAUCACCCAAAUUGCUUGGUGUGAUGAACUUGCUGCCCCCACUGCUUCAAUAGUCGAGCAUCAAUAAAAUUAUGCGUGCUACCGGAAUCCAAAAGGAUUUUCACAGGAUGACCAUUAAUAACAUCAUCCACUUUCUUUGUUUGAAUAGUUUGCCUAGCCUUAGUCCCAUAAAAUGCACAUUCACUAAGCUCCACAUGAAGAAGCUCAGGUUGUAUCCCCACAGAUUCAUCAUCAGAUAAUUCAUCAUUGACCACAUCAAGCAUCAACAAUUGUUUUAGACCACAUUUAUGUCCCGGAGUCCACUUAUCAGUACAAAACCAAGACUCCCCAUUUUCUCUCUUCUUUUGAAUCUCAACAGGGAUGAGUUUUAUAAUGGCUAAAUUUCCAACUCUAGGCACUUGGAUAUGUGGGAAUGACAGCUGAGAACUUAACUGGUGGUGUGGAUUUAGGAGGGAAAACUUUCAACUCAAAGUGUUUGGUAUCUAAUUGGAUUGCAAGAGCAAUUGCUUCAUGAACAUUUGUAGGUUUCAACAAUGACAUCAAAUUUGAGUUCACGUUUAAGGCCACCAAAAAACAACUCCUAAGCAGAAUCAGACCAAUAACAGUCGCUCUAGUAGCCAAACGACGAAAUUCAUAAUGUAUUCACGGAGAGUACCUGUUUAGCGGAGCUUGAAUAAGGACUCAGCAUUAUCCUCGAAUUUGGAAGGCCCAAACUCUUGACAAAAGGCGCGAGUGAAUUCCUCCCAACUCGGAGUAGUCUGAACACAAUCCAGCCAACGAAACCACUGUAAAACCUCACCCUCCAAAUGAAAAGAAGCAGUGAAAACACAAUGAUCGGACGAAGUGUUAUAAAAGGAGAAAUACUGUUCAGCUUUGAAAUUGCCCACUUUAAGCAGUUCGUGAGUUAUGGCUAAUUUCAUUUGUCCCACAAGUUUGUCCUCUCUCAGCUUAGGAAGCCUUCACAAAGGUUGCUUAGGAAAAGUCUCAGCAGUCGGUAGAGCCCCAGAAAGAGAAGGUACCGGAGGGGGAUCAUUCGGAGCCUCAGUACUGGACAGAACCCUAAAAGGAGGAGGCAUCGGAGGUUGAUCAUUUGGAGCUUCAUUACGCGGUACAGCCCUAGAAGACGAAGGUAAUAAAUGUCUUUGGAACAAACCCACAAACCUCUGAUGAUCAAGUAAAACCUGACCAUCAGAUUUCUUCAUCUGGUCAAGCUUCAUCUUUAUGUUUGUAGCAUGGUUAUGUGCUAGCCGGUGCAACUGUUUAUUCUCAUGCUUGAGUCCUCUAAUCUCCUGUUUGAGACUCAUCACUUCAGCCGCCAAUGAUUUAACUUGGCGGGUUCAUACAAAUAGGCGUUGGGCCAUAUUAGACACAGAACCUGCACACUGAACACUGAGAGCCAGAGAAUCCUUAACAGCCAACUCAUCACACUGUUUGAAAAGUAGUCUGUUAUCUUUGGGAGUGAGAAGGUUCUUGGCCACUACCGAAGCGGUCAUAUCAUUCUUCAUCACGGAAUCCCCAACGGUAAGAGGACCAGUAGGGGAUAAGAAGGAUGGGUGCCAUAUGUUGUCUGGAGAAGACAUGGCUGCCUCUUCAACAAGUGGUAGCUAGAUCUUCAAAAUUUAUGUGUCUAAACUUUGUUAGUGCUGUUUCUUUGCUAUUCUUUUACCCUUCUUGGUCAUAGCGAUGUAGUGGGAGUUGCAAGCUUCACGUGUCUUCCAGGCAGUCAGUUCCUGACUGGAAGCUUAAUUCCAAGUGCUGACUGAUUACUCUCUUUCUCCCUCUCUUGCAGGUAAGAACAAGGCCAAAGGAAAAGACAGGGAAAAAGCAUGAUAUGGGAUACUCUUGCUUUUAACCCUGAUAAUAUGAGAUAUUCUUACUCUGAUGUAGCUUGUUUGCAGAGGUAUUAUCGGGGGGGGGGAAAGAAAGCUGAGUAUUUCGAGAGGCUUCGUUGGGAGUGCCCUCUCAGAUAUGAGGAAGGGUUGAACAUUUUUGCAGGUCUGCCUGUCCAUUGAGGAUGAAGGUCGACAUAUAUAGGAGUCUCCCCAACAACAAGUGGUAAUGCUAUUCCUUUACCCUGCUUGGUCAUAGCACGGUAGUGGGAGAUGCCAGCUUCAAGUGUUUUAACUCUGUCAGAGCACUUUGAAAAAAUGGUAUGUGGUAUCUGGAAAGCUGAUGUCGCGUGUGAAGAUUACAGACAAGCUUUAUCCAAUGAGAUCUGACUCUCAAAGUUGAGAAAAUUGUGACUCUUCGAUUUUCGAACAAGCAAUCCUGUCGGGGAUCUGGCUCUCGAGAUUCGGAGAACGGUGCCUCUUCGAUUUUUGAGAAACCAAUCAUACUGGGAGUCUGGCUCUCGAGAUUUGGAUAGCGGUGUCUCUUCGAUUUUUGAGAAAGUAAUCAUGUUGGGAGUCUGGCUCUCGAGAUUCGGAGGGCGGUGCUUCUUCGAUUUUGGAGCAAGUAAUCUUGUUGGGAGUGUUUUCUCGAAUGUGAGUAAAGGUUGGGCAUGUUUGUUAGUCUACCUUGCCACGGAGCACAGAAGUUGACACACAGGGACUUUCCAAUUAUCCAACAGUAGUGAUGUUCCUUUACCUUUGUGGGUAAUAAUAUGGUAGCUAGACCUUCAAAAUUUAUGUGUUUAAACUUUGUUAAUGCUGUUUCUUUGCUAUUCUUUUACCCUUCUUGGUCAUAGCGAUGUAGUGGGAGCUGCAAGCUUCACGUGUCUAAACUUUGUCAGAGAUCUUUGGCAAAGUUAUUUGUGGUACCCAUGAGCUAAUGUUGCACGUGUGGAAAGUAGAUGAUUGAACAGUAAGAUUCACGUGCUUUCUACUUCACCAGUAAUCUUCGACAGAAUGCCCGUAAUUUUGGCAAAGCUGAGUGUGCAUGUGAAGGUGUUGACAAGGCUGAAAAAGCAGGUGCCUCUUCGAUUUCUGAGAACGGCCCUCGUGGUCUCUGAGCAGCCCAACUUUUGAGAAAGCAAGCGCCUCUUCGAUUUCUGAGAUCGGCUUUCGUGGUCUUUGAGCAGCCCAGCUUUUAAGAAAGCAAACGCCUCUUCGAUUUCUGAGAUUGGCCAUCGUGGUCUCUGAGCAGCCCAGCUUUUGAGAAAGCAAACGCCUCUUCGAUUUCUAAGCAGGCGCCUCUUCGAUUUCUGAAGCUCCGUCGAGUGCAGAUUUUUAUAGAGGUUGGCAUUAAGUUCCAAAGCACACUUGAAUCUCCACCAGUAGAAGCUCCCUUUUUACACUUCUAAGACCUUGAUUUGUCUGACCUCUUCUCUCUUCAACACCUUUGAAAAUGUCUGGCCCCUCCGACCGUCGUUUUGACUUGAACCUUGUUGAAGAGGCAGCCAUGUCUUCUCCAGACAACAUAUGGCACCCAUCAUUCUUAUCCCCUACUGGUCCUCUUACGUUGGGGAUUCCAUGAUGAAGAAUGAUAUGACCGCUGCGGUGGUGGCCAAGAACCUUCUCACUCCCAAAGAUAACAGACUACUUUUCAAACAGUGUGAUGAGUUGGUUGUUAAGGAUUCUCUGGCUCUUAGUGUUCAGUGUGCAGGUUCUGUGUCUAAUAUGGCCCAACGCCUAUUUGCAUAAACCCGCCAAGUUGAAUCAUUGGCGGCUGAAGUGAUGAGUCUCAAACAGAAGAUUAGAGGACUCAAGCAUGAGAAUAAACAGUUGCACCGGCUCGCACAUGACCAUGCUACAAACAUGAAGAUGAAGCUUGACCAGAUGAAGAAAUCUGAUGGUCAGGUUUUACUUGAUCAUCAGAGGUUUGUGGGUUUGUUCCAAAGACAUUUAUUACCUUCGUCUUCUAGGGCUGUACCGCGUAAUGAAGCUCCAAAUGAUUAACCUCCUAUGCCUCAUCCUUUUAGGGUUCUGUCCAGUACUGAGGCUCCGAAUGAUCCCCCUCCGGUACCUUCUCUUUCUGAGGCUCUACCGACUACUGAGAGUUUUCCUAAGCAACCUUUGUGAAGGCUUCCUAAGCUGAGAGAGGACAAACUUGUGGGACAAAUGAAAUUGGCCAUAACUCACGAACUGCUUAAAGUGGGCAAACACAAGCAAUGGUGUGCUCAUUGGAAACUUUGGUAUUUUAAAUUUUAAUCUUGUAUUUAUAGACGGAUGUAUGUGUAACUCUUUUAUUGAUCAUUUUGUGGCAUGCCACUGGAGGAAAUAUGUGGCCCCUCCAACUUUUGAGCAGCCCAGAUUUUGAGAAAGCAAACGCCUCUUUGAUUUCUAAGUAGGCGCCUCUUCGAUUUCUGAAGCUCCGUCGAGUGCAGAUUUUUAUAGAGGCUGGCAUUAAGUUCCAAAGCACACUUGAAUCUCCACCAGUAGAAGCUCCCUUCUUACACUUCUAAGAUUUUGAUUUGUCCGACCUCUUCUCUCUUCAACACCUUUGAAAAUGUCUGGCCCAUCCGACCGUCGUUUUGACUUGAACCUUGUUGAAGAGGCAGCCACGUCUUCUCCAGACAACAUAUGGCACCCAUCCUUCUUAUCCUCUACUCGUCCUCUUACUGUUGGGAAUUCUGUGAUGAAGAAUGAUAUGACCGCUGUGGUGGUGGCCAGGAACCUUCUCACUCCCAAAGAUAACAGACUACUUUUCAAACGAUGUGAUGAGUUAGCUGUUAAGGAUUCUCUGGCUCUCAGUGUUCAGUGUGCAGGUUCUGUGUCUAAUAUGGCCCAACGCCUAUUUGCAUGAACCCGCCAAGUUGAAUCAUUGGCGGCUGAAGUGAUGAGUCUCAAAUAGGAGAUUAGAGGACUCAAGCAUGAGAAUAAACAGUUGCACCGGCUCGCACAUGACCAUGCUACAAACAUGAAGAGGAAGCUUGACCAGAUGAAGGAAUCUGAUGGUCAGGUUUUACUUGAUCAUCAGAGGUUUGUGGGUUUGUUCCAAAGACAUUUAUUACCUUCGUCUUCUAGGGCUGUACCACGUAAUGAAACUCCAAAUGAUCAACCUCCGAUGCCUCCUCCUUUUAGGGUUCUGUCCAGUACUGAGGCUCCGAAUGACCCCCCUCCGGUACCUUCUCUUUCUGGGGCUCUACCGACUGCUGAGACUUUUCCUAAGCAACCUUUGUGAAGGCUUCCUAAGCUGAGAGAGGACAAACUUGUGGGACAAAUGAAAUUGGCCAUAACUCACGAACUGCUUAAAGUGGGCAAACACAAGCAAUGGUGUGCUCAUUGGAAACUUUGGUAUUUUAAAUUUUAAUCUUGUAUUUAUAGACGAAUGUAUGUGUAACUCUUUUAUUGAUCAUUUUGUAGCAUGCCACUGGAGGAAAUAUUUGGCCCCUUCAGCUUUUGAGCAGCCCAACUUUUAACAAAAGCAAACGCCUCUUCGAUUUCUAAGCAGGCGCUUCUUCGAUUUCUGAAGCUCCGUUGAGUGCAGAUUUUUAUAGAGGCUGGCAUUAAGUUCCAAAGCACACUUGAAUCUCCACCAGUAGAAGCUCCAUUCUUACACUUCUAAGAUCUUGAUUUGUCCGACCUCUUCUCUCUUCAACACCUUUGAAAAUGUCUGGCCCCUCCGACCGUCAUUUUGACUUGAACAUUGUUGAAGAGGCAGCCACGUCUUCUCCAAACAAUAUAAGGCACCCAUCCUUCUUAUCCCCUACUAGUCCUCUUACCGUGGGGGAUUCCGUGAUGAAUAAUGAUAUGACCGCUGCGGUGGUGGCCAGGAACCUUCUCACUCCCAAAGAUAACAGACUACUUUUCAAACGGUGUGAUGAGUUGACUGUUAAGGAUUCUCUGGCUCUCAGUGUUCAGUGUGCAGGUUCUGUGUCUAAUAUGGUCCAACGCCUAUUUGCAUGAAUCCGCCAAGUUGAAUCAUUGGCGGUUGAAGUGAUGAGUCUUAAACAGGAGAUUAGAGGACUCAAGCAUGAGAAUAAACAGUUGCACCGGCUCGCACAUGACUAUGCUACAAACAUGAAGAGGAAGCUUGACCAGAUGAAGGAAUCUGAUGGUCAGGUUUUACUUGAUCAUCAGAGGUUUGUGGGUUUGUUCCAAAGACAUUUAUUACCUUCGUCUUCUAGGGCUGUACCGCGCAAUGAAGCUCCAAAUGAUCAACCUCCGAUACUUCCUCAUUCUAGGGUUCUGUCAAGUACUGAGGCUCCGAAUGAUCCUCCUCCGGUACCUUCUCUUUCUGGGGCUCUACCGACUGCUGAGACUUUUCCUAAGCAACCUUUGUGAAGGCUUCCUAAGUUGAGAGAGGACAAACUUGUGGGACAAAUGAAAUUGGCCAUAACUCACGAACUGCUUAAAGUGGGCAAACACAAGCAAUGGUGUGCUCAUUGGAAACUUUGGUAUUUUAAAUUUUAAUCUUGUAUUUAUAGACGGAUGUAUGUGUAACUCUUUUAUUGAUCAUUUUGUAGCAUGCCACUGGAGGAAAUAUGGGACGUGAAACUCAACCAAAUCAGGGACAAGAAUAAUCUGCAUCUAAUGCAAGUUUUGACCUAUGUCUUUGUCCCUUUCUCGUGUGCGCUUUUAUAACCCAAUGCCAUUUGUUAAUUUUUCAGGUUUUUUUUUUAUUGUUUAUAGGUUUCGAAAAGGGGUAGAGUGAAACAAAAUGCAAGAGGCAGGUCAAUGCACAAUUCAAGGAAGCCACCUAAAAACCGUAGAAUCUGAAGGAAAUCAUUUGAAAAUUUAGACUUUUUGUUAAUGUCAAUUUUUUUCUUGGAUGAAGACAAUGUUGUGAACUUUAAGCCCCCAGGAUUUGGUGUUUUUUAUUUUGAGCAUAACCAAGCAAUGAAACAAUAUUUUUGAUAUGGUAGCAAUGAAAUGAUCAGGCAUUGCAUUCUCUUAUGGUUGCUCAAAAUAUCUUUAAGAUACAAAAGUGGGUGUGUUCAGUUUAGCAUGUCACGAAAUCAAAUUUUAUAUAGGUUUUGUAAUAUGAGAAACGGGUUGAGGUUUGGUGCCAUAAAUGGAGUUGUAGAUGCAUAUGCACUACUCAAACACAACUAUCUACAUGAAUACUUUCUAACACAAAUUUUAAAGGUUUUACUAAGAAAAGUAAAAACUUGUUAAAAGAUCUUAAAAUGACAGAAAUAACCUUGAACACAAGCCAUGUGCGAGGCACAUGACUUAUUUUGGAUGAAAAACGUAACGGAGUUAGGGUGGAAUGACAAAUUGAUGAUUUCGGCAAGUUGGUAUGACAAAUUACUUAAAAUUAUAGUUUGUGUAUAUGAUAUUUCAAAAAAAAAUUCCUUGGGAAAAUUAUGGUCCCUAUGUCCCAACCAAAUAAUAAGGUUUUUGAUGAGAUAAUCCAUGCAAACUUGAGCAUUAUAAUGUUCAUGAUUUUGUUUGAGUCUAUUCAUAUAUUUACUCUGUAAAUAUAGAUUAGAUCGGUUGGUAAGGCAUUGUAUCUGUCUCGUUUUUAUAUUUAAGUUUAAAUUCUUCUCUCUUAAGUUAUAGCUUAUAAUAUCGUCUUAACAAAACUAAAUAUACAUAUUUUUAGUGGGAUAUAUUUUGCUUAAGUAUGCAUGUUUGCAAGAUUAAAUGAAAACCUCCAAAAUGUAUGGGGUUUUAAAUUGAAUUCUAACCACCACCACCACCCUCAUAUAAUUAGGGCAAAAGGCGAAUUUAGGAAGGUUCGUGUUACAACCCGUUUAUAAUUUUAUUUUUGAAAAAAAAUGUGAAACGAUCAAAAUGCUCUUAGAGGGUAUGUGUCGACUUUCAUUGACUUACUGGUCAGGUCACGUGUGACAUAUUAAUUAGUAUAUUCUGUCAGCACUCGUUAUUAUGAAAGACUGAUCAUAAGCGUAGCGAAAAUUAGAACUAGAAUAAAGAUUUUACGAAACACGUAUAAAUCAUUUUAUUUUAAAGUAAUGGAAAAGAUAAUAACACUAGAUAUAAAAUAAUAAUGAUAGAAUAAAAUAAUAAAAAAAAGAGAGAAGAAAAGAUGAGAGGUGGAGAAGGAUCGGGAAGAAACGAAAAGAAGGGGAAAGGGGAGAAGGGGGGAAAGAAACUUUUCUUCUUCCUCCUUCACUCACGGGAUCCCUUUCAAACUAUUUUCAUCAUAAUUUCCUCCUACGAUAACGAAAUCACAUGAGGUCGUAAGCUAUAGUUUCGUAGCGAGGCCGUCUUCAAUCUUACCAUACCCACCCUUAGAAAACCGUUGUAUAAAGAAAACGAGGUCCAAACAUAUUGACUUGUUCCGGCGACUUUUCUCUGAUUUCGGGCAAUCCCGCUGGAAUCUGGCUCGACCCAAGUGAAAAUAAUGAUUCUCCCCUCGUGGGCUCUCCUCUAGCGUAAGUAUUUUCCCAAGGUUUUAACUUUUAGUUUUGGGGUCAAUUCAUGGUUUCGAAUUUCAAUUCGAUAUUUUGUAUGUAUAUUUGAGAUGAUGCUUGUUGUAUUGUUUAGGAGUUGAAUCGGAACCGGGUAGUCAUGAUUGGUUACAUAUAUAGGGAAGAACAUUGAAAUCCUAACCUCAAUUCGGUUCUCUUCAGAAAUUUAAGGGUUGGGUUUGUGUUAUAAGCAUUAAUGUUAUUCCAUAAUGGAGGCCAGAUACGUUGGAAUAUUUUGUGUGCCAUAUUUGUCCUACCCUUUAUGCACUGAAAAGAACAUUGCUGAAAUUGUAUGUGUUGCAGCCUAGGUUUGUGCAGUUAAUUAGAGUUCUAAAACUACUGAAUGGUUCUUUAUUCUUCCCAUGGCAUCGCCAGAUGCUGAUGCUGAAUAUUUGAUUGGACAAUGCUAUUAUUAGAGUAUUAUAUGACUCUUGUUUUGGCCGUGAAUUUAUUGGUGGUUCUUUAUUUCAUUCUUUCAGCGGAUGAAGAGCUUAAGACUGCUAGGAAUUUACAUUUUUAUUUUGAAGCACUUGAAUAAACAGUUUGGUUUUUCUAUAAUAAUAAUAAUUAAGGAUCAUUGAUAUGGUUAGGCUAGUGUACUAGUUACGAAUAAUUACAUGAAUGUUAUAGUUUAGGGAUUGCAUGUUAUUCUAUGGCCUGAGAACUAGUUCCUUGGUAAGAUUAAUGGAUUAUCAAACAUUAUACAUAUUCUCUAAUUGAAUACAUUACUAUGUUUAUGAGUUCAAGAUCAACUUAUUAUGGCUGGUAUGGAUAUCAAUAGUUGACAGAUCCAAUUUGGUGUGGUUACUUUUCCAUUAAGUAUUUCACGUUUAUACAUAUCAUGUUGUUUGCUUAAAUAAUACAAUGGAUGUCCUAUUAAGUGUAAAUGUCUAUAUGCGUAUACUGAAACCAAAAUCAAGUUGAUGAUUCACGUUUUGAAGUUAUAUAUAUAUAUAUAUAUAUAUAUAUAUAUAUUUCUCAUAUGCCUAGACAAGCUAUACAAAGAAAGUAUACCGUUUCUAUUAGUUAUUUUGAUUACAUGUAUGUAGUAAUGACUUGCAGUGGUGAUAGGAGUUUAUUGAAAUGGUGAACUACGAAUGGUUUGAUCCCUUUAGGGUAGUCUAACAAGGAGGUUAGAUGCAGCCAUAAAGUAUACUGAAAUUACUACGCAGUUCGAAUCUUGAGUUAUGCUUUGUACAUAUCCCGGAGCGCGGGGUAUGUUAGAUAUACGGAUGCGGGGUAUGUUAGAUAUAUGGAUACUUGGUGACGUCACGUGUCGAUCCUGGACGUAUGUCGGGAUUGGGGCCGUUAAAUGAAUUGCACCAAAUAGGGGAGGCCUUCGCCGGAUCUCUGUGUCCGAAGCCGACAAACACAGAGAUCCAAACCACUCAUUUUAAAUCAUAUGGUUCUCAUUAGCUCAUUCUAUUGGCCUUCCUCACACAAACCACGAGUUCAGAUCUCCCUCUCUUUAACUACCUGGAUAUUCGAGUUCUUGAACUUCGAAAACAAAAAUCCAGAGAGGAUCUCGACUCCAAAUAAGGUAGUUUUUCUACUGUGCAUGUAGAUAGCCCCAAAAAUAAGGGAAACCGCACCCCCCCCCCUCCGAAAAAAAAAAACCCCACCCAUAACAACAGUACAACUAUAAGUAAAGCUUUAUGAGGGGUCGCUCUAAACAAUGUUGCAUUAAAAUUAUCUGACAAUAUAACAUUAUUUCGAAUAAAACUUUUGUAUAAAUUAUAAGUUCAAACAAAAGACACUAUACAACUUCUUCUUGACUAUUUUAGGUGUAUAUAUACUCCAUUGCUGAAAAUUCUACUAUGCUCAUCAUAAUUCUUGCCAAUCCAUCAGGCAAUUGGGUUAAAUUGCCCUUGACCAAAAAAAUGAUGGUCCAUUGGUGCCAAAUUGGGCAGGCAAUUGGUGGGCUCCAAUAAGCUCGUUGAACUACCCUUGUAGCCCGUUGGCAAUAAGUAACGAUGGGCCUGACGUCAAGUAGCAAAAGGCUGACCUUAACCCUGUGCACCACACUUUGUGGCGCAUUUGAUAUUAAAAUUUUGAAAAAUUCAACGGUCAAGAUUAAUCCCAUGGUAAAAAAUCCAAAAAAAAUUUACAACAAAAAGUAUUUAAAAAACUUACAAAGUUCCUGCUUAAACAAAAAUUUGAGCUGAUAUUACUAAUAGAUAAUGACACGUGGUGCAAUGAAAGUGGUGAAAAUGGAAAAGUAUCCUCCCCAGCUCCCUUCCACCAAAUCCAUCAAGUUCAAAGAUCCGGAUCUUUGAAAUUUAAUCCAACGGCUACAAACAAGGUCUACUAUAAAAGCUAUAAUAGAUUGGAUCAAAUUUCAAGGGCCGGAUCCGAGCUUGUGAAUUUGGUGGAAGGGAUCCGGAGUCCUUUCCAUUGAAAAUCUCAUCGCCUCUCCUUUCAGCCCUUCAAGGGAAACCCACUUCUUGGGCCGUCUUCAACCACGUAAAGCUUCACUCUUUUAUUAGUUUCUGUGUUUAAAUUUGUUGGGGUUUGCAGUUUUGGAUUGAAAUUGGUGUUUUGGGAUUUGUUGGGUGCUCACAUGUGGAAAUUUGGAAAAUUUUAGUUGUGGAUUGUGGGGAACUGACGCAGUGGCGGUCCUAUUUCAUGUAAAUUGCUUUCGUUUGUGUGUUUUUGGUGAAAUUAUGAUGAGGGUUGGAUAGUUGGACUGGUUAGAUUUGUUUUGUGAAAUUAGAGUGGGAUCAAUCAAGGUUGAGACCUUUUUAGGUAAAGUAAUUGUGAAAGUUAUGUUUUUACAAUUUUUUUUUUGCAAAUUUUGUGACUUGGUGGAUUUGGAAUUUUGGUUAUAUUAGAUAUAUGUGUAAAGAAAAUAGUUGAACUGCAUGAAGCUUGAGGGGUAAUGAGGGUUUUAGGUAUUUAGUGACAUUCAGGCCAUGCUUGAUGUCUAUUUGAUGUCGGCGUAUCAGAAAUGCUUGAACAAAGAAGAAAGGUGCUCGAAGAGCUGUAGUAGUUAACUACUUGGUUUGAUUAGAUUGCUAUGUUAAUCAAAAUGUCCCCUAUAGUAUGUUAUAGGGUCAAAGUUUUACAUUAGUGUUCUUUAGCGACUUGGUUUCAAAAUUUUCGUUUUCGUUCGACUUUCCUUGGUCUGUGAGGCCAAUGGUAGAAUGAUCAUGGAAAUAUUUUUGUCUUAAUAUCUCUGGUAACAGCGGGUGUGCAUUCUUAAAGGACUUGUUUGUCACUCUUUUAAGCUGUUUAAUGUGCUCAUUUUAGUAUGCAUCAUCCAAAGUCUAUAACUGGUAAAAGUAGCACUACAAGGGCGAGGGAGCUAUCAUCUGUUUGGAAAUAAGAGCUAUAGACAUGCCCCAUAAGGGUCAAUAGGUCUCAGUUGCAUAUCUAACUUGUUUCUCAUGUGUUUUCAUCCUGAAGGUUAGAAAAGGUGGGCACUCUAGACGCGCAGAGAGUGGUUCAUCAACACCAAGGAUGGCGGGUGAUCUCAUGUAUGUGGUUACAUGCUGGAGUUUUCCAUGUGCUUGCCAAUAUGCUGAGUCUUGUAUUCAUUGGAAUUCGGCUUGAGCAAGAAUUUGGAUUUGGUAUGCAUCUGGAUUUUUAGCUUUAUGUAUGUUAUCAUGCAUGUAUGGCCACAUCCAUAAGUGUUUGUAGUAAAAGAUAAAGCUCACGAUGUAAGUUGUAGAAUAAUAAAUUAGUUACCAAGUGCAAAACUUCUUUCAUAAAUCUAGAAGAGAAACACUUUCCGGAUGGCUUUAGCUACCUUGCGAUUAAUCUACAGAGGAUUUCUAUGCAUUUGUUUAUUGAAUUGUAAUCCUAGAGUAGUGGUCAUGUAGUGCUGGUUGCAUUAUAACUUACAUCGGUAUGUUGUUUGGUUUGAUGGAAACAAGAGGACGUUUUGUUCAGCGGUGAGCAACGAAAAGAGUUUAUACACUGAAGAUGGGGUUCAAACUUUAGUUUUAGAUAUAGUAUUCCAUUUUACAGAAUAAAAUUGCUUGAAACAGAAGCUGAGAGAUUAUUUCAAUUUCCAUCACAUCUAUGGGAACAAUGAUUGUUUUGGAUAUCCUGUACAUGUAGACAUGGCGCCUCAUUUUGAAAUGUUUCAAGAUGCCGUCUAUUUGAAAAGAUUGAAAAAAUAAUAGUUUGAUGCGGAUCUACAUCAUGUACAGUUGUUUUGAUGAACUGUUUUAACUAAUUGGUUUGAAAUUCUAAUGUUUUUCUGAUUUGUUCUUCGGCAGUUCGAAUUGGUUUCCUAUAUCUCAUGUCUGGUUUUGGUGGGAGUUUGCUUUCAGCUCUUUUAUUCAAUAUGGUAUUUCUGUUGGUGCUUCUGGUGCACUUUUUGGUUUACUAGGAAGCAUGCUUUCAGAGCUCACAUCAAAUUGGACAAUGUAUGUAAAUAAGGCAAAUAAAAUUCUGUAUACUCAAUGAUGGACCUCUUUAUAGUAUGUGCACGACCCUUUGAUCUUACAGUUUCAGAUUUCGAUCCGCAGUUAGCAGCAUUGCUUACUCUCCUUUUCAUCAUCAUAAUAACUUAGCAGUGGGAAUUCUACCACACGUGGACAACUUUGCUCAUAUUGGAGGAUUUGUCUCUGGAUUUCUUCUUGGAUUUUUGUUUUUGAUCUGCCCCCAGUUUAAAUGGCUUACCCAACGGAAUGCUCCCCCUGGACGUGUUACUACUCCAGUGAAAUCUAAACACAAGACGUAUCAAUAUGUAUUGUGGGUCCUCUCUUUGAUACUAUUGAUUGUUGGGUAAGCUCCUCCUCGAUCUCUGAUUUAAUUGUUUGACUUCAUGAACCUAAUCAACUCCCUGCAUGAAAAUCUGGUAGCCACAGUUGACAUAUGCACAUUUUUUUUUUUAUCAAAUCAGAGAACUGGAUUUUGUAUAGAUAUGUAGAUCUCGUGUGUCCUGUAAUAUUUUCAUUGCAAAUAGGCUCUGUAUCUGCUUGUUUCUCAUCAGAAUGGUUAGGAGAAGGCAUUGUGUUAUAGCUAUUCUCUGUGUAAUACUAAUUGAUCACUUUGUUGAUAGCGGCUUCUACUUUGCUGUUUUGGAUUGCAUGUAUUGGAAAUAAAGGUUCAUUUUCCUCGUAUUUGUGUAGUAUCAGUAUAUGCAGGCAUUUUCUGACAGAAGUCAUGUUUUUGACAGGUAUACUCUUGGCUUGGUUGCUCUUUUUCGAGGGGUCAAUCUAAACAACCACUGUUCCUAGUGUCAUUACUUGAGCUAUGUCCCUACAUCAAAAUGGAAUUGCGAGUCGCAAAUAUUUAUUGUCUGAUAAUAUGCUGUACUUUUCUACUCAUAUUAACUUCCACCUUAAUAUUUGAUUGACAGAAGUGCUUGCUUAUUAAUAUGAUCAUGGUUGCAUUCAGUCGUUCUAGUUUGGCAUGCCGUUUAGUCUAAUGCCUUAAAGAAAUGUAAUUUAAGAAAUGACUUCUGAAAUUCUGUGUCAGGAAAUUGCUUUUGCAACGUACUUUGUUAGUACUAUAAGUUGGUUUUGUACUGACAUAUUGUUCUUUAUAUGCAUAUAUGCACCAAUCUUGCAGUUGAGCCAGAUAGGGAAUCAGCUGAACUUAACGUGCGUAAGCAAUGGUAGAAAUGGGACAUAAUCAUUGUCAGAUCCCAGCCCCUCCCGGACUUAGCAGCUAUAUGCUGAGCUUUGCAGUUGACCAUACAUGUACAGAUUUCAGAGUUGAUAGAAUGUUGAUUGAUAUGCUUCAUUCUUGUAGUAAGUAUUCUUUCUCUUACUUCUAUUUUUUGUUGGGUGAAAUAGUCAUGUGUAUUCACCAAGCAAUGGUUCUCAUUGUCAUUAUUCUUUUCAUUCUUUUACUGCCUUUGUACCUCUUUUCUACUAUUCAUAACAGUUGAAACCCAUACCGAUAACUAUGAAAUUUAUUUGCCAUGUAAAACUACUCAAUCACGCAAUUUACCCAUACCUAAGUUUGUUGAAUGUGGAAUGUUAUGGAUCCUCUCAAGCGGACCCUCUCGGCUCUCUCAUUCUGCAAUGUUGCAAGAUGAUCGGACAUAUGUAUACUUUGUAGUUCAUCCUCUAGAGACCAACUUUGAAAAAAAAAUCAACUAAAUAAAAAAUCAUUUAACCAUUUAAUUAACAUUGUCAAACUUUCAGUAUUUAAUUGAAAAACAUAGUUCAUUUAUUUAUUGGAUAACAAUUAGAUGACAAAACAAGUAUGAAUUACUUUGGUUUUUGGCGAAGUUGGACUUUAAAGUGAGGCGUUAAUAACUGGAUAUGUCUACAGUGGUGGAAUUCUCUUGCUAAAGACUUGAGCCCCCAUGAAGUUUAAAAAUUAAGAAAGCUUGAUCUCACUAGUAACUGGUACAAUUUUUAGAAAGGUUGCAUCCACAACAAGCUUUCUUGCAAUGGUACUUUAGGGGAACUAUGAGAAAAUCAGCAAUCUCACAGUCCAGCCCCUUAUAAAACAUAGAGACUUCAAAAUUUCCAUUCAUAGCUAGGGUCGCUGAUCACUCAUAUAUUUCAUGCAUUUAUACCAUCCAUUCUAAAGUCUUUGUGAUGUUUUGUGUUAAAAUUGUGGCAUUUUACCUUACCUUGUGUUAGUGUGCAGUUAAAUUUGUUUUAGGAUCAAUUUCAAGCAAAAAGGAGAAAAUGAAAUAAUAAAAAAACAAACAAAAGAAUUGGAGUCAAUUAUUCAAUGGCCUUGCACGAUGAUAGCAAUGUUUGAGCAUUUACACUUUGGUUAUGUUCAACAGUUAUAUGGAGCCUUAAACAUUGACAAAAGAAAGGGAAUAUGUGGCCAGGGAACACACGGAAGUGGAACAAAAAAAGGAAAGAAAAGGUGGUGGAAAAGAAAGGAAAUGGGAUUAUUGGGUUUUGGUAGGCAACUUUACAGUUAGUAGUCAAAAUACUUCCCCGAGGAGGACCACUUCUCUCAAAGGAUAGGAGCAGCGACAAGAUAUUGAUCAUCAUGAAGUGGUUAGUCCUCCUACUGCAACUAAGAAGCACGGCAGGAGAGAAAAGAAUAAUGGAGCAGAAAGACAGCGCAGAGGAGAGAGACUGACAGACACGGGACAGAGUGGAGAGACCGACAGAGUGGAGAGAAGACAGAGAGGGCAGACUGACAGAAAAAAAGAAAAGAAAAGAAAAAAAAAAGGGAAAUAGAGAAGAGAGGGCACGGCAGAAGGGAUGGCACACGGACAGAAAGAAUAAAAGCAAAGAGAGUAGAGAGAGCCAGGGGAGAAAAAGAAAAAGGAUAGCAGAAAAAUAUAGAGAGAAGCCGUGGAGGGCAGAGAUGGAGCAACAUACAGCAGAGCAGAAAGAAGCAUGCUCAUCUCUUUGAGGAGAAGAUCGGAGAGCUUCCUUGUAAAAAAGGUUGUCUCUUUCUUUGAUUCUUCAUGAAUUUCUUAUAUAUUCAAAUAAUUAUGUGCAACUAAUUUCCUUUUGCUAGAGUGAGGUCAUGAGCCGCAACAUGAUUACGUAGAUUUCUCUUUCAAUUGCUUAAGUGUUGUUAAAUGCUUGCUUUGAUAUUUUCAAUCUCUAAAUUAAACUAUCUAUGUGUCUAGAAGCUUGAUCACCAUUAGGAUGCUUAGAAAAGUUAUCGGAUGCAAUUUUGAACGAAUGUCACGUUAAAAUUGGUUAUGCUUCUUGUGAUUGAGGAUUGUACUCUCCUAAGGUAAAUAUCAUGCUCUUAGGGAUUACAUGGUUUGAAGAAAAGAAAAAAGGAUUUUUCACUAAGAUUAAUGAAUCACUCAUGUUUAUAUUUAGUACAAAUGUUAUGGAUAAGUUGCAUGUAGUGGUAUGCGUUUUAGCUUGAAUGUUACAAGUAAAACAUACACAAGGAAAAUCCAACCUUCAAAGAAUGUGUUUUCAAUUAUUUAAGCAAUUGGAAUAGCUACAUAGGAGUGUUGUUGUAAAGGUUGAACUCUAGGAUAUUGUCAAUCUAUUUUUCUUCAAUCAUUUAUUUUAUCUUGAAUUUCCUCAUUUACUUGUUUUGUUUAGUUGAAUCACUAUUCCUAUAAGCCAAUUCCUAUUUUAGAUAUUUGUUUAAGUCACAUCGAGGAGUAUUUAGUUUCGUCAAAUUAGUGUAGUUCUUAGAGUUAAAUAAGUUAAAUACACAAAAACUCGUAAAUUGUUUAUAUCAGUCUCUGAGGAGAUCGACCUUGCUUGAGCCAUUCUAUACUACAACACUUAUUCUCUUACAAGAAUUUUCUAUGGUUUAACCCUUUGUUUUACAAGUGGUAAAAUCGCUAUCAAUCGCCUAGCAAGGUAACUUUCAUAUUAAAAGACACCAGCGUGACGUCUGAUGUGACCAAAAUAUAGGGUUCCAUGUAUUUAUUUUUUCAUUUUGGAUGGUUGCCAAAUGUUUCGAGUCAGCUUCUGGAAUCAAGGUGCUUUAAUGGUCUUCGUCCUUGGCGUACCGAAAGUGCCGGACAAUAGGUGGUUGCCAAAUGUUUCGAGUCAGCUUCUGGAAUCAAGGUGCUUUAAUGGUCUUUCCAGUCAGCUUCUGGAAUCAAGGUGCUUUAAUGGUCUUCGUCCUUGGCGUACCGAAAGUGCCAGACAAUAGGUGGUUGCCAAAUGUUUCCAGUUAGCUUUUGGAAUCAAGGUGCUUUAAUGGUCUUGGUCCUUGGCGUUCACCGAAAAUGCCAAACAACAGUUCCCAGUAGUGGAAGUAAGCUAGUGAAGUCGUCUAAAAAAACAAGCCAAAGUGGUUAUCAUUUACUUGGACUUAUUCCUUCUCAUAUUUGAAUUUUCAAGAAACAGAAACUGUGGUGUAAGUUCCUCCUAUGAUCCUAUCCUUCUAUAAAUUUCCUUGUCAUGUAACAAAUGGAACUCACCAAAAACUCAACACCCAUCUCUUUAUUUCUUUCUGCUUCUCUCACUAGUUAUAUAGUUAACCAGAUUAGAAAUGGGGGUUUUGGUUGUGAAAUUGAUCUUAAUAUACUUGCUUUUCAGUGCAAUGUUCGUUUGCUGUUGGAGCUCCCUGCAAUCGGGACUCGGAGGGAAUGCGACGGAUAGGCUGGCUCUGCUUGCCAUCAAAGCUCAAAUAAAGCAAGAUCUCCAUAAUUACAAUGUGAUGAGCUCCUGGAAUGAAUCCACGCACUUUUGCAUGUGGCAUGGUGUGACGUGCAGUCGACGACAUCGCCAAAGGGUCACUAACCUGGACCUGCAAUCUCAAAAUCUGGUAGGGAAACUAUCCCCAAACAUAGGAAAUCUAAGUUUUCUAAGGGAGCUAUGGCUGCGAAAUAACAGCUUCAGUCAUGAAAUUCCUCCACAAAUUGGGAAUUUGCGUAGAUUGCAGGUAUUGCGAUUAGACUUAAACUCAUUUAGUGGCAGUAUUCCACCCAAUAUAUCACAUUGCUUCAACCUUAUCCUAAUGCGUUUCUCUCGCAACAAGUUGGUGGGUAAAAUUCCUUCAGAAAUUGGAUUGCUGUCAAAACUGCAAAAAUUUUCAUUAAAUUUUAAUAAUGCAACGGGACAGGUCCCUCCUUCCUUAGGGAACCUUUCGUCUCUCCAGCGACUAAGUCUUGUUGAUAAUAACUUGAUGGGAAACAUCCCCGGUUCUCUUGGCCAAUUGAAAAAAUUAACCUUCUUGGGAUUGGGGUUAAAUCAGUUGUCUGGUAGCAUCCCUUCCUCAUUUUAUAACCUCUCUUCUCUUGAUACAUUUUCCAUAGAAAUUAACCAAAUUCAAGGGAGUAUUGCAUCAGAUAUUGGCCAAAGUCUUCCCAAUCUCGGAGUCUUCAACGUCGGCGCAAACCAACUUACUGGGUCCAUACCUCCCUCAAUAUCCAAUUUCACAAGUAUUCGGAAAUUUGAAGUUGGGAGUAACAACCUAAUCGGACAGGUACCGAAUCUCCAAAAGUUUCACAACCUCCUGAAGUUCAACAUUCAAUUUAAUAAUAUUGGAAGCGGUAAAGAUGGUGACUUAAGUUUUCUCUCGGACUUGACCAAUGCCACCUAGUUACAAUCGCUGGUUAUUAACACCAACAAUUUUGGAGGGACAUUGCCCAUUUCAAUAUCCAAUCUUUCAACCAAACUUGAAUUGUUUUGGGUUGACGAUAACCAAUUAUAUGGAAGCAUCCCAUCUGGGAUAGGGAACCUGGUGAGCUUGGCAUCGUUGCGUUGGGGGAAUAAUAGCUUCACAGGUAACAUCCCCUCUGACAUGGGUAAGCUUUCAAACCUUGGAGUAUUAUAUAUUUCCAAUAACAACUUAUCAGGAAAUAUCCCGUCUUCCUUAAGAAAUUUAACCAAGUUAUACCAUCUUCGGUUGGAUGAAAAUUAUCUUGAGGGCAGCAUUCCUUCAGGUCUGGGGGAAUGCCUUUGGUUGCAAUUGUUGAAUCUUUCUUAUAACCUUCUUAAUGGCACAAUACCCAAACAAGUUUUUAGACUCUCCUCCUUAUCAAUUUAUUUGGGCCUGUCUAAUAACCUCUUCACAGGUUCCCUUCCUCCGGAGGUUGGGAAUUUAAAUAGUCUAAGUGAACUGGAUCUUUCUGAUAACAUGUUAUCUGGAGAACUCCCCAGUAGCCUUGGUGGUUGUGAGAGUUUAGAAGUCCUGCAUUUGCAAGGAAACUUCUUCAAUGGGUCCCUUCCUUUGUCUAUGAGUUCAGUGAGAGGGAUUCAAGAUCUAGACCUUUCUCGCAAUAAUUUUUCAGGUGAAAUUCCACAUUUUUUAGAAGGCUUUAGAAUCCUGAAUAAUCUGAACUUAUCAUUCAAUCAAUUUUGGGGAGUGGUACCAACUGGAGGUGUUUUCAAAAAUGCAAGUGUUAUUUCAGUUGUUGGCAACACUAAUCUGUGCAGCCCUGUUGCUAAUUUAAAGCUUCCCAAGUGCAAGUCUAAAGAGACCAAGAAACAAAGAUUGUCUCGUAGCUUGAAACUAAUACUCCCUUUAGUAUUUGGACUUACUCUUCUAGGAAUAGCCAUGGUGUUCUCCUAUUUCUUUCUUUGUUCGUCAAGGAAGAAAAGGACAGAAAUUUCAUUGAGCACUUUGGAGAACACUAUUUUGCAAGUGUCAUAUGCUACUCUACUCAAAGCUACUAACGGGUUCUCAAAGGCUAAUUUAAUUGGUGCUGGUAGUUUUGGGUAUGUAUACAAAGGAGUUCUUGAUGAUGAUGAUAAAGCUCAACUUGUUGCAGUGAAGGUGUUUAACUUGUUAUGUUGUGGAGCUUCGAAGAGUUUCAUAGCCGAAUGUGAAGCUUUGAGAAAUAUUAGGCAUCGAAAUCUCGUCAAGAUUAUAACCGUGUGUUCAAGUGUUGAUUUUCAUGGUAAUGAUUUCAAGGCUCUAGUUUAUAAGUUCAUGGACAACGGGGAGCUUAGAGGAGUGGCUGCAUCCACCCGCUGGAACUGAAGAGUUAAGAGAUCAUGUACCCGUGAAGUUAAGUCUUCUUUAGAGGCUAGAAAUUGUCAUUGGUGUUGCUUGUGCACUGGAUUAUCUUCAUAAUUAUUGUGAAGCGCCAAUAGUUCAUUGUGAUCUCAAGCCAAGCAACGUUCUCUUGGACAACGAAUUGACUGGCCAUGUUUCUGACUUUGGAUUAGUAAGGUUUCUCUCACAAGUAACGAGUAAUGUUUCAACAAUUCAGAGUCAGACAAGUUCCGUUGGAAUAAGAGGAACCAUUGGUUAUGUAGCUCCAGGUAUAUAUAUGUUAGAUAUAUACUUCAUUAUAUUUCCUUUUUUAUUCUGCAGUAUUUAAUUUACAAAAUUCAAACUGAACUAUUUAUACACAAAUGUGAUGUUUGAAUUGUAGAGUAUGGCAUGGGGAGUGAGGUGUCAACGAAUGUUGAUAUCUACAGCUUUGGCAUUCUCUUGUUGGAGAUGUUUACAGGGAAGAGACCCAUUGACAACAUGUUUGGUGAUAGCUUGAACCUUCAUAAUUUUGUCAAGAUGGCUCUCCCCGGGCGAGUUACUGAGAUUGCAGAUGCACCACUUCUUCAAGGAGGCCCGAAUGAGAAUCCCAAUCAAUGCAGUGCGAGAAUUCAUAGAGUUGAGGUGUGCUUGAGUUCAAUAUUUAGAAUUGGAAUUGCUUGUUCUGCUGAAUCCGCAACAGAUCGACUAAAGAAUAUCAAUGAUGUUGCAUCUAAACUUCAUUCCAUUAGGAAUACUUUUCUUGGAUAGAAACUCCUUUUUAUGUGCUUUUGUGAUAGAGAAAUUUCGUGUACUGCUUGUGAAGUCUAGCUUUUAUGUUACCACAGUAGAUGUGGAAGUUUGCAAUGUAAAUAAUCAUCAAUGAAGUUCAUUGUGUGAAAAGUGUGUUACUACUACUUGUACUUGGUAGUUUUGUGUAAUAUUCACAUCGAUUAAAGUCUAGUUCGUGCCACAAAAUUGUUGAAUAUUCACAUUGACAGAUUCCAAAUUUUUGAAAGAUUCGUAACCUCAAGACCCUCAACAUUCAAUAAAAUCAUCUUGGAAGCUGUAAAGAUGGUGAGUUGAGUUUCCUAUCAUACUUGACCACCAUCUGUGUAAGGUGUUUUCGAAAAUCAAAGUGCUAUUUCAAUUGUUGACAACACUAGAUUCUGCGAGGGAAUUCCUAAUCUCAAGCUGCCCAAUUGCAAUCUAAAGAGCUCCAAGAAAAGAAGAUUAGCUUAUAGAUUGAAAUUAAUAAUCCCUUUAGUAUUCAGACUUGCUCUACUUGCAAGUGUCAUAUGCUACUUUCUCAAAAGCCACUGAUCGUUUUCUUCAACUAAUUUGACUGGUGUUGGCAGUAUCCUCCAUAUAAGUGAAGGGAAUUGGGUUCAAGUUGGUUGGUAUGGUUAAUAGGGUUUGCAAAUAGUCAUUUUUUUGUAGAAUUUUAACCCCAACUUUAAAGCCCAUGGCCUAUGACAAAUCAGUGUUUUCUAGCAUUGUUGCUAUCAAUAUUCUCCCAUGUGCAUUCUGAAUUCUAAUCCAAUGGUUUUAGCAUUCAUUCUACUAAUCUUGACAAUGAAAGAGUUUUUUUUUUUUUUUUUGGUUCGAAUAAAUGAUAUUAUCUACACAAAGAGGAAGGGGAUAGACUUAGCUUAAGUGGCAUGAAAGAAUUUCUAUUAAACCUGCAAAAAUGAAAAUUCUCAGCCGGUCAUUAAUGGAUUUGAAUUUAGAUUUAUUACAAUUGAUAAAGAUUUUUUUUUUUUCGGCAAUCAAUAGGAUACUAACAAAUUUGUUUUUAGUACAAAGAUGUCACGAUAAUGUGACUUAUAGUUGUGUCACUGACCUUUUAACUUAUUGCCCUAUCUUUAACACACUUCAAUUAAUAUCAUCCUCUAAUUGUUAGUAUUUAAUGAAUCUCAUCAUAAAUUGUUAGCCAAAAUAUUAAUUAUCAAAGCAAACAAACUUGAUUGAGUUAUAAAUUUAACAUGACCCAGUUGGCAUGGCUAGGAGAAAAAUCAAUUUUGUUCAUAAUUUUCAUGUCUUCCAAGUGAACAUGGGGCUAUAAGUGAAGUUCCAAAGGGUACGGUGGUGUAAUUUGGUCCAUGAAUUGUCUCCUCCAAUUUGCAUGCAUGCGGUAGGUGACUGACUCCCAAAUAAUUCUCGUUGCCAAGCAAAUUAAAUACCAUUAAUUAAGAGCUUAAAAACACUUUAAUUAUUACCUCUAUUUUGCUUUUGCAAUUAGGAAAUUUUCCCCCUUUUGCGUACAAUAUUAUAAGAAUAUUUUUGUUCUCUACACUUAAAUGAUGGUGAUGCUCACUACCUUAUUUAUCACCGUUAUAUGAGUUUAAUACAUGUUAAAACUCAUAGUGAUGGUGCUAGCUACCUGCUUCUUGUGUUUUUUUAAAGAAAGAAAGGGGCAUUUGAUGUUUGGACAGACAUAGUGAUGGUGCUAGCUACAUGCUUCUUGUGUUUUCAAAAAGAAAAUAAAAAAAUGAGAAAAGGCUAAUUUGCACCCUUUUGGAUAUUAUGAUGCCAAUUUGCCUCGUUGAGAAACUUGUGGCUUUUCUAAUGGAGAUUGCGUAAAGGUGCAAACAAUUUGUUAAUGGUUGUGCAAAAUAGGUUUCAUACUGCACUCCGCCGCGGGAUUUGAAAUCAUAACCCACAAUUUAACAUACCCAUUUCUAAAUUAUUCAGAAAUCAAUCAGAGAAACUUCAAGCAGAAGAAAAUUGAGUUCUCAAUUAGAGAAAACUUCAAUUUCAUGCAAGUUUUUUUGUUCAAAUUUCAGGGCUUAACAAUGCAAGAUUUGAAUUUGCAUUUGGUUCAAAGAAGUAAGAUAAACUGAUAAGAAAAAUGAACUAAAAAAAUAGUGUUUUUUUUACAAUAUAUAAAGAGACAAUCUCAGAAGUUUGCAUAUGUGCUGGAAAUUUACAAUAUAUAAAGAGACAAUAUCAGAAUAAAACACAUUUGAAGAAAAAGUAAUAAGAAAAGAAAAUAGUGUUUUUUACCUAUGAUCCAUGUGAGGAGUAGAAUUUUCAGUCAUAAUUGACAACCCAAGAGCUCUGUAAAUCAAAUAUAUAGGAAAAGAUCAAUAAAAAGUGAAUUACAGUUUCUCAAAUCAGAAAGUAACAUUUAUUUGAAAAGAUUCAGACUCAUUUUGGAUAUAGAUAAACAAUGGCAUGUUAAAAACCAAAAUGAUAAGGCAUUCAACAUUCAACAUUCACGUAAAAAAAAUGAAAUACAUGUUAUCCAUCAAUGUUUUGGUAACAAAUUCCCAAAUUGCUCUAUCUACCAAACAUUUGCAAAUCUAUAGUUACAGAUGUUUAGUUCUAUGAUAUUCAACCCAAUACCCACAUUAUUGGCAAAACGACAUUGUAUAGAUCGUUUGAGCACCCGAGCCAAUGACAAUAACAUUGAAGGCAACUACAAAAUUGUACAUUAUAUAAAGAGGCAAUCUCACAAUCAAAAUUGUCAAAAUCAAUAUUUUAUGGCUACAUUUUUUUCAUCAGUCAAUCAAUACACACUGAACACAGAAUCACAUACUCGACAAAAAUUCAAACCCAUAAAUCUGAAAUUAGCAAUGUUAUUUCUUACCCCCCAAAAACAAUCCAAAUCUUAGUGGUUACAUUCAUUAGUCAAGCACUCAACCACUUAGGCACAUCAACUACAACUUGGGAAUUGUGGAGCAAAAAAUAAUCACAAGGCGACACGUGGACUUUUUAGUAUAAGAGGACCAAACUACCCUUGAGGCACACCGAGAUUCCUACACGCGAGCAGCUCAAAAAUGCUCCAAAAAGGUAACAAUUCAAUAUUCAUCUCAUCAAAUCCCGUAACCUCUAAAAUAUUUAUUCCAAAAUUAUAUUAAUUGGUUAAUUAAUGGAUUAAUUACCCAAUUACUCCAUUAAACAUCAAUUAAAAAAUCCAAAUAACCACAACAUAUAUUCCCCUCAAUCCCAAAACUAGUGAUUGACCGGCCACCCCCUUUCUCCCCAACUUUUCACACUUUUCUCCAUUUUAUUACCCUAUUUACACAACUAUUCAAUUUUGUAACCUCCUAUUUAUUUCUUUAUACUUAAUUAGCCAAUAAAUUGGCUAAUUAAGCUAAAACUAUAACCACCAAAACCCAUUAGUGGCCGGCCACACCUUGGGAAAAUUGGGCAAAGCCUAACCCUAUAAAUAGGCACCCAUUCUCACAAAAAAGCUAGGCCAACACUCUUGCAAAAAUCUCUAAAUUCUCUAAACACUCUUUCUCUCUAAAUUCUAACUUUGGCAUCGGAGGUUCUUCGGCCAAAGCCUCCCCCCAUUCAUCGUGGGCGCGUGAGGCUUGUGGCCAUAACCAAAUGUGUUAUUUAUUUUGUAGGUGCAAUUUUGUUUAAAAUCAAGGAGGAAGAAAUUUGCAUCCACAAAUUGGUGCUUUCAUUGAGAGUUGAGAUUCACACUCGUAGAAGACUCUUGCGCAAAAAGGUUUUUUCUCUAUUUCCUCUAUUUUCUAGUCCACUUGUAUUUUUCAUACGUUUUUAUUAUGAGAAUUUUUUAUUUGCCAAGAUUCUUUGAUAAAACGUAAAAGAGAAAUACAAUGGCUAGAAAUUUAGAAAAUUCCACAAGUGAAAAUUCCAAUAUUCAAGAAAUGGGACUGCGGUGAUCCACGAGACUAAACGUGAUCUUAAAGGGAGCGGCACCACCACCACAAGGCUCCACCAUGGCAACCACCGAGGUGGCCACCAUGGCAAUCACCCGCGGCGAGGUCCAUGGCUCCACCACUACGGCCCAAGCCGUGUUAUCCAGGGCCCACGCCACCAAAGCCACGGCUCGAGCCAUGUUACUCCAUGCCCAACGUGAGCCCAAUGCGUUUCCAAUUCGAGCUCAAGCCUCGCAUUCGCAUGCACCACGCAUUAAGCAGCCUGCUCCCGUGACCUAGCCUGCUCCCGUAAUCCAACCUACUCCUGCAGCCUUGCCUGCUCCCGCGACCCAGCCUGCUCCUGUAAUCCAGCCUGCUCCUGCAGCCUUGCCUCCCAUGGUUUCCCAAGCAGCUCAAGUUGGCCCGAGAAUAUCUUAACUAUCCGGAGCAACCAUCAAGCUGGGGGCAUUUUCACCAAAUUUCUCCGCGGAUUUGACAUUUCCCAAUUCAAAUCUUGCACCCGGAGUCUACCACACUUCCAUUGCUCAAGGAGGCACAUUCCUUCCAAGCUCUUCCAAUCCAAAUGGCGAACAACACUUGUCUCGACAAGUCAUAGAGUUGACGAGCGCCCUUGCACAACAGACGACCUUGGUGAAUCAACUCUUGCAACGCACCGAGAUCCAACGUGCCCCGGACGAGGUGUCCCGAAGUAGGACAAGGGUAAAUGAACCUCUCCGCCAGCAUCCCGGCAAACAUUAACCAGCCAUGUUCCAAGCGUUCGUGCAUUCCCAAUCAAGCCCACAGACGAGCAUACGUUCACGGUUGAGGUCAUACUCCGAUUAUCAACAUGGACAACCUUCCAGGUGAAAUGUUCAUUCACAACUAGGCUCACAAGGAGCAUUCUCCACCUCACAUCUGAGUAGGCAGCACAGCAGAUGGAGAGAAACAGUCACUCAAUCCGACUCAAGUUCAAGCAGCAGCCUGCGAACGGCCCGUUCGCUUGCUGGAUACAUGCCACAUGCACCGCAGUCGCAACAUAGACGAGUUAAACAUAGGGAAGAGCGGCCCAAACCCAUAGGUCACGACCGGAGGCAGUCGAAAAUUCCAUUGCCCCAGCAGAGGUAAAUUCAAGAAGAAGUUGAUAGGCUUUUAACUGAACGACUGCGCAAUUUCCAACGAAACGAGGCUGCUGACGUACGCUUCGACGAGACAUGACCAACAUAAGCAUGUCAUCAUUCACGAAUGAGAUCGAGUUGAUAGAUCCACCUCGCGGGUUCACUAUGCCUCAUUUCAUUCCGUACAAGGGAGACGAAGAUCCGGAUCGACAUCUCAAGUAUUACUGCAGUACCAUGAUCCUCUACAGGAACAAUGAUUCACUUAUGUGCAAAAUUUUUGCCACAACUCUACAAGGCGAGGCGUAAGACUGGUUUCACACUCUACCGCCGCAGUCGAUCCGAAGUUUUAACGAACUUUCCUUUGUUUUCACUAAGGAGUAUUCGUUUAAUCGCUCAAUCAAAAGGACAUCCGACCAUCUCUUCAGCAUCGUAAAAGACCCUCGGGAGACAAUUCGCGACUAUGUCAAGAAGUUCAAAAUGGAGAAGGCGAAGAUUGUUGGCUACAACGAAGACAUAGCAACGACAACAUUCAGAAAUGGGCUUUCCACGGAACAUCCUUUAUUCGGAAAAUUGAUCAUGGGAGAAGAAUUGACCCUAGCAGCUUCAUAUGCUUUGGCAGAAAAGCAUGCAUUAUGGGACGAGGCCAAGCAGUCUAACAAAAACGAGUCAAAAAAGAAGCACAUGGAACGUUCCCCGACCAAAGAAAACUCAGCGCUUGAAACAUUCACCAAGUUCACAGUUCCAAUCAGCCAAAUUCUUCGCAAGCUCAAGAAUGAACCUUGGUUUGAACUACCACCACCCAUGAAAAGCGAUCUUACUAGGCUGGAUCAUACAAAAUAUUGCGCAUUCCAUCAAGGACCAGGCCACACUACCAACGGCUGCCUGAAGUGGAAGCAGUACCUUGAGAAGCUGACAAAUGAGGGCCGAUGCGAUGAGUAUCUUAACAGGUCAACAAAACGGCCUACAUAAGCAGGGGAAGUUCCCAUCACCCCCUGAACCACGUUUGGAUUUUUUCCAAAUAAGUUCGAAGAUUCAAGCAGCUCGACGAACAAGGCUUCAUAAGCCGAAGAAUAUCCAGUUUGUUAUGCAGUUUCUACUUUCCAGCACAGUUGAUUUAUUUCUUUAUUCUCAAUAAAGAUUCAAGAAGUUAUUCAUAAGUCUGCUCCAAACCCUUUCUGGGUCUGCUCUCCAGUGCGAGAGGUUAAACUAAUUGCUCUCCAGUGCGAUAGGGUAAACUAAUUCCCCGACACCCUAAAGGGUCUGCUCUCUAGUGUGAUAGGUUAAACUAAUUGCUCUACAGUGUGAGAGGGUAAACCAAUUCCCCGACACCCAUAUGGGUCUGCUCUCCAGCGCGAAAGGUUAAACUAAUUGCUCUCCAGUGCGAGAAGGUAAACCAAUUGCUCUCCAGUGUGAAAGGGUAAACUAAAUCCCUGACACCCAUCUGGGAAAGCUUCCAAUGUAAGAAGGCCACAUAGUUUAAAAGAUCGAAUGCUUAAAUAUCAGUUAAGUAACAAAUGGUUAGGGAGCAGCAACCACUUUUACACUUAAUAGUUCGCUCAUCCUACACUUCAUCUUUAGCAACUCCGAUCUUGGCAGCUUCAUCCUUGACUGCUCCAUCUACGGCAACUGAGAAAUCAAACUCAAGCAGUUUCCUCAUUUUUGGCAAGCAGCCCAGACGUGGUAGCCCAAACUGUUGUCCAUGCCACGCCAUUUCCUCGGCCCAUGCCGAGCCAAUCCUUGGCUUCAAUCAAGCUGACAACAUAAACAAUGGCCCUUGCCACAUCACCUCAUUGGCCCAUGCCAAGCCGACUCCUGGCCCCUGCCAGCCGACGUGCCACACCACCCCCGACGGCUGCCCCGUGGUAGCACCUCCCAAGAAGAAGAUAAGGAGAAUUAAGUUUUCCUUACAUCGGUGCGGCGGAGAAAACAAAGAAAGCAACGAAAGACAGUCCUUCGCACGAACAAGAUGUAGAAGAUUGAAGCUUUCUCUCUCUUGUAGGGUAGAAUAAAUUGCUCUCCAAAGUUGAUUUAACAACCCACUUAAGGUGGACUUAAAUAGGCUUUGAGAAAAAUUUAUUUCCCUUUCCUAGAAGGAUCUAAUUUCACAUUAAAGAGGGAAUCAAGCAGUCCUAAGUUUCCUAGAGCAAGAAGAUCUCUACACCUGCUGCCCUUUCCUACGAGCAGCCCAGCAGGUGUGGGGGCAUUUGUGGAGCCAAAAAUAAUCACAAGGCGGCACGUGGAUUUUUUAGUAUAAGAGGACCAAACUACCCUUGAGGCGCACCGGGAUUGCUACAUGCGAGCAGCUAAAAAAUGCUCCAAAUAUUUAUUCCAAAAUUAUAUUAAUUGGUUAAUUAAUGGAUUAAUUACCCAAUUAAUCCAUUAAACAUCAAUUAAAACAUCCAAAUAACCACAACAUAUAUCCCACUCAAUCCCAAAACUAGUGAUUGACCGGCCACCCCCUUUCUCCCUAGCUUUUCACACUUUUCUCCAUUUUAUUACCCUAUUUACACAACUAUUCAAUUUUGUAACCUCCUAUUUAUUUCUUUUAUACUUAAUUAGCCAAUAAAUUGGCUAAUUAAGCUAAAACUAUAACCACCAAAACUCAUUAGUGGCCGGCCACACCUUGGGAAAAUUGGGCAAAGCCUAACCCUAUAAAUAGGCACCCAUUCUCACCAAAAAGCUAGGCCAACACUCUUGCAAAAAUCCCAAAAUUCUCUAAACACUCUUUCUCUCUCAAUUCUAACUUUGGCAUCGGAGGUUCUUUGGCCAAAGCCCCCCAUUCAUCGUGGGCGCGUGAGGCUUGUGGCCAUAACCAAAGGUGUUAUUUAUUUUGUAGGUGCAAUUUUGUCUAAGAUCAAGGAGGAAGAAAUUUGCAUCCACAUUCCACAGGAAUGUUAUGCAAAUCUUAGGCAGCUUGAAUCAUUAAGUUUGAGUUGGAAGAAGCUCCGUUGCCUGCUCUGCUAGUUGAGGAGUGUCACCAAAUUCGGCACUAUCAGCAACAUCAACACAUUUCACACACUCCCGCUUCCAAAACAUAUCACAAAAUCAAAAACCAAAUGAGAUUAUGUAGCAGAAAAGACAGAAAAAUAGAUUAAGAAAAGCAAUUAAUAUUAAAUAUAGAGGGUGAAUGAUGUUGUCCAAUAAAUAAGAUAGCUGUAUAUAUUUCUCGACCAUGAGAAAACAUCAAAUUAAUAGAGGCAUUAAUCCUAAGUUUGCCAUUCGUUAUUGCCGGAAUCAGGAGCUUUCUUUCAGAACCUUUUGACCAACGGGUCCUUGGUCUAAACUUGAUGACAUAUUGUAAAGUCCUCUUACAUACAAAUUAAUGAAAUAUUAAUUUAUUUCCAUGAGUUAUUUGAUUUUGCAAAUUCAAAAUAAUUGAAGAAUACUGAAAAUUACUAAACCCCAUCACAACAUCCCAUUAGUGAAAAAUCAAAGACAAAAGUAAAUUACUAUCUUUCUAAGCAUCCAAAGAUAGCAUACUCAAAAUACCAAAUUCAACUCCAAUGUCUUAAAAAAUUAAAAAACAAAUUAGCCAAAUUGGAAUAGUUAGAUCAAAUAAAGAUUUAAGUCAACCAAUUACACAAAAUAAUUCAUGCAAAGUAGGCUCCUAAGAAAAUAUACCACAAUGGUGGUGGAGGAGGCCAAGGCUUAAAUAGUGGAGGACAGCAACAUUUAAAUAUACCGCAGCAGCACGGAAUCCACAAACUGCAUAAUCAAAACCAAGGCAUACACAGAAGGGAAACCAGGAUCGGAAGUUGAUACCGAUGUUAGAUACCAAUUCCAGCCACUAGUUCAUCCUUAACUGGAAGCAAGAAUUGUAGGAAAUGGCGAGAAGGAGAAGAUGGAGUAUUUUUUGUAAAAUGAUUUUUUAUAUUUGAUUUCAUCUAUCCCCGUUCAACAAGAAAGAGAGAGCUUUAAUAGCACUAGCAACCUCCCCAAUGAAAGACCGUCACAUGGCAUACACAGCCUAAACUCUUAAACAACAGCACAAAAGAAAGGCAAAUUACACAACGACCCCAAAACAUUACAUUUCGACCCAAAACUUUGUUGCUUGUGAUCAAGGCAAUCACAGUACAUAACAGUCUAUGAUCCGAUUUUGCCGGCUCCGUCAGAGAUGCUGCCUGAGGAGGGCUUCGCUCUCAGAGAAUGAAGGAGGUAGGGUCUCGAAUUCUAAUUGUUUUCGAUUGAACCGAUAGUUCUGUAUAUCAAUUAAAUUUUGACUCUUUUGUGCAAUUUAGUUGAAAGUUGUUGGUUUUGAUUUGGCUUGAUCUUUCUGUUGCUGAGAAAUUGGGUGGAAAUUGUUGUUUUGAUUUUGUAGUUUUCAAGAAUUGCAUGCUUAGUGAUCAGUAAUCGUCUGGCUUUAUCGGAUAAGGAGAUAAAGCAAUUAGAUUUCAAAAUUUGGAUUUACAGUUCGUAUUUUGAGCCUGAAUUCAUGAAAACAAACGUAACCCAUUAUUUAUUAGCGAUUAAUGAUUUGAUCUUGCACCCAUGUUGUCUGCUUUCCAUUUCUCAUCUCUCUUGCCAUCUUCUCUGUAUUUUGGCUGCUUCUCUCUCCCGCACUCCUUUUUUUUUUUUUUUUUUUGAAUCUAGUGUCUCCUGGUCUUUAACCCGACUACUCACUAGGCCACCCGCCUGACCCCACAACAUUUGGUAGGCAAGAAACUCUAGCAAUUGCUAGGUCUAGGUGGGUACCUUGUGAGGUGUCGAACCCCAGACCUCUUGGUAACAAACCAAGGGCCUGACCAUUAGACUAAACACUCUUAGGUAAGAGACACUAAAGUAUAAAGUGAGAUAUCAGGGCACACGCCUUUAUAGAAACACUUGGUUUCAUUAAUCCAGAAUUUACUUUCUUCAUAGGUUUCAAAUGGAACUACUUAAUAUGUUGUUUUCGUAAUUCUUUUUGCUUUCAAAGUUUAUUGCUCAGUUGUGUUCGUAACCUCUGGGUUCUUACAGUUCUUUGUCUCUCUUACUUCAGAUUCUUUGCGUUUUUUAUCAUUCGUUUGUGAAGAAAUGGGUCGUACGAAGUGGUAGGGCUUUGAGGAAGGCACUUGCCACCAAGGUGCGUUUUGUUUGGGUUUCUGAUGUCAAGAAAAUUAGAAUUGAUAAUUGCAAGCGAUUUUUUCCAAGAAACAAUCAGAUUAUUGAAUCUAAGUUGCUAAUUGUUUAAUUUUGUAUAUGCUGCAAUUAAAUCAGCACCCGCAACUGGAGGAGUCAAGAAGCCUGACUGCUACCGCCCUGGAAUCGUCACUUCGGUAAGUUUUCAACACAAUAUAGUUCAAAUCCUCUGAAUCAUGUUCUUGAAUUCUAUAUGUAUCGUGUUCUUUGCAUUUCGUUAUCUGAAAUCUGUUCUUUGAAUUUGGUUACCGGAAUCAUGCCUAAUGUUUGAUGUGGCCAGUGGCUUUGUAUGGCUGGUUGGUGUGCAUUGGGAGUGUUUUUAGUUAAUGGCAGACAUAGGACAAAGGUGUGGGGCAGCGAAGUCAAGUGGGAAUAGGAAUUUAGGAUGGUACAGUUUUUGCUAAUUUAUGGGACUAGAAGUCUUCCUUUAUUUUUUGUCUUCGUGCGAUGAAAAAAAAUGGGUGAGUAAUUUGAACUCCAGUUUAAGAUAAUAACAUGUGAAUUUUUCGUAUUACUGUUUUUUCCCUUUCUAUUAAAAACAACCUUUGAUUUCUUUGAUAGUGCUUUUUUCUAUCUGUACUAUUGUUGAACUCCCCCAGUUAUCAGUUUUGGCUCAAAAAAAUUAUUUGAUGAUGACAUGCUGAAUUGAAUAUUGGCUAAAAUUAUAUUGAAAUUUGUAGCCCGAAGCAGAUAUCGUUAAAAGAGCUCUAAGUCACCCUCUGAAAUUAAUUGCCAUAAGUGAUGUUGUAAAUGGAAGCGUUGUCGAUGAGAAGGCAUUUUUUUUCGUUUCACUUUAUAUACUACGCUCACUAUCUGUUUAAUAUGUCUCAUCGUAUAAAUUAAAGUCUCAUUUCUCAGGUGCUUUCAAGUGACAACCCCAACUAUGGAUGCAUGCUGCCACUGGAAACUAUGAAAAUUUAAUAGUUGCUGGGAUCACUGAUGCAACUAAAGUGGGUUUCUUCAUCAAGUACUUCAUGAAUAGAAUAUUUCGGAGAUCCAAUUGCUGGGACAGAUUGAAGAAGGUGAAAAUCACAGGGGUGGAAUACUGGGGAGGGUGGUAGGGUUAUGGGGAGUGGGCUCUGGUUGGUUUCGGUUUGACCGAGGCCAUGGUUCGAUGGAAUCGAGGUGAUGAGGACGAUUCAUGAGGUCACAUCCACAAGAUAUAGGGCUUACACGUGGGGUUUAGGGGUUUCACGGGGAGGGUUACAGAGGGAGGGGGUGCACGCGUGAAUUGCAGAAGGGGAGGGAGAGAGGGAGAAAGAGGGGGAGUAGGGUUGCUAUAUUCAAGUUCUCUUUUUUAUUUUUACUUGAAUUUAAUUUGAUUUGAUUUGAUUUUUUUUUUUUUUUUUUUUUUUUUUUUGCUACAGGUUGAGAAUGCAAAAGCUCAGCUGGAGGUGGAGGUGAGAAUUUUAAUUUAAUUCAUGGUAUAUUGUUGUUUUUUUUUUUUUACUUUAUUUUUGUGGGAUUGUGCUGUUUUUGGGGAAAACAAUAUUAAAUUGAAGUAAAGUUUAGAUAUUUCUGUAAUUGGGAUUUAGAGUAAGAGAUGAAGAACUAAAUGUGAUUUCAAAAUUAAAAGUUUAGAACUUUUUUGGUUUGGAAGCUAAUUUUAAAUUCAGUUAGCUGAUUAAUUAAUGGAGAAAUGUAUAACGAAUGCGUGAUAUGUUUUUCGAUGCGUAUGAGCAGACAUGGGUACUGCUUCAGCGGCAACAGCUGCUACAUGAUGGUAGAUGAGGAAUUCUGAGAUGCUGAGUGCUCUUAGUUUAAGAGAUGAAGACUUGAUAAUGAUCGUUCCAAUUCUGCCUCAAGGUAUACUUGAUAAUGAUGUCGUUUAUGUGCAAUUCACUGUAUGAUGUUCGUGCCUUUAAUGGGCCUAUCGACAUAAUUCAAUGCACCCACCAAUUGGUUUUAUGAUCAUACAUCAUUCGUGAGAAAUGGGAUGGUGAGUUUCUCGAUACAGUUUUAAUUUUUGUGCGAAUAAUGUUUGUAAAAUGUCUGUUUUUAUUUAGUUCAUUGCAGAUUCUUAUUCCUUUAUUUAGUUCACCAUAUUCUUACUCUUUUAUUUAGUUCACCAUUCAUGCUUUUAAAGAUAACAAGUGCAUGGCUCUCUCAGAUGUUAGUUUUGGGUGGCAAUUGAAAGAUACAAGGAUAAACAAAAAUACUUACCAAUUGAAAGGAUAAAUUCAAUUGAAAAUAUUUGGUUCAUCAAUUAUUAUAGUAUGAGCUUUUUGCAUUAAAUGUCCUGUUUUCGGGGAGAGUGAUUCAUGUAAUUGGGUUUUAUUAAUUUUUUCAUGAUUUUAUGCAGUUUUUCGUUUAAAUUUGUGGAUUCUGAAGCACUUUUAUGAGUGUUAAUUUCUGUUUGUAUGUCUAAAAUCUGUUUGGAAUUUGGCUGUUUCUUCAAUUUCAUCACCACCCAUUCUCACAACUUCAUCUAAAGUGUUUUGCAUGUAUAAGAUUCGUGUUCAUGGAGGUCAUUUCAAACGGAUUUCAAGCUGAGCUGCAGAAAUUUGAUUCAAAUUGAUGGAUUUGGGUAAGAAACUAAGAAACCAUAAUCUUUUCUUUCGGUUUUAAGAGCUGAAUUUGAUGGUUAAGUUUAUGUUUUAAGAUUAUCUUCCUUUCUCCUAAAUACUGAGUUUUAUGAGAUUACAUUUGGCAAGUCUGAAAACGGAUUAGAAAUACUGAGUUUUAUGAGAUCUAUUUGGCAAGAUUAUCUUCCUUUCUCCUAAAUACUGAGUUUUAUGAGAUCUAUUUGGCAAGUUUGAAAGUGGAUUGCGUAUGUUUAUAUCUUCCUUUCUUCUAAAUACUGAGUUUUAUGAGAUCACACCAUCUUAUGUUUAUUAUAUAAUCUUAUGCAAUCAGAAGAAUUAUCAUAUUUUUCUUUUUAGAUUUCAACAUAUUUGGAAAUACUUCAAAUUUUUUGUAGUGCAGUUUGUAGUUAACAUGAUUACGUGAGUUCUGUUUCUUUAGUAAAUUUUUAUGCAGGAAAGAAAGUCAUUUCUCAGUUUGUAGUUAACAUGAUUACAUAAGUUCUGCUUAUCUUAUUGGCCUUAUUCACUCAUGUGUUGUUCUGUUCAUUCAUGAUUGUGUUAAAUUUAUUUAGGUUAAAUGUGUCUUAUUCAUGCAGUUACGCAUGAAACAGUUGUUCCCGCCGCAAUGUGCGGGUUUAUUUUCUAGUUCCAAUCUAAACCUAGAGACGAAACGAGGCCAUGUAUUACAAAGACAAAAAUUCUAAAACAGCCUUUGCUCAGAGAAUAAAAAAAGCCAUGCAGUGAGAACAUCUAAGGGAAACGAGUUGAUCCUCAAUAAACACCUCAAUAGAAUGACAUAUCUUUGUUAAAGCAUCUGCCACAAAAUUAGCUUUAUCUAAAACAUGAUAGAAGCUGAUAUGAUCAAGCAUCCCAUGUUUGCCCAAGAGAAACCGAUUUGAGCCGCAUCUGCUCCAAAUAUCUCAGGCAAACAGUCAGCUGACAAAAUGCGGUCAAUGGCUUCAACAUCUUGAGAAUAAAAGGCACAACUAGGAUCAAUUGGUUGUACUUUAUAUAGGGAUAAGAAUUGAGUUACCUCUUUUACAAAUGUUACUUAUUCAUUCCGGCCGUUAUAUGGUACAACACUGAACAGAGAGUACAACUUUUCCGGCCUCUAAGUCCGGAACCCUUCCAAACAUUGGACACUAGAAUACCAAAAUAAUGCAAUAAGAUACAACAGUACAAUACAAUAUAGUUGAAAACAAUCCAUCUAAGAUAGUACAGGCUCAAUCAGAUGAAUCAAAGGAGCCCUAGUGUUCAAGCUUCCAUCUUUGCGGUAAACUUAAGUGGUGGCUUCAAGAAAUGGAUAAUCAGUGUAACCAAUGACGGGAUCAGGUGUGUAGAAUGUCUCUCUGUUGUAUUUGUUUAGAGGAGCAUUAAGUUCAAAUCUCUUUGGCAAAUCCGGAUUCGCCAAGAAAAUACGGCCAUAAGCAAUAAGAUCUGCACGGCCCUCGGCCACAGCUCUGUUUCCAUCUUCCCUGUCAUAACCACCAGCAGCAAUGAAGGUACCAUGGAAAGCCUUUCUCAUGGGAAGAAGACUCUGGUGGGUUUCAGCUAUUUCUCCAACUGCCUUCAUCCUCGGCUCAACCAUCAUGUGGCAGUACACGAUUCCAUAUUUGUUCAAGGCAUUGGCCAUAUAGAGUCCUAAUUCUUUUGGAUUUGAAUCCCCUGCGUCCAUAAAGUCAGCAAAUGGACCUAAUCUAAUUCCAACUUUAUCUGCUCCUAUUUCGUUAACGACAGCUUCAACAACUUCCAGAGGAAGGCGGCAACGAUUCUCUAGAGAUCCACCAUAUUGGUCUGUUCGAUCAUUCACAUGAUCUUUCAGAAAUUGAUCAAGAAGGUAGCCAUGCGCCCCAUGAAUUUCAACUCCAUCGAAGCCUAUAUUAACAGAUUAACAAUUUCAACAUACUGACGGUAUUAGAACCUUAAGCAUUGUCGCUGAAUUACCAAAAAAUUCAAUAACGAGAUGUGAGGGGGCUUGCAGCUUUUUACUCCACCCCACCAGCACCACCCACCACCCACACCCACCCCCCUUCCCCUCUUCCUCCUCCUCCUCCCCCAAGGCCAGAGUUUGAAGAAUCCCCCUCCCAUCUCUAACUACAUUUCGCUGAUCAAACACAAUUUAUUUUGCAUAAGAUUUGAAGCAAAUUGAGUUGUUGUAAAUUAUGUUUCAUAUGUAACGUAAAGACAAAUUACCAGCUUCAAUAGAAUUCCUUGCAGCAAGUCUAAAAUCAUUGACAAUUUGUGGAAUUUCAUCUGUCCUUAAUCGUCUUGGAGGCGUGAAUUCAGAAGCAUCGAUGCCAUUUAAUCGUAUCGGCUUGUCAGUAGAAGAUAUUGGAGCUUGCCCAUUUGGUUGAUAACCUGUAAGCAAGGAGGGAAAGAAUUACAAACUGAAGUCUAACAACAGUAACUAACAUCCACAGCAGCACUCUUUUAAGUGGGAAUCCUUUGUUACAAAUUACUAUAAAAUUUGUUAACAUCAAACUUCUUCCCAUCCAAUAAUAAUAAUAACAAUGCUUCUGAAACAGCAAGGUCAUAAAAGUGGUGUCUUCUUAUGAGUUAUGUUAAAAACACCAACUCGGAACUUAGCAAGUCCAAGUUUUAUCGUCAUUUGAGCAACAAACAAUGUUGUCAAUUAUAAUCACUCGCUCGUUCUGAUGCAUACACCAUUAUGUUAUACAUCAAACUUCUUAAUCGGUCUAAUUAUUCACUCAUGUUAACACAGCAUUCUAUGGUAAAAGUGAGGUCAUAAAGGUGUAAGUCAGAAACGCACCGCUAUUAGAAACCCUUCCAACAUGCCAAAUCUGACAGAAGAAGACGCCACCUUCAGCAUGAACAGCAUCAACAAUGGGUUUCCAGGCUUCAACUUGCUCCUUUGUCCAUAUACCAGGUGUGUUCGGGUACCUUCGUUUAUUAAAGAACCAAAAAUUUCAUCAAACUUUGAAACGAAAGAAGCACCCUCAAAUGUUUGUUAGUCUAUAAAUCUACUGUUGUUGAAAAUACCCUUGAGCUGUGUCGGAAACUCCGGUGGCUUCGGCUAUGAGAAGACCCCCGUUCGACGUUCUCUGAGAGUAAUAUAAGAUAGCAUGUGGUUGAGGAACAUUGUUGUAUGAUCUCUGUCUGGUCAAUGGUGCUAAAAUAAUUCUGGAAAGGAAAAAGAACUUGUAAUUAUAAAUACAGAGUGAUCAAGACGGAAUGUGGCUGAGGAACAUUAUCGAAUGAUCUGUAUCUAGUCAUCAACGGUGAAAAUACAAUUCUAAAGAGGAAAAACAUACAAUAAACCAUAAAUACAACCUUCAGACUUUGUAGGAAGGAUUAGUUUGCUAAGGCUCCUUUGAUAACAAAUUCGCUUAUAGUUUUCUUGUUUUAGUUAAAAAGGAUAAACGACGGAGGAAGAAGGAAUUUGGGACGAAAAUGUGUGAAAUAAAAACUCGAAUUGUAGAUUAUCUGAAUAUGCUUUUUGUCCUUCGUUUUCGGUAUCAUUCCAUGCACGUUUAGUCCCUCAUCCAUCCCUUUCCCUUCCUCCUCCUCCUCCUCCUCUUCUAUCAUGCAUUUUCUCUAUCUAUCACUUAAAAUUAAAAACUAAAAAUCAAAUACGAAAUCGUUACCAAACACAACUUGAACAAAGCAAUGUCUUACGAAGUGACCAUGGCCGAAAGGACACAUACUUUUAACGAUCAGUUGCAUCUAUUUUCAACAAUUAAUCAAUGAAAUAACUCAAGUGUGCUAGUGUUUUGAUUUAAUUUGUAACAUCUGUACUAUUUUAUAGACAAAGAUAGAGUUACAAGGACACUUCUUGUCUCCUUCCCAACAUUUGUACUAUUUUAUAGACAAAGAUAUAGUUACAAAAACUACUUGUCUCCUUCCCCAAAUCAUUCUUCGGGAAGAGAUUGUCAAAGAUCAACACCAGCCCAUUAAGAUCAGUCGGUACAAAGGAACUAGAUUGGUCUAGUUCAAACAUGCAUGGUUUUCUCUAGAAGAUUCUAUAAUGGGAAUAUGCUAGAAAACUCUAGCAAAGAAGGUUGUUCCUUAAGUUGGUGGAAGAUUCUAGAAGAAUGGUGAGGUUUCCACCAACAUGCAAGAUUAGUGUAGAUAAUUCUAGCUUGGGAAGUUAGUAGAAUUAUCUAGAUAACUCUAGCAUGAUAUUUCCAUGCUUCUCCAAGGUUCCAUCCAUGCCUAUAAAAUGAGAAGGCAUCCACACCAUUUGUAUCAACCAAGUAACCAAGUAACCAACCAAGCAAUCAAGAAUGCAACCAAGUGAGAGUGAGAAGCAAGAAUAGUCUUGUAGGAGUGUGAGUGAUCUAGAGUUUGUCUCUAGAAAGUGAGUGAGUGUCAUUGCUUCUAAAGUUGUGUCUUUGAGUGUUUUGAGUGUUGUAAUAUUUUGUGUGUGUAGUACAAGUAAUUUGUUUACUUGUGUUGUCUCUCCAACACUUGUGUUAGACUUGUGUACUCUAAGUUCUUAUCAACAAUUGGUAUCAGAGCGGUACGAUCAGGGACCGUCUCUAGUGAAGUUUUUUUAGAAUCGUUAGAAGUUUACUACUUCACAAGAUUAUUCGUUAAGCUUGUUCGGUUUAUCGAAGUUCUGCCGACACGAUGGGAGAUCUUCAAGUUGUUGAAGGAAUCAAGAAGUUGAACAACAAAAAUUACAACACAUGGGCGACAUGUAUGGAGUCUUACCUACAAGGCCAAGAUCUUUGGGAUGCUGUCGGCGGUAAUGAAGUUAUGCAGCCGGAAGAAGACUCUAGUGGCAUUUUGAGGAAGUGGAAGAUCAAGGCAGGUAAGGCCAUGUUUGCCUUAAAAACCACAGUUGAAGAUGACAUGUUAGAGCACAUACGGAAGGCUAAGACACCAAAAGAAGCGUGGGACACCUUCGCCACACUCUUUUCAAAGAAGAAUGAUACAAGACUGCAACUUCUCGAGAAUGAGCUACUAUCGAUGGCCCAACGAGACAUGACGAUUGCUGAAUAUUUCCACAAGGUAAAGGCUAUUUGUCGUGAAAUUUCUGAGUUAGAUCCUAGUGCUGCCAUUGUACAAUCCAGGAUAAAAAGAAUAAUUAUCGAUGGAUUGAGACCCGAAUAUUGAGGCUUCGUUGCCGCUGUACAAGGAUGGCCGACCCAACCAUCACUUGUUGAGUUCGAGAAUUUGCUUGCCGAUCAAGAAGCUUUGGCAAAGCAAAUGGGAGGGGUCUCGUUAAAAGGUGAAGAGGAAGCGCUCUACACCAAAAGUAAAGGCAGUUUUAAGCAGCGUGCUCGUGGUGGAUCUAAAAUAAAUGGUGACAAGGCGAAAUGUCAUCAAGGAGGAGGGAGUUCUCGACCAGGGGGAGCUCCGAAGUAUCACGGCAACCAUGGUCAGUCCCAGAAUAAUAAAAGGUUUGAGGGCAAGUCUACAAUUGUGGAAAGAAGGGCCACAUGGCAAAGGAUUGCUGGUUCAAAAAACCCGCAGAAAGUAACGUCACCAACUCAGAGAAGAAAAGUGAAGAUGAUUGGGACGCCGUAGCAUAUCUAGCUAUGGAGGAAGAAUGGGACGCUGAAGCAUCUUCUUGGUGGUGCUCAGAAAAUGAGGUGUUCCCUGACUCAAGAGAGAUUGAGGAUACGUUGCAGGAGGAAAUGGGAGACCGAGCUGCCCAAACCCAAACGAGUCUAGAUGAGCUCGAGGAAUUGCUUGAUGGUGACGAUGUCAAGCAAGAAGUACCUAAGAGUCAUUGGCAAACUGAAGAAGUUAGACCUAGUGAAGUGGAAGUAUCAUUUCCACGAUCAUAACUAAGUAGGUCAACGGGAAUAACGAAGUCAAAUCCCAAAUGCGCCAACGCAACCAUAGUAGAAGAAGCAGUUGAAGCUAAGAUGCGUAUAGAAGCAUCACAAAAUUCUAAAUGGCGUAAAGCUAGAAGAAGAGGUCGCUGCGUUAAAGAAAUAUCAAACUCGGGAUCCAGUGGUAAGGCCAAGAGAUGUGAAACCCAUAUCAUGCAAAUAGGUGUUCAAGAUAAAGUGUCGACUGAGCGAGAAGAAAAGAAUGAGCUGGUGUUGAGGGGGAGUGUUAAAGAUCAACACCAGCCUAUUAAGAUCAGUCGGUACAAAGGAACUAGAUUGGUCUAGUUCAAACAUGCAUGGUUUUCUCUAGAAGAUUCUAUAAUGGGAAUAUGCUAGAAAACUCUAGCAAAGAAGGUUGUUCCUUAAGUUGGUGGAAGAUUCUAGAAGAAUUGUGAGGUUUCCACCAACAUGCAAGAUUAGUGUAGAUAAUUCUAGCUUGGGAAGUUAGUAGAAUUAUCUAGAUAACUCUAGCAUGAUAUUUCCAUGCUUCUCCAAGGUUCCAUCCAUGCCUAUAAAAUGAGAAGGCAUCCACACCAUUUGUAUCAACCAAGUAACCAAGUAACCAACCAAGCAAUCAAGAAUGCAACCAAGUGAGAGUGAGAAGCAAGAAUAGUCUUGUAGGAGUGUGAGUGAUCUAGAGUUUGUCUCUAGAAAGUGAGUGAGUGUCAUUGCUUCUAAAGUUGUGUCUUUGAGUGUUUUGAGUGUUGUAAUAUUUUGUGUGUGUAAUACAAGUAAUUUGUUUACUUGUGUUGUCUCUCCAACACUUGUGUUAGAGUUGUGUACUCUAAGUUCUUAUCAACAGAGAUUUGGUCCUUCCCAACAUUUGGACUAUUUUAUAGACAAAGAUACAGUUACAAACACUCCUUGUCCCCUUCCCCAAAUCAUUCUUCAGGAAGAGAUUCGAUCCGAAUCUCUCCAAUUAAGUGAUCUAGGCCGUUGAAAUUCAAUCAAACGACUACAAUUAUUAUAACUUUUAGAGAGGCUUCCUGUUUGUAGUCGUUAAAUCAAAUUUCAACGGUCCGAAUCACUUGAUCUUGGGCCUUUGAUGGGAGAGAUCCGGACCGAAUCUCUUUCCUUUUUUGUAUAGCUAUAUUUCACACGCACACAUGAAUAAACUACACAGUACGCUAAACUUGAAUAUAGACAAGCAGUAAUUUCAUCUUCUAUUUUUCCUGUUAACCAAAAGCUAUCUGCAGACCUAGCUACUCUUUGAAUCCAAGUUCGGAUCUCCUCUCAUAGUUUUUACCAAGGUUCUAAAAGACGCUAGGCGCUAGUCGGGUGGCGGGCUGGGGCCUAGCGCAUAGGCGGACUAGGCGGAUUUAAGUAAAUCUAUUAUAUUUUGUGUAAAUAAGUGUCUGUUUAUACUUAAAAUAUAUAUAAUUUUAUCAUAAACUACAAAAUAGAAUGACAUAUAUAUUAUGAAGUAUUGGACAUAAUGAAAACAUGAGGAACAAGUAUAUAAUGUGUGUUCAUUUAAGUAUUCAACAAGUCUUUACAAUUUAUUGAAAAAAUAAAUAAAAUACAAAAUGCAAGUUAUCUAAUUUUUGUCUAAGUGAGUUGCAACCUAGUCGGUGCUUAGGUGGGUCUGGACAGGCUACGCGGGUGCCUUAGCAGAUCUAGGCGACAUUUUUUAAUUUUCAAACGCCUAAGCAUUAAUUGGGGGCAGUGGUCAGCGGGGCUUGGCGGAAAUUUUUAGAACAAUGAUUUUUACAACAUCAUAUUAAAAUAACGCCCGAAUCAAAAUAAAUUAAACAAUUACAUGACAGAGAAAUUUAGAAAAGUAAACAAAUAGGAACAAUGUAUGAAAGUUUUAAGUACCUAUGAGAAAGAUUGAAGUUUCCCAAUUUGUAGGGAGUGAGGAGAGGAAUUGUGGGAGGUUGAGCAGCAGCAGACAUCUCAGAAUUCGAGUUGGUCGUCUGCCACCUGAUUUUGUACUUGGCCUUUUAUACUGGAUUCUGGGAUGAAGGAAGGAACGAAGGAACGAAGGAAUGAAUACAGGACCCGAUUGGGUCUUUGUACGUUCAGUAGACGCUUAAAAGUCCGCCCUGCAGCUUUCCUCCACAAAAGUUAGAGAUGGCUGGGUCCCACAUCUCCCCUCCCUUGUAUGGAAUGGAAGGCUGAAAGCUGUGGUGGUGGUGGCGGCGGCGGCGGACGUCGAUGGCUGGGUCUGUAAUUACGUUUACGUGUGUCGAAAAUUCACCAGUUUUCCCCAUGAAAAAGGACGUCCACGGAAUGCGGGUGUAAUGCUAGCCGCAUGUUCAUUUCGAUUUAGCUUUUUCAUGCUGCAUUAUUAGGCCAUGGUUUGAAUAGUAUAUUGUUUAGGUCCUUAAGGCCCUCUCAAACUAGAAGGGUUAAAAACAUAAUCCCAUCUAGAAUUAUAACUUUUAAAAAAAAAAUAGUUUUAAAUUAACAAUAUCAAAUUAUAUUCAUAUAUUAUCUUCAAUCAAAUGAGCUAAACAUAACCCAUCAAUUUUCGAUGGAUAGCAAGGUUAUAAUUCCAUGGAGCUCAUCAAGUCAUCAUUUGGCUAAAUGAGCAUUAGGCUGGCCAAAUGUAGCCACCCUCUUAGCCCUUUUUUGGGGCUCAGCUCCUGCAUUAUUUGAGUCAAAUUCAACAGCUAUGUUUGAAAACAUCCAAUGAAAAUUUAAUUAAAUUAACCAAUAAAUUUAAUAUAUAAACUUAAAACUAAAUAAUUGUUGAGAGGGUUAUGUUUAGCCACUUUAAUGACGACAUAUAUGUAUACCUGAUACUGUUCAGUCAUUUUGGUUAGAGAUGCCCUAAGGUCAUAAUUUUGAGGAUGUGUGAGACUAAAUGCAUAUUAGUUUAGAUUGCUUGAAAUAUUUGACAACUUAAUAAAGAAAAACCAACUUAAAAUUCAUGAACCAUCACAAAACUCUUUUUUUUUUUUAUCAAGUUGUCAAAUAUUUAAGAUUUUGGAUACAAACUAAAAUAAUCUUAUGGUUAAUAUGCAUCUGAUGCCCACAAAUCUUCAAAAUGAGGGCCAUAAUUAAUCAAUGAAUUUGUGACAAAUUAAAUAGUCUAGAAAUAAAAGGCUCCAAUCAAGUAGCAUUGCACAAUUAAAAAGGAAAAUGACAAGGUUGCUAGCUUUUUGCAAAAAAUAUGUUAUGUAGGUUCUCUAAUGAGUGCUUUUAACACAAUGGACAUACCCACUAUCGUGUAAAACUUUUCUCGAGAAAUAAAGUUAAGAUUUAUUUAGAUCUGUUACAUAGAAGUUUCUCUUUUGGAUCACUGUUUUUCUAUAAUCGUAAUUUUUUAGGCAUAUAGAUUCAUUGUAAGGAUGAAUUACGUUUUUUUUUUAGUUUGACAGGUUUCAAUUUUGAUCCAUGUCAUUUUCAAUUGGUCAAAUUUAAACUUUGUCAUACAUAACAUAAUUUUAUACCGACACCCCUUUUUGACCAAAAUAGGUUGCGUGGAAUAUUCUAACAAAAAAAAAUCACGUUUGUAAGUAGUGUAUUCUUCUAGUGGUUCAAACCAUUUUCCUUUCCUUAUUGUAAUUUUUAAAGUAAGAAUAACGUUGUAUUCAACAAACAAUAAAGUCCUUGUGCACAUCAAGUAGAAUCAUGAAAGAAAAAAAGGAAGAGAAAAAUUUGCCUACAACGGACACUACUACAAUAACAUUUUUACCAGGGGUUAAUUGGAGCCCAAUAUAACAUUCUAGCAUUAACAAGAGAUGAUCAGGAAUAGAGAUUUAUAUCAUCCUUGAAUCUCAAACGUAGAAUUAUCAUAACUUACAACUUUUAUUGUAUGGAUAAUACUUGCAUUCAUUUCUUAAAAGGAUGAACUUAUUUCCUCCAUGUAAGUAAUGUACAUUUAUCGUCCAAAGUUCAUAAUCAAAACCGUUCAAAUUAUUAAUCUGCAUACCCUUACAAAAGAAUUGGAGAUCAUUUAGUUAUUCAAAUGUAUAGAACAAAUCAAAGAUGUAGGUAUCAAUGACACACCCCGACCCGGAAGGUCCAUAAGGACUCUGAAUCGAGUUAUGCUGACCGACACCUGGAAGGUGAUAAAGCUAUAAAGUGUGAUGAUGUGGAAAAAUAUGAAUAAAUUUGAACUUAAGAGUGCCUAAAUACCAAAGUGCGCUGGUGAGCGGGAAUGAAUCCACUUCACACGUGACCUUAGAGCAUAAGUAAGUAUAGUAGAGUGGAUAAGGAUUAUAACCUCAGAAGUAGCCACCUAUAUUGAGAUUUGCCCAGAAUCCUCGUCGAUACGAACAUUCAGCAAUUAAAACCUGGAGGGGCGCAAAAUAGAAAGUGUGAGUGGGCAAAAACAAAGCUUUACAAAACCAUUUCACUUAUCAAAAGUAAUAAUCUCUCGCCGUAAAGCCUGAAUAAUUUCCCAGAAAAUAGAAUAUUCUAUAUCGAAACCAUACUCGGAAUAGCAAAAUCCACACGUAUGCCAUGCCUAAAAUCUCAACAUAAUGAAAUAAGUAAACCAGGUGAAAUAAAUCCAUGAAAAGUAAUAUGUCAGCCGGAUCCACCUAUUGUGGCAUGUACGACUGAACCUAUAGCUCAACCAAUAUCCAAGUAACAUGUCAACAUGAUCCACCUCUUGUGGCCUAUACGGCUGAACCCAGAGCUCAUCACACAUCCAAGUAAUAUGUCAACCGGAUCCACCUCUUGUGGCCGAAUCCACCUCUUGUGGCCUGUACGACUGAACCUAUAACUCAACCAAUAUCCAAGUAAUAUGUCAACCGGAUCCACCUCUUGUGGCCUGUACGGCUGAACCCAUAGCUCAUCACAUAUCCAAGUACUAUGUCAGCCAGAUCCACUUCUAGUGGCAUGUACGGCUAUGUCAGUCGGAUCAACCUCUUAUGGCAUGUACAACUGAACCCAUAGCUCAUCACAUAUCCAAGUAAUAUGUCAGUCGGAUCCACCUCUUGUGGCUUGUACGGCUGAACCCAUAGCUCAUCACAUAUCCAAGUAAUAUGUCAGUCGGAUCCACCUCUUGUGGCCUGUACGAUAGGACUGGGUGUAAAUAAAUACGCUCAAGUGCUACGAUCACGUGAAGACUGUGCGAAUAAUCGCAGGUCAACUACAAGUCGGAACCACCUAUAGUGGUCUGUAUGACAGGAUUGUGUAACUACCUUGGAUCCAAAGUGAGCGUAAGGUGCGGGAGGUGAACAUCACGCAAAGGACUGUGCCUUAGCCACGGUCGGGAGCACUAACACCGGGGUGCAGGUUUAUUAGCUCUAAUUGCAUCUAUUAUAACAUGUACGACUCAUGGACAACAUGUACAACAGUGUUGGAGUUGCCUAUCAUUGCAACUUGUACGAUAAGGUCGGAGUUGCCUAAAACAUACAUGUAGUCAUGCCAUAACUUCAUCAUUUCAACUAAUACCAUAAACUCACCUGAACUUACCUAGGUCUUCUGCGUUCACCUUUGCACUUCAAAGCGUUCACAAUAAUUAUGUGCAAGUAAUAUACAUAUGGAUAUACCAUGAUAUAAUCUAAUACUCAACCAUGUCAUAGCAUUUUCAAUUAUAUACAUAUAUAUAAUAUGGCAUAAAAUGCAUAAGCUGUAACACCCUACUCACAAACUAUUUAUUUUCGGGAAUAAUUAUCGGUGAUAAGCCCAAUUAGACACUAGUUUAAUUAACUAUCAUUACUUACGUUUCCUUACUUCAAUUUCUUGAUUCUUCACACAUUGAUUUAUGAACAACAUUUAACCACCAAAUCAUAAGGUUAAAUCUAAAAUUUUCCACCAAUCUCCUUCACAUUGCUCAAUUCCCCAAAUAAGGCUAUUGUCACAAUUAUUUAGUCUCAUUUAUUGUAUGGUUGCAUCUAACGUCUCGUUAGAUUGCCUAUGUAUCCUAAAUAGGGAUCAAGCCAUUUGUAGUUCACACUAGUACUUCAAAGCAUUCACAGUAAUUAUAUGUAGGUAAUAUGCAUCAAUCAAUUUAAAAACGUUUAUGAUAAUUUACUGAAAAAAGACAUCCCUACGUAAUUCACUCCGGAAGAUCUGCAUCACGGAUUUCUGAUCCGUUACUUCCAAAUAUUCACAUUAUGUUCCUAGAACCACGUCCUAAUAUUUCAUUAUGAUCCAACGGUCGGAUCUCCGCCAAUUGCCAAAACCAAGUGGCGGUCAACAUUUUAUUUUAUGAACUUACAAAUCCAAUUCGGGAAGAUCUGUACUUCGGAUUCCCAAUCCGUAAGUUUCUAUGGUCCUCAUAUAUUACGUACUAUAAUGUGUUAAAGUUUGGUGACGAUCAAACAGUUGGAUCGUCGAUUCACACUUUUACCAAGUAACCUGACAUAGAGAAUUUAGGUUCCAACCAUCAACCUAAGUCAUACAGUUACCAAGAAUAAACUCAAGGUAUCUAAUUUAUCCUAAGAAUGACAUCGACGGCCCCCUGGCCACACGCCGCCGUGGGUGGCGGUCGGUCGCCCCAACUCGCUGGAAAAUCCAACUAUUUCUAAAAAUUACCAAAUUUUACAUAAAUGAAUAUUUCAAUGAGUAGAAUAAGUUUUAUACCUAUGACUAAGUCCAAUUUAACCGGGAAAGGCUCCAAUUUCACUCAAACCGCCGAAAACCCUAAGAUAGGUAUUCUUCGAUUCGACUUCCUCCAUGUUCCAACACCCCUACAACUUCUUGGGUCUUGUUCCUGGGUCCAAGAGGAGUUGAUUAAGGGUGGUGGUGGGUGGCGAAACUCGUCAGAUCGAAGGAAUCACCGCCGAACACCUCCGGUUCUCCGGUGAUGUUCUUUGCGUUUUUUGGCCUAAAACUCUUCAAUCUUGAGCGAAGAUGGAAGAAGAAAGUUUGGGGAAGAUGUUGCAGGUGGUGAAUAUGGUGUUCCACGAAACAAAAUGGCAGAAAUUGGCUGGAUUUUGACCGGUUUGGUUGUGCGGGUGCACUGCCCGACGGGAAGAUUUCUUCUUUUUUUUUUUUCCUUCUCCCUUCCUGAUUGGUUCUCAUUUUCCUCUCUUAAAAUUGAUUGGUUACCACUCCCACACGGUGGGAGUUUGAAUUAAUUUAUAACUAAACUUUAAAUAACCAAUUUCAAAUGUCUAUAACUAUACCGAUAUAAUCCGAACUCGCAAACGGCUUUCGCCUAUGCAUUCGUACCAACGAGUACUACACAAAUGCGCUAAGUGAAUAAGUCAUACGUUUCUCUACACGUUGGUCAAUGAAAGUCAAAACCUUCACCUCUAGGGUAUUUUCGUAAAUUCAUUAUUUUAAAACUUAUAAAAUCGUAGAACUAGGGACGAGUUGUCACAAUAUACCCACCUUAAAAAAAUUUCGUCCCCGAAAUUUGAAAUCAUUAGCUAAAGAUAAUGUACUUCAGAAGAUAGGAAAAAGUAUAUAUAUAUAUACACACACACAUAUAUACACACAUAUAUGGACGGAGGAAAUCAAGAUAGAGCGGUUGCAUAACAGAGAAUGUCAUUCUGUCGCGAUUAGAGUGCAGUAAUUCCUCUUUCGUGCCUCCAAACUUAAACUUCCUUCUCCUUUAGUACAGUACUAAAAUAUACAGUCCUUUAUAAAACAUAAGGUAGAAAACUAGAUGAAUAACAACGUAAUGUCGAAGCACGUAUAUAAUAAAGUGAAGUUAAAAUAGUUGUACUGAAAACCACACCAAAAGUAGAAAACUUCACCUACACACCCACAUGGGUCACGUGCCUCAAAGAUGAGUGUGUGCUAUCUUUGGGUCAAGCCCAAACAAUAAUUAAAUAACUAAACGUAGACGGACCUAGAUGUCUACUUGUUCAACAAAUUCAACACUUAAGUUUUCAAUAUUACGGUCAGUAGCUCGUAAUACCAACAAUUCACUAUUGUCCUGAUAAGUAAGUAACAGAUUCCUGAGGGUGCAAUAUUACCAUCAUGCCCCCCAAUGGGAAAAUACGCAUAAAUCAUCUGAUCCAAGUCUUGAUCGUGUUCACAUACUACCCUUACGGGUAACAUCAACAAAUAUCAUAAUUUUCUAUAUCAUAUUCUCGAUCAUUCAACUAUGGAUAAAAUUUUCGGUCAUGUGCCAUAGAUAAAAUUUUCAUAGUACGCUUUAACAAUGCCAUACUCGAAACCAAAAAUUGUAACCGUAGUUACAACCAACUAAAAAAAAAACUAUUUAUUACAACAUACAUACCACAUAACUCAACAAUGCAAUUCAUAACACCAUAAUGAGCAGAUUCCUAUUGAAUUUCUUUCGAAUUUAGCGAAAAUUAUGUCAAGAAGGCUAACAUAAUACUCGAGAAUUUGAGGGUCAAAUAAGUCCAUCAAAUUUUAAAUACAAGGUAAUUGAAAUUAAUGUAUAACAUCUCGUUACAACGGUAACUUCUGGAACAUUUAAUCACCAAUGGUUAAGAUUCAUUUAGUAGAGUGUUUGUUGGGUGAUUGAGAAUUUAAUGUUCACGACUAAAUGUCAAUGUCCUAUCAAUCCUCUAGACAAUUUGCUUAAUUCAAAAAUAAUACCAAGUGGUCAAAAUUGUAGUCCCUCUGGACCAAUGAAAAAAAAAAGUUGACUUGUCAAGUCGAUUUGACUUGUCAAGUCGAUCUAUAAACAUCGAAACAUCAUCAUCAUCAUCACUACAUGUACAAGAUACCUCGUUCCAAAGGUGUAUGAUGAUAUUUCUCAACUCCCUUCAUAUACAAGAAGUGAUUAUGACCAUUCAAACCCUUUCUUGAUAUUUCGCAAGUAACAUCAAAACAAUACAUGUGAAUUCCAACUGAGGCAGAAUAGGACAGGCCGAAAGUGUUCAAGUAUACAUAAAUCUUUUGCUGCAUUUAAUAGUAAUACAUUUGCAUAAUCGUGAUAAUCAUAAAAUUUGAUUUAGUUCUUCCACUACCGUUGUUUGAAUUUAACUUAUUUCAAAUGAGAAUAUAUUUGAGAAGUCCAAGAUUGAUAAAGGUCUCUAACACAUUUCUCCACCAGGAAGUAUCAUUCAGUUUUUCAAAUAAAGAUAAUAACACCUUACUCUAGUCAUGAAUAAGAUGGUUCAUUUCGAACGAUUUUAACCGUUGGAAAGUCUAAGCGAUUCAUUGUCAUGUUACCUCCCCCACAAUUAAAAUACCUAAAGAACACGUCAUUAUGGAUUUCCAAAUGAUCAAUGUCAUCAAAAGAUGUAAAGAAAAGGUAUGGUGAGACAACAGUUCUUUGUUAGAAACUUUAUUAAUAUUCAACAUCUCAACUAAAUUGACCUUCCUCGGUUGGUAUGUGAAGAAAAACACCACAGCUGAGAAAUUGCUAACAAUUUGUCGAUAAAAUCGACAAGACGAAAGAUAUCUUGAAAUUCACAAUACCUUAUGAGAAUUCCAACUUUCUUCCGCAACUACCCUUGGAGAAAAGAAAAGAAUAUCAUUGAGAAUCACAUCUCCUAAGAGAAGUACCAAUUUACACAAAGGUAAUAUUUGAGGAAUAUUAUGUGAAGCUAACUGUUGAUAAUUGGAGAAUUUAAUCUCGUUAAUAGAAUAUGUAAGAUAGUCAUCUACAAGACUAUUAUGAAUUUAUCAAACUACACAAGGAAACUUGAGUUACAAAGAUUGGUUGAUAAGAAAUAAGGAGAAUAAAUGUGAUGUUAACAAGGUGGAUCAAUGGUGUAUUCUACUUCUCGCAUUUGGUAGAAUUCCAAAUAAAAAUUUGAGAAUUGAUGCCAAAGGUAAACCUCCUCCAAAUGUACUAGGAACUGAUUCCAUAAUUCUAGGGAAAAAAAACCUUACCACUUCGGGAAUUUCUACUGACCUUAGAUAUAACGAUUCUUACUCAUGUGCCAAUGCUCAUCAAAAUGACGAGUAUAGCACCAAAAGUAAUGUGGAAUUUAACAUUGGUUGGAGUGUUCUAAAGUCAAAAAAAUAAAAUUUUCUAGUAAUCUACUUUAGAACGGACUUAAACAAAAGUCGAUCUUCCCCCUGAAGAUCCAGAAUGAUCACUUGCGUGUUUGGAAAAAAUUGUGCUAUCAUAGACCAAAGUGAUUAUCCCAAAAUUGUGCUAACCACAACAACAACAACAACAACAAAGCCUUUUCCCACUAAGUGGGGUCGGCUAUAUGAAUCCUAGAACGCCAUUGCGCUCGGUUUUGUGUCAUGUCCUCCGUUAGAUCCAAGUACUCUAAGUCUUUUCUUAGAGUCUCUUCCAAAGUUUUCCUAGGUCUUCCUCUACCCCUUCGGCCCUGAACCUCUGUCCCGUAGUCACAUCUUCGAACCGGAGCGUCAGUAGGCCUUCUUUGCACAUGUCCAAAUCACCGGAACCGAUUUUCUCUCAUCUUUCCUUCAAUUUCGGCUACUCCUACUUUACCUCGGAUAUCCUCAUUCCCAAUCUUAUCCUUUCUCGUGUGCCCACACAUCCCACGAAGCAUCCUCCUCUCCGCUACACCCAUUUUGUGUACGUGUUGAUGCUUCACCGCCCAACAUUCUGUGCCAUACAACAUCGCUGGCCUUAUUGCUGUCCUAUAAAAUUUUCCCUUGAGCUUCAGUGGCCUACGACGGUCACACAACACGCCGGAUGCACUCUUACACUUCAUCCAUCCAGCUCGUAUUCUAUGGUUGAGAUCUCCUUCUAAUUCUCCGUUCUCUUGCAAGAUAGAUCCUAGGUAGCGAAAACGGUCGCUUUUUAUGAUCUUCGCUAGAUUGCUCCAGUCAUUAGUGUGGAUAAGUAUAUAAAUGGAUAGAGAUAGGAAAGCAAACACAAGAUGUACGUGGUUCACCCAUAUUGGCUACGUCCACGGAAUAGAGGAGUUCUCAUUAAUUGUGAAGGGUUUACACAAGUACAUAGGUUCAAGCUCUCCUUUAGUAAGUACAAGUGAAUGAUUUAGCACAAAUGACAUUAGGAAAUAUUGUGGGAGAAUGAUCUCGUAAUCACGAAACUUCUAAGUAUCGGAGUGUGGUAUCGUCUUGACUUGCCUUAUCUGUCUCAUAGGUAGAUGUGGCAUCUUCUCUGGAAGUACUCUUCCUCCAUCCAGGGGGUGGUAUCUUUAACUGGUGGAGAUGCACAAGGUAAUGUAUCAAUUUCACUUGAAGCUUACUUGUAGUUUCAGGCUUGGUCAAGCGCGAUACAAACCAUGUAGUAGGAGUCCCCCAAGUCGUCGAGCUAGGGGAUCUGCUGAAAGAGGUGACAGACAAGGUAAGCAAUCAGAGCUCCGGCUGAUUGUUCACCUCUCCCCCAUCUUGCAGCAGCAUGAAGGAUAAAGAGAAGAAAAAUGAGAAGAGAUGAUAUGGGAUACUUUUGCUUUUGAAGAAGUAACUUUCCACAGGCUUAUUCUUGAACUGAGCUGGAGGGUUUUCUGGUUUCCUCCAGAGUAUAAGACCUGCUGAUAUGGGAUACUUUUGCUUUUGACAGAGUAAUGGAUGUAUCGGCACGUGUGCUGUUACGCUUGUCUCCACAUGCUUCCUUGUAUCCUUCGCACUUGCCCUAUCUGUUCCUCAAGCAAAUGCGGUAUCUUCCCUGGAAGCAUAAGAUGUUGAAGAUGAGUACUCGAGAGCAAUGCCAGGUAAGUAAUCAGGUAAGGGGUUCCAGGCAGUCAGUUCCUGGUUGGAAGCUUGAUUCCAAGUGCUGACUGAUUGCUCUCUUUCUCCUUGUCUUGCAGGUAAGAACAAGGCCAAAUGAAAAGACAGGGAAAAAGCAUGAUAUGGGAUACUCUUGCUUUUAACCCUGAUGAUAUGAGAUAUUCUUGCUCUAGUAUAGCUUGUUUGCAGAGGUAUUAUCGGGGGGAAAGAAAGCUGAAUAUUUCGAAAGGCUUCGUUGGGAGUGCCCUCUCAGAUAUGAGGAAGGGUUGAGCAUUUUUGCAGGUCUGCCUGUCCGUUGGGGAUGAAGGUCAACAUAUAUAGGAGUCUCCCUAACAACAAGUAGUAAUGCUAUUCCUUUACCCUGCUUGGUCAUAGCACGGUAGUGGGAGCUACCAGCUUCACAUGUUUUAACUCUGUCAGAGCACUUUGAAAAAGUGGUCUGUGGUAUCUGGCUCUCGAGAUUCGGAGAACGAUGCCUCUUCGAUUUUUGAGAAAGCAAUCAUGCUGGGGGUCUGGCUCUCGAGAUUCGGAGAGCAGUGUCUCUUCGAUUUUUGAGAGAGUAAUCAUGUUGGGAGUCUGGCUCUCGAGAUUCGGAAGGCGGUGCCUCUUCGAUUUUGGAGCAAGCAAUCUUGUUGGGAGUGUUUUUUCGAAUGUGAGUAAAGGUUGGGCAUGUUUGCUAGUCUACCUUGCCACGAAGCACAGAGGUUGACACACAGGGACUUUCCAAUUAUCCAGCAAUGGUACUGUUCCUUUACCCUCUCUUCGAUUUUGAGAAACUAGUCAUGUUGGAAGUCUGGCUCUCGAGAUUUGGAGGACGGUGCCUCUUCGAUUUUGGAGCAAGCAAUCUUGUUGGGAGUGUUUUCUCGAAUGUGAGUAAAGGUUGGGCAUGUUUGCUAGUCUACCUUGCCACGAAGCACAUAGGUUGACACACAGGGACUUUCCAAUUAUCCAACAGUGGUACUGUUCCUUUACCCUUGUGGGUAAUAAUAUGGUAGCUAGACCUUCAAAAUUUAUGUGUCUAAACUUUGUUAGUGCUGUUUCUUUACUAUUCUUUUACCUUUCUUGGUCAGAGCGAUGUAGUGGGAGCUGCAGCUUCACGUGCUCAACUUUGGCAGAGAACUUUGGCAAAGUUAUCUGUGGUACCCAUGAGCUAUUGUUGCGUGUGGGAAGUGGGUGAUUGAACAGUAAGAUUUAUGUGCUUUCUACUUCACCAGAAGUCUUCGACAGAAUGCCCAUAAUUUCCGCAAAGCUGAGUGUGCAUGUGACAGGUGCUGACAAGGCUAGAAAAGUAAGGGCCUCUUCGAUUUCUGAGAUCGGCCCUCGUGGUCUCUGAGCAGCCCAGCUUUUGAGAAAGCGAGCGUCUCUUCGAUUGAUUCGGAGAACGAUGCCUCUUCGAUUUUUGAGAAAGCAAUCAUGCUGGGGGUCUGGCUCUCGAGAUUCGGGGAGCGGUGUCUCUUUGAUUUUUGAGAAAGUAAUCAUGUUGGGAGUCUGGCUCUCGAGAUUCGGAGGGCGGUGCCUUUUCGAUUUUAGAGCAAGCAAUCUUGUUGGGAGUGUUUUCUCGAAUGUGAGUAAAGGUUGGGCAUGUUUGCUAGUCUACCUUGCCACGAAGCACAGAGGUUGACACACAGGGACUUUCCAAUUAUCCAGCAAUGGUACUAUUCCUUUACCCUCUCUUUGAUUUUUGAGAAAGUAGUCAUGUUGGGAGUCUGGCUCUCGAGAUUCGGAGGACGGUGCCUCUUCGAUUUUGGAGCAAGCAAUCUGAUUGGGAGUGUUUUCUCGAAUGUGAGUAAAGGUUGGGCAUGUUUGCUAGUCUACCUUGCCACGAAGCACAGAGAUUGACACACAGGGACUUUCCAAUUAUCCAGCAGUGGUACUGUUCCUUUACCCUUGUGGGUAAUAAUAUGGUAGCUAGACCUUCAAAAUUUAUGGGUCUAAACUUUGUUAGUGCUGUUUCUUUGCUAUUCUUUUACCCUUCUUGGUCAGAGCGAUGUAGUGGGAGCUGCAAGCUUCACGUGCUCAACAUUGGUAGAGAACUUUGGCAAAGUUAUCUGUGGUAACAAUGAGCUAUUGUUGCGUGUGGGAAGUGGGUGAUUGAACAGUAAGAUUCAUGUGUUUUCUACUUCCCCAGAAGUCUUCGACAGAAUGCCCAUAAUUUCCGCAAAGCUGAGUGUGCGUGUGACAGGUGCUGACAAGGCUGGAAAAGUAGGUGCCUCUUCGAUUUCUGAGAUCGGCCCUCAUGUUCUCUGAGGAGCCCAGCUUUUGAGAAAGCGAGCGCCUCUCUAAGCAGCCCAGCUUUUAAGAAAGCAAACGCCUCUUCGAUUUCUGAGCAGGCGCCUCUUCGAUUUCUGAAGCUUCGUCGAGUGCAGAUUUUUAUAGGGGCUGGCAUUAAGUUCCAAAGCACACUUGAAUCUCCACCAGUAGAAGCUUCAUUCUUGCACUUCUAAGAUCUUGAUUUGUCCGACCUCUUCUCUCUUCAACACCUUUGAAAAUGUCUGGCCCCUCCGACCGUCGUUUUGACUUGAACCUUGUUGAAGAGGCAGCCCCGCCUUCUCCAGACAACAUAUGGCGCCCAUCUUUCGUCUCCCCUACUGGUCCUCUUACCGUUGGGGAUUCCGUAAUGAAGAAUGAUAUGACCGCUGCGGUGGUGGCCAGGAACCUUCUCACUCCCAAAGAUAACAGACUACUUUCCAAACGGUCUGAUGAGUUAGCUGUUAAGGAUUCGCUGGCUCUCAGUGUUCAGUGUGCAGGUUCUGUGUCUAAUAUGGCCCAACGCCUAUUUGCUCGAACCCGCCAAGUUGAAUCAUUGGCGGCUGAAGUGAUGAGUCUGAAACAGGAGAUUAGAGGGCUCAAGCAUGAGAAUAAACAGUUGCACCGGCUCGCACAUGACUAUGCUACAAACAUGAAGAGGAAGCUUGACCAGAUGAAGGAAACUGAUGGUCAGGUUUUACUUGAUCAUCAGAGAUUUGUGGGUUUGUUCCAAAGGCAUUUAUUGCCUUCGUCUUCUAGGGCUGUACCGCGUAAUAAAGCUCCAAAUGAUCAACCUCUGAUGCCUCAUCCUUCUAGGGUUCUGUCCAGUACUGGGGCUCCGAAUGAUCCCCCUCCGGUGCCUUCUCUUUCUGGGGCUCUACCGACUGCUGAGACUUCUCCUAAGCAACCUUUGUGAAGGCUCCUUCUAGUUUGUUUAUUUUGACUCAUGUAUAUGUACAUAUUUGUAGCUUAUCGGGGAUAUCAAUAAAUAAGCUUUCCUGCAUUUCAACAUAUUGUGUUAAAUACACCAAAGCCUUCUUCGCUAAGUUCUUUGAAUUUUCUUUUGUUGAAGCUUGUAUGUUGAAGCUUUCUGAGUGGAGCAUGUAGGUUGGGGCAAUGUUCCCUUAAUUUCCCGAGUGAGGAAAACUUCUCGGUUGGAGACUUGGAAAAUCCAAGUCACUGAGUGGGAUCGGCUAUAUGAAUCUUAGAACGCCAUUGUGCUCGGUCCUGUGUCAUGUCCUUUGUUAGAUCCAAGUACUCUAAGUCUUUUCUUAGAGUCUCUUCCAAAGUUUUCCUAGGUCUUCCUCUACCCCUUCGGCCCUGAACCUCUGUCCCAUAGUCGCAUCUUCUAAUCGGAGCGUCAGUAGGCCUUCUUUGCACAUGUCCAAACCACCGUAACCGAUUUUCUCUCAUCUUUUCGUCAAUUUCGGCUACUCCUACUUUACCCCGGAUAUCCUCAUUCCUAAUCUUAUCCUUUCUCGUGUGCCCACACAUCCAACGAAGCAUCCUCAUCUCCGCUACACCCAUUUUGUGUACGUGUUGAUGCUUCACCGCCCAACAUUCUGUGCCAUACAGCAUCGCCGGCCUUAUUGUCGUCCUAUAAAAUUUUCCCUUGAGCUUCAGUGGCAUACGGCGAUCACACAACACGCCGGAUGCACUCUUCCACUUCAUCCAUCCAGCUUGUAUUCUAUGGUUGAGAUCUCCAUCUAAUUCUCCGUUCUUUUGCAAGAUAGAUCAUAGGUAACGAAAACGAUCGCUCUUUGGUAGUUCUUGAUCUCCGAUCCUCACCCCUAACUCGUUUUGGCCUCCAUUUGCACUGAACUUGCACUCCAUAUAUUCUGUCUUUGAUCGGCUUAGGCGAAGACCUUUAGAUUCCAACACUUCUCUCCAAAGGUUAAGCUUUGCAUUUACCCCUUCCUGAGUUUCAUCUAUCAACACUAUAUCGUCUGCGAAAAGCAUACACCAAGGAAUAUCAUCUUGAAUAUGUCAUGUUAACUCAUCCAUUACCAACGCAAAAAGGUAAGGACUUAAGGAUGAGCCUUGAUGUAAUCCUACAGUUAUGGGAAAGCUUUCGGUUUGUCCUUCAUGAGUUCUUACGGCAGUCUUUGCUCCUUCAUACAUAUCCUUUAUAGCUUGGAUAUAUGCUACUCGUACUCCUUUCUUCUCUAAAAUCCUCCAAAGAAUGUCUCUUGGGAUCCUAUCAUACGUUUUUUCCAAAUCUAUAAAGACCAUGUGUAAAUCCUUUUUCCCAUCUUUAUAUCUUUCCAUCAAUCUUCGUAAGAGAUAGAUUGCCUCCAUGGUUGAGCGUCCUGGCAUGAACCCGAAUUGGUUGUCCGAAACCCGUGUCUCUUGCCUCAAUCUAUGCUCAAUGACUCUCUCCCAGAGCUUCAUUGUAUGACUCAUUAGCUUAAUACCCCUAUAGUUCAUGCAAUUUUGUACGUCGCCCUUAUUCUUGUAGAUAGGCACACCAAAGUGCUCGUUCGCCACUCAUUUGGCAUCUUCUUCGUUUUCAAAAUCCUAUUGAAAAGGUCAGUGAGCCAUGUUAUACCUGUCUCUCUCCCAAAACUUUCCACACUUCGAUUGGUAUAUCGUCUGGGCCUAUUGCUUUUCUAUGCUUCAUCUUCUUCAAAGCUACAACCACUUCUUCCUUCCGGAUUCGACGAUAAAAAGAGUAGUUUCUACACUCUUCUGAGUUACUCAACUCCCCUAAAGAAGCACUCCUUUCAUGUCCUUCAUUGAAAAGAUUAUGAAAAUAACCUCUCCAUCUGUCUUUAACUGCGUUCUCUGUAGCAAGAACCUUUCCAUCCUCAUCCUUGAUGCACCUCACUUGGUUUAGGUCUCUUGUCUUCUUUUCCCUUGCUCUAGCUAGUUUAUAGAUAUCCAACUCUCCUUCUUUGGUAUCUAGUCGUUUAUACAUAUCGUCGUAAGCCGCUAACUUAGCUUCUCUGACAGCUUUCUUCGCCUCUUGCUUCGCUUUUCUAUAUCUUUCACCAUUUUCAUCGGUCAUCUCCUUGUAUAGGCUUUACAACAUUCCUUCUUAGCCUUCACCUUUGUUUGUACCUCCUCAUUCCACCACCAAGAUUCCUUUUGGUGUGGGGCAAAGCCCUUGGACUCUCCCUAAUACCUCUUUUGCUACUUUUCGGAUACAACUAGCCAUGGAAUCCCACAUUUGGCUAGCUUCCCCCUCUCUAUCCCACACACAUUGGGUGAUUACCUUCUCUUUGAAAAUGGCUUGUUUUUCUUCUUUUAGAUUCCACCAUCUAGUCCUUGGGCACUUCCAAGUCUUGUUCUUUUGUCUCACUCUUUUGAUAUGUACAUCCAUCACCAACAAGCGAUGUUGAUUAGCCACGCUCUCUCCUGGUAUAAAGUUUGCAAUCCUUACAAGUUAUACGAUCCCCUUUCCUCAUUAGAAGAAAAUCUAUUUGUGUUUUUGACGACCCACUCUUGUAGGUGAUCACAUGUUCUUCUCUCUUCUUAAAGAAGGUGUUAGCUAAGAAAGAGAUCAUAUGCCAUUGCAAAAAUCCAAGAUAGCUUCCCCAUCCUCGUUUCUCUCCCCAAAACCAUGGCCACCAUGAAAACCUCCAUAGUUGCCUGUCUCCCUGCCCACGUGUCCAUUUAAAUCUCCUCCUAUAAAUAACUUCUCCGUCUGAGCAAUUCCUUGCACCAAGUCUCCAAGGUCUUCCCAAAAUUUCUCCUUCGAACUCGUAUCCAACCCUACUUGAGGUGCGUACGCACUAAUCACAUUGAUAAGUUCUUGUCCUAUUACAAUCUUGAUUGCCAUGAUUCUAUCUCCUACCUUCUUGACAUCUACAACAUCUUGUGUCAAGGUCUUGUCCACGAUGAUGCCAACACCGUUUCUCGUUCUAUUUGUGCCCGAAUACCAAAGUUUAAACCCUGAGUUUUCUAGAUCCUUCGCCUUACGACCAACCCACUUAGUUUCUUGUAGGCACAUAAUAUUUAUCCUUCUCCUCACCAUAACUUCCACUACUUCCAUAGAUUUUCCCGUUAAGGUUCCUAUAUUCCACGUUCCUAAACGUAUUUUGCUCUCUUGAACUCUACCCUUCUGUCCUAGCUUCUUCACCCUUACAUUAGAAUAUGAUACUUCGGACUGCUGCUUUCGUAGGACUUGUUUGCUUUCCAAUUCAAAUUGUCUUCUCAGCUUCUCUAUCUACAACAAAAAUUAGAACUUAUACCAUUACAUGCAAUAUUUCUAGUUUAUAUCAUUAAGUGCAACACAUAUAUAAGAACACAUAUCUCAAUUGCACUGCAGUUGAUUAGGGAAAGCAGACAACGUAUAAAAGUCUCAUGAGUUUAUUAAACACUACGAGAUCAAAAAUAAAAUUCAAACUUUCUCACCUAUGACCAAGUAUAGUAGCUUCUGUGGCCUAACAAUUUUGAAAAGUAUAUCAAUAUAUUCAAAAAUAUUGAUGAACACCUCUUCAAAAUUUGCUGGUGGUAGAAGCUGAACACAGAAUGUAGAAAUUAUAUUAUGUAACCACAUAUAUGGAUAAAAAAAAUUCGGAUCAUAAAGAUAAAGAAAAUAUCAAAAAUUGUUACCUAGACAAUAAUCAAAAUAAAUAGUAUAUUAUAGAAUGUUUAUCUUAUUGCGAGUGAAGAAUACAUGUAUAUAUAUAUAUAUAUAGAGAGAGAGAGAGAGAGAGCGAGAGAGAGAGAGAGAGAGAGAGAGAUUAAGAGAAAGAGAUGAAUGAAUAAGGUCGUACUCCAUCAUCAUCGUCUAAAAAGAAAUCUAUUUACAGUUAAACUUUAAACCCAAAAUAUUUAAAAAAAAACCUUUAUGUUAUAAUUCUAGUUGAACUUUAAAUGUUUAUUUUCAUUAUCUUUAAGUCUAGUUGGAAUAUUUAUGUUAUGAUUGUGUUGGAUAUGUUAAAAUUUAAGAUUUCAAAUUUUUUCAUUUUUUGAAAAAAAAACCGAAACCGAACCGAAACCGAACCGAAAAAAAACUGAACCGAAAAAAACCGAAAAAAAUUGAACCGAACCAAAAUUUCGGUUUAGUUUCGGUUUUGGCAAAAAACCGAACCGAUUUGAACCGAACCCACCCCUACCUGGGAUACACAACUAUCAAUAUAGUAGUCUUGCUUCAAGGCCAUCAACUUAUCCCCAAAUCUACAUCCUUCCUUGGCAGGAAAAUUUUUCCCUUAUAAUUUAGAGGCGUUCACCAAAAUGAUCUUCUAAAACGUCGACAAGUCGACAAAACUGCCCAAAACUUAGGAAAAACUAACACAUUUUUCUUAUUCGACGAGGUGGACGAGGUGGCAAGAUUCGGAAAUUAGGUUCAAGAAUAAAAAAUGCUCACAUCACGCGUGUGAUGAAUGCAAUACUGCCCAACUUAUGCUCUCAUACCAGAUUGUCACAUCCCGGCCUGGGCCCCCACCACAUCCCCGGCUCGACUCCGCCAUAGCACGAUAUUGUCUGCUUUAAGCCCCGAUCACGCCCUCACAGUUUUUUUCUAGGAACUGACACGAGAACUUCCCAGUGGGUCACCCAUCAUGGGAAUGCUCUCGCCCGAACUCGCUUAAUUUUGGAGUUCCAAUGGAAUCUGAAGCCAGUGAGCUUCCAAAAGGCCUCAUGCUAAGUAGAGAUAGGAAUACACAUAUAAGGCUUAAAGGAUCCAUUCCCCUAGGCGAUGUGGAUGUAACAAUUCACCCCCUUAGGGGCCCGAUGUAUUUAUCGGCACACCUCCAGCCAGGGAUUGGCUCUGAUACCCAACUAACACACCCUAACCCGGAAUGUCCACCAGGACUUCGAAUCGAGUUGUGCUGGCCGACACCUGGAAGGUGACGAAGCCAUAAAGUGUGAUGAUGUGGAAAAAUAUGAAUAAAUUUGAACCUAAGAGUGCCUAAAUACCAGAGUGCGCUGGUGAGCGAGAAUGAACCCACUUCACACGUGACGUUAGAGCAUAAGUAAGUAUAGUAGAGUAGAUAAGGAUUAUACCCUCAAAAGUAGCCACAGAUCCUGAGAUUUGUCAAGAAUCUUUGUCGAUAUGGACAUUCAGCAAUUAAAACCUAGAGGGGCGAAAAACCAUUUCACUAUCAAAAGUAAUAAUCCCUCGCCGUAAAGCCUGAAUAAUUUCCUAGAAAAUAGAAUACAUAUCUAUAUCCAAACCAUACUCAUGAAAUAAGUAAUCCAGGUGAAAUAAAUCCAUGAAAAGUAAUAUGUCAGCCGGAUCCACCUAUCGUGGCAUGUACGAUUAAACCUUUAGCUCAACUAAUAUCCAAGUAAUAUGUCAGCAUGCUCCACCUUUUGUGGCAUGUACGACUGAACCCAUAGCUCAUCACAUAUCCAAGUAAUAUGCCAGCCGGAUCCACCUUUUGUGGCCUAUACGACUAAACCUAUAACUCAACCAAUAUCCAAGUAAUAUGUCAGCCAGAUCCACCUUUUGUGGCCUAUACGACUAAACCUAUAGCUUAACCAAUAUCCAAGUAAUAUGUCAGCCAGAUCCACCUCUUACGGCCUGUACGGCUGAACCCAUAACUCAUCACAUAUCCAAGUAAUAUGUCAGCCGGAUCCACCUCUUGUGGAAUGUACGACUGGACCUAUAACUCAACCAAUAUCCAAGUAAUAUGUCAUCCAAAUCCACCUCUUGUGACCUGUAUGGCUGAACCCAUAGCUCAUCAUAUAUCCAAGAAAUAUGUCAGCCGGAUCCACCUCUUGUAGCCUGUACGGCUGAACCCAUAGCUCAUCACAUAUCCAAGUAAUAUGUCAGUCGGAUCCACCUCUUGUGGCCUGUACAACAGGACUGGGUGUAAAUAAGUACACUCAAGUGCUACGAUCACAUGAAGAUUGUACGAAUAAUCGCGGGUCACCUACGAGUCGGAACCACCUAUAAUGGUCUGUACGACAGGACUGUGCACCUACAUUGGAUCCAAGGUGAGCGUAAUGUGCGGGAGGUGAACAUCACGUGAAGGACUGUGCCCUGGCCAUGGGCGGGGGCACUAACAUCAGGGUGCAGGUUUAUGAGCUCUAACUGCAUCUAUUAUAACCUGUACGACUCAUGGACAGCCAGUACGACAGUGUCGAAGUUGCCUAUUAAUGCAACCUCUACGACAAGGUCGGAGUUGCCUAAAACAUACAUGUGGUCAUGCCAAAACUUCAUUAUUUCAACUAAUACCAUAAACUCACCUGAAGUUACUUGGGUCUCCUGCGUUCUCCUUUGCACUUCAAAGUGUUCACAAUAAUUAUGUGCAAGUAAUAUACAUAUGGAUAUACCAUGAUGUAAUCUAAUACUCAACCAUGUCAUAGCAUUUUCAAUUAUAUACAUAUAUAUUAGACUUGGCAAUUUUUGACACGACACGGUGACACGACACGAAAACGACACGAAAAUAACGGGUUUCGGGUCAACACGAUAACUUAUCGGGUCACUAUCGGGUGACCCGUUAAGAACCCAUUAAUAACGGGUUCUUAAAAGGUAUACACGCGGGUAACACGUGGGUAACCCGUUUCGACCCGUUAAGAAAAAAAAUAUUUUAAUAAUUUUAAAGUUUAAUUACUAAAAGAUUUAUUAUAAAAUACAAUAGUCAUAUUAAUAUAUACAAUAUAUUCUAUAUUAAAUAUAUAGUUUUGUAUUAUCGUUCUAUAUAAAUUAUAAAAAAAAUUAAAAAAAAAGUUUUUGUCAUUAUUUAUUUUUAUUAUGAGAGUUCCCUAUUAUCAUUACUAGGAUAAAUUUUACAUAACAUAUUCUUGUCCAAAAUGAAAAUAUACUAGUAUAGUAUUUGUAUAUGCAAGAACUAAGAAGACAUACAUACAAGUAUGAAAAAUGUGAAAGAAUAUAUAAACACUUGUGAUUUAUCAUUAUUCCUCUACGAAUAGAUAAUUGUUACACUUAUAUUAUUGUUUAGAUUUUUAAAAUCCUUCAAACCCUCAUGAAUAAUGUUUUUUAUUUGAGGGAAAAAUUAAUAAAAUUAAUAAUAAUUAUUGUAGAAGUGUAAAAAAUGUAAAAAUAUAUAUAUACAAUCACUCAUAUAUAUAAAAAAUGUAAAUGCUUUAAAUUAAAGAUCAAAUUUAUUCAUUACAUUCUUAUAGGGUCGAAGAGUGUAUAUGUACAAAAUCAUCAAAAUCGAAGCUAAAAUAACCGUUAAAUUGUAAUUUUUCGUUUAUAACCGUCGAAAACUUUUGUUCCGUUACGUAAUAUCUGAAUGUUUGUUUUUUACAAUUUUUUAAGUUUGCAAUCUCGGAAUGUGUACAAAUAAGUUUGACAGUUGGAUCGUUGAAAAAAGUUUCGUAGAAUGCAUAUUGCAUCAAAACGGUAUAUUAAACAAACACUUAGAGUUAAUAUUAUACUUCUAUUAAGUAUAAAAUAAGUUUUUGUGGUAUCCACUAGUGUAAAUACUUUAAAUUAAAGAUCAAAUUUAUUCAUUACAUUCUUAUAGGGUCGAGGAGUGUAUCUGUAAAAAAUCAUCAAAAUCGGAGUUAAAAUAACCGUUAAAUUGUGAUUUUUCGUUUAUAACCGUCGAAAACUUUUGUUCCAUGAGGUAAUCUCUGAAUGUUUGUUUUUUACGAUUUUUUACAUAUGCGAUCUUCGAAUGUGUACAAAUAAGUUUGACGGUUGGAUCGUUGAAAAGUUUUUUGUAGAAUCCAUAUUGCGUCAAAACGAUACAUUAAACAAACACUUGGAGUUAAUAUUAUACUUUUAUUAAGUAUAAAAUACGUUUUUGUGGUAUCCACUAGUGUAAAUACUUUAAAUUAAAGAUCAAAUUUAUUCAUUACAUUCUUAUAGGGUCGAGGAGUGUAUCUGUAAAAAAUCAUCAAAAUCGGAGCUAAAAUAAUAGUUAAAUUGUGAUUUUUCGUUUAUAAUCGUUCAAAAGUUUUGUUCCAUUACGUAAUCUCUGAAUGUUUGUUUUUUAUGAAUUUUUACAUAUGCGAUCUCGGAAUGUGUACAAAUAAGUUUGACGGUUGAAUCAUUGAAAAAAGUUUUGUAGAAUGCAUAUUGCGUCAAAAUAGUAGAUUAAACAAACACUUAGAGUUAAUAUUAUACUUCUAUUAAGUAUAAAAUAAGUUUUUGUGGUAUCCACUAGUGUAAAUACUUUAAAUUAAAUAUCAAAUUUAUUCAUUACAUUCUUAUAGGUCAAGGAGUCUAUCUGUAAAAAAUCAUCAAAAUCAGAGAUAAAAUAAUCGUUAAAUUGUGAUUUUUCGUUUAUAACCAUCGAAAACUUUUGUUCCAUUACGCAAUCUCUGAAUGUUUUUUUUUUUAAGAUUUUUUACGUAUGCGAUCUUGGAAUGUGUACAAAUAAGUUUGACGGUUUGAUCGUUGAAAAAAGUUUCAUAGAAUGCAUAAUGCGUCAAAACGGUAGAUUAAACAAACACUUAGAGUUAAUAUUAUACUUCUAUUAAGUAUAAAAUAAGUUUUUGUAGUAUCCACUAGUGUAAAUACUUUAAAUUAAAGAUCAAAUUUAUUCAUUACAUUCUUAUAGGAUCGAGGAGUGUAUCUAUAAAAAAUCAUCAAAAUCGGAGAUAAAAUAACCGUUAAAUUGUGAUUUUUCGUUUAUAACCGUCGAAAUGUUUUGUUCCAUUUCGUAAUCUCUGAAUGUUUGUUUUUUAUGAUUUUUUACGUAUGCGAUCUCAGAAUGUGUACAAAUAAGUUUGAUGGUUUGAUCAUUGAAAAACGUUUUGUAGAAUGCAUAUUGCGUCAAAACAGUAGAUUAAACGAACACUUAGAGUUAAUAUUAUACUUCUAUUAAGUAUAAAAUAUGUUUUUGUGGUAUCCACUAGUGUAAAUACUUUAAAUUAAAGAUCAAAUUUAUUCAUUACAUUCUUAUAGGGUCGAGGAGUGUAUCUGUAAAAAAAUCAUCAAAAUCGAAGAUAAAACAACUGUUAAAUUGUGAUUUUUCGUUUAUAACCGUCGAAAACUUUUGUUCCAUUACGUAAUCUCUGAAUGUUUGUUUUUUUACGAUUUUUUACAUAUGCGAUCUUGGAAUGUGUACAAAUAAGUUUGACGGUUGGAUCGUUGAAAAAGGUUUCGUAGAAUGCAUAUUGCGUCAAAACGGUAGAUUAAACAAACAUUUGGAGUUAAUAUUAUACUUUUAUUAAGUAUAAAAUAAGUUUUUGUGGUAUCCACUAAUGUAAAUACUUUAAAUUAAGGAUCAAAUUUAUUCAUUACAUUCUUAUAGGGUCGAGGAGUGUAUUUGUAAAAAAUCAUCAAAAUCGGAGAUAAAAUAACCAUUAAAUUGUGAUUUUUCAUUUAUAACCGUUGAAAACUUUUGUUCAGUUACGUAAUCUCUGAAUGUUUGUUUUUUAUGAUUUUUUACGUAUGCGAUCUCGGAAUGUGUACAAAUAAGUUUGACGGUUGGAUCAUUGAAAAACAUUUUGUAGAAUGCAUAUUGCGUCAAAACAGUAGAUUAAACAAACACUUAGAGUUAAUAUUAUACUUCUAUUAAGUAUAAAAUAAGUUUUUGUGGUAUCCACUAGUGUAAAUACUUUAAAUUAAAGAUCAAAUUUAUUCAUUACAUUCUUAUAGGUCGAGGAGUCUAUCUGUAAAAAAUCAUCAAAAUUGGAGAUAAAAUAACCGUUAAAUUGUGAUUUUUCGUUUAUAACCGUCGAAAACUUUUGUUCCAUUACGUAAUCUCUGAAUGUUUUUUUUUUACAAUUUUUUACGUAUGCGAUCUCGGAAUUUGUACAAAUAAGUUUUACGGUUGGAUCGUUGAAAAAAGUUUCGUAGAAUGCAUAUUGCGUCAAAACGGUAGAUUAAACAAACACUUAGAGUUAAUAUUAUACUUCUAUUAAGUAUAAAAUAAGUUUUUGUAGUAUCCACUAGUGUAAAUACUUUAAAUUAAAGAUCAAAUUUAUUCAUUACAUUCUUAUAGGCUCGAGGGGUGUAUUUGUAAAAAAUCAUCAAAAUUGGAGAUAAAAUAACCGUUAAAUUGUGAUUUUUCGUUUAUAACCGUCAAAAAGUUUUGUUCCAUUACGUAAUCUCUGAAUGUUUGUUUUUUAUGUUUUUUUACGUAUGCGAUCUCAGAAUGUGUACAAAUAAGUUUGAUGAUUGGAUCGUUGAAAAAAGUUUUGUAGAAUGCAUAUUGCGUCAAAACAGUAGAUUAAACAAACAUUUAGAGUUAAUAUUAUACUUCUAUUAAGUAUAAAAUAAGUUUUUGUGGUAUCCACUUGUGAAAAUACUUUAAAUUAAAGAUCAAAUUUAUUCAUUACAUUCUUAUAGGGUCGAGGAGUGUAUCUGUAAAAAAGCAUCAAAAUCGGAGAUAAAAUAACCGUUAAAUUGUGAUUUUUCGUUUAUAACCGUCAAAAACUUUUGUUCCAUUACGUAAUCUCUGAAUGUUUGUUGUUUACGAUUUUUUACGUAUGCGAUCUCGGAAUGUGUAAAAAUAUGUUUGACGCUUGGAUCGUUGAAAAAAGUUUCGUAUAAUGCAUAUUGCGUCAAAACGGUAGAUGAAACAAACACUUAGAGUUAAUAUUAUACUUCUAUUAAGUAUAAAAUAAGUUUUUGUGGUAUCUACUAUUGUAAAUACUUUAAAUUAAAGAUCAAAUUUAUUCAUUACAUUCUUAUAGGGUCGAGGAGUGUAUAUGUAAAAAUUCAUCAAAAUCGGAGCUAAAAUAACCGUUAAAUUGUGAUUUUUUGUUUAUAAUCGUCGAAAACUUUUGUUCCAUUACAUUAUCUCUGAAUGUUUGUUUUUUACGAUUUUUUACGUAUGCAAUCUUGGAAUGUGUACAAAUAAGUUUGACAGUUGGAUCAUUGAAAAAAGUUUUUGGACCGCCAGCAAUAGAUAAUUUUGUAGUAGUGAAACCUUAAUUUUAUUUAACCGUCGAUUGUUAUUUACACUUUAUUCUUCUUACUGAAUUUCAUUUUUAAAAUUUUAUUUUUUGAAAACAUGAUCAUCUGGCGGAUGUAAGAAGAUGAUAUCACGUUUCGAUAUUUACGGUUAACUGAAAUAUGAGUCAAUGUCAUAUAAUUUGAAAAAACUUUAUAAACAUCAAGGAAUAUUUUCACUAACCGUAAAACUCUAAAUAUAAUAUCAACGAUCCAAACCGUUCAUCUACCUGCACCUUCUAAUAGAUCAUGUUUUCAAAAAAGAAAAUAUAAAAAAACGAAAUUUGAUGAGAACAAUGAAGCAUAAAUGUAAACAACAAUCAACGGUUAAAUUUUGAUAUAUGAAUUAUAUGAUUAUAGUGGCGAAUUUCAAAGUUAAGCUCUUUAUGAAAGUUAUAAAACUUGUCAUUACGAGUGUUUAUAUAUUUUUUUCUAUAUUUUUUUACACUUCUACAUUAAUUAAAAAACUAUUAAAGACUUUAGGUAAGCAAAAAUAUACUUAAAACAAAAUUGUGUUUUUAUGUUUUGUAUGUGAUAAUAUGGAAUGUAUAUACUUAUUUAGUAUUAUGUUUUUCAUUUGAUUAUUUAUUGGUUUAAAAUAUAAUUUCCUUAGUGGGUAACGGGUCGGGUCAUAUUACCUGUUAAUAUUAUCGGGUCGAUUUCGGGUCGGGUCAUUUUACCCGUUUAUUUUAACGGGUGUUACACGACACGACCCAUUAAGAUAUCAGGUAUAACACGAAAACGACACGAACACGGAAAACACAACACGAAUGCCAAGUCUAAUAUAUAUGUAUAAUAUGGCAUAAAAUGCAUAAGCUGUAACGCCCUACUCUCGAACUAUUUAUUUUCGGGAAUAAUUAUCGGUAAUAAGCCCAGUUAGACACUAGUUUAAUUAACUAUCAUUACUUACGUUUCCUUACUUCAAUUUCUUGAUUCUUCACACAUUGAUUUAUGAACAACAUUUAACCACCAAAUCAUAAGGUUAAAUCUAUCAUUUUCCACCAAUCUCCUUCACAUUGCUCAAUUCCCCAAACAAGGCUAUUGUCUCAAUUAUUUAGUCUCAUUUAUUGUACGGCUGCAUCUAACAUCUCGUUAGAUUGCCUACGUACCCUAAACAAGGAUCAAGCCAUUCGUAGUUCACACUAGUACUUCAAAGCAUUCACAGUAAUUAUAUGUAGGUAAUAUGCAUAAAUCAAUUUAAAAACGCUUGUGGAAUUAUCAAUCAUAUAUAUAUAAUAUACACGAUAGAAAGAAAAAGACCCACUCACCUGAGGUCCGCACUACGACUCCCUAGCAUGCAUAUCGAGACAUCACGAACCAAUGUCGCCUAGAACAAUUAUCAAAUCAUGUCUCAGAGUUCUUACUGAUAGAAUACAUAAUUUACUGAAAAAACACAUCCCUACGUAAUUCACUCCGGAAGAUCUGCAUCACAGAUUUCUGAUCCGUUACUUCCAAAGAUUCACAUUAUGUUCCUAGAACCACCUCCUAAUAUUUCAUUAUGAUCCAAUGGUCGGAUCUCUGCCAAUUGCCAAAACUAAGUGGCGGUCAACAUUUUAUUUUAUGAACUUACAAAUCCAAUUCGGGAAGAUCCGUACUUCGGAUUCCCGAUUCGUAAGUUUCUAUGGUCCUCAAAUAUUAUGUACUAUAAUGUAUUAAAGUUUGGUGGCAAUCCAACGGUCGGAUCGUCGAUUCACACUUUUACCAAAUAACGUGACAUUGAGAAUUUAGGUUCCAACCAUCAACCUAAGUCAUACAGUUACCAAGAUUGAAAUCAAGGCAUCUAAUUUAUCCUAAGAAUGACAUCGAUGGCCCCCUAGCCACGCGCCGCCAUGGGUGGCGAUCGGCCACCCUAACUCGCUGGAAAAUCCAACUAUUUCUAAAAAUUACCAAAUUUUACAGAAAUGAAGAUCUCAAUAAGUAGAACAAGUUUUAUACCUGUGGCUAAGUCCAAUUUAGUCGGGAAAUGCUCCAAUUUCACUCAAACCCGCCGGAAACCCUAAGAUGGGUGUUCUUCGAUUCGACUUCCUCAAUGUUCCAACACCCCUACAACUGCUUGGGUCUUGUUCCUAAGUCCAAGAGGAGUUGAUUAAGGGUGGUGGUGGGUGGUGAAACUCGUUGGAUCGAAGGAAUCACCGUCGAACACCUUUGGUGCUCCGGUGAUGUUCUCUGCAUUUUUGGGCCUAAAACUCUUCAAUCUUGAGCAAAGAUGGAAGAAGAAAGAUUGGGGAAGAUGUUGCAGGUGGUGGAUAUGGUGUUCCACGAAACAAAAUGGCAGAAAUUGGCCAGAUUUUGACCGGUUUGGGUGUGUGGGUGCACUGCCCUACGGCAAGGUUUCUUUUUUUUUUUUUCCUUCUCCUUCCUGAUUGGUUCUCCUUUUCCUCUCUUAAAAUUGAUUGAUUACCACUCCCACAUGGUGGGAGUUUGAUUAAUUUAUAACUAAACUUUUAAUAACCAAUUUCAAAUGUCUGUAACUAUACCGAUAUAAUCCGGACUCACAAACGGCUUUCGCCUAUGCGUUCGUACCAACGAGUACUACACAAAUGCGCUAAGUGAAUAAGUCAUACGUUUCUCUACACGUUGGUCAAUGAAAGUCAAAACCUUCACCUCUAGGGUAUUUUUAUAAAUUCAUUCUUUUAAAAUUUAUAAAAUCGUAGAACUAGGGACGAGUUGUCACAAUCAAGUACCAUAUUCAAGAUGAACCGUUCAUUUAUUUGAUAUGUUUGAAUGGAUUAAACAAUUUUUUAUUCGAUUGAUUUUUGCACGAAUGAUCUUCAAAUGAUAUUAAGAAAUUGAACGCUGUUGAUCAUUGAGUUUAUAUACUUAAGACACGUCAUUUGCAAAUGGGGAAGACGAAUCAAAGAUCUAUCCAAAAGCCAGUUGAACAGAUGUACAGUCAAACGUCUAGAGGUUAAUUAUACUGUUAAUUUCCAAUAAUCAUAAUAUAAGAUCAUCACAAACUAUCUUUAUUAAACUCAUUGGCAUGGCAUGCAAUCAGUUAGCAUGUUAAGGUAACCACCAGCUAUGACACUACACUUGAACUUGAUACAGAUCGAACAAUCCAGAAACUUACUAUACAAAUGAGAAUUUUACAAUCUUGUCGGCCAACUUCUGUCCCUCGAUUCGUUAUUUUCUUUAGUUAUCCAAACCGUGCAAGAAAAGCAAUACGAAAACACGUACGCAGACUAAUGCGGGGAUUUCAGAAAUAUAAGAGUGUACAAGCUUCCAUAUGCUGCACGAAACCUAUGCAGUGGUGUCAAGGAACGGAUAAUCAGCGUAGCCAAUAACCAAUUCAGGCACGUAGAAUGUGUUUCUGUUGUACUUGUGCAGAGGAGAAUUUAGCUCAAACCUCUUCCGCAAGUCUGGCUUAGCCAGGAACCAUCAACCAUAAGCAAUAAGAUCUGCACGGCCCUCAGCCACAGCAUUGUUCCCAUCUUCCCUGUCAUAACCACUAGCAGCAAUGAAGGUACCAUUAAAAGCCUUUCUCAUGGGUACAAAGACUCUGGGGGCUAUCACAUUUUUCUCCAGCUGUCUUCAUCCUAGGCUCAACCAUAUGGCAGUACGGGAUCCCAUAUUUGUUCAACAAAUUGGCCAGAUAAAGGCCCAACGCUUUCGGAUCUGAAUCCCCUGAUUCCAUAUAGCUGGCAAAUGGAGAUAAUCUAAUUCCAACUUUAUCCGCUCCUAUCUCAUUAACAACAGCUUCAACGACUUCCAGAGCAAAUCGACAACGAUUAUCCAAUGAUCCCCCAUAUUAGUCUGAUCGAUCAUUCACUUGAUCUUUUAGAAACUGAUCAAUAAGGUGUCCAUGGGCCCCAUGAAUUUAUACUCCAUCAAAGCCUUUAUAUCAGACAAAUAAUUUCAGUGCACCAAAUAUUAUUUGUAAUCUAGCAUGAAUCACACAUCUAGUUAAACUGCAAUUAACGCCCUUAACUACAUUUAUAAGAUUAGAGAUGGUUUGUUUACUUCUGUUGAAAGUAAUUUUGAGUUCUCGCCAAUGUUUUAAAAGGCUCACCUCAGGGCGGGUAUAGACGCCCUAUGAGGCUGGACUUGAGGAUUGCCGCCUAGGUGGCAGAAGGCGUGCCUCAGGGCUUUUUUUUUUUUUUAAUAAGUCCCAAACCUUUUGGAUAGGGUAUUAACUGUCUCAUACCUCUUCCUUGCACUAUCGUCUCUCUGCCUUUUUUUCUGAUUUUUAUUUUUUAUAUAAUGGAUGUAUGUGUUGUCUACAUGCAUUGUUAUAUGUGUGCUCAUUGUGUUUUUUAUCCUCAAUUAUUGUUCGAGCCCAAAAAUAUUGGUUUGGGCCGAGUUUAGAAUUGUUCUCGGCCCAGUAUUGGUUGGGCUGAGUUUAGAAUUGUUCUCGGCCCAGAGGUCGUGUUUAGGUGUCGUUGGGGGUUAUCCAACUCAUGGGCCGCGCAGUCGAAGCUGGCCAUAUCUCGUCAAGAACCUGUGGGAUAUGGGUGAGUUCUAUUACGAGAAGGAGUUUCGACAUGAUAAGGAUGUUAGAGUUUGAGAUUGAAUGCGGCCUGAUAACGAGUAAGUUCAAAGUCCUAGUAGGAGUAGGACUGGCUGAGAUAAGGUUGGAUCGGGGAAAGGAAUUCUAAUCCAAGAAUGAUUGGGAUUCAAUACAGGUUGGCUACUAUAAAUAAGGAGGGAGGACAUCGAACAAAGCCCCUCCAAUUCAACACACAAAUUGCCCUACGCAAACCCUUACUCUACUCAAAACCUCUCAACAAUCUUGAGAUUUUUGUUUUCCUUUUUCGCCAACACAUCUUCAGUUUGGAUAAACAGCACUGUGAAGGCAACCGACGAACAUCUUCAGUUUGGAUAAACAGCACUGUUGCCGUAGAAUCAGCCGACUGUGAAACACCUUCAGUUUGGAUAAAUAGCACUGCGACCUGGCCAACUGGUUAUCUAUCCAAGUCUCGGUCGAGAAAGAUUUUUGAAUCCUUAUUGGCAGAGGUUAUCUCGUUAGCCUUCUCGGCGAAGUGAGGUGUUACAAGUUACCAUACUCAGCAUACUGAACGUCGAGUUGUUUAUGAUUGGGUAUUUACAAGUAGGUUUUAGAGUUCGGCAUUCUGACGGCCAAACCACUUUCACAAUCAAGACGUACAUUUGUUUUGAGUACUUGUGCCCAUAUAGUCUGGUGUCGAUUCGGCGUGUUUAUACUUUAACAAAUAUAAUCACCAUGACCGAAUCCGGCACCGAUGAUUUAUGAACUUCGCAGAACUAGUAGCCUUGUCUUCAGGCUCUAGAACCCGAAGGCCGAGAGUGGUCCUUCCUCAGCCACAGUUGCAAGAUCAAAAAGUCAGUCGCGCGCUCAAUGCAACAUCACCAUAUUUUACUCCUCGACCAAGCUCGGCCGACAAGUUGGCAUGCCCUGCAUACAAUUGAAGGACGUAGUUAGCUUGUUAAUUACUCGGCCUGCAUGCCACGUAGGCAUAGUAGUUUUUUGGGUCAACAUUUUGGCAAAACCGGUGGGACCCAGUGCUAAAACUACGAAGUUCAUGACCAUCGAGACACGAUCGGUAAAAAAGAAAACAACCAUGGGAAAAUCAGCGACCAAUCUGCCGAUUCAGAGUCCUGGACAAGAGGUGUCACAUGCGUGAAAUCCUAUUGUCGCUGUGACCCCUGAGGCUGCAAGUGUAACACACCAAGAAAAGGAAGUGUGCCUCGGUACCUAGCCUCGAAAUGCAUAAGUACCCAACCGAACCGCAGGCGUUUUCAUUGAAAGAAUAGUGGAUGACUGCGACGAAGAAGAUGGCGAAGGCUUUGACCCUCCGACUAGGUCGUUUCUUCGAAGAUGACUUGAUAAGCAAUCUCGACAAGUUGAACAGACAGUUGGUCAAAAAAUGAACAGUUUGCUCGAAGUGAUAUGAAGCAAUAGUGAGACCCACACCAGAUUACUCGAACUAUUAGUUAGCAAAGUCUUCGAAUGAGGAUCGGUUGAUCAGGCUCAGCCCAAAAGUAGUGUCUACUCGGUCCAAAACGAUUGACUUAGAAAAAAAUGGAGGAUCAAGUAGUAGGUCAGAUGGAUCCGACCAGAGAGUGGAAGCAACAUCCGUCGAUGUGACCGAGAUCCAACGAAUGAUCGAUUCAGCCAUGAAAAAAAGGCCGAAGUUCCCGAAAUUCAUGCACCCAUAUCCAGCUUAUGUGGAAAAGUUCAAAUAUCCUAAAGGUUUCGAGAUUCCAGAUUUCAACCUUUUUGUUGGAGAAUCAUCCUUAUCCACGUUAUAACACGUGGCUCGUUUCACUGCGCAAUGUGGAGAUGUCAAUAGUGAUUUUCAUAAACUACCGUUGUUCAACUUUUCGUUGAUAGGCUCAACAUUCGCAUGGUAUAUCAACCUCCCAUCUAAUUCUAUCCAAAGCUGGAAGGAGUUGGUCGAGAAAUUUCACGAACAGUUUUAUCGCCCGGGGAUGGAAAUGUCAAUUUCUUCAUUGGCUAGGAUGGCUCAAGCAUCUGAUGAGUCACCAAUGGAUUAUCUUACAAGAUUUAAAUCGGCCAGGAAUUGGUGCCGAGUACCUCUUCCCGAAGUCGAAUUUGUUAAGCUUGCCCUGAAUGGGCUCAACGUUGAGUACAAAAAGAAAUUCUUGGGGGCAAACUUUCGGGAUAUGUAUGAAUUAGCCCAGCAUGUCGAGCAAUAUGAUUAUUUGCUCCAAGAAGAAAAGAUCUCGAAAUCCCCAUCCCAAGGAACGAUUUACAAAAAUCUUACGAUCAACUACGUAUCGACCGAAUGCGAAGAUUCCCAAUACGUCAGUGUGGAUGCGACCGAGAUAGUAAUAGAUAAACCAUAUGUUUGCAAGGCAUUGACUCAACUUAAUUCCAAGGAUGCCAAAACCCGCUCGGCCACUGAGGAGACGGCGAAAACAUCGAAAGUUUACACUUUUGAUAUCACAAAGGCAGAGGCAAUUUUCGAUCAAUUGUUAUUAGCAAAGAUCAUCAAACUUCGGCCAUGACAUAACAUUCCCAAAGCCAAAAAGCUUAAAGGAAAGACGUAUUGCAAGUAUCAUAAUUCGACCAAGCACAAACAACUGUGUCGUAUUCCGUGAUGAUAUCCAGAGCUGGAGUGAUGAAGGCAAGCUAAAGUUUCCCGAAAAACGGAUGACGGUCGACGUUGAUCCAUUCCCUUCGGCAACAGUCAACAUGGUAGACGCCCGUUUACCCAAGAGCAAAGGGAAAGGGAUGGCUAAGUUUGUCCCAGUACAACACGUCCCAAAGAAACAUUCCCAGUCACGACUCAAGAUCAACCUAUUUUCCAUUGAACCACCUACCAAGUUUUUAGGACCAGCUAUAGUUGAAUCCAUGUCAGAUUCCAGUGUAGAAGAAAGUGAUGGGCCGAUAAACAGUCAAGAGAGUGUCCUCAUUUUUUUUAAAAAACGGGGAUCCAUCUUGUUAAGGGAUUCCUUUGCGUAUGUACCUUGGUGUAGUUUCGAUCCUCGCAGAUUCGCUUCCUCCUAAACCCAAAACCACUUAGACUUUCUUAACUUUCUUAACUUUUGAAAUCUACUACAUAUGUUACCUUCCAUCUUUUUUUCUGUAAAAACAUGUUGCCACUCACGUGGAGGGAUAUUUUUCCGUCAAUCCACUUCCUAGAGCUCACUGCAAUCAAUUUGCACAAAGACAAAAUACAUUUUUUUUAGUAGCGUUAGAGUCGGGUCACGAAGAGACGGGUUUGAUUUUGACAAGGGUUGUUGAAGAAUUGAAGUGAAAAUGAUUGUUGGCAUCUACAUUUGUAGAAUUUGGUAGAUGGUGGCUGCUUGUGUUUUUAUUUGGGGGGGGGGGGGGGGGGUUUUGGUUCUUUAUUACUUAGACUGACUAAAAAUUCAAAUUAUUUAUUGUUUAACAUUGUAGUAUGUGUUUUGUGUCAGUUUUGUUGUGUUGGUGUAUAGGAUAAUUUGCUAAAGACAAUAGUCUUAGUCUAUUAGGUCCUUAUGCACAUUCAUUGUUUUAAAAAUCUCUGCCUAGCAUAGCACUGUCUAGGCGUUAGGAGGCUGACCACCAUUCUGAUUAAUUAAUAAAUAGCGCCUAGACUGCUUAGGCACCCGUCUAGGUCGCAACUCUUAUUUAGAUAGAAAAUAGAUAACUUUCAUUUUACAUUUUAUUUGUUUCAGUAUAUUGUAAGAGACUUAUUGGAUACUGAGAUGGACAUACAUUAUAUGUUUAUUCCUCAUGUUUUCAUUAUGUUCUAAUACUUUAUAAUUUAUGUCAUUCUAUUUUAUAAUUUAUGUAUUUCAGUGAAAUUAUCUAUUUUUUAAGUAUAAGCAGAUACUUAUUUAUACGAUAUAUCGUAGAUACUUAUUUAUACGAUAUAUCGUAAAUUUUAUUCACAUCCGCCUAGGCCCCCGCCUAGGUGCUAGACCACAGCCAUUGCCUGACUACUGCUAAACCUCAGCCCGCCAUCCGACUAACACCUGGCGUCUAUUAGAAUCUUGUGCAGAAUUUCAUGACCCCCAUUAUUUAGUUUAGCUUCACUCUUGGAGGUUAAAGUGAAAGCAUGCCUUAAAUAACCAAAAAGAGAUUUAUGCAAUUUCAACAUUGAUUGUAAUAGAGGAGCAGUUAGCAUCAUGCUAAUGUUGGAGUAGAAGAGAUUUGUAACAGAGAAAGCUCAACCAAAUAUCUUACAAAGUAAUUUGGUGGAUGUGGAUGUGCGAGAACAUGAAGCAUAGAAAAGAUUGACGAAGCUGAUGAUGUACGUAGAUUACGCGCAGAAUGUAGAAGAACCAGAGAGCCUGAUGGGUACAACUUGGAAGAACUUAGAAGCCUAUAUGGGAACUCAUCUAGUGAUGAAGAACCGGAUUCAAUGAGAAGGAAUAGGAGGAAGAAGAAACGACCUAAGUUUAAACAUCAUAGAAAAGAAACUGAUGUCAGUACCAUAGAGUUUGAUUUGGGGAUGUCUUUUCUUGUUAGACUAAACAUAAAAACCAAGUUCAUGUAACAUGAAUCACAGCCAUCCAAAAACAAACUGUAGUUCAUAACUAUUGUACAGAGUAGAAAUCUGCAGAUGCACCAGAAGAAGAAGCCAUAGUCAAUCUCAACAGCAAAACUAGUAAACCUUCUCCUCUUUCUAGAUUCAAAAUGCUCAAACUAAUAAUAGGUCUUAGUCCAAGACAGAGCGUAAUAUCUGACGAAUUACCAAUUCUCCAGACUCAUGCUCAUAUUCUUACAUUUCCAAGUUCCAAGGAAUUCAACGAAGCUGUAAAUAGACACUUUUAUAAUAUGCAGGUCUUACAAGUUAACCACAAAUGGUUGGUACAAGGUUAAGGCUCAAAUUCAUGCCCUUGGCAAGUUAUGCUUCUAAUGACCAAUCUGAUAGACAUUCUCCUUUAUAUGUAAAAACAUUUGUUCCAAAUCACACUUGUGGAAAAGAUGAAAACAAUACAAGUGUGACCAGUACUUGGUUGGCUGAUGAUAUGAAGAUCAAUCCCUUUUUCUUUUUUCUUUUUUUUUUUUUGAAUAAAGGACGGCAUAUAUAUAUGCAAAUCAAUCCUAAAAUGGAUGUUAAGACAAUGAAAGCUACAAUGAGGGAUUAUCCAUUCUAAUCCCUCUCCAAAUGAUAGGAUUGUGAGGGAUAAGUUUGUUUCAUUCCAAUCUAAACCUAGAGACGAAACGCGGCCAGAUAUUACAAAGACAAAGAUUCUAAAACAGCCUUCACUCAGAGAAUAAAAAAAGCCAUGCAGUGAGAACAUUUAAGGGAAACGAGUUGAUCCUCAAUAAAUGCCUCAAUAGAAUGACGUAUCUUUGUUAAAGCAUCUGCCACAAAAUUAGCUUCAUCUAAAACAUGAUAGAAGCUGAUAUGAUCAAGCAUCCCAUGUUUGCUGAAAAGAUGAAAGAAGGAUCUUUCCAAGUUUAGGAAGGUGGGAGUUGCCAAAGAGAAACCGAUUUGAGCCGCAUCUGCUCCAAAUAUCUCAGGCAAACGGUCAGCUGACAAAAUGCGGUCAAUGGCUUCAACAUCUUGAGAAUAAAAGGCACAACUAGGAUCAAUUGGUUGUACUUAGGGAUAAGAAUUGAGUUUCCUCUUUCACAAAUGUUACUUAUUCAUUCCGGCCAUUAUACGGUCAACAUUGAACAGAAAGUAUAACUUUUCCGGCCUCUAAGUCCGGAACCCUCCCAAACAUUGGACAUUACAAUACUAGAUAAUGCAAUAAGAUACAACAGUACAAUACAAUAUAGUUGAAAACAACCCAUCUAAGAUAGUACAGACUCAAUUGGAUGAAUCAAAGGAACCCUAGUGUUCAAGCUUCCAUCUUUGCGGUAAACUUAAGUGGUGGCUUCAAGAAAUGGAUAAUCAGUGUAGCCAAUCACGGGAUCAGGUAUGUAGAAUGUCUCUCUGUUGUACUUGUUUAGAGGAGCAUUAAGUUCAAAUCUCUUUGGCAAAUCCGGAUUCGCCAAGAAAAUACGGCCAUAAGCAAUAAGAUCUGCACGGCCCUCCGCCACAGCACUGUUUCCAUCUUCCCUGUCAUAACCACCACCAGCAAUGAAGGUACCAUGGAAAGCCUUUCUCAUGGGAAGAAGACUAUGGUGGGUUUCAGCUUUUUCUCCAACUGUCUUCAUCCUCGGCUCAACCAUGUGGCAGUACACAAUUCCAUAUUUGUUCAAGGCAUUGGCCAUAUAGAGGCCUAGUUCUUUUGGAUUUGAAUCCCCUGAGUCCAUAUAGUCAGCAAAUGGAGAUAAUCUAAUUCCAACUUUAUCUGCUCCUAUUUCGUUAGCGACAGCUUCAACAACUUCCAGAGGAAAGCGGCAACGAUUCUCUAGAGAUCCACCAUAUUGGUCUGUUCGAUCAUUCACAUGAUCUUUCAGAAACUGAUCAAGAAGGUAGCCAUGCGCCCCAUGAAUUUCAACUCCAUCGAAGCCUAUAUAGCAAAUUAACAAUUUCAACAUACUGACGGUAUUAGAACCUUAAGCAUUGUCGCUGAAUUACCAAACAAAUAAUGGUUAGUUAAUAAUAACAACGCUUUUAUUUUGCAUAAGCCUUGAAGCAAAUUGAGUUGUAAAUUUUGUUUCAUUUUAACGUAAAGACAAAUUACCAGCUUCAAUAGAAUUCCUUGCAGCAAGUCUAAAAUCAUUGACAAUUUGUGGAAUUUCAUCUGUCCUUAAUCGUCUUGGAGGUGUGAAUUCAGAAGCAUCAAUGCCAUUUAAUCGUAUCGGCUUGUCAGUAGAAGAUAUUGGAGCUUGCCCAUUUGGUUGAUAACCUGUAAGCAAGGAGAGAAAGAAUUACAACCUGAAGUCUAACGACAGUAACAAACAUCCACAGCAGCACUCUUUUAAGUGGGAAUCCCUUGUUACAAAUUACUAUAAAAUCGCUUGGUCUGAUGAACCACACGUGCUAUAUACUAGUUCUGAAUUCUGAGUUAUGUUAACAUCAAACUUUUUCCCAUCCAAUAAUAAUAAUAACAACGCUUCCGAAACAGCAAGGUCAUAAAAGUGGUGUCUUCUUAUGGGUUAUGUUAAAAACACCAACUCGGAACUUACAAAACACCAACUCGGAACUUAACAAGUCCAAGUUUUAUCGUCACUUGAGCAACAAUGUUGUCAAUUAUAAUCACUUGCUCGUUCUGAUGCAUACACCAUUAUGUUAUACAUCAAACUUCCUAAUCGGUCUAAUUAUUCACUCAUGUUAACAAAGCAUUCUAUGGUAAAAGUGAGGUCAUAAAGGUGCAAGUCAGAAACGCACCGCUAUUAGAAACCCUUCCAACAUGCCAAAUCUGACAGAAGAAGAUGCCACCUUUAGCAUGAACAGCAUCAACAAUGGGUUUCCAGGCUUCAACUUGCUCCUUUGUCCAUAUACCAGGUGUGUUGGGGUACCUUCGUAUAUUAAAGAAACAAAAAUUUCAUCAAACUUCGAAAUGGAAGAAGCACCCGUUUGUUAGUCUAUGAAUCUACUGUUGUUGAAAUUACCCUUGAGCUGUGUCGGAAACUCCAGUGGCUUCCGCUAUAAGAAGACCCCCGUUCGAGGUUCUCUGAGAGUAAUAUAAGAUAGCAUGUGGUUGAGGAACAUUGUUGUAUGAUCUCUGUCUGGUCAAUGGUGCUAAAACAAUUCUGGAAAGGAAAAAGAACUUGUAAAUUAUAAAUACAGAGUGAUCAAGACGGAAUGUGGCCGAGGAACAUUAUCGAAUGAUCUGUAUCUAGUCAUCAACGGUGAAAAUACAAUUCUAAAGAGGAAAAACAUAUAAUAAACCAUAAAUACAACCUUCAGACUUUGUAGGAAGCAUUAGUUUGCUAAGGCUCUUUGAUAACAAAUUUGCUUUUAGUUUUCUUGUUUUAGUUAAAAAGGAGAAACGAGGGAGGAAGAAGGAAAUUGGGACGAAAAAGUGUGAAAUAAAAACUCGAAUUGUAGACUAUCUGAAUUUGCUUUAUGUUUUUCAUUUUUGGUAGCUUUCCAUGCACGUUUUGUCCCUCAUCCAUCCCUUCCCCCUUCCUCUUCCUCCUUCCCCUCUUCUAUCAUGCAUUUUCUCUAUCCUUCACUUAAAAUUAAAAAUUAAAAAUCAAAUACGAAAUCGUUACCAAACACAACCUAAAUAAUGCAAUGUCUUACAAAGUGACCAUGGCCGAAAGGACACAUACUUUUAACAAUCAGUUGCAUCUAUUUUCAACAAUUAAUCAAUGACUCAAAUGUACUAUUGUUUUCAUUUAAUUUGUAACAUCGGUACUAUUUUAUAGACAAAGAUACAGUUCUAAGGACACUUCCUGUCUCCUUCCCAACAUCUGUACUAUUUUAUACCAACAGGAUGCUUUCUGGAUUCUUUUGGUAAUGAUUUUGGAGUUCCAUGAAUCGUAUUCGUUCAUCGUACAUCGAUCAGUUAGUUUUUGUAAAGUACUGUUUGUAUUUAAUUUUAAAUAAAAAUAUUUAAAAUAAUUUCUAACAGCACGAUAUACGAUUAACGUACGGGAUCCUGAGAUCCUCACAAGGAGGAUCCGGAUUCUAUUUUAUAGACAAAGAUACAGUAACAAACACUCCUUGUCUCCUUCCCCAAAUCAUUCUUCUUUUUUGUAUAGCUAUAUUUGACACACACACAUGAAUAAACUACACAGUACGCUAAACUUGAAUAUAGACAAGCAGUAAUUUCAUCUUCUAUUUUUCUUGUUAGCCAGCCAUCUGCAGACCUAGCUACUCUCUGAAUCCAAGUUCGGAUCCCCUCUCAUAGUUUUUACAACAUUAUAUUAAAAUAACGCCCGAAUAAAAUAAAUUAAACAAUUACACGACAGAGAAAUUUAAGAAAGUAAACAAAUAGGAACAAUGUAUGAAAGUUUUAAGUACCUAUGAGAAAGAUUGAAGUUUCCCAAUUUGUAGGGAGUGAGGAGAGGAAUUGUGGGAGGUUGAGCAGCAGCAGACAUCUCAGAAUUCGAGUCGGUCGUCUGCCACCUGAUCUUGCACUUGGCCUUUAUACUGGAUUCUGGGAUGAAGGAAGGAAGGAAGGAAGGAAUGAAUGAAUGAAUACAGGACCCAAUUGGGUCUUUAUACGUUCAGUAGGAGCUUAAAAGUCCGCCCUGCAGCUUUCCUCCACAUAAGUCAGAGAGGGCCGGGUCCCACAUCUCCCCUCCCUUGUGUGGUGUGGCGGCGGCGGACGUCGGUGGUGGAUCUCUCCAGAGCAUUAAUUGAACCGAUUAGGUGGAGAGGUAGGAAGGUUUGAUGAGGUCUGUAAUUACGUUUACGUGGGUUGAAAAAGGACGUCCACGGAAUUCGGGUGUAACGCUAGCCGCAUGUUCAUUUCGAUUUUGCUUUUUCAUCCCGCAUUAUUGGGCCAUGGUUUGAAUAGUAUAUUGUUUAGGUCCUUAAGGACCCUCUCCAACCAGAAGGGUUAAAACAUAACUCGGUCUAAAAUUAUAAUUUUGUAAAAAAAUUAAUUUUAAAUGAACAGUGUUAGAUAGCUAGGCUAUGAUUCUAUCAAUUUCUUAUGGAUAGCUAGGCUAUAAUUCUAUCGAGCUCACUAAGCAUCAUUUAGCUAAAGGGGCAUUAAGCUGGCUAAAUAUAGCCCCCUCUUAACCUUUUUUUGGGGUCCAGCUCCUCUACUGCACUAUUUGAGUCAAAUUCAACACCUAUAUUUGAAAACAUCCAACAGAAAUUUAAUUAAAUUAACCAAUAAAUUUAAUACAUAAACUUAAAACUAAAUAAUUAUUGAGAGGGUUAUGUUUAGCUACUUCGGUGAUAGUAUAUAAGUAUGGCCCGAUACUUUUCAGUUCUUUUGGUUGGAGAUGGCCUAAGGUCAUAAUUUUGAGGAUGUGAGAAUAAAUGCAUAUUAGUUACAAAUUUUUUAAUACAUCAAUAUUUUUACACUAAGGGGAGGGAGAGUUCGGUUAAGCCACACAAUGGGCAACCUAAUUUGGUAUCGAGUUUUCCAUUCACGAGAUUCGAACCUAAGACAUCUUACUUCCAAGUGAAUAGAAAUAUCACCAGACCGUAGUACUGAGUGACAGUUACAAAAUAAUAUUAGUUUAGAUCACUUGAAAUAUUUGACAACUUAAUAAAGAAAAUCCAUGAACCAUUAGAAAACUCAUUUUCUUUUUUUGUUUUAUUAAGUUGUCAAAUAUUUAAGCUUUUGGAUACAAACUAAUAUAAUCUUGUGGUUAAUAUGCAUUUGGUCCUCACAAAUCUUCAAAAUGAAAACCUUAAUUAAUCAAUGAAUUUAUGGCAAAUUAAUUAGUCUAGAAAUAAAAUACUCCAAUCAAUUAGCAUUGCACGAUUAAAAUGGAAAAUGACAAGGUUUAUAGAAUUUUGCAAAAAAUAUGUAAUGUAGGUGUUCCCUAACGAGUGCUUUUAACACAAUGGGCAUACUCUCUAUCGUGUAAAACUUUCUCGAGAAAUAAAGUUGAGAUUUAUUCAAAUCUGUACAAGGAAGUUUUUCUUUCGCAUCACUAUUUUUCUAUAAUCGUAAUUUUUUGGGCAUAUAGAUUCAUUGUAAGGAUGAAUUGCGUAUUUUUAUAGGGGUGUAUUUAAUUGGGAUUUUAUUUUUUUUUAAUGAAUCUUGAGGUAUUCAAUCAGGAUUUUAAGUGAUUCUCUAAAAUUCAAAGUGUAUUCAGUUAGAGUUUUAAGAUAGUUAUUAAAAUCCUUAGAAAUCCGGAUGUAGUCAAUUAGGAUUUUAAAGAAAUUUAUGACAUUCCGUGUAUUCAAUUAGAAAUUGAUUUUAAAGAACUUGAGAAAGUUAAGGAAUUUUAGAGAUUUUGUAGUGUAUUUUAAGCAUCCACAAAUCUCACCUCUCCCCAUGAGAUUUCGAGGAAGUUAAAUCAAAACUUUAUAUGGAAUCUCUACAAAUCAAUUAAACUCCAUAAAAAUCAAUGGAUUUAUAAAUCCAUUAAAGUUUCUCAAAUUCUCAAUUGAAUAUGGUUUGACAGGUUUUAAUUUUGAUCCAUGUCAUUUUCAAUUGGGGACUUUGUCAUGCAUAACAUAAUUUUUUACCGAGAUCCCUUUUUGGCCAAAAUAGGUUGCAUGGAAUAUUCUAACAAGAAAAAAAAAUCACAUUUGUAAGUAGUGUACUCUUCUGGUGGUUCAAACCAUUUCUCCUUUCCUUAUUAUAAUUUAGAGUACAAAUAAAGUUGUAUUCAACAAACAAUAAAGUCCUUGUGUACAUCAGGUAGAAUCAUUAAAGUUUCUCAAAUUCUCGAUUGAAUGUAAUUUGACAGGUUUAUUUUCAAUUGGGCAAAUUUAGACUUUGUCAUACAUAACAUAACUUUAUACCGAGACCCCCUUUCGGCCAAAAUAGGUUGCAUGGAAUAUUCUAACCAAAAAAAAAUCACGUUUGUAAGUAGUGUAUUCUUCUGAUGGUUAAAACCAUUUCUCCUUUCCUUAUUAUAAUUUAGAGUAGGAAUAACGUUGUGUUCAACAAACAAUAAAGUCCUUGUGCACAUCAAGUAGAAUCAUGAAAGAAAAAAAGGAAGAGAAAAAAUUUGCCAACAGUGGAUACUACUACAAUGUUUUUUUUACCAGGAGUUAAUUGGAGCCCAAUAUAACAUUCUUGCAUUAACGAGGGACGGUCAGGAAUAGAGAUUUAUAUCAUCCUUGAAUCCCAAAAGUAGAAUUAUCAUAACUUACCAAUUUUAUUAUAUGGAUAAUACUUGCAUUCCUUUCUUGAAAGGAUGAACUUAUUUGCACCAUGCAAAUAAUGUACAUUUAUCGUACAAAGUUCAUAAUCAAAAUUGUUCAAUUUAUUAAUCCUCAUACCCUUACAAAAGAAUUGGAGAUAAUUUAGUUAUUCAAAUGUACAAAACCAAUCAAAGACGUAGGUAUCAAGUACCAUAUUUAGGAUGAACUAUUCAUUUACGUGAUAUGUUUGAAUGGAUUAAACAAUUUCUGAUUCGAAUGAUUUUUUGCACGAAUGAUCUUCAAAUGAAAUUAAGAAAUUGAACAUGGCUCAUCAUUGAGUUUAUAUACUUAAGACAUGUCAUUCGCAAAUGGAGAAGACGAAUCAAAGAUAUAUCCAAAAGCCAGUUGAACAGAUGUACAAUCAAACGUCUAGAGGUUAAUUAUACUGUUAAUUUCCAAUAAUCAUAAUAUAAGAUCAUCACAAACUAUCUUUAUUAAAUUCAUUGGCACGGCAUGCAAUCAGUUAGCAUGUUCAAGUAACCACAAGAUACAACACUACACUUGAACUUGAUACAGAUCGAACAAUGCAGAAACUUACUAUACAAACGAGAAUUUUACAAUCUCGUCAGCCAAUUUCUGCCCCUCGAUUUGUUAUUUUCUCUAGUUAUCCAAACCGUGCAAGAAAAGCAACAAGAAAACAUGUACGCAGACUAAUGCGAGAAUUUCAGAAAGAAUAGAGUGUACAAGCUUCCAUAUGCUGCACGAAUCCUAUGCAGUGGUGUCAAGGAACGGAUAAUCAGUGUAGCCAAUAACCGGUUCAGACACGUAGAAUGUGCUUCUGUUGUACUUGUUCAGAGGAGCAUUAAGCUCAAACCUCUUCGGCAAGUCUGGGUUAGCCAAGAACCAACGACCAUAAGCAAUAAGAUCUGCACGGCCCUCAGCCACAGCAUUGUUCCCAUCUUCCCUGUCAUAACCACCAGCAGCAAUGAAGGUACCAUUAAAAGCCUUUCUCAUGGGUACAAGACUGUGGGGGCUAUCACAUUUUUCUCCAGCUGUCUUCAUCCUAGGCUCAACCAUAUGGCAGUACAGGAUCCCAUAUUUGUUCAACGAAUUGGCCAGAUAAAGGCCCAACGCUUUCGGAUCUGAAUCCCCUGAUUCCAUAUAGCUGGCAAAUGGAGAUAAUCUAAUUCCAACUUUAUCCGCUCCUAUCUCAUUAACAACAGCUUCAACGACUUCCAGAGCAAAUCGACAACGAUUCUCCAAUGAUCCCCCAUAUUGGUCUGCUCGAUCAUUCACUUGAUCUUUUAGAACUGAUCAAUAAGGUAUCCAUGGGCCCCAUGAAUUUCUACUCCAUCAAAGCCUGUAUAUCAGACAAACCAUUUCAGUGCACCAAAUAUUUUUUGUAAUCUAGCAUGAACUAUUGUCACACAUCUAGUUAAACUGCAAUUAACGCCUUUAACUACAUUUGUAAGAUUAUAGAUGGUUUGUUUGCUUCUGUUGAAAGUAAUUUUGAGUUCUCGCUAAUUUUAUUUCGCACUUAAGUAAAGACAAAUUACCAGCUUCUAUAGCGUUCCUUGCAGCAAGUCUGAAAUCAUUGACUAUUUGUGGGACUUCAUCUGUCCUUAAUCGCCUUGGAGGAGAAAAAUCAGCAACAUCAAUGCCAUUAGAUCGUAUUUGGGGGGUUAGUGGCUUGUCAGUAGAAGAGAUUGGAGCUUGCCCAUUUGGCUGAAACCCUGUAAGAAAAUAUUGAUAGAAUCACAAUCCGAAAGAUUUCUAUUACAGGAAUAUCAAGGCAGCUUUCUGAUGCUUCAAUGGCCUAACUUUUCACUUAUGAUCCAAACGCUUUCAAUGACACAAAGUGAAGUCAUAAAAGCGUAUGUUAGAAACGCACCGGUAUUUGAAACCCUCCCCACAUGCCAAAUCUGACAGAAGAAGAUGCCACCUUUAGCAUGAACAGCAUCAACAAUGGGUUUCCAUGCUUCAACUUGCUCCUUUGUCCAUAUACCGGGAGUAUCUGGGUACCUUCGCAUAUUAAAAAAAACAAAAAUGUUAUCAAACUUUGAAAUGAAGAAAGUACACAUAUAAAUGUAUGUUUUCCAUCUAGAAUUUCGCAUAAAAGAAACUUGAAAAAAAGCUAAUGUUUGUGAAGUUACCCUUGAGCUGUGUCAGAAACUCCAGUGGCUUCAGCUAUGAGAAGACCCCCGUUAGAUGUUCUCUGUGAGUAAUAUAAGAUGGCAUGCGGCUGAGGAACAUUUCCGUAUGAUCUUUGUCUAGUCAAUGGUGCUAAUACAACUCUGCAGAAGGCAAGGAAGAAGUAUAUCAUCAGAAUACACCUACUACAUGGCCUAUGACAUGUACGAUAUCAUCAGAUCUUGCUAAACAGAACAAGAUUUAAGUAACACGACCAAAAAUCCAGAAAGGAAACAUACUUUUCGUAGCCAAUUGCAUCGAAUACCAAAGAUGAAUUAAGUAAUUUCCGGUCAAGAUUAAGUACUAACUCGGGAGUGAUGAGUGGUUCAGAGUUCACAACCCAAGAUGUACCAUUUAGGUCUUGGGAAACGAUAUCAAAUCGUAUGUCAGUCGGUUCUAGGGAUCAUCUAUGCAUAUAUUUGGUUUCAAGGUCUGGGGCUUACAGAAAAUUUCAGUAACAUCUAUCCUAGUUUAUUUUCUUUAAGAGUUGACUACUUUAGUUGCAAAGAUAUAGUCACAACUUCAAAGAUACAACGGGUGUAUACUGCACGAGCGCGUCUAGGAAUUCGAAAAUCAAACAAUCUUGAACCAAAGCAAGUAAUUCAUGGCGAACAUCAAGACAAACUGACCCAAAAGUUGCAGCACAUUAUCUGUUGCAACUCAAACUCGCAAACAAAACCAGGGUUAUCCAACCAAUCAAACUAAACCAAUUCCAAGCUUUACAAUUCUACAAGUAAUGUGAACAUCCAAAUCCAUCCUAUCAAAGUUAAUGCUUUUAAUUCUGAAAAUUCAGGAUUCUUGCGUAGGCAAGCACAAAAACUGCCCAGCAACCUGCAACUUUGCCCAAAAAAUAAGCAGUAAUUUCAUUUUUCUUGCAAGAAAACCGGGAUUUUCUGCAACCCUGUUUCCAAAUGAACAAAACCCACCAGCCCAAAUCUCAACUGCUCAAGCAGAAUAAGUCUACGAAAUCAAUGCAGAAUGUAGAAGCAUAUAAUCGUAGAAAAGGUUGAGCGAGUGAGUUAAGUUACCUAUGAGAAAGAUUGAACUUUCCAAAUUUGUAAGGAGAAAGGAGAGGGAUUGUGGGACCAGCUCCUUGAGCUUGAUUGGUGGUAGCCAUUUCAAUUCAACUGGGUUCAGAGCUCGACCCUGACUUUGGUGUUUGGUUUUUGAUUUGAUCUGCUCUCACGUUGGGUAUUUAUGCGUUCCGGGAGAGGCGGAAGAGGGCUAGCACAGUGGGAUGACUGACUGACUGACUCCAACUGGGUCCACGUCGCCUUCUCCUCCACCUUCCCCAUCCUCUUAAAAUGGGGCAGAUGCAGAUUUUCAACGGUUGGCCGGGCGGCUGCUUUUUCAAAUCUUUUUUUUUUUUUUUUUUUUUCUGAUCGAUACCUUUGACGACGUUUGCAAUUACGUAAUCGUCUUUCUGUUUUUUCCUUUUUAAUAUAGAAGGUAUCGUAUCUUAUUCUGCAGAGAUGACAAAUACGUUCUCUUCUUCCUUCGAUAGUUUCGAUAUCAAAUGAAACCAUAUUUUUUAAUAAUAAUUUAUAGUACUAGCAUGAAAAUUAAGUUAAAUGGUAAGGUGUCAAAAUACUCAUGAAGAAUUUUGAUUUAAAAGAAUUUCUUAACAUUUAUCUUACAUUAAAUAAUUUGCCAAAACUGAAGAAUGAGUUGUGAUGUUUUUGAAAAUUCUCAAAUCUUGACCGUUCAUCAUACAUCGUAAGAUCAGAAAUUAUUUUAAAUACUUUUAUUUAAAAUUUAAAUAUAAAUAAUAUUUGACAAAAAUUGACGAUUUUAAAUAAACGAACACAAUUUAAAAAUCCUUAGAAUCAUCAUAAAAAGGAUUCCAAUCCACAUUCAAAACUGAAUCGAUUGACAGACUCAAGAGUAGCAUUAUUAUGAAGUCGUCAUGCGGACACCAGCAACGACCGCCUACGAUAUGGACUUUCUUUUAUUAGUAUUUUACUUUUCAACACAUAAUUGCAUCCAUGCUUUUUAGUUCAAUUUUUUAUUUUUUUGUCUCAGAACCUUUUCAUUUGACUCUUUGAGCAAUGGGAUCGUCAUUCGUCACUUAUUACCAAGGGUCAGCUUCACUUUUGCUAGAGUAAAUGAUUUUGUGGGAUUGGAUUAGGGAAGAACAAUGGUUAUGUUAUACGAGUAAUAUGAUUACUUAUCUAUAAUUAUUUAUGUUUUUAUUUGAUAUUCGUGUCAUGUUUUUAUUAUUCGUGUCGUUUUUGUGUCAUACCUGAUAAUUUAACAGAUCAUGUCAUGUAAUACCUGUUAAAAUAAACGGAUAAUAUGACUCAACCUAUUAAUAUUAUCAGGUACUAUGACUCGACCUGUUACAUGUUAAGAAAAAUAUAUUGAAAUCAAUAAAUAAUGAAAAUGAAAAACAUAAUUUGACUCCAAAAAAUGUAAAACAUAAUACUAAAUUAAUAUAUACAUACCAUAUUGUCACGUAAAUAUUAGUUCAAAACACAAAAAAAUAAAAAAACAUUUGUCUUUCAAGUUAACAUACCCCAAAAUAAGAGCCUAAUGAAAAAACAUUAGUGCAUAUUACAAAAUACAAAUGUUCAAAGAUAUGCAAAAUGAAGAGAGUUGUCUUUCAAGGUUGGGAAACAUUGCAUGUUUUUUAUAAUAAAACCCUACAAUUUUUAACAAUCAUCAAGAGAAAUGGUAUUAGAACUUUGACUUGAUAUAUUGUCUUCAAAAGUUAUAUUGACGAUGUUUUCAUUAAGAUUUUUUAUGUAUACAAAAUAAGAGCGUCCUCUUUCGUUUUCAAUCAAUGAUUACAAAAGCAAAUAUAUAAUUUGGUAGAUGUAACGUUUUGUGACCUGAUGUCACACCUUACCUUGUGUGAGCUAUCAGCACAUGACCAAAUUGUAUUUUAUUUACACCAAGGUCUUGUGCCAGUCAAACUGGCACACCACAAGAACCUUCUUCGUCCUACAUAUCACAAUUGAAACAUAAAAUAUAUAUUUGAUUAAAUAAAGUAAAAUAAAAUAAAAUAAAGAAAGAUGCAUAAUUCAAACAUUUGGGCUUUGCUGAUUGUAAAUCCUUGAAAAAGCAAACCCACAACUGUGAAUAUAUAGUAUGCAAUAAGGGCAGUAAAGCAAUUUAGCUGAGUCGGCUCAUCUCGAAGACAAUUUUCUGUUCUUUCUCUGCCUAUGCAUUUUUCUAUUUCGGUAAAUUAAUUAUAAAUUAAAUAUUUAUGUUUCAAAGAGCCAAGAAAACAAUUGGGCUUUGCUGAAACAUAAAUAUAUACUUUUAUGUGUUGUAAACUUUCUUAGUUUAAGUAUGAUGGUAUAAAUCUUAGAUUAGAUUUUAUUAUAGUUAUCAUUUUCUAUUACAACUUGUAUUCUUUAGGGAUGAAAUAAUUUAUUCUCUCAUUUUGCUACUAUAAAUAAAGGCACAAUGUAGGAGGGAUAACACACACAUUCCCCUACAAUGCUACAAACACUUCUCUCUCAAUUUCUCUAUCGCUGGCCCUAUUUUCUUUGUCAGAUAAAAUAGGCUACAACACAUUAUCAGCACACUCCUACCGCUGUGCUUAGGAAUCUGACGUUAAAGUUUUUUCUGCAUCAAACCAGUUCAUCCAUAUUAUCACUCAAUCAGGUUCUUUCAAAACAACGGUUUUUAUCUCGAUAUUUUUGUAGCCCUGAUAGCAUGAACAUUCACCAUAAUGCAUGACCCAACUUUAUGUUUUUCAAAUUUUAGAUUCUACAUAAAUUGUGUAUGCAUUAUAAUUGUUAAAUUAUGUGAAUUUGAUAUUUGCCAUGAAUUGUGUUGAUGCACAAAACCGGAGGUCUUGGAACAACGUAAAUCCGACCGUGAAUCUGCAAGAAAUGUAAAUAACACAAGAUGUAUCGUGGUUCACCCCAAGGUUUGGGCUACGUCCAUACUGAUAUUGUAUUUCUGAUGGAGAGAGAGAGCCUCUGUAAUGAAUCUGAAAGGCUUUGAGAGUGAGAGCUUGAGGGGGGGUGAAGAGCCUUAGGAAUUGGCCUCCCCUAAUUGUGAGGGUGAGGGGUCCUUUUAUAGGAUAAGAGCUCCUCACUUAUUACAUAUUUGCCCAUUCCUUUAUUACAUAAUUACAUUUAAGUCCCCCGAAUAUUUAUACGAAGUCUAAAUACGGAGGCCCUAAGUAUGGUAUAAACAGUAGUCCCCCAAGUCUUCAGUCAAGAAAGUCUUUUGGCUGGAGACUUGAAACUCAGUCCAUUUGUGGGUCGAAGUAACUAGAUGUUGUCUUGAACUGAUGCCCGAUAUGAGGCGGUGCUCAAAGUGAAAUGAUGCUCAUCUAGAAGUUGCACAUGUUGCGAGGCUGCUUGGCUUGUGGCUUAUGUUGCCUUGGUUGGCUCGGCUUGUGUCAUUAAAGGUGAGGGAGUCCCUUUUAUAGAAUAAAGGCUCGCUCCUCAAUACAUAAGUAAUGGGCUAGAGUCGAUGCUCGUGGCGAGGCAGUUGCUCAGCUGGCGGCGAUGCUCUCUAAUAAAGGUGAGGGAGUCCCUUUUCUAAAAUAAGGGCUCGUUCUUCAAUACAUAAGUGAUGGGUUAGGAGUGAUGCUCGCGGCAAUGCGGUUUGCUUAGCUGGCAGAGUUGCUCUCUAACGAAGGUGAGGGAGUCCCUAUUAUAAGAUAAGGGCUCGCUCCUCAAUACAUAAGUGAUGGGUGCUUUCUAAUGAAAGUGAGGGAGUCCCUUUUAUAGAAUAAGGGAUCGCUCAUCAAUACUUAAAUAUGGGCUAGAGUUGAUGCUCUCUAAUGAUGGUGAGGGAGUCUCUUUUAUAGAAUAAGGGAUUUCUUUUCAAUACAUGAAUAAUAGGCUAGAGUCCCCCAAGUAUUUUUCAUGAGGCCCAGUUGAGGCCCAAUAUAUGGUACAUAAUGUAGUCCCCCAAGUCUUCAGUCAAUAGAGUCUGUUGGUUGGAGACUUCAAAUUGAAUCCAUGUAUGGGGUGAAGUAGCGGUUGUUCGGAGGCGGUAUUUGUAUACCCUGCACUGAAGCUUUGUAGGUGAAGCUUUUCAAGUGAAGCUUUGCAAGUGAAGCUUUGAAGCUAGAGCUCUGUAAAUGAAGCUUUCGAAGCUGGAGCUUUUGUAAAUGAAGCUUUUGAAGCUAAAGCUCUGUAAAUGAAGCUUUUGAAGUUGAUUGACAUAAGUGAUGCUCAUGAAUGUUUAUGUUGAUUGACAUGAGUGAUGCUCAUGGAUGUUGUCAUGAGUGAUGCUCAUGAAUGUUAACAUGAGUGAUGCUCAUGAAUGUUGACAUGAAUGAUGGUCAUGAAUGUUUAUGUAUGAUUGUCAUGAGUGAUGCUUAUGAAUAUUUAUGUAUGAAUGACAUAAGUAAUGCUCAUGUAUAAUUUGGAGUAUUGGGCGUACUUUUGAUCACCUGGUUGGUGGCAUGAAGGAGAGUACGGGUUGUACAUUUCAUCACCUGGUUGGUGGCAUGAAUGCUAGUUGCCAAAUGAUAUUAGAGUACGGGUUGUACAUUUCAUCACCUGGUUGGUGGUAAUAGCGGUGGGUUGCCGAAUAAUUUUGGAGUACUGGGCGUACUUUUGAUCACUUGGUUGGCGCUAAUAGCGGCAUGUUGCCGAAUAAUUUUGGAGUACUGGGCGUACUUUUGGUCACCUGGUUGGUGAUAAUAGAGGGUCUGGCCUUUUUAUGCAUAUGGGCCUUCGCCCUCCACAUGACAUUGCAGUCCAUUAUUUUGGGCUUAGCCUUUUUUUUUUCUAUACCCUCUGAUGGGGUUUAUACAGAUAUCUCCGAAAGAUACGGAAAAUAAAUUACAUCAGUCAAAAACAAGAAAAGUAAAUCACAUCAUUCUGGUGGAGUGUUUAUUCCUUGCUUUUGCUUUCUCUUUUGCUUUUGUUUUUUCUGCUUUACUUUUGCAUUCUCUGCUUUUGCUUUCUCUGCUGCAUGGUCCACGAGUCCACCCCCAAUGCUCAUAAUAUUCUCCCACACUACAAUUUUUCUUUCUUUAAUAGCCUUAAAUUGUUGGUGGACAAGAUGAAAAGUUAGUGCCGAGAAAAUAAUCAAUUAUUUGGAAAGUGAAGACGUUUGGUGCCGACAGAAUGAAGGAGCAUCUUCUGGUGUGCUUGCCUUUAUUGCACUUGAUGAAGGUGGAGAUGUUUGGGCACAACGGGACCACAAGGGACGACGAGGUCGUGACUUUUGGUCAGGAACAACAUCUCUCCAGCACCGUCAUCUCUCCACUACCGAGGCCCCAGUCGAGGACGUGCUCAGUGCACACAGCAGUACCAAAUUUGAAGCUGACAGAACAGAGGCCUAGGGAUUUCAGGAAUCUGAAAUUGGGGGAAUGAGGGAUUAAACACGAGCCAAACAUCUGAUCCAUUCGAAUUCCAAGCAAUGGAAUUAACACAUCCUUGAUGCCCUUCCAAUUCUCUUUCCCGAGAAAACCUUCGCACCAACGAGAAGUGCACAUGCCACCUGUGAUUGGCACUACGGCGAACAUCGGAGUCCAGGCUGUGGAGUCUUCGCCUCUUUUGACGGCAGGUGAGAGGACCUCUAAUCAGAUGGGUUUUGUAUCCCCGGUGUCGACACCCCGAGUGAGGUCACCGGAAUCGAUAUCAGCUCCUACGACGCGACUCGGUUGGCGAUGAUGAUGUCUUCGGAGCUGGAAGUACCAGAGAGAAAAAGAGAAAGAGGAGAGUGGCACUGUCGCCAUCCACGGUCGGGUCAGAUCCGUCGCUUAAUCAUUGUAGCUGAGCAUCAUCUUGAGGACUGGAGUCUACCACGUGGCGCAGGAGGGGCAAGGGAGUCGAAUAGCUCGGCAUGCAUGUCAGAGGCCGGGUCAGAUCCGACGGCGAGUUCAGUACGCAUCUUCUGAUGUGUCACUCCCUCACUUCGUGGUCAUCCCCACUGCUGUUCCCCAUUAUCAUCUACUGCGGCGGCGGCUGGUGGAGAUGAGCUUGAGAUUGGGAUUGGGAGAGUUCUUCAUUUGAACAUCAUCAAAGUCGCUGAUGGCUGUGUCGAGCACCAGAUCUGCCGCCAUUGGACCUUCACGGGCAGUCAGAGCAAUUAGAGCAAAACGAGAGUCUUUGGGUGCGUUCUCUCUCUCCCCCACUCUGCCUGGGAUGAUGUUGAUGGUGUGAAAGCUUUGCUUGGAAUUUGGGAAGCGUGGAAUAUGGAAACUGAUCUUAUCGCAAGUUGAAGUUCCCAAAACCUAAUAAUAUGACCGAUCCGAACUUUUUGACUUCUGGCGCUUUUCGUUUGCUUAAAAGGAAUGGGUUUUUGGUUUGGUGUUUCUACAGAUUCACAGUGGUGAGAUUUGAUGAAAAAAAUGAAAGAAAACCGACAUAGUUGUUUAUGUCGAUUCUUACAGACGGUGCCAAAUGUUGAUGCAUAAAACCGGAUGGUCUUGGAACAACGUAAAUUUGACCGUGAAUCUGCAAGAAAUGUAAAUAACACAAAAUGUAUCAUGGUUCACCCCCAAGGUUUGGGCUACGUCCAUACUGAUAUUGUAUUUCUGAGGGAGAGAGAGAGCCUCUGUAAUGAAUCUGAGAGGCUUUGAGAGUGAGAGCUUGAGGGGGUGAGGAGCCUUAGGAAUUGGCCUCCCCCUAAUUGUGAGGGUGAUGGGUCCUUUUAUAGAAUAAGGGCUUCUCACUUAUUACAUAUUUGCCCCUUCUUUUAUUACAUAAUUACAUUUAAGUCCCCUGAGUAUUUAUACGAGGUCUAAAUACGAAGGUCCUAAGUAUGGUAUAAACAAAUUGCAUCAAAUAUAUGUACAUGCAUUAAAACAUCAUUGAUUUGAAUGUAUAUAAUUGAAUUUCAUAAUUGAAAAAAAAAUCAAAAAUCACCACUUGAGUUCUUCGAACCUAUGACCUCGAGCAAGCAUGGAACAUCAAGCUCUUUUGAAACUCAGUGCCCAUAGCGUCCAAACCUAGAAAAUCCACAUCACCUGAAGCGAGACCACGACUUUGCCAUGCAAUUUUCUGACCAAAUCCAACAUGGUAUAGUAAUUUUGAUUUGAUAGCAUUGAAAUUCUCGAAGAUUUCAUCGAAUUUGGGUGAAAUUCCAGUUUGAAUUUCUUAGGUUUUUGCCCUCUCCAUUCCUCAAAACUUGCUCAUCAUCGAACCUAUGACCUUGCACCGACAAAUUUUUCCCAAAACACGGCCGCCUGCAGCAGCGGCACUGGCCUUCGUCCCCUGUAACUACACACAACUCCGGCUGGGUUGUUUUUUUUUUUUGGUUGAAACCCUAAGCUUAUUUGGGCUAACCUUCUCGGCUCGUAGAAAAAAAAAAUUUAAGAACUGGGCUCACAUGAUGCGGCCCAAUCCUUGGCUUGACCCAAAACUGGCCUGAGGGGUCAUGGUGUCCCGAUGUUGUGUGCCGCACCAAAUCCCAACUCCGUUGAAAAAGCCACUAAUCAAGCUCUGAACCCAACACUGGCCUGAGGGGUCAUGGUGUCCCGAUGUUGUCUUCGGAUAAUCCUAUUGGCGAAGCUGAAAAAGCCACUGCUAUGAUCUUCAUCCGAAGACAUAUCCAUGACACCUUACAAAUUGAAUACCUUCCUGAUGAGGAUCCACGUGCAUUAUAGGUCGCUUUGGCUGAUCAUUUUGAUCACCAAAAGGACAUAUUCUUGCCUAAAGCAAAACAUGACUGGCAGCAUUCGCGCUUCUAAGACUUUAAGUCUGUGAAUGAAUAUAAUUCGGAAGUUUUUCGAAUCCGAUCACUUCUCAAGUUUUGUAAUGAAACUUUGACCGAAGAAUAUCUCCUGGAGAAGACCUAUUCGACAUUCUCUGCUUUUAAUAUUGUCAUGCAGCAACAAUAUAGAGCUCAAAAGUUUACUAAGUUCUCGGAUUUGAUCUCUAUUUUACUUCUCACUGAAAAACAGAACCAGUUGUUGAUGAAAAAUCAUUAAGUUGGACGUAUUGGGGUGACUGUUGUGCCCUAAAACACAUUAUAGCAUAAACCAAUGCCCAAAACACUAAAAGAGGCAUGGUAGGGGCGGCUAGAAGCCACCCCGCGAAGGUCAACAGAGUCAAAGCCCAUCCAAGGGAGGAAAUGAAGCCCAGAAGCGCUCAAACCUCACUCCCGAGGCCCCGAACUUCAAGAAUAAGGGCAAAGCACCUAAAACCAUGGAUGCAUAUAUGUGUUAUUGUUGUGGUUCAAAGGACCAUUGGUUCUGUGUUUUUCGAGCUCCCCAGAAGGUUGUAGCUGAAUAUCAUUCUCGUUGUAAGAAGUUUGAAUCAAACUUCGUGCAAAUAGACAAACCAGAGACUACAAAGAUGGAGGUUUUUGACUUUCAAGAGGAUACCACCCCUAUGGAAGAUUAGAAUCUUAGACAUAAACAAUUUUAGUUAGUUAAAAUUGCACAAUAGGGACGAUUUCCACCUAGUGGCCGAACCCCCCUUUGUCUUUUGGUAGAUUUUUGAACAAUUUUCCUUUAUUUUUGGAUUAUUUGUUGGUGAUUUGUUUUUUGAUAUUAAGUUUUAAUUAAUUACCAUCCUUGAAUAAAUGAAAUUAUUUUGAAUUGAUAUUUGUUUUUAGAACUUGAGAGAAGGCUGGUAACAAACAUGAAAUAUGGCCCUAUAGCAGUUAAGUAGAGCAAUAUCCCCACUAUCUUCCUAUACUCAGCUUCAGUUGCAGCCUUACAACCAUCAACUUUGCACAAUCUAUCAUUCAUAGAAAGUGGAGUCCUAAUUCAUUUGCAAUCAUUCAAUCCAAAUUUCUCAAGCAAUUUCAUAGCAUUUUUUUUUUUGUGAAUGAAAAUGUUUUUUUUUUUUUUUUUUUCAGUUUGGACAAUUUCCAUACCAAGAAAAUAAUGUAAGGCCCCAAAUCAAUCAUUUCAUAAUGCUUCAUCAUGUCACUCUUGAAUUCUUCAAGUAUUGAUGGACAACUUCGAGUAUAAAUAAUGUCAUUCACAUAGAGAGAUACAAUGAUUAUACCGAAGUUUCCAUUGGUUUUGGUGUAAAGAGUAGCUUCACUUAGACUUUUCUGCAAUCCACAUUUGGAGAAAUAAGAGUUUAUCUCAUCAUACCAAGAUCUAAGAGCUGGUUUUAGACCAUAGAGAGCCUUGUUAAACUUGUUAUUUUAUCUUCUUCAUUUUGGACUAUAAAACCCAGAGGCUGAUCAACAUAAACUUCUCACUUAAGUACUCUAUUAAGAAAUACAGACUUUAUAUCCAGUAGAUACAACUUCUAACCCUUCUGAGCUGCCAAGGUUAGUAAGGUUCUUAUUGUGUCAAGCCUUGCAACUGGAGCAAAUAUUUCAUUGAAGUAUACUCCAUGAUUUUAAGAAUAUUUUUUUUUUCUACCAAUCUGGCUUUAUUCUUAUGUAAUGUGUCAUUCAAGUUUAGCUUUGUCUUGUAACCCCACUUUACACCAAUGACAGGUUUGUUGGAUGGUUUUUUUUUACCGAUUUCCAAGUGUGAUUCUUCUCAAUCAUAUCAAUCUUAGCUUGCACUGCUUUUUUCCAUAAGUCAUCAUGAACUGCUCUUUCAUAGUUAUCAGGCUCCAUAAUACAUACGCUACAUUGAGCUAACACAUCAUUCAACCAUUUAUGUGAUGCAAAAUCAUAAGUUUGAGACAGUUCACUUUCCCUUUGAGAGUUAGGAUCAUCAACAAUUUGAGUUGAUUCAUCAUGUGAGAUGAGAAUGGAUGUUACAAGAGAUCCUAUCGUUCCUUGUUCCAUUUCAAGUUCUAUUACUCCACUACCUUUAUUAUCAACUGCAAUUGACACACUAACAUACUCUUAAGUGUUUGUUCUCCAAUCCCAUCUACCAUUUUCAUCAACACAUCUCUAAACAUGAAAACCUUCAUUGUACUAGGAUUGUACAACUUGUUCCCUUUUUCACUUGUACCAUAGCCUACAUGGAUGCACUUUUAGCUAUUACCCUCAAUCUUGUGUCUCAAAUUUAAAGGAACAAGCACAUAGCACAAAGAACCAAAAUUCUUGAGAUAAGCAGUCCCUAGUUUUCUGCCAUUAUAAGCUUCAAAAAGUGUCAUUUUAUUCAAGGUUCUAGUAAACUAUAUGUUGAGUAAAUACACUGCUAUAUGCAUAACUUCUACCUAAAAUUGAUAUAGCAUGCCUUUUCCAUGCAACAUUACCUUUGCCAUUUCAACAACAGUCAUGUUCUUUCUCUCAGCAACACCACUUUGCUAAGGUGUGUAAGUCAUGGUUACCUGCCUUUAAAUCCCAGUGAUAGGAGCAUAUUUAUGCAACUUAGUUAACUUUUUUUCUUGCAUUUUCAUAGCUAGUUUCUGUUUAUUAUAGUGAUUUAAGUUAUUUUCGUGUGUUUGUAGGUCCAAAUGACAAAGUUGGCGAGAAAUUGCAAUUUGGAGCAUUUUGGAGCAGUUUUGGGCCAAGAAUGGAUAGCAUAUGAAUGGAGCAAGAUGAAUGGACGUUUUUGAAGUUCAAAGAGGCUAGGAAUGUGCUACAAUUCUGGAAGAAUGAAUUCAAGACAAAGAAGAUAAGGAAUUAGCCAAAAAGAAGGAACAUUAUCCAAAACCUUAUCCAACCUUAUCUUAUCCAAACUAACCUUAUCUUAUCUUAUCCUAUCUUAAUCCUAUCCUACCUUAAUUCCAGCUGCAAGGGGGACUCCUUAUCAAAUUUGAAUACCUAAUAUCUUAUUCUAGAAGCCCUGAAACAAUGCAAAUAACAUGAUCCCUUUGUCCCCUAGAAAUCUAACAAAUUUAAUCCCUUCUCUUCUAGAAGGUUUGUGCCGAACUCCCUAAUCCUUUUCCUCUCUGGAAUCUAAUAUGAAGUGCCCUUUUUCCUUGCUAAUUUGGAGUCCUAAUCCCCUUUCUUUUCAGCCUAUGUCGUGCAUCCUCCUCUCCCUAUAAAUACAAAGUGCCACAACACUCAUAAUUCACCAUCUCUCACCACAAAUUUGCACCAUACAUCUAUCAUACUUAGAAAUCCCUUUUGUGCCACAACUUUGCAAGGAGAAAGGAGAGGAGACCAUUUGCCGUGCCCUGCCAUUCAAGACCCUUAGAUUGCUAGAGCAUUCUUAGGUGUUUUCUAUCUUUUAUUUUCAAUGUUUAAUUUAAGUUAUCUUUGUUUAAGUGCCAACAUGAGGAACUAAACUCGUUUUGGCUAGAGGAGAAUUCGAAGCCAUGAACAUAUAUUGCAUAUGAAUUUAUUACCUUCAGUUAUAAUUUCAUGAAUCGGGAAUGCAAUUUGCAUAACUGUUUGAUUCAGAACUUAUUCUUGUAUGUUGAUUAAGGAGGCCUAUUUAGUUUGCAUGCUUGGAUUUGGUGCUAAAAUAUAAGGGAAUUUCACCUAAUAGUUAUGAACUUAUAUUUACAAGUAAUGGAGGUCACUGGUCGUCAUUGUGUUUAGUGAAUUCCUGGCAGAAGUAUCAUGCUAUUCAUAGUUACGAAUGCCUUAUCAAUGCUUAUGAUUUUCAUAGAGCUUAAUGAUCUUUGAUAUGUAUCUCUAUCAUGUUGUUCGUGUAGGGAACUUAAUAAGAAUAAUUUGGUUGCGACGCUGAGUCCAAUUCAAUGAACUUAGGAAAAUCUGAGGGUUAAUUAGUGUUGUUCACGGUUAAUCUGGGGCAUUGUCAUUCAUGGUUUAUAGAAAGAGUAACUGGAAAUCGAUUUGUAUGCAUAUGUAUCAUGUGUGGAGAAUGACCCUCUAGCUAGCCAUUCACCUCAUAAAACACCCUAAAUUCAUAGUAAUUAGUUUGUUUUCUGCAAUUAACUUAGUUUUAUUUUUAAAUUUGUCAAAACCAUUUUCCCCCUUUCUAUUUCGUGUUUUCUAGGUUAUAAUAUGUCUAAUUGGUGUCUUUUAAUUUAAAAUUCGUCCAAAGUCAUUCUUAGUGUUAGUUUAGAGUCAAUUUGUUUGUUUUGUGCUGUUUUGAGUAGUUUGAGUCAGUUUUGAGUCAUAAGAGUUUAGUUUAGUGUUUUAAGUCUAGUUAAGUAUAAUUGAGUCUAAUUUAAGUAUAUUAGCAUCCCUCCUAAUCCCCGGCCUAGAACGAUCCUUACUUGUCCAUACUACAAUUAUCAAAAAGAGAGUUUAAUUUGUGUGCUAGUUUAAUUUCACAUCAAAUUUUGGCGCCGUUGCCGGGGAUUAGCAACAUUGCUAAUCUCCCUGUGUUUAUUUUCGUGUGUUUUGCUUUCUGUUCUGAUUUUUGUUUUGUUUUCUUUGUUUUAGGUACUAGUUUAUGACUCGAAGUCCUCAACCUGUUUGUGCACACAUAUUGGAGUUUGACGACGAUUUUGAACGAACUUUGAGAAGAAAAAGGAAGCAGCCAGAACAUAAUCCACCUGGUUCUAGCUCUGAAUCCGAGUUUGAAGAAGAGGAAGAGAAAGAACAAGCCAUGGCUGUGGAUAAUCAAACAAUCAAGGAACUCUUCGCCUCGGGAUUAGACAAUGUCGUGCCCCUUUGCAUUCAAUACCCUACAGCAGCCCAAGGCAAGACCAAUGAGUUCAAAUUGAAGUCUAGUUUGUUGCAUCACAUUCCCAAAUACCAUAGGUUGUCCAUGGAAGAUCCGAACAAACAUUUGAAGGAAUUUGAAGUGGUGUGCUCGAGCAUGACACCAAUCAACGUGGAUGGCAAUAUUCUGAAGAUGAAAGCCUUUCCAUUCUCUCUUAUGGACAAGGCUAAAGAUUGGCUUUAUGAAUUAGCACCUGGAACUGUCACUUCUUAGGAAAGCAUGAAGAGAGCAUUCUUAGAGAAAUUCUUCCCAACUUCAAGAGUCAUUCUUUUGAGGAAGAAAAUUAGUGGGAUUCAACAAAGCUAAGGAGAAUACUUUCCAGCAUACUAUGAGCGUUUUAAGACGUUAGUUGCAUCCUACCCACAACAUCAAAUGAAGGAAGAGCUUUUAAUUCAAUAUUUCUACAAAGGACUACAUCCAAUUAAGAGACAAAUGCUAGAUGCCUCGGCAGGUGGUGUUUUGGUUGACAAAACCCAGUUGCAGCCAAGAUCUUAAUAGCAAAUCGAGCCUUGAAUGCACAACAAUACGAAGGAAUUGGACAAAGAGACCCUCCAUGGCAACACCAAGUUAAUGAGGUAAGUUCAAUGGCUGAAAUUCAAUCUCAAUUAGCUAAUCUCACUGUUCUUGUGUCACAUGUUGCAAAAGGAUCAAAAGUACAAAGAACAAGCACUUGUGGCGUGUGCUCUAUGCAAGGACAUCUCAAUAAUCAAUGCCCUCAGUUGAUAAAGAAUAGGGGAUGGGAAAAUGCCAAUGUCAUCGGUUAUCAAAGCCAAAAUCAACCAAGGAAUGAUCCAUACUCCAACACUUACAAUCCGGGUUGGAGAGAUCACCAAAAUAUGAAGUAGAUGGAGCCUCAACAAGCUCCACAACAAGGGCGGUAUAGACAGCCACCUUCGGGACUCUAUCAAAGGCCAUUCGCACCAAUUCAACCUCAACCACAAUCUGCCCAAUCAAACUCAGGUUCGUCAUUGGAUAAUGAUAAACUUCUUCAAUUACUAACUUCAUUAACGCAAGGCCAAAAAAAUCAAGCCAAGGAGAUGAGCGAAGUGAAGAAGCAACUUGGGCAGAUGGCGGAGUUCAUGGAAAAGUUUAGAGAAGAAGGCAAACUACCUAGUUCAACCAUUGUCAAUCCGAAUAGAGGUUUUGAAACCGCCAAGGCAAUCACGUUAAGAAGUGGCAAGGAGGUUGGAAUCAACCCACAAAUAUCCAAAUCAAGCCAAAACGAGGAAGAGAAGCUGCUGCUCGAAGAAGAACAACUGGACAAACCCACGGCAAGGGUAAAACAACCCUUGCCGCAGCCACCUAAGCCUUCCACACUACCCAAUUCAGUUAAGGUUGGUUCAAAUUCGACUAUUUCUAACCCUAUUCCUCUGAAUGCACAUUACCCUUGCAGAUUUAUGCAAUCAAAGAAGGAAGAAAGUGAAAAGGACAUUCUGGAGAAGUUUAGAAAGGUGCAAGUCAAUAUCCCGCUCCUUGAUGCAAUCAAACAAGUUCCAAAAUAUGCCAAAUUUUUUAAGGAACGUUGCACAACAAAGAAGAGGAUCUCGAACAAGGAAGUGGUACAGGUAAGUGAGAAUGUCUCCGCAGUUUUGCAAAGAAAACUACCCCCUAAAUGUAAAGAUCCAAGUAGUUUCACAAUCCCUUGUGUUAUUGGCAAUACAAAAUUUGAGCAUGCCAUGUUAGACUUAGGUGCAUCCAUCAAUGUCGUGCCAUAUUCUAUUUAUGCAUCUAUGAACUUAGGAGAGCUGAAAAAUGAUGGAGUUAUUAUUCAAUUAGCUGAUCAUUCUAAUGCAUAUCCGAAAGGAGUUUUGGAAGAUGUUUUGGUGCAGGUUAAUCAUUUAAUCUUUCCAAUCGAUUUCUAUAUGCUAAAGAUGGAAGAUACAGUCCAUUCUACUCCAUUGCCGAUCCUACUCGAAAGACCAUUCAUGAAAACAGCUCGCACUAAGAUUGAUGUGUUCAAGGGACAUUGACAAUGCAAUUUGCAUAACUAUUUGAUUCAGAACUUAUUCUUGUAUGUUGAUUAAGGAGGCCUACUUAGUUUGCAUGGUUGGAUUUGAUGCUAAAAUAUAAGGGAAUUUCACCUAAUAGUUAUGAACUUAUAUUUACAAGUAGUGGAGGUUACUAGUCAUCAUCCUGUUAAGUGAAUUCCUGGCAGAAGUAUCAUGCUACUCAUAGUUACGAAUGCCCUGUCAAUGCUUAUGAUUUUCAUAGAGCUUAAUGAUCUUUGAUAUGUAUAUCUAUCAUGUUGUUCGUGUAGGGAACUUGAUAAGAAUAAUUUGGUCACGACACUGAGUCCGAUUCAAUGAACUUAGGAAAAUCUGAGGGUUACUUAGUGCUGUUCACGAUUAAUCUGGGGUAUUGUCAUUCAUGGUUUAUAGAAAGAGUAACUGAAAAUCGAUUCGUAUGCAUAUGUGUCAGGUGUGGAGAAGGACCCUCUAGCUAGCCAUUCACCUAGUAAAACACCCUAAAUUCGUAGUAAUUAGUUUGUUUUCUGCAAUUAACUUAGUUUUAUUUUUAAAUUCGUCAAAACCACUUUCCCCCUUUCUAUUUCGUGUUUUCUACGUUAGAAUAUCUUCAAUUGGUGUCUUUUUAAUGUUUUGAGUCUUUUUAAUUUAAAAUUCGUCCAAAGUCAUUCUUAGUGUUAGUUUAGAGUCAAUUUGUUUGUUUUGUGCUGUUUUGAGUAGUUUGAGUCAGUUUUGAGUCAUAAGAGUUUAGUUUAGUGUUUUUAAGCCUAGUUAAGUAUAAUUGAGUCUAAUUUGAGUAGAUUAGCAUCCCUCCUAAUCUUCAGCCUAGAACGAUCCCUACUUAUCCAUAAUUAUCAAAAAGAGGGUUUAAUUUGUGUGCUAGUUUAAUUUCACAUCAAAUUUUAGCACCAUUGCCGGGGAUUAGCAACAUUGCUAAUCUCUCUUUGUUUAUUUUCGUGUGUUUUGCUUUCUGUUCUGAUUUUUGUUUUGUUUUCUUUGUUUUAGGUACUAGUUUAUGACUCGAAGUUCUCAACCUGUUUGUGCACACAUAUUGGAGUUUGACGACGAUUUUGAACGAACUUUGAGAAGAAAAAGGAAGCAACCAGAACAUAAUCCACCUAGUUUCCAUUUUCACUUUGGCAGUAAAAUUUCUCUUCACAUUAUCAACAAUUUGUCCAUUCUUAUCAUGUGGUCGCGGCAUCCACCGUCAAUAUACCAAGUAUAUUGACUUUUAUUCUCGAGCCCCCACCAUAUCUCGGGCUCGAUGAUGCGAAAUAUAUAAGCACACAAAUUGAACCCUCUUUUUAUCAAUUGUAGCAAAGUAUGUAAGUAGGGAUCGUUCUAGACCGGGGAUUAGGAGGGAUUGCCAAAUCACUUGAAAACUGACUCAAAUACGUAAAAACAAGUUUAAAACACUAAACUAGACUCAAAGAAUGCAAAACUAAACUUUAAAACACCAAAACAAACCAAAAGACUCAAAACAGCAAACAAACACUCAAAACUGCCUUAAAAACACUUUCUGGGCAGUUUUGACACCUAACACUAAAUUGGACGAAAUUGGGUUAUAACUUGACUCAAGACCCUUAAAAACACAAACUAAAUUAAUUUCUACUUAAUCUAACACUUUAAAAUAAAUGGGGAAUUGGUUUUGACGAAAAUUGAAAACAAAAACAAAACUUGUAAAUUGAACAGAUUCUAAAACGAAUUUGAGAAAAGUGAAUGGAUGGAAAGCUAGCUAAGGGGUUCUUCUCCACACAAGUCACACUUGCAUACAAAAGGAUUUCCAAUUGCUUUUCGAUAAACCAUGAAUUCCCAACACCCCAGAUUAACCGUGAAUUGCACUAAUUAACCCUCAGAUUUUCCUUAAGUUAUUGGAUUGGAUGAAUUGCAUACGACAACCCAAAGCAUUCCCCACAAGUUCCCUACAUGAAUUGCAUAAUAGAGAUACAAGCAAGAAUCAUUAAGUUCUAUGAAAAUCAUAAGCAUUGGCGAAGCACUCGUUACUAUGAAUUGCAUGAAACUUAUGCCAAGAAUUUACUUAACACGAUUGUGAUCAACAACCUUUACUACUUUUGAAUAUAAGUUCAUAACGAUUAGGUGAAAUUCCCUUAUAUCCUAGUAUCAAACUUAUGCAUGAAAAUUAAGCGUGCACUCUCAACCAAUAGACACAAAUCAGUUUUAAUUCAUGUAGAUAAGUAAAUUGAAUUCACAACUUAUGAAACGCAAUUGAAAGUAAUCAAAUCAUAUAGCAAGCAUAAACAUGGUUUCGAAUCCCCCCCUAGCCAAGGGGGGUUUAGUUCCUCAUACUCACAAAGCAAAGAUACAUAAAUUUAGACAUUAAAAUCCAAAGAAAGAAAACACCUAGAUGAUCCAACUUGGACAGCAGGUGCAUCCACAAGUCUUCUUUCCUCCUUGCUGCGGCACUUGGUCUAAAGUCAGGUUCUAGGGUGGUAUUUGUAUGGGAGAAUGGGUAGGGAAUGGUAUGGAAGGGUUUAGGAUUGAUGGGGGGUACAGCUAGGGUAAAAAGAAUCAGAAAAAUAUGGAAGAAUGGUGAAGGAAGGCUGCGGCAAAGAGAGGGAAUGAUUUCUGGCUAAAAUUCUGAAUAUGGAGGGGUGGUUGAUGUGUUUUUGAUGUAGUGUAAUGUUUAGUGUUCUUCCUUUCACUCCCUAUUUAUAGAAGCUCCAAAGCAAAGAAUCACUCAAGUGGCUUCAAUAAACAAUACAAACAAAUACCAAAAUGAUGCAAAAACAGCUAGUUUACAUGCUCUUUUAUCAUUGUGUCUUGCCUUUAACAAAAGGCAAUCAUUCCUUUUUUGCUAAUUCAACUCCUUUGUAGCUGUCCAUGUGCCUUCAUUCUUCAAUUUCUGAUGCAUUUGCCUUGUAUUCCAUCCCUUUUCCACAUGUACUAGCUGUUAGACAACUUUCACACACAUGUUUUGCAUCAUUUCAGCUUGCAAUUAUGUUUGUAGUUGCUGAAAAUGUGAAUACAUCUUGUAAAACAAUCCAACAAAUGGCAUCUUUCACUUCUUUUCCUUUCAAAUUGUUCCUUAGGUGUAUGUAUCUGCACACUUCCACACUUCAACUUCAUUAUUCAGAUUUUUGCAUGUGUUGAAACCCUUUUUAAAAUACCAAAAACGUCCAUCCCACUUGCUCCAUAUGCAUGCAAUCCAUUUUGGCCCAAAAUUGCUCCAAAUUGCAUCUAAAUGCACUUUCUUUCCAACUUUGUUAUUAGGACCUACAAACACACGAAAAUAGCUUAAAACACUCUUAUAAGCAAUAACUAACUAAGUAAAUGCAAGAAAACAUGUUAACUAAGUCGCAUAAAUAUGCUCCUACAUAAUCCGAAAAUAUGCUCAUCAUGCAUCUUUGAAAUGUGGCAGGUGCAUUACAUAAACCAAAAGGCAUGCGACGAUAUGAAAAUGUACCAAAAAGGCAUGUAAAAGUGGUUUUUUCUUGGUCCUCGGGUGCUAUGACAAUUUGAUUAUAACCAGAAUAACCAUCAAGAAAACAAUAGAAAGCAUAACCCGCUAACCUUUCAAGCAUUUGGUCAAUGAACGGCAAUGGGAAGUGAUCCUUCCUUGUGGUGGCGUUUAGCUUCCUAUAAUCGAUGCACACCCUCCAACCAGUUUGAAUGCGUUGAGGAACAAGUUCAUUCUCGGCAUUAGCUACCACUGUCACUCCGGAUUUCUUUGGUACGCAUUGAACGGGCGAAACCCACCUACUAUCCGAGAUUGGAUAGACAACUCCACAAUCUAGAAGCUUUAUGAUCUUCUUCUUCACAACUUCCAUCAUAGGAGGGUUGAGACGGCGUUGAGCCUCUCGAGAUGUUUUAGACCCCUCCUCCAAAAGUAUGCGAUGCAUGCACGUAGUAGGGUUAAUUCCCUUGAUGUCGGCCAAUGUCCAUCCAAUUGCCGUUUUGUACUCCUUUAGCACCCUCACUAAUUUACUCUCCUCUUGUGCCAUGAGUGAGGAUGAAAUGAUGACGGGCAAUGUCUCAUCCUCUCCCAAGAAAACAUACCUCAAGUGACUAGGCAAUGGCUUAAGUUCAAGUGUGGGUGGCUGCACAACUGAGGGAAGCAUUUUAUUAGCCGAAACCAAACUUAAAAUAGGGUCCAAAAACUUACCAGUUUGUGAUGGCAAUGACUCAAGGGCAGCCACCAUCUCAAUGAUAUCUUCACUAGGGGGCAUGGCAAUGGAAUCCUCAUGCAUGUCGUGGGUUUCCUUAGUGGCUGUUUCAAUGUUUUUCAUGUUCUUUCCUUGUGCAAUGACCAAUUCAAGUGCAUCGUCCUUCAAAUUGUCAAAAUGGUCCUGCGCCAAAGAGUCAAUUAUAUCAAUAGCAAAACAUGAAUGAUUUUCACUAGGAAACUUCAUAGAAUCAAAAAGAUUGAAAUUAAUCACUUCCCCAUCAAAUUUCAUCGUUAAAGUGCCAUUAAACACGUCAAUCUUUGUUCGGGCCGUUUUCAUGAAUGGCCUUCCAAAGAGGAUGGGUAAUGAAGGGGUAUGGUUCGAUUCAUCCAUCUCAAGUACGUAGAAAUCCGCCAGAAAGAUCAAAUGAUUAACCUGCACUAAAACAUCCUCCAAAACUCCCUUUGGAUAUGCAUUAGAUCUAUCGGCCAAUUGUAUUACCAAUGACACAAUGAAUCGUAAAACUACCCGAAUCUUUGCAUUUAGGGGGCAGUUUGCGUUGCAAGAUGGCUGACACGUUCUCGCCUACUUUCACAACUUCCUUGGUCGACAUCCUCUUCCUCGUGGUGCAAAGUUCCUUCAAGAACUUGGCGUACCUCGGGACUUGCUUGAUUGCAUCCAAAAGGGGUAUGUUGACUUGAACUUUCCUAAAUGUCUCUAGAAUAUCCUUUUCAGCUUCUUCUUUCUUUGUUUGCUUGAACCUAUUUGGAAAAGGAACAUUCGAAGGAAAAACAUUAGUAGGAACUGGAUUUGACACGUUCUUACCUCUAUUGGACAGAUUGGAUGACUUAGGAUCACAUAGGGCUUGCGGCAAAGAUGUUUCCACCUUUGCCGUGGGUGGUUUUUGUUCUUCCUCUUCAAUCAUCAACUCCUCCACCUCGUUAGAACGUGAUUUGGAGUGUUGGGGUUCAGAUCCUACGUGCUUCCUAUUUCGUAAAGUUAUAGCUUUUGCAGAUUCGAAUCCACCUUUUGGAUUGACCACGGUUGAACUAGGCAACUUGCCUUGCUCUCGAAACUGCCCCAUAAACUCGGCAAUUUGCCCCACUUGCUUCUCCAACUCGUCCACCUUCUUGUCCCUAGUUUGCAUGCCCUGUGCCAUAGAAGUUAGUAAAUUAAAAAUCUGAUCAUUAUCAAUAGAAGAACCUGAUUUUUGGGCGGGUUGUACUUGGGGUUGAGUUGGUGCAAACGGCUUUUGAUAGAAACCCGGGGGUUGUUGCCUAAAUGUGCUUUGUUGUUGGCCUUGUUGGGGUUCUCGCCAUUUGAAAUUUGGAUGAUCACGCCAACCGGGAUUUUAAGUAUUAGAAAAGGGGUCAUUCCUCGGUUGGUAUUGGUUGCCAAAUCCCACGACAUUAAGGGUCUCCCAACCUCCAUUCUCUAUCAAUUGUGGGUACUUGUCCAUAAGGUGUCCUUGCAUGGAGCAUACGCCACAAGCUGCCACGUUUUGCACUUUUGGACCUUCCACCACCUGAGAAAGCAAAGUAGUAAGGUUAGCCAUUUGAUUUUGAAGUUCGGUUAUGGCACUUACCUCAUUCACUUGGUGUUGCCGUGGGUUGCUCCUUUGUCCAACACCUUCGUAUUGUUGGGCAUUCAACGCUCGAUUGGAGAUUAAUGUCUUGGCUGCCGUGGGGGUCUUGUCCACCAAGGCUCCUCCCGCCGAGGCAUCUAGCAUUUGACGUUCGAUUGGUAGUAGCCCCUCAUAGAAGUAUUGUAGAAGAAGUUCCUCCUUCAUCUGAUGCUGUGGACAUGAAGCAACAAGAGAUUUAAAACGUUCAUAGUAAGUAGGAAAAGAUUCACCUUCAUCUUGUUGAAUUCCACUUAUCCUUUUUAGUAGGAGGAUGACUUGAGAAGUUGGGAAAAACUUCUCCAAGAAAGCCCGUUUCAUGCUCCCAAGAUGUGACCGUUCCGGGAGCUAAUUUAUACAACCAAUCUUUCGACUUUUCCAUGAGAGAAAAGGGAAAAGCCUUCAUCUUCAAUAUGCUCCCGUCAACAUUGAUUGGAGUCAUGCUUGAACACACCACCUCGAACUCUUUCAAGUGCUUGUUAGGAUCCUCCAUGGACAACCCAUGGUACUUCGGCAUGUGGUGUAGCAAACUUGACUUCAACUCGAAUUCCUCGGUCUUUCCUUGGGUAGCAGCGGGAUAUUGAAUACAUAGAGGUGCGGCAUUAUCUAAUCCCAAAGCCGAAAGCUCCUUGAUUGUACGAUUGUCUUAUGCCAUGGCUUCCUCUACUUCACCCACUCUUGCCGUGGGUUCCUCUUCUUCAAACUCAACUUCGGCUUCUGAAUUUGAUUUUGAUUCACUAGGUUUUGGAUUCUUCCUUUUUCGCCUCAAUUCUCGCUCAAAAUCGUCGUCAAAGUCCAAGAUGUGUUCACGAAUCAGAUGAGAACUCUGAGUCAUAAACUAGUACCUAAAAACAAGAAAACAAAACAAGGUCAGAAUCUGGAAUUCAUUAAAACAAACUGAAAUAAAACAAUUCAAGGGAUUAGCAAUGUUGCUAAUCCCCGGCAACGGCGCCAAAAAUUUGAUGCGAAAUAUAUAAGCACACAAAUUAAACCCUCUUUUUAUCAAUUGUAGCAAAGUAUGUAAGUAGGGAUCGUUCUAGACCGGGGAUUAGGAGGGAUUGCCAAAUCACUUGAAAACUGACUCAAAUACGUAAAAACAAGUUUAAAACACUAAACUAGACUCAAAGAAUGCAAAACUAAACUUUAAAACACUAAAACAAACCAAAAGACUCAAAACAGCAAACAAACACUCAAAACUGCCUUAAAAACACUUUCUGGGCAGUUUUGACACCUAACACUAAAUUGGACGAAAUUGGGUUAUAACUUGACUCAAGACCCUUAAAAACACAAACUAAAUUAAUUUCUACUUAAUCUAACACUUUAAAAUAAAUGGGGAAUUGGUUUUGACAAAAUUGAAAACAAAAACAAAACUUGUAAAUUGAACAGAUUCUAAAACGAAUUUGAGAAAAGUGAAUGGAUGGAAAGCUAGCUAAGGGGUUCUUCUCCACACAUGUCACACUUGCAUACAAAACGAUUUCCAAUUGCUUUUCGAUAAACCAUGAAUUCCCAACACCCCAGAUUAACCGUGAAUUGCACUAAUUAACCCUCAGAUUUUCCUUAAGUUAUUGGAUUGGAUGUGUUGAUGCACAAAACCGAAGGUAUUGGAACAACGUAAAUCUGACCGUGAAUCUGCAUGAAAUGUAAAUGACACAAGAUGUAUCGUGGUUCACCUCAAGGUUUGGGCUACGUCCACACUGAUUAUGUAUUUAUCUGAGGGAGAGAGAGCUCUGAAAGUGAGAGCGUUGAGAGGGGGUGAGAGGGCCUAGAAAUUGGUCUCCGAGAGUCAGAGUGAGGCCUCUCCUCAUUGUGAGGGUGAGGGGUCCUUUUAUAGAAUAAGGACUCCUCACUUAUUACAUAUUUGCCUCUUCCUUUAUUACAUAAUUACAUUUAAGUCCAUCGAGUAUUUGUACGAGAUCUAAAUACGAUGCCCUAAAUAUGGUAUAAACAGUAGUCCCCCAAGUCUUCAGUCAAGAGAGUCUUUUGACUGGAGACUUGAAAUUCAGUCCAUGUGUGGGCCGAAGUAACUAGAUGCUGUCUUGAACUGAUGCUCGAUAUGAGACAGUGCUUAAUCUGAAAUGACGCUCAACUAGAAGUAGCACACGUUGCGAGGCUGCUCGGCUUGUGGCUUAUGUUGCCUUGGUUGGCUCGGCUUGCGGUGUUGAAGGUGAGGGAGUCCCUUUUAUAAAAUAAGGGCUCGCUCCUCAAUACAUGAAUGAUGGGCUAGAGUUGAUGCUCGCGGCGAGGUGGUUGCUCAGUAAGUGGCGAUGCUCUCUAAUGGUGGUGAGGGAGUCCCUUUUAUAGAAUAAGGGCUCGCUCCUCAAUACAUGAAUAAUGGGUUAUGAGUGAUGCUCGCGGCAAGGCGGUUGCUCAGCGAGCGGCGAUGCUCUCUAACGAAGGUGAAUGAGUCCCUUUUAUAAAAUAAGGGUUCGCUCCUCAAUACAUGAGUGAUGGGCUAAGUCCCCCAAGUAUUUUUCUUGAGUGCUCUCUAAUGAAAGUGAGGGAGUCCCUUUUAUAGAAUAAGGGCUCGCUCCUCAGUACAUAGAUAAUGGGUUUAAGUCCCUUAAGUAUUUUCAUAAGGUCCAGUUGAGGCCCAAUAUAUGGUACAUAAUGUAGUCCCCCAAGUCUUCGGUCAAUAGAGUCUGUUGGCUGGAGACUUCAAAUUGAAUCCAUGUAUGGGCCGAAGUGGCUGUUGUUCAGAGGCGGUGUGUGUAUACCCUGCACUGAAGCUUUGUAGGUGAAGCUUUGUAGGUGAAGCUUUGCAAGAAAAGCUUUGAAGCUAGAGCUCUGUAAAUGACGCUUUGAAGCUAAUUAACAUGAGUGAUGCUCAUGAAUGUUUAUGUUGAUUGACAUGAGUGAUGCUCAUGAAUGUUUAACAUGAGUAAUGCUCAUGAAUGUUGACAUGAAUGAUGGUCAUGAAUGUUUAUGUAUGAUUGUCAUGAGUGAUGCUCAUGAAUGUUUAUGUAUGAAUGACAUGAGUAAUGCUCAUGUAUAAUUUAGAGUACUGGGCGUACUUUUGAUCACCUGGUUGGUGGCAUGAAGGAGAGUACAGGUUGUACAUUUCAUUACUUGGUUGGUGGUAAUAGCGGCAGGUUGCCGAAUAAUUUUGGAGUACUGGACGUACUUUUGAUCACCUGGUUGGUGGCAUGAAGGAGAGUACGGGUUGUACAUUUCAUUACUUGGUUUGUGGUAAUAGCGGCAGGUUGCCGAAUAAUUUUGGAGUACUGAGCAUACUUUUGAUCACCUGGUUGGUGGUAAUAGCGGCGGGUUGUCGAAUAAUUGUGAAGUACUGGGCGUACUUUUGAUCGUCUGGUUGGAGCUAUUUUGGGCUUAUGGGCUUUCGCCCUCUACACAACAUUCCAGCCCAUUUACUUUGGGCUUUGCCGUUUUUUUUUUCUUUUUACCCUCUGAUGGGGUUUAUACAAAUGUUUCCAAAAUAUAAGGAAAAUAAAUUACAUCAUUCUGAUGGGGUAUUUAUUCCUUGUUUUUGCAGUGUCUCCAUGUGCAUCCCUUUUGCUUUCCUCUUUUCUGCUUUCCGAAAUAUUCUCCUAACAACAUGAUCUUUUUCUUUUCUGUUCCUUUCUUUGAUCUCUCCACCUCCAGACACACUCACUUGCUUUUGCUUUUACUUUCCCUUUUCUUUCUCUUUCCUUUUGCUUUGUCCGCCAUUGCCUUUCUCUUUCAGCCCGGUUUCUGCUGUUUGAACACAAAGCUGGUGUACUCCAGCUGUAAAAAAUGUAAAAAACGUAAAGAACGUGGCCUCCCACUCCAUUUCUUUGUCUUCAGAACCCCACCUCAAUGACCAUUUGCUAUCGUGGUCAAAGCAUGUUCAGAUUCACGUGUUUUGUUACUGGGCACUUCAGGUUUAAACUCCACGGGCAAACUCAAGUACUGGGCAAAUUUCAGGUUCUCAUUGAUAAUGAUUUCUUAUCUAAACAAGAUCCAUUGCAGCUAAAACCCGAAAAGAUAUUGAUCUUUCCAUUUCUCUUUUUCUUCUUGCUCUGAGACGGGGUUCUCAGCGAAGUACUCGGAGUUCCUGCCUGCUCUUUGGUUGCUUGUGCUUCUGACCACCUCUAUUUUCUUCCUUUGAGCCAUCAACCAAAUCAGUAGAAGGCCUCUCCUCCUCGGCAGACCCAACCCCAACCCCAGGCUCAGCGCUAGAUUCCUGCUGCUUCUUUAACAGCUCAACAAACGAUGUCGUCGCGGAGGCUCCUCCGGCUCCGCAGACCACUGACCUCCGGUAUCGGCCUCCUGGAGUGAUGGGCUAGAACGGAAACCCGCUGAUUUCUGAUUGUUCUACGGUGGUCGAAGCAACUGUGGGUGUGAUUCCGGAUGAAGUUCAAGUUGGAAAUGGAAGCAAAGGUGGUGCUUCCCAUCUCUCCUUCGACACUUCCAGGUGCAAGUUCGCUUCUUCUUAUUCUUCCUCCUCUGGUUCUUUUGGUUUGUACUCGCUUUCCUUUUAUAUAAAAAACUGAACAACUUUUGACUGGUGAAUGACUGGUUCUUCUUUCUUCAGCUUGGCAGAGCGAUAAUUUUGGAAUCGCAGCCAAUGGCGCAUUCUGGCACCACCUAUCUUGAUGCAUAUCUCAAUGACUAAAAAGCACAUAACCCCAGAAACAAGGGAGAGAGAGUUUUUUUUUUUUUUUUUUUAAUUUUUUUAAAGAGAGGGAGAGGGUGAGAUCUAGAAUUAGAGACAUGAAAAGAUGCAGUGGUAGCUGUGUUAUUGAGAGAGAGAUGGAAAAUGGGUUUUUGGAUGGUUUCUUAAAACUUCAGAGUCUGCGAAGGUUUUCUGGGUUCUUGGGUUUUUGCAGAUUCACGGUGGAGGUGAAAAAAUGAAAGAGAGCCGACACAACUUUUUGUAUCGUUUCCCACAGACGGCGCCAAAUGUUGAUGCACAAAACCGGAGGUAUUGGAACAACGUAAAUCCGACCGUGAAUCUGCAUGAAAUGUAAAUAAUACAAGAUGUAUCGUGGUUCACCCCAAGGUUUGGGCUACGUCCACACUGAUUAUGUAUUUAUCUGAGGGAGAGAGAGCUCUGAGAGUGAGAGCGUUGAGAGGGGGUGAGAGGGCCUAGAAAUUGGUCUCCGAGAGUCAGAGUGAGGCCUCUCCUCAUUGUGAGGGUGAGGGGUCCUUUUAUAGAAUAAGGACUCUUCACUUAUUACAUAUUUGCCUCUUCCUUUAUUACAUAAUUACAUUAAAGUCCAUCGAGUAUUUGUACGAGAUCUAAAUACGAGGCCCUAAAUAUGGUAUAAACAGGAUGAAUUGCAUACGACAACCCAAAGCAUUCCCCACAAGUUCCCUACAUGAAUUGCAUAAUAGAGAUACAAGCAAGAAUCAUUAAGUUCUAUGAAAAUCAUAAGCAUUGGCGAAGCACUCGUUACUAUGAAUUGCAUGAAACUUAUGCCAAGAAUUUACUUAACACGAUUGUGAUCAACAACCUUUACUACUUUUGAAUAUAAGUUCAUAACGAUUAGGUGAAAUUCCCUUAUAUCCUAGCAUCAAACUUAUGCAUGAAAAUUAAGCGUGCACUCUCAACCAACAGACACAAAUCAGUUUUAAUUCAUGUAGAUAAGUAAAUUGAAUUCACAACUUAUGAAACGCAAUUGAAAGUAAUCAAAUCAUAUAGCAAGCAUAAACAUGGUUUCGAAUCCCCCCUAGCCAAGGGGGGUUUAGUUCCUCAUACUCACAAAGCAAAGAUACAUAAAUUUAGACAUUAAAAUCCAAAGAAAGAAAACACCUAGAUGAUCCAACUUGGACAGCAGGUGCAUCCACAAGUCUUCUUUCCUCCUUGCUGCGGCACUUGGUCUAAAGUCAGGUUCUAGGGUGGUAUUUGUAUGGGAGAAUGGGUAGGGAAUGGUAUGGAAGGGUUUAGGAUUGAUGGGGGGUACGGCUAGGGUAAAAAGAAUCAGAAAAAUAUGGAAGAAUGGUGAAGGAAGGCUGCGGCAAAUAGAGGGAAUGAUUUCUGGCGAAAAUUCUGAAUAUGGAGGGGUGGUUGAUGUGUUUUUGAUGUAGUGUAAUGUCUAGUAUUCUUCCCUUCACUCCCUAUAUAUAGAAGCUCCAAAGCAAAGAAUCACUCAAGUGGCUUCAAUAAACAAUACAAACAAAGACCAAAAUGAUGCAAAAACAGCUAGUUUACAUGCUCUUUUAUCAUUGUGUCUUGCCUUUAACAAAAGGCAAUCAUUCAUUUUUUGCUAAUUCAACUCCUUUGUAGCUGUCCAUGUGCCUUCAUUCUUCAAUUUUUGAUGCAUUUGCCUUGUAUUCCAUCCCUUUUCCACAUGUACUAGCUGUUAGACAACUUUCACACACAUGUUUUGCAUCAUUUCAGCUUGCAAUUAUGUUUGUAGUUGCUGAAAAUGUGAAUACAUCUUGUAAAGCAAUCCAACAAAUGGCAUCUUUCACUUCUUUUCCUUUCAAAUUGUUCCUUAGGUGUAUGUAUCUGCACACUUCCACACUUCAACUUCAUUAUUCAAAUUUUUGCAUGUGUUGAAACCCUUUUUAAAAUACCAAAAACGUCCAUCCCACUUGCUCCAUAUGCAUGCAAUCCAUUUUGGCCCAAAAUUGCUCCAAAUUGCACAUUCUUUCCAACUUUGUUAUUAGGACCUACAAACACAUGAAAAUAGCUUAAAACACUCUUAUAAGCAAUAACUAACUAAGUAAAUGCAAGAAAACAUGUUAACUAAGUUGCAUAAAUAUGCUCCUAUCACUCGACUCCACCGUAGCACGAUAUUGUCCGCUUUGAGCCCUGACCACGCCAUCACAGCUUUGUUUCUGGGAACUCACACGAGAACUUCCCAGUGGGUCACCCAUCAUGGGAUUGCUCUCAUGCGGACUCGCUUAACUUCGGAGUUCCGAUGAAACCUGAAGCCAGUGAGCUCCCAAAAGGCCUCGUGGUAGGUAGAAAUGAGAAUAUACAUAUAAGACUUACAAGAUCCAAUCCCCUGGACGAUGUGAGAUGUAACAGCAAGCAUAGAAAAGAGUCCCUAUCUCUUCAACUUGGUUGACAUAAUUUGCCUUAUGUACUACUUUGUGCCCAUUGCAGUUUCUAGGUUCAUGACCAAACAUUCCAUGACCAAACUUUCCAUAGUUGGUGCAUUUGUGUUUUCCUUCAAACCAGCACUUCCCAUAAUGCAAUUUGUCAAAAUGUUUACAAGUAGUAUUGUUUGAAUCCUGAGUGGCAACCUGUUUGGGAGCAAAGUUGGGCUUAUUAUCCUAUUUCUUUUUCUUCUUCUAGUUUUUCCCUAUCUUUUGAUUGUCAGAAAAACCACUAGAUUUAGGAUAAUUGUAACCUACAUUUAGGCUAGCAAAUACUCUCUCAUUAGAGUUCUCAACAUGUCUAUCCAACCUUUGUUCAAAACCCCUUCAAUGAAGCUACAACUUCUUGUACCACAAGAUAUCAAGAUCCUUAGAAUGCUCAAUCACAUUACAAAUCGAAUCAUAGGAUCUAGGCAACCUUAGAAGCUACAACUGGUAUGAUGACAUCCUUUACAAAGGAUUAGUUUGGAGCCCAAUAUAACAUUCUCUAAGAAGGAUUCAUAACAUUAACGAGAGACGGUUAGAGAUAGAGAUUCAUAUCGCCCUCGAAUCUCAAACGUUGAAUUAUCAUAAUUUACCACUUCUAUUAUAUGGAUAAUACUUGCAUUCCCCCUUAAGGGAUGAGCUCAUUCCCACAUGCAAAUAUAUAUUUACUGUACAAAUUUCAUAAUCGGAACAGUUUAAUUUCUUAAUUCUCAUUUGAACAUCACCCCUACAAAAACUCAUUUAAAUCGAACAACAUUUAGUUAUUCAAAUGUAUGGAAUAAAUCAAAGGUGUAGGUACCAAGUACCAUAUUCAUGAUGAAUUGUUCAUAUAUUUAAUACAUUUGGAUGAUUAAACCAAUUCCGAUUCGAAUGAUUUUCCAUAGGAGUGAUCUUCAAAUGAUGAUUAAGAAAUUAAAUGGUAUCGUUGAUUCUAAAUUAAAGUCGAAUCAAAGAUAUAUCCAAAAGCCAGUUAAACAGAGAUACAAUCAAAAGUUUAGAGGUUAAUUAUAAUGGUAUUUCUUAGGUAUCCGUUAAAUUCCACUAAUCAUAAUAAGAUGAUCAUCACAAACUAUCUUUAUUAACUCAGUGGCUUGGCAUGCAAUCAGUUAGCAUAUUCAGUUAACCACACAAGCUACAACACAACACUUGAUACAGAUCGGACAAUGCAGAAACUUACUAUACCAAAUGAGAAUGCUACAACCUCGUCAGCCAACUUCUGCCCCCCUAUUUGUUAUUUUCUCUAGUUAUCCAAACCGUGCAAGAAAAGCAACAAGAAAAACAUGUACGCAGACUAAUGCGAGAAUUUCAGAAAGAUAAGAGUGUACAAGCUUCCAUAUGCUGCACGAAUCCUAUGCAGUGGUGUCAAGGAACGGAUAAUCAGUGUAGCCAAUAACCGGUUCAGACACGUAGAAUGUGCUUCUGUUGUACUUGUUCAGAGGAGCAUUAAGCUCAAACCUCUUCGGCAAGUCUGGGUUAGCCAAGAACCAACGACCAUAAGCAAUAAGAUCUGCACGGCCCUCAGCCACAGCAUUGUUC
RNAcentral lists this long non-coding RNA (187501 nucleotides) under Malus domestica (apple). RNAcentral describes it as "long non-coding RNA (MDOM_LNC015851)". Lineage: Eukaryota; Viridiplantae; Streptophyta; Magnoliopsida; Rosales; Rosaceae. The record is from RNAcentral.